RNAcentral lists this long non-coding RNA (205777 nucleotides) under Coffea arabica (coffee). RNAcentral describes it as "long non-coding RNA (CARA_LNC003805)". Lineage: Eukaryota; Viridiplantae; Streptophyta; Magnoliopsida; Gentianales; Rubiaceae. The record is from RNAcentral.
CCACUAUUGUUGGAAAUUAGGGGAUCGUUUCAAUGUUUGCUGCUUCACACUAAUUGACUUCUUCCACCUUAGGGGUACAAGGAUGUGCUUGGAAGAAAAUGCAAGUUGUUGUCGCUCUUUAGAUAUUUUUUAAAAAUAGAAGAGCAAUUUUAUUUAUGAACAUUAAUCCCCAGCUGAUCGAACAAACAGUAUGUCUUGAACUUUUACCAUUUGUACAUAGCAAAGUUGGCUUCCAAACUGAGUCUAUCAAUUAUGUCAUUGUACCAACGAAUUAUGAAGGAUAGCCCGGGUUUACAAUGUAUACGUUUGGUAACAAAACCAAUAUAAAGGCUCUCUUGAUUCACAAUUCUUGGAGUGUGCUAUUAGUUAAAAGGAGUUUAAAUUAUGUCAGAUUCAUCCUGAUUUGGAACUUUUUCAGCAUUCAAUGAUUUAUUAUCACCUAAGCUUUCUUAAGUAUAGUAUUGUAAUAACAUUGUACUUGCAUUCAUACAAUCUUCGUAUUUGUUAUUCCUUUUUUUUUUGUUUAAAGUAUUUACCCAAUUUUGUCAUUUAAUUUUCUCUUUUCUUUAUUCUUUUCUUUAUUGCACUUACCUUUUUCUAUUCUUCUUUUUAAUGUAACUUAGCCUAUCUUUUUCCCUUUUCUUUAAGCAAAGAAAAAACCAUUCAUAUAAUUGUGUAAAUUAUAACCACCAAAUGUUGUAUAAACAACUAUUAAUUGAAUCAAGUAAACACAUAGCAAGAAGGGUUAAUUCCAUUUUGGCCCUAAAAUUUAAGUAACAACAAGUUUCAGUUAAGUCCUUCAAAUUGAUAAAAAAUCUCAGUUGGGCUCCAAACAAGAAACUUUGUUCACAUUCCAUUCAAGAAAAUUUGGCUCAAAUUUUUCAUCAGCUUUAAUUUCAUUCAGUAUCAAAUGUCUAGUUGAGUAUUUCUACCAUUACUUCAUGAAGUCCAUAGCUCACGAAGUCAAAAGUAAUCUGUCACAAGCUGAGGGCAUAUUUAUAUCAUUUAAUCAUGAUUUUUCCACAUGUAUUUGACAACGACAAAAAUAUGGCUAUCCCAACUAUCAAUGAUUACGCAAAAAAAGAAAAAGGAUAGUUGAUGCAUUUAUACAAUCUUCACAUUUAGCAUAUGAACUUUUUCAAGUGAAUAACUACAUCUGUGAAUUAUUCUGCUACAUAAAUCAUCACAAAUAACCUAGAAAUCUUGAGAAUUUAAAGGUACAUAAAAUUCUAUGAAAUCCCCGAAUGCAUAGAUGAAAUUUAGAGUAUGGAAAUUGAUAUUAAAAAAUACAAAAUUAUCAACCCAAAAUUAUACAAGUGAAUAUCUUCGCAAGUGUAUGAGAGAUAAUGGCAGAUCAUCAAAAUAUUUCUUAUUCUUCAUCUUGGAUUUUUCUUUCCUUCAUUUCAUUCUUUCUUUCUCUGGGUAAGGAAAAGCCAGGGAAUUGUGAUCUGUGAUGUUGUGAUUGACAGGAAAAACUAUUGGCACUUUAAGGAGGACUCUAUAUUUCAUCAUUUUUUUAAAAACUUUUUAACUCAAAUUGGUGUCCAGAUAUCAUAGGUGAUGGUGUAUUAGUGUAACAGUAGAACACUUAAAAGGAAGUUUAGGUCGCAAUACAUAAUUGGGUGCCUAAAAAGUCUCAAAUCAUGAUGAUCCUAAUGUGCACCCUUAGUUAAGAUAUGUAAAUGUUUUAUCCAUAUCAAAUUAGACAUCAUCUAAUAAAAUUAGAUUAGAUUAGUCACUGAUUUAAAUGUUGUCUUAUCUUUUGGGUUUAUAUUUUGUGCCCUUAAAGCACCAUAAGGAGUGGGUCUCUUUUUUUUUCAAAAGGGUAAUUUGUUUGCUAAUGUGCUGUAUUUCAGGGUGGUAAUUUUAAAGGUUUAAUGGUGGGCCAAUUUCCUUUUUCUAUAUGCUUAUUUGGUGCUUUAAGCAUCAAAUAAAAAAGUCUUAAUGUAAUACUCUCAGAUCUUAAUGAGGCAAUAACAUACUUCUCAGAUCUUUUCACGGGUUCUUUGGAAUCUUCUUCUGAUAUGCUGAAUCUACUUCCGCUCAUUAUCUCGGAAGACGACAAUGACAAAUUGGAGGAAUUUCCUUCAACUGAGGAGGUCUAUCGAGUUGUGAGGUCAAUGGAUGGAGAUAGUGCUGCGGGUCCAGAUAGAUUCACUGGAAAAUUCUUUACAUUUGCAUGGGAAGUGGUUGCCCAAGAUGUCUACAAUGCAAUACUCAGUUUCUUUUGUGGGGCAGAGUUACCUCGAUUCAUCACCUCUACCUCUAUUGUGCUAAUUCCCAAAAUGUCAAAUCCUCAGGAAUUUUCACAAUUUAGGCCAAUCAGUCUGUGUAAUUUCUUUAACAAGUUGAUAUCUUGGAUCUUAGCAGACAAAGUGGCUUAUGUAUUGCCAAAAAUUAUUUCCCCCCAACAGACAGGCUUUGUAAAGGGUCGUAAUAUAACAGAAAAAUUUCUGCUAACUCAGGAGAUAAUAUCGGGUAUUGGAAAAAAGAAGAGAGGUGGUAAUGUGGUAAUGAAGCUAGACAUGUCUAAGGCAUAUGAUCGAGUGGCAUGGGAUCAUAUUAUUGGUGUUCUAAGGAGAUUUGGCUUCGGGGAAAGAUUCAUUGAUCUUGUUUGGAGAUUGAUCUCUAAUGUUUGGUUUUCGGUAAUUAUAAAUGGGUCAUCAUAUGGUUUCUUUAAGUCUUCGAGAGGACUUCGUCAGGGUGACCCAUUAUCGCCUGCUUUAUUUAUUAUAGGGGCUGAGGUUUUAUCUAGAGGUUUAAAUAACCUCGUCAUGCAAUCGGGUUUUGUGGGUUUCAAAAUUCCAUACACAUGUCCUUCUAUGACACAUUUGGCAUUUGCAGAUGAUGUUCUCAUAUUUGCAAAUGGAUCUUCAUAUUCUUUAAAGACUAUCAUGCAGGUGAUACAAUUGUAUCAAAGGUGUUCGGGGCAGAUGAUAAAUGUGCAAAAAAGCUGUUAUUUAGUUCAUCCAUCGUUGUCACCGGCAAGACGAAGGGUUAUUGAACGUGUCACUAGUUUUACCUGGCAUUCUUUUCCAAUACGUUAUCUAGGAUUCCCAUUUUACUUUGGAAGGUGUAAAUCAUCAUAUUUUGGGGAAGUGUGUCAGUCUAUUCUAGAGAGGAUUAUGUCAUGGAAAUCAAGGAUGCUGUCAUUUGGAGGCAAGAUAGUUAUAAUCAAACAUGUAUUAGCAUCGAUGCCAGUGCAUCUGCUAUCAGCGGCGAUUAUCCCGCCAAAGGUAUUUAGAACUAUAGAAAAUGCCUUCUCAAACUUCCUAUGGAGAUCAUCACUCGAGGCUACCAAGUUUCACUGGAUACGUUGGUCUCAAAUGUGCUAUCCAGUAGAGGAAGGAGGAGUCGGAUUUCGAAGGUUAAAGGAUGUUUAUACAACCUUUUCAUUCAAGUUGUGGUGGAAUUUCAGAAAGGGAUUGUCGUUAUGGGCUAAGUUUAUGAAAGCAAAAUAUUGUUGACAACUACAUCCUUGUCGGGUAGAGAUCAGAACAAUGGACUCGGCACUCUGGAGAAGGAUGGUGAAUGUGAGUCAACAAGUGGAACUUUCUAUGUUAUGGGUUGCCAAAGACGGAGCAUGUCAUUUUUGGUAUGACAAUUGAUUGGGGGGUGGUGCGUUGUUCUUACGAACUACGGUAGUCCCAAACUUGUCGUUUGGCAAUUUCAUCACUAAUGGGCAAUGGGAUGCGAAUCAGUUAUAUCAAUAUUUGCCACAUGAAAUGGUUAACUCCAUUUUCAACCAUCCGCUCCUGAAAGAGAGGGGUGAAGCUGAAGUCAUAUGGAUGCCCACAACUUCUGAAAAUUUCUCUGUAGCUUCAGCAUUUUGAGAAAUUAGGCAAGCCCGAAACACAUCAAUGGUGUUUGAUAGAAUCUGGCAUCCCCGCCUUCCUUUGAAAGCCUCUUUCUUCAUGUUGCGAUUGCUGCUGGGUAGGUUGCCGCUACCGGAUAGGUUACGAAACUUUGGUUUUCAUUUACCCUCAAAGUGUUUUUGCUGCCAAUCGGCAUCUGAGGAGUCAAUCUAACAUUUAUUCUCCAAUGGCAAUAUAGCAUUAACAGUUUGGAAUUAUUUUGGGGCUUUAUGUGGACUCCAAGUAUCAGGGUCAUAUUUGAGACCUCGCAUAGUGGGUUGGUGGCUGAAAUCAUAUGAUUCUGAUAUAAGACGGUUUAUUGGUCGACUACUUCCUACUGUAGUAUGUUGGCAAAUUUGGAAGGCAAGAAAUAAAGCAAUAUUUGAGGAUGUCCAGAUGCGGUCGAAUGUCAUUUGUCAAGCCAUUUUCUCGGAAAUCCAAUCCAUCGUGGAGAUACAUUUCAAACAAGUGAUACGAGUACGGUCAUUUUAUCAUUUGUACGUGAUAGGUUGUAUUUUUGCCAUUAAUUCUAUGAUUAUUUUCCUCUUUUAUUAUACCAAAUAUUAUUUUAAUUGAUUGAUUCUACUUAUAUUUGGUAUUUGGUACUAAUUGUAGGAAGAUGGAGCAAAAAGAGAUAAAAGAUGUGAUUUUUCAAGAGUUUCCCGAUUCAAAAUGAAGUCUACAUGGAUUAUUGACGGAAGAUUAAGAGAAAGUCUAUUUGGUUUCAAAAAGCUAAAAAUUAGGAAAUGAUAGGAUGGCCGGCCCAUGUAAUUAAUACUCAAAGGAAGCAGCAAUUUCUGGCCUUUUGAUUUCCUUUGCACGGAUUUGAGGGAGUAGUAGAAGCUGAAUAGGAAACAAAAGAAAAAGAGAAAGCCGGAUCCUGCGGAAUGACUACUCAGCCAGGGAUCUCACUGGAUUAUGACUCAGCCAGGGAAUAAGAAGAGAAAAUGAGGCAGCCACUUGGCUCUGGGCUCCGCUGAGUAGUUUUCUUCUCCUAUUAGGUGUCUAUCAUAUGCGCCACAAAGACCAUAGCAGGGAACAUUUAAUUAUCCCUUUGGCUUGGUAGUUUGGAGAUAGUUCUUAAUUCCAUCGAGUUUUCUUCCUUCGAAUUUGGAGGAAAAAGCUGGGAACAAUGAUUUGCAUGGCUUGUUCUCCAUUAAUAGAGAACUAAUUUUACACUACUAGUCAAGGGGACAACUGAAGACUUGGUUCAACAAAAAUGCCUACACUUGCACUUUUUCAAAAUAUUAUCAAUAUAUUACUCCCCCCACACCUAAAUCUUACAUUGUCCCCAAUGUAAGUAAUAAAGAAUAAAAUUCAAAAUAAAAAGGGACAAUGAAACUUCCCUGAUCAUCAAAGGGGGGUUGUGGCACAACUGUAGGUGAGAGGCAAAAGAUAUGCAGAGCUCGAUGGCAAAACUGAUGACGAUGAAAGCUAUGAUCGGCAGUUAAGGAUGUCAGGUGGCUCACAAUGGAUGAGGAAGAAGUACGCGCGAUGAGUAGCGAUAAUCAGGAACUGACGACCUACGUUGAACAGUGCAACGGUGGUAGUGGAAUUUGAAGUCCUUUGGUUGCGGUCUUGCAACUGGAAAAGAAAAGAAAGGAAUAAAAAGGAAAGGGAGAGAAGAAGAAAAAGAGAAAGAAAGAAAGAAAAAGAAAAGGAAAAGAGAAAAAAAAAAGAAAGGAAUUUUUUUUUUGAAACCACUGCGUUAGAUGUGGGCACGCCUAACUGUCCUUGAAUCUUCUGACCAAUCCACGGAAAUUAAGCUCCUUAAGCGUGACCAUCUGGCGUGGGCACGCCUAACUGCUGGGUAGUCUUUUGUCUGCCAAAUUAAAACUUCCUUCCUUAGGUGUGAUCACCUGACGUGGGCACGUCUAACUACCAGCUUCCUGCCGCAAAAGCAACAAAUCACUAAAUGCAACUAACACUUAACAAAAAUAACAAAAAACAUAAGAAAACUAAAACAAAAGCCUUGGGUUGCCUCCCAAGCAGCACCUUUCUUUAAUGUCUUUGGCUAGACAUUGCCAUAUUUAUUCACGGAGGAUAAAAUCGUGUAACUCGUUUCAGUGCUUCAUCUUCUAUGUAAUCCUGGUAUCCCUCGUAAAUAGAGUAAUUUUUGAACACACGAGGUAUGGUCUUCCAUGGAUUAGUAGAUGGCGCCAAACAAACAAGUGGUGACCUUAAAUCUUCACUCACUCCUCUAUCACGAGCACUUAUUGAUUCGAGAUAUUUUUCCAUCAUAACUCUUAAUUUAUUCCUAUCAUAAAACUCAAAAUCGUUUGGUAUAAUAAACUCAAUCUCACUAACAGGAAUUAAAGAAUGAGAGUUAAGAAAAUGUUGAUUAAGAAAUGGAGGAGAUGUCACCGCAUUUGGAGAUUGUUCACUGGAUUCAUUCACUUGAACCAUUUGAUGUUGGGGUCUCAUGUCUUGCACUUCAACUUUCUUUUCAACUGCAUCUUUAGAUUCUUCUCUUUGAGACUCUUGCAGUACCAUAUGAUUUGUUAAGAUAAUUGCACUCUCAUCUUCCUCAUGGUCGAUAAUAGUCUGUGAGGGCAAUUCUUCACUCAUUCGAGAAGUCAAUUGCGUUAUCCUAAAUGUCAAUUGAUCCAUUUGAUCUGCCAGGUUAUAGCUGCACACUUGUGUUUCCUGAUGAAAAUCUAUUAUCUCCUGUUGAAGUUGAUGUGUCUCCUGUUGAAUUUGAUAUGUGUUAGUAGCUAUUAAUUCAACUAUUUCUUCAAGAGACAUACCUGACAUGGAUGACGGUUCUUGAGACUCUAGCUGUUGAAAAUCUAUUGGUCGUUGUUUAUAAUUAAAAUUGGAAUCAUCCCACCAUCCUUGAUCAUACCCGUUUGAAUAAGGGUCAUACCACGUUUGAUAUUGAGGUGAAAAAUUUUCGGUUGGAGCACUUAGACCAUCUUGAAAUGCAGGGCAUAUGUCGGUUGAAUUAUAUGAGACAAAAUAAAUUCCACAAUUUGCAACAGCCCAUUGAUCAUUAGAACAAGCACGAGCAUUAUAAUCCCUUCUAGAAAUAAAAUCCAAUCUACCACCAAAAUACGGAAAGUUAGCAGCCAUAACUAUAUAUGAAAAAGAAAAAAGAGAAAAAUAAUAAAAAAAAUAAAAACAAGAUGAACUCAAAAAGAAACAAAUUAAUCAAGUACCAGUCCCCGGCAACGGCGCCAAAAAUUGACAGGUACCGAACCCGUGCAAUAAUAAUAAAUACUCCCUCCGUCCCAUUGUUAAUGUCAUGUUUUCACUUUUUUGUUGUCCCAAAAUAAGAGUCUCAUGGCAAAAGUCAAACAACUUUCACUACUACUUUCCUUUUAUACCCUUAGUAAUAAUGACAAGAUUCCAUCAACUAAUAAUAAACAAUUACAUAUGGCCCACCACAACACAUGCACACUUUCACCAUUCUGUGACCUUUUGCUUUUGGCCGGCUAUUUCCGUGUGAUAGACAAGGGGUAAAACUGGAAGAAUAUGAAAAGUGCAGUCCACCAUUUUACUGUGCAUAAAAAGUGCUAUUCCCGAAAAACUUCCCAAAUUUUGGGACGGAGGGAGUAAAACCUAACUACCACCUGAAACAGUCAAUAAUCAAUUCCAGUACUGGAGCAGGGACUCUAGGUGUGCAAUGGGUUACUUGAUUCACCCUGUUCCCGAAGAGUUUGCUUAAUCCGAUAUACUUGAAUUAAUUAUUUAACUAAAUUCACUAACUAAUAGAUAGUGAUAAGUGGGGUCGUCUUCUCAGGGACUGGCGAGAAAUUUAUUUCUUUUCAAGUCAAGAUUAAUGGGGGGUUUUGGGAUUAAAUGACAACUAAAUAAAUUAAAUGCAGAAAAUAAUUAAUUAAAAGAAAUACUUAGAGAAACUCUAGCCAAGGAUACACUUCAGAAAUGGUUCAUGCAACUGAUCAUCAAUUCACAGAUAAUUCCAACAUUUAUUAAUAGACCAGUUAUAGUUGUCAUGCACGCGAUAAACAACCAACCUUUCCUUAAUUUCUCGAUAGUUAAGGUACGACCGUUAACUAUUUCUCUAACCCAAAAACAACCCUAGGCACGACCGUAGGAUUUAAUUUCUAGAUUGCAUUAAUAAUUAGAAAGGCCCAAUCCUAACUAACAAACACGCUACGAAGGUUUGUUUAAAUUAGAUCAUAUGUUCCCCUGACAUAAACCCAAUUACGCCAGUUGCUACUGAGAUAGGGAUAACGAACAAUUACGGAUUCAAUUAUCCAUAAUUAGCAAAAUAGCCUAUAUGAAUAAUUAAUUAUUGUGCACUAAUCAAUCAUCCACACGAGUUAUAACGGUUAAGAGCAGGAAACAUAUGAAUACCAAUAAAUGGAGGAAGCAAUUAAAAUAAAUUAGAUCUCACAGUAAUUGUUGAACCAAAUCUUCAGUUGUCCCCUUGGCUAGUAGUGUAAAAUUAGUUCUCCAUUAAUGGAGAACAAGCCAUGCAAAUCAUUGUUCCCAGCUUUCUCCUCGAAAUUCGAAGGAAGAAAACUUGAUGGAAUUAAGAACUAUCUCCAAACUACCAAGCCAAAGGGAUAAUUAAAUGUUCCCUGCUAUGGUCUUUGUGGCGCAUAUGAUAGACACCUAAUAGGAGAAGAAAACUACUCAGCGGAGCCCAGAGCCAAGUUUGAAAAAGUGCAAGUGUAGGCAUUUUUUGUUUGACUUUGUUGAAUUUUAUCCAAAUUUUGCCUAUUUUUGUGCAUAUUUGUGAUUAUUCCUGAUAAAUGAUGGUUAGAUGUCUCAAAUUUUUCUAUUGCUAAGAUUUUACAGUCUAAGGUGUUAAGUAUGAUAUGGUUAAGUUUAAGGGUAUCUCUUUGGUGAAUAUUUGAGAUUUUGUGACUUUUACACUUUUUGAUUAACUUUUCUAAGUAUUGUAAAUUUUUGUCUAGCAUUUUUUUUUAUGCAAAUUGGUUCAACUAUUAAUCUUAGCCUCCAUGUUUAAUAAAUGAAGUGGGUUUGUGUGAUUUUUAAUUUUAAUUUGGUGCUUAUUUAUGAAUAGUAUUCGGCUAUAUUUCGCUAGUAUCGUUGCUUAGUAACCGGAGGUCUUCACCAUAAGUGUCGACUUUCGCGUCAAAAAGCGACGAUAACUAUGAGUAUGUGAUUUUAAGCAAUAAUGGCUGAGUAACCGGGCUCCUUCAUGUGGCCAAUGUCAGAGUUCGCGUCAAAACGCUUGAAUGGCUAAAAACUAAGCAUUCCCCCUAAAAAAAAAAAUCAAUCAAGUGUGGGGAUAUUUUAGAAAAAAAAUGUGCUAAUAGUGAAAAGUGUGGAAGUGUUGGAAUGAAUUGUUAGCCCGAUGAUUCAUGAAUUUUAAUGUUGAGAUUUUGCUUAAUAGUCGAACCAUUUGCUUAUGGAUGUUGGUUGAAUAUUGUAUAUUCUUAGAUUAGUUAGUCAUAAAUUGAAAGAGUCCUUGAUCUUGAAAGCUAAUUGGAGAGGUAUUUCUUGUAAAUUGCCACUAAUACUUGACAUGUAUUUUAAUUGUAUUUUGGCAAUAGAAGAUGUGAGCAAUAGCCAUUGUUUGAAUUCGAUUGCUUGAUUUGUUGUUCUCAUGCUUGAGGACAAGCAUGGUUUAAGUGUGGGGGAAAUUGAUAGGUUGUAUUUUUGCCAUUAAUUCUAUUAUUAUUUUCCUCUUUUAUUAUACCAAAUAUUAUUUUAAUUGAUUGAUUCUACUUAUAUUUGGUAUUUGGUACCAAUUGUAGGAAGGUGGAACAAAAAGAGAUAAAAGAUGUGAUUUUUCAAGAGUUUCCCAAUUCAAAAUGGAGUCUACAUGGAUUAUUGACGGAAGAUUAAGAGAAAGUCUAUUUGGUUUCAAAAAGCUAAAAAUUAGGAAAUGAUAGGAUGGCCGGCCUGUGUAAUUAAUACUCAAAGGAAGCAGCAAUUUCUGGUCUUAUGAUUUCCUUUGCACGGAUUUGAGGGAGUAGUAGAGGCUGAAUAGUAAACAAAAGAAAAAGAGAAAGCUGGAUCCCGCGGAAUGACUACUCAGCCAGGGAUCUCACGGGAUUAUGACUCAGCCAGGGAAUAAGAAGAGAAAAGGAGGCAGCCACUUGGCUCUGGGCUCCGCUGAGUAGUUUUCUUCUCCUAUUAGGUGUCUAUCAUAUGCGCCACAAAGACCAUAGCAGGGAACAUUUAAUUAUCCCUUUGGCUUGGUAGUUUGGAGAUAGUUCUUAAUUCCAUCGAGUUUUCUUCCUUCGAAUUUGGAGGAAAAAGCUGGGAACAAUGAUUUGCAUGGCUUGUUCUCCAUUAAUAGAGAACUAAUUUUACACUACUAGUCAAGGGGACAACUGAAGACUUGGUUCAACAAAAAUGCCUACACUUGCACUUUUUCAAAAUAUUAUCAAUAUAUUACUCCCCCCACACCUAAAUCUUACAUUGUCCCCAAUGUAAGUAAUAAAGAAUAAAAUUCAAAAUAAAAAGGGACAAUGAAACUUCCCUGAUCAUCAAAGGGGGGUUGUGGCACAACUGUAGGUGAGAGGCAAAAGAUAUGCAGAGCUCGAUGGCAAAACUGAUGACGAUGAAAGCUAUGAUCGGCAGUUAAGGAUGUCAGGUGGCUCACAAUGGAUGAGGAAGAAGUACGCGCGAUGAGUAGCGAUAAUCAGGAACUGACGACCUACGUUGAACAGUGCAACGGUGGUAGUGGAAUUUGAAGUCCUUUGGUUGCGGUCUUGCAACUGGAAAAGAAAAGAAAGGAAUAAAAAGGAAAGGGAGAGAAGAAGAAAAAGAGAAAGAAAGAAAGAAAAAGAAAAGGAAAAGAGAAAAAAAAAAGAAAGGAAUUUUUUUUUUGAAACCACUGCGUUAGAUGUGGGCACGCCUAACUGUCCUUGAAUCUUCUGACCAAUCCACGGAAAUUAAGCUCCUUAAGCGUGACCAUCUGGCGUGGGCACGCCUAACUGCUGGGUAGUCUUUUGUCUGCCAAAUUAAAACUUCCUUCCUUAGGUGUGAUCACCUGACGUGGGCACGUCUAACUACCAGCUUCCUGCCGCAAAAGCAACAAAUCACUAAAUGCAACUAACACUUAACAAAAAUAACAAAAAACAUAAGAAAACUAAAACAAAAGCCUUGGGUUGCCUCCCAAGCAGCACCUUUCUUUAAUGUCUUUGGCUAGACAUUGCCAUAUUUAUUCACGGAGGAUAAAAUCGUGUAACUCGUUUCAGUGCUUCAUCUUCUAUGUAAUCCUGGUAUCCCUCGUAAAUAGAGUAAUUUUUGAACACACGAGGUAUGGUCUUCCAUGGAUUAGUAGAUGGCGCCAAACAAACAAGUGGUGACCUUAAAUCUUCACUCACUCCUCUAUCACGAGCACUUAUUGAUUCGAGAUAUUUUUCCAUCAUAACUCUUAAUUUAUUCCUAUCAUAAAACUCAAAAUCGUUUGGUAUAAUAAACUCAAUCUCACUAACAGGAAUUAAAGAAUGAGAGUUAAGAAAAUGUUGAUUAAGAAAUGGAGGAGAUGUCACCGCAUUUGGAGAUUGUUCACUGGAUUCAUUCACUUGAACCAUUUGAUGUUGGGGUCUCAUGUCUUGCACUUCAACUUUCUUUUCAACUGCAUCUUUAGAUUCUUCUCUUUGAGACUCUUGCAGUACCAUAUGAUUUGUUAAGAUAAUUGCACUCUCAUCUUCCUCAUGGUCGAUAAUAGUCUGUGAGGGCAAUUCUUCACUCAUUCGAGAAGUCAAUUGCGUUAUCCUAAAUGUCAAUUGAUCCAUUUGAUCUGCCAGGUUAUAGCUGCACACUUGUGUUUCCUGAUGAAAAUCUAUUAUCUCCUGUUGAAGUUGAUGUGUCUCCUGUUGAAUUUGAUAUGUGUUAGUAGCUAUUAAUUCAACUAUUUCUUCAAGAGACAUACCUGACAUGGAUGACGGUUCUUGAGACUCUAGCUGUUGAAAAUCUAUUGGUCGUUGUUUAUAAUUAAAAUUGGAAUCAUCCCACCAUCCUUGAUCAUACCCGUUUGAAUAAGGGUCAUACCACGUUUGAUAUUGAGGUGAAAAAUUUUCGGUUGGAGCACUUAGACCAUCUUGAAAUGCAGGGCAUAUGUCGGUUGAAUUAUAUGAGACAAAAUAAAUUCCACAAUUUGCAACAGCCCAUUGAUCAUUAGAACAAGCACGAGCAUUAUAAUCCCUUCUAGAAAUAAAAUCCAAUCUACCACCAAAAUACGGAAAGUUAGCAGCCAUAACUAUAUAUGAAAAAGAAAAAAGAGAAAAAUAAUAAAAAAAAUAAAAACAAGAUGAACUCAAAAAGAAACAAAUUAAUCAAGUACCAGUCCCCGGCAACGGCGCCAAAAAUUGACAGGUACCGAACCCGUGCAAUAAUAAUAAAUACUCCCUCCGUCCCAUUGUUAAUGUCAUGUUUUCACUUUUUUGUUGUCCCAAAAUAAGAGUCUCAUGGCAAAAGUCAAACAACUUUCACUACUACUUUCCUUUUAUACCCUUAGUAAUAAUGACAAGAUUCCAUCAACUAAUAAUAAACAAUUACAUAUGGCCCACCACAACACAUGCACACUUUCACCAUUCUGUGACCUUUUGCUUUUGGCCGGCUAUUUCCGUGUGAUAGACAAGGGGUAAAACUGGAAGAAUAUGAAAAGUGCAGUCCACCAUUUUACUGUGCAUAAAAAGUGCUAUUCCCGAAAAACUUCCCAAAUUUUGGGACGGAGGGAGUAAAACCUAACUACCACCUGAAACAGUCAAUAAUCAAUUCCAGUACUGGAGCAGGGACUCUAGGUGUGCAAUGGGUUACUUGAUUCACCCUGUUCCCGAAGAGUUUGCUUAAUCCGAUAUACUUGAAUUAAUUAUUUAACUAAAUUCACUAACUAAUAGAUAGUGAUAAGUGGGGUCGUCUUCUCAGGGACUGGCGAGAAAUUUAUUUCUUUUCAAGUCAAGAUUAAUGGGGGGUUUUGGGAUUAAAUGACAACUAAAUAAAUUAAAUGCAGAAAAUAAUUAAUUAAAAGAAAUACUUAGAGAAACUCUAGCCAAGGAUACACUUCAGAAAUGGUUCAUGCAACUGAUCAUCAAUUCACAGAUAAUUCCAACAUUUAUUAAUAGACCAGUUAUAGUUGUCAUGCACGCGAUAAACAACCAACCUUUCCUUAAUUUCUCGAUAGUUAAGGUACGACCGUUAACUAUUUCUCUAACCCAAAAACAACCCUAGGCACGACCGUAGGAUUUAAUUUCUAGAUUGCAUUAAUAAUUAGAAAGGCCCAAUCCUAACUAACAAACACGCUACGAAGGUUUGUUUAAAUUAGAUCAUAUGUUCCCCUGACAUAAACCCAAUUACGCCAGUUGCUACUGAGAUAGGGAUAACGAACAAUUACGGAUUCAAUUAUCCAUAAUUAGCAAAAUAGCCUAUAUGAAUAAUUAAUUAUUGUGCACUAAUCAAUCAUCCACACGAGUUAUAACGGUUAAGAGCAGGAAACAUAUGAAUACCAAUAAAUGGAGGAAGCAAUUAAAAUAAAUUAGAUCUCACAGUAAUUGUUGAACCAAAUCUUCAGUUGUCCCCUUGGCUAGUAGUGUAAAAUUAGUUCUCCAUUAAUGGAGAACAAGCCAUGCAAAUCAUUGUUCCCAGCUUUCUCCUCGAAAUUCGAAGGAAGAAAACUUGAUGGAAUUAAGAACUAUCUCCAAACUACCAAGCCAAAGGGAUAAUUAAAUGUUCCCUGCUAUGGUCUUUGUGGCGCAUAUGAUAGACACCUAAUAGGAGAAGAAAACUACUCAGCGGAGCCCAGAGCCAAGUUUGAAAAAGUGCAAGUGUAGGCAUUUUUUGUUUGACUUUGUUGAAUUUUAUCCAAAUUUUGCCUAUUUUUGUGCAUAUUUGUGAUUAUUCCUGAUAAAUGAUGGUUAGAUGUCUCAAAUUUUUCUAUUGCUAAGAUUUUACAGUCUAAGGUGUUAAGUAUGAUAUGGUUAAGUUUAAGGGUAUCUCUUUGGUGAAUAUUUGAGAUUUUGUGACUUUUACACUUUUUGAUUAACUUUUCUAAGUAUUGUAAAUUUUUGUCUAGCAUUUUUUUUUAUGCAAAUUGGUUCAACUAUUAAUCUUAGCCUCCAUGUUUAAUAAAUGAAGUGGGUUUGUGUGAUUUUUAAUUUUAAUUUGGUGCUUAUUUAUGAAUAGUAUUCGGCUAUAUUUCGCUAGUAUCGUUGCUUAGUAACCGGAGGUCUUCACCAUAAGUGUCGACUUUCGCGUCAAAAAGCGACGAUAACUAUGAGUAUGUGAUUUUAAGCAAUAAUGGCUGAGUAACCGGGCUCCUUCAUGUGGCCAAUGUCAGAGUUCGCGUCAAAACGCUUGAAUGGCUAAAAACUAAGCAUUCCCCCUAAAAAAAAAAAUCAAUCAAGUGUGGGGAUAUUUUAGAAAAAAAAUGUGCUAAUAGUGAAAAGUGUGGAAGUGUUGGAAUGAAUUGUUAGCCCGAUGAUUCAUGAAUUUUAAUGUUGAGAUUUUGCUUAAUAGUCGAACCAUUUGCUUAUGGAUGUUGGUUGAAUAUUGUAUAUUCUUAGAUUAGUUAGUCAUAAAUUGAAAGAGUCCUUGAUCUUGAAAGCUAAUUGGAGAGGUAUUUCUUGUAAAUUGCCACUAAUACUUGACAUGUAUUUUAAUUGUAUUUUGGCAAUAGAAGAUGUGAGCAAUAGCCAUUGUUUGAAUUCGAUUGCUUGAUUUGUUGUUCUCAUGCUUGAGGACAAGCAUGGUUUAAGUGUGGGGGAAAUUGAUAGGUUGUAUUUUUGCCAUUAAUUCUAUUAUUAUUUUCCUCUUUUAUUAUACCAAAUAUUAUUUUAAUUGAUUGAUUCUACUUAUAUUUGGUAUUUGGUACCAAUUGUAGGAAGGUGGAACAAAAAGAGAUAAAAGAUGUGAUUUUUCAAGAGUUUCCCAAUUCAAAAUGGAGUCUACAUGGAUUAUUGACGGAAGAUUAAGAGAAAGUCUAUUUGGUUUCAAAAAGCUAAAAAUUAGGAAAUGAUAGGAUGGCCGGCCUGUGUAAUUAAUACUCAAAGGAAGCAGCAAUUUCUGGUCUUAUGAUUUCCUUUGCACGGAUUUGAGGGAGUAGUAGAGGCUGAAUAGUAAACAAAAGAAAAAGAGAAAGCUGGAUCCCGCGGAAUGACUACUCAGCCAGGGAUCUCACGGGAUUAUGACUCAGCCAGGGAAUAAGAAGAGAAAAGGAGGCAGCCACUUGGCUCUGGGCUCCGCUGAGUAGUUUUCUUCUCCUAUUAGGUGUCUAUCAUAUGCGCCACAAAGACCAUAGCAGGGAACAUUUAAUUAUCCCUUUGGCUUGGUAGUUUGGAGAUAGUUCUUAAUUCCAUCGAGUUUUCUUCCUUCGAAUUUGGAGGAGAAAGACAAUGAUUUGCAUGGCUUGUUCUCCAUUAAUGGAGAACUAAUUUUACACUACUAGUCAAGAGGACAACUGAAGAUUUGGUUCAACAAUUACUGUGAGAUCUAAUUUAUUUUAAUUGCUUCCUCCAUUUAUUGGUAUUCAUAUGUUUCCUGCUCUUAACCGUUAUAGCUCGUGUGGAUGAUUGAUUAGUGCGCAAUAAUUAAUUAUUCAUAUAGGCUACGUUGUUAAUUAGGGGUAAUUGAAUCCGUAAUUGUUCGUUAUCCCUAUCUCAGUAGCAACUGACGUAAUUGGGUUUAUGUCAGGGGAACAUAUGAUCUAAUUUAAACAAACCCUCGUAGCGUGUUUGUUAGUUAGGAUUGGGCCUUUCUAAUUAUUAAUGCAAUUUAGAAAUUAAAUCCUACGGUCGUACCUAGGGUUGUUUUUGGGUUAGAGAAAUAGUUAACGGUCGUACCUUAUUUAUCGCGAAAUUAAGGAAAGGUUGGUUGUUUAUCGCGUGCAUGACAACUAUAACUGGUCUAUUAAUAAAUGUUGAAAUUAUCUGUGAAUCGAUGAUCAGUUGCAUGAAUCAUUUCUGAAGUGUAUCCUUGGCUAGAGUUUCUCUAAGUAUUUCUUUUAAUUAAUUAUUUUCUGCAUUUAAUUUAUUUAGUUGUCAUUUAAUCCCAAAACCCCCCAUUAAUCUUGACUUGAAAAGAAAUAAAUUUCUCGCCAGUCCCUGAGGAGACGACCCUACUUACCACUAUCUACUAGUUAGUGAAUUUAGUUAAAUAAUUAAUUCAAGUAUAUCGGAUUAAGCAAACUCUUCGGGAACAGGGUGAAUCAAGUAACCCAUUGCACACCUAGAGUCCCUGCUCCAGUACUAGAAUUGAUUAUUGGCUGUUUCAGGUGGUAGUUAAGUUUUAUUUAUUAUUAUUACACAGGUUCGGUACCUGUCAGUACGAUUGCUCGAACUCAUCUGAUGUUGGGAUCACAUACAAACUUAUUCGAUGGGAAACGAAGGAAUCUGGACGGUUCACACUUAAUACAGAUGGAUGUUCUAAGGGUAAUCCAGAAGUGGAUGGAGGCAGUGGAGUUCUUCAAGAUUCAAAUGGCCUACCUUUGAUUGGUUUUUCGACAUAUUUUGGGGAAACUACAUGUCUUCGUGCAGAGGCUCUUGCCUUCCUUAUUGGUCUUCAAACAUGUGCACUGAGGAGUUUUCGGAAUAUCUAUGUGCAAUCGGAUUCUUUGGUGUUAAUUGGAAUUCUUCAGCAUCGCAUUCAAUGUCCCUGGCACAUCCGACGGGUGAUCAAGCAGAUUUGGGAGUUUAUGGAAGAUUCGGAUCGUUUUUCACAUUGUUACAGGGAAGCGAACAAGGUGGCUGAUGUGUUAUCUAAUAUGGGCGUAUCUCAUCCAGACCAGCAAAUCAAGAUAUACGAGACAUUUAAUACGUUUCCAACAAUGGCUCGUGGAGCAAUUUGCCUUGAUAGACUUGGAAUGCCUUCAAUUCGGAAAAUUAGGUCGAUGUAACAUUUUACUCUUGUAUUACUUCUAAAUAAAAAAGUUGGUUUAAAAAAAAAAGUAAUUACAAAUGAAAAAAAUAAUAAAAUUUCCCCCUUUUUUUGUCUUCCUUGUCAUAGAGCAAGUGUUCUAGGGUUUUUAUUUAAAAUCGGUCUAUCUGACAGAUAAUGAUUAUUAAUGUGUGUUAAUAUAUAAUAUUUCGGAUGAAAUAUAGAUUUGUUAACAAGUGCCCUUUUGACACCAAACGAGUGCCUAUAAAUUAUUCUUUUUCUUUUAAUUUUACUUUACAAAUUAUUCUUAAAGUUUAAAACAACAAGAAGUCUGUCCCCUAACAUUUAUGCAUAUGUCUCGUACUAAUAAAACAAAGAAAGUCCAACUCUGAUUCCCAUCCAAAACCAAAUUCAAAUGGCACCGAAAAUUCCACCAUGUCAACUACUUCCAUGAAAAAUAAGAAUGCCCAAUACCAAUUUAGUUAUCCAAUCCUAUAACAGAAAGCCCAAGUCAAAACAAUUGAAAAACCCACCAUCGCACCAUUACCUAUUGUCUUCUUUUUUAAUUAUUCUUUUUCCCUUAAAAAGACAACCAAGCAAAUUCCAUAUCCUAUCCGGUGUAACUUCUUGAUUUUCGUCUUGUAAAUUUCUAUAUAAAAUUUUGUCCGAAGAUAAUUUUAUUUGCAAUGUUUCAUUAAUUCAUCUACCCAAGGCUCCAGCAUUCAGUUUAGCUAUUGGGCAAAUCUUUUGUUUUUCUUUAUAUAUUCAUUCGAAGAUGAAACUUUUAUUUUGUGCGUUUAAUAGAUAUAAAUUAAAUGAAUUUGGAUCUUGGUUGUCAUUAGAUAGCAUUUAUAAUAACAAUAAUUUUAGAAUUAUCCUUUCCUCAUUAGUCCGAUAAAUUGUCAUUUUAGAUUAAAUAAAAUUGACAAUUACUUCUUCUAUUUUUCAAUUAGAUAAACUUCAAUGUUUCUGUUUUGUGCUAAUGAAUAUAGGGAAUUUAACUAGUUCUACUGCAAUGAUUAGGAUAACUAAAAGAAUGGUUUUAGACAAGGUUACAGUUAUUGCUAAUAUAAAAAAAAAACUUUUCAAUAGAAUAAACUUUUGAAAAUCAAAAUAAAACAUUUGUGGUUGCUUUAGAUGAAAAAACAGAAGCUUUAGAACUUCUAAAACAUAAAGCUUGCACUUAAUCAUACUAGUGAAUUUUCAGGUUAUUUAGUAACUUAUUGAGAUUUGAGUAUUUUGUGACUAUCGGGAGCAAGAAAAUUGAAUAAAAGGACACUUGAAACAAGUGUUGAACCUGGAAGCUUUGAAGCUUUUUAUUUUAUUUUUUUUUAACUUUUUAUGGAUUUUUUAGUGUAUGUUCUGCUAUACCACCUAAUUCAUCCCUUUCCCAGCUUUGAUGCUUCUACAUCUAAGAAUGUCCACAUUUUUAUGGCUACUUCAAAUAGUCAACAUUUUCCAAAUAUUACGACUCUUCCGAAAUUCAACUAAGACAAAAUUCCUAGAGCUAAAAAUCAAUCAAGUAUAACCCCUAAAAUUUACCUCAACGUUUUGAUUUUUUUUUUGCUCAUUUAAUCUUGAUUUAUUCCUUUUUUGUAAUAAAGUUAUACUCAACCUUAGUUUCCCCCGUCUCCCCCUAUAACAAAUUCCUGGCACCGCCACUGCUCCAUCCCAUCAUGAUUUCAAAUGCAAUAUGCUACUUCAUGAGUUUUUCAAAGAACUAUUUACAAUUAGUUAAGAGGGACCAUUGAUGUACAUACAAACAAAGUCCACUUAAUUUCUCAGGAUAAAUAGAGCAAAGGGCUUGAAGCCGUUCCCUAAUGGUAUCUAUUGAUAGUUUAUUGUGACGCAUGUCAAGAAAGGAUAGGUUGCUGUUUAGAGCUCGAAGGAAUUUCAAAUAUUGAGAUUAGUGGCGGGGGUUGGUGUGGGCCGAAAUGUAAUCGAAUUGGGCUGAGCCGUAUUUUUAACAUGCUCCAACUCGGGUUCGAAAUCAACAUGGAGCUGGACCUGAGUUUCAAUUUUAAGCUUGACUUUCCACUCCAUUCAAUAUUUUGACUUUCGUCAUGCUUGAAAUUUUGAUUGACUUUUUCUUAAAAGUUAGGUCCUUCUAUUACGUGCACUUAGUAGAUUGGAUAAAAGGUACUAUCAAAUUCUUUAAUUAUCACUAAACCUCAAUUCGAAAUUUGAAAGAAAUAUUACUAUAUCGGUUUGAAAAGGUCCAGUCUUCUUGUGCUGACAUAUGAAAUAAGAAAAGAAAAAAGAGUCACUUUAGUGUAGCUACGUGGAUACAAGUAAUAUUGUACAAGUGGAUGCUCCAUGAAUCGGGAAUUUUUUUUUUUUUUUUUUUUGGCUGGCAUGAGCUUACGAUGAUGAAGAAGCGGCUGCACGUGCAUACGACUUGGCAGCAUUGAAGUACUGGGGACAAGACACAAUUCUUAAUUUUCCUGUAAUCUAUAAUUCAUCUUGCAAAUCUUUGCAUUUUUUUCCCCUUUUUGUUGAAGAAUUUUAUUUUUUAAUUUUGGAUAAAUUCCACUUUACCCCCCUGUGGUUUAGCAUUUUUACAUAACCCCCCUGUCGCGCCCCAUUUUUUGAUAAAUAAAUAAAAUGGUUUGAAAAAAAAUGUAUUUUUUGAUUCAAUUUGUGGUUGGAAAAUGAAUUUUGAUUUAAAAGAAAAGUGGGCCUCAAUGGGGUUUUGAAAAUGCGACGAUUUGACCCAAAAUUAUAGUUUAAAAAGGGUUUUUUUGAAAUAAAAAAUCGGAGUCGCCACUUGGUAAUGAGUUAAGGUGUACCAAGUCACCUAAAAAUGAAUUUUUAAAGAAAAAUAGGAAAAAGUAGUAAGAAACCCCUUUUAAACGACUCCUAGUCCACGUAAACCAACGAAAAAGGUUCGGGAGUCACAUUUGACGAAGGGGAAGGCAAGGAUAAAAAUCCAAGGCACCCCUUCGACCUAACCAAGGCUAGUUGCGUGAUUUAAUCAAAAAUUUUCUUGUUUUAACCAAAGAAUUUAUUACAUUUGGAUGUACUACAUGAAUGCAAACCCUAGACCUAGGGGGACAUGGGGGGUAAAAUUUCUCUCCAAAGCUUGAGUGAUGCCAAUCACAUUAAUUGUGAAGCCCAAUAAUGAUCUUUUGGAGAGGUCACGAAUAAUGCGAGUGAGAUGCAAAUGAAUGGAAUGCAUGUAUGCAAUGUGAGGACAUGAGUUUAAAAAAGUAAUAAAAACAAUAAAUAUGUAAAUGAAAAUGUGCACGUGAGUGGGCAAGGUACGGUAUGUGAAAUGAUAAUAUGAAGUGCAUGUGUGCAAGUGAUGAUAAAAGUGUUCGCGUGCAAGUGAAGAAACAUAAAGGUGCACGUGUGCAAAAUGGGAGGAAAGAUGAAAGUGUGAUGAGGGCAUAAAAUGGUAGAGUGGAUUUAAAAAUGCAUGAGCCUAGGGAAUUCAUGCAUAUUGGGUACGGGGAGACCUAAAUCGUGACUCAAUUUGCCCUUUUAUAGAGGGAAUACAAGUGUGCUAAGGCUUAGAAAAAGCCACACUCGUCUAUAUCCCAUAUUUAAGGGGACUCACAAGCAAAUGAACCCUAUAACUAGUAUGAAAUGCAAAAAUCCUAAAAUGGAGGGAAAAGGGGUUCGAGGGGCAUGCAAAAUGAUAAAACUAAGAAAAAUGCAUGACAUGUAAUGAACAUGCAAACAUGUACUAACGAGGGGAAAUUCCUAAGGGUCUAGCGUUGGACUAGCCCAUUCUAUGAAUUCCGACUAGCGUUGGACUAGCGGAAACGUACAUUCAUCCAUCACAUUCAUUCAUGGCUAUGGAAAGCGAGUAGACAUGCCAAACACUCAUAAACACAUAGCACAUAACAUUUAGCAUACUCGACUAGAUGCAAAGCCCUAACAAAGCAAAUUAACACGUAGCAACUAAGCAUGCAAAACACAUAAGACGAUUAAAGCCCUAACUAUUACAUUUGCUAGCUAGGCACAUGACUUCGAUAGGUUUUCAUUGAAUGCUCCUCCAAGCCCUAUCUAUUACAAGCCAAGAGGCGUACACAUACCCCAUAAAGAAUAACUUAAAUAAAAAGCAAAAGUAAAUGACAUAAAUAAAAGAAAUUAAAGAAAGGCUAAGAAAGCAAAGUAGACAUGCAAUUCACUUAACACGUUGGAUCACGUAGGAGAUGCAAGAGGAUAAAAGAGAUUAUACCUCCUCCCUUUGUGGUAAUCAAAUGAAAUGAAAAUGGAGUGGUUUUGCCGGAAGAGAUACACCCCGGCGAAGCUCCUCUCCUUUGUUGGAUUUGAUCUGAAGUCACCGACCUCUUGCUUAGCUGCAACUCCCUUUCGUUUGGUUUCUUCUUGUCCCGUUGCCUUUGUUUUCUUUUCCCAGAAAAUUCUCGAUAAUCUCUCCGUUUCUCGGCCCUCUCUCACUCUUCCUCUUGCUCUCUCUCUUUUCAGAUCUUCAUCCUCCCAAAGCUCUUCCCUUUCUUUGCUGGUUCACCUUUCUACCGUCACUUUUCUGUUCUUUUGCUCUCAGAUUUUCCAGCCGCCCUUUUUCAUCCACGGCUGCUGUCCCUUUUUCUAGCCGUAAAACCCUCAAAAAUCUUCUCUCGGUUGUUUUCAGUUUUCCCUUUCAGCCCACACUUUCUUUGGUCUCUGCCUCUUCCCGUUUUGUCAUCCUUUCCUCACUAAGAAACCCCGUAGCCUGCUUACUAUUGUUUUUCUCCCUAGCCGCCAACUCUGUUUUUCCUUCAAUCCUUUGCCAGAUUUUUUAGCCGUCCCUUCAAAAACCUCUCCUCUUGCGGCUGAUGUUCUCUUUUUCUAUUUAUAUGGGACUCCUCAACCCUAAAACCCAGUCCUUUCUUCUAUAAUUUGCAGCCAAGGGGCUGCCCAGCCUUUCCUUGCAAGCUGCGACAAAACGCAGCUUGCAUGCCGCAAAUCCUCUUUUUUUUUUUUUUUUAACUUAAUAAUUUAACAAAAAUAAAAGUAAAACUAAAUAAUAACAAAAACAACAAUUUUAAUUACAAAUAUAUCAGAAUAAACAAACUAAAACAACAAAAUUGCCAUUUUCAAUCUUUUUCUUUCAUUUUUCAUCAUUUUUCACUUUUUUUUCUUUUUUUUCACUUUCAAGAAAUUCUAUGCUAAAAACUUAAAAAUAGAAAUAAAACUAGAAACUAAAAACUAAAAAUCGAAUAAAACGAACACGACAAAUAAAAAACUAAAAAUAAACAGUAAAUGAAAUUACACCAAAAUUUGGUGUCUACAGUUUGCCCCUUUUUGUCUGAGUUUUGAAAAAACUUGAGACAAAGAAGUAGACACCAAAUAUUUACCUGCAUUAUCCGGCGGUGAACGUCACAAACGAUGGGGACUGACCCCUGACAGGAAAUUUUAAAAUCGGGACUGACCCGAGACAGAAAUUUAAACGGGACUGACCCGAACAGGAAUUUAGACGGGACUGACCCGAACAAGAAUUUAAACGGGACUGAUCCGAACAGGAAUUUUAAAACGGGACUGACCCGAACAUGAAUUUAAAAAAUGGGGUGCUCACUAGUGGGACUAACCCACGGCUAGUGGCGAUGUGAAUGAAAUGCUCACUGGUGGGACAAACCCAGUUUUACCGAGGUCGGAGGGAUAAAACCCAUUCCCAACGAAAAUAAAAGCGGUCAGUGGGAUAAAACCCGAGCUUGCCGAGCUCGGAGGGAUAAAACCCAUGCCCAACGAAAAUAAAAGCGGUCAGUGGGAUAAGACCCGAGCCUGCCGAGGUCGGAGGGAUAAAACCCGUGCCCAACGAAAAUAAAAGCGGUUAGUGGGAUAAGACCCGAGCCUGCCGAGGUCGGAGGGAUAAAACCCGUACCCAACGAAAAUAAAAGCGGUCAGUGGGAUAAAACCCGAACCUGCCGAGGUCGGAGGGAUAAAACCCAUGCCCAACGUGAUAUAAGCGGUCAGCGGGAUAAAACCCGGUCCUGCCGAUAUUGGCGGGAUAAAACCCGGUCCCAAUGUGAUAGAAGCGGUCAGCGGGAUAAAACCCGGUCCUGCCGAGAUUGGCGGAAUAAAACCCGGUCCCAAUGUGAUAUAAGCGGUCAGCGGGAGGUCGGAGGGAUAAAACCCGUGCCCAACGUGAUAUAAGCGGUCAGCGGGAUAAAACCCGGUCCUGCCGAUAUUGGCGGGAUAAAACCCGUACCCAACGAAAAUAAAAGCGGUCAGUGGGAUAAAACCCGAACCUGCCGAGGUCGGAGGGAUAAAACCCAUGCCCAACGUGAUAUAAGCGGUCAGCGGGAUAAAACCCGGUCCUGCCGAUAUUGGCGGGAUAAAACCCGGUCCCAAUGUGAUAGAAGCGGUCAGCGGGAUAAAACCCGGUCCUGCCGAGAUUGGCGGGAUAAAACCCGGUCCCAAUGUGAUAGAAGCGGUCAGCGGGAUAAAACCCGGUCCUGCCGAUAUUGGCGGGAUAAAACCCGGUUCCAAUGUGAUAGAAGCGGUCAGUGGGAUAAAACCCGGUCCUGCCGAGAUUGGCGGGAUAAAACCCGGUCCCAAUGUGAUAGAAGCGGUCAGCGGGAUAAAACCCGGUCCUACCGAUAUUGACGGGAUAAAACCCGGUCCCAAUGUGAUAUAAGCGGUCAGCGGGAUAAAACCCGGUCCUGCCGAGAUUGGCGGGAUAAAAUCCGGUCCCAAUGUGAUAGAAGCGGUCAGCGGGAUAAAACCCGAUCCUGCCGAUAUUGGCGGGAUAAAAUCCGGUCCCAACGUGAUUUUGAACGAUCAGUGGGAUAAAACCCUAUCGUGACGUGGUUGGUGGGAUGAAACCCGAUCCUAACGUGAUUUUGUGAACAAGAAAUUGAAUUUGAUUUGUCAAGAAACAAGAAAUUAAACUUGAUUUUCCAAGAAACAAGAAUUUGAACUUGAUUUUUGACUUUUGAAUUUUUCUGAUUUUUUUUUUUUUGAGAAAAUUUUUCAAAAAUAAUUUGCCCCAAGUGUAGGGCCCUUUUCCCUUCUUUCUUCUCUUUCUUCGGCAUCGGCCUUCCACAUCAUCAGAUGCUCUUUCGUUGAUUUCAACUAUGAAUACCUGCACAGGGGGCUGGCCAAAGUAUGACAUGCAUUCAACUUUCUUAUUUGAAAAGAGCAACGUGAUUGGUUUUGACAUCCUCAAAUGUAUUACAAAAAAUUUUGCCCCAGUGUGGGCUAUUUUACAAAAUCUCUCACAUGAAAAUUUGCCCCAAUGUAGGCCUAUUUAAUUGCAAAAAAUUUGUUUGAAUGACCCUCCAUUUAUUUGAACAAAGUAAGCAAUUGCUUUUCCUAACAUAGCAUGCGAAGGAAAUUGAAAUGUCUUGCUUAAACUCAUAUAGCAAAUUUCAUGAUGAAUUUCUCAAAAUAAUGCCAAAUUACGAAAGAUUUCUUCCCCACUUUAGCAUUAAUGCUUUGAGUGAUGGGUCACCAUUCCUUAUUGACUCAUUUUUCAGGAGCAAUCCAAUGAUCUUAUUUCUGAUUUUUGAGGGGGUUAAGGGAAAUGAGAAAUCAAGAUUUGUUUGGUUCUUGUGCCCAAAAUUGUAAUUCCUUCAAUACCACAUCUUAGUGAAAGCAAAGAGUUUGUCACUCUUAUUUCUUAAGAAAACUUAGUCAACGUAUAAGUUUUAUAGGCUUGCAACAAAAUGGGUAGAAACGGGAAUUAAACAUGUGAAAACUGGUUAUACCCCUAUGAUCACAAAUGAUUGAUGGUUUUUUUUACGAGCAUAAUCUUCACUUUGGAUUGUCAUGAAGGAAUAAGUCAACGAUGGACUUUAUUAUCUUGUAAUGUGGUUUGAAAACGAUAGUUAAAGAAUAAAUCUUUCAAGGACAUUGCACCGAAGAUCGCAUUUUUCAAAAUUGCCCCUAUUUUGAACUCAAAGAUCUCAGACUUUGUUUGCAUUUUUUCCAUCAUUCACCAAGGAUUUCAGCGUCGAAAUUUUCUGCAUUUUCUUGCAUUUUUUUCAAUUUUGUGAGUUUUCACAAGAUGAGUAGAGUCAACCCCAUACCCAAGCAAUUCAGAACUACAGCUAAAAUUUUCUGACAUCAGAAAUUUUCUUGCCAGGGCCAUUGCAAAGAACAGAAAUCAGGACUUUCGGCUUUUAUAAUGGGGUCUGGUGGGGUGUUUAGAAAAGUUAAGGCUUGAAGGCAGAUUUCAAGAGUGGUUUAAGUAAUCUGAGAUCGCAUUGUUGUGCCAACCCUAUUUUAGGACUAAAUCAAGACUUGCCCCAGAGUUUAUGCUCAAUUGAGGCUUUUUCUCUUUCAUUUUCUUUCUUCUUUGAUUUUUUGGCUUUUUGCCAUUCUUUUGAACUUUCACAAAAUUUGGCCCAGUUUAUUUUUUGAACUGAGGUCCUCUUUUCUUCUUUUGUCUUUUGAUUUUGUUGCUUUUCACUUUUUCACUUCCUGAAAUUUUCCUUUUUCAACUCAAACUUGCCCCAGUGUGGGGUUUGCGAUUCUCAGGGGUUGCCAAACGAAAUAAUUUAUUUUGAUGGCUCAAAAGGGAUAACUAGGGAUAGAAUGUUUGAUUGGAAAAGAAGAGGGCCUGACCUUUGUUCCGUCCCUUACAAUAACUCUGAAAGGAAACUUUCGUUAAUGCGAAAUUUCUGGCAUGUAUCUGAAUUAACUGACUGAGGAAGACUCUUGUUCAUCCAUAUUUGUGAAACAUAGGCGGUCCGUGCGGACAAAUCUCUUCCUUUUCUUUUUUCCAAAAUUGGAACCCAAGUGGAAUCAAAUUCCCCUCCUUAUUCUAGCAUUUUUGCUUUUCCCUUUUUUUUCCUCUUUUUCAAAAUUCCCCAAUCUCCUUCCCCAAUGUGGGGUACGAUCAUAUGUGCACUCGAAAAGAACCACCAAUUUUUAGCUCAAAUGAGGAUGCAAGGGAUGAUCAGUGUUUAGGUUGUAGAAACGAUGACCAAAGUAUCAUUCUUACACUUCAUGACAAUCAACGUAACGCAAUGCUCAUUGGAAGUCCACUCCCUUUUGAUAUUUGAAAAUUUUCCAAUAUAGGAUAGUGAUCAUUAGCGCUCUUAUUUGAAACGAAAUUAUUCUUUCAAAGGCUCAAAUGGGAGAGCAAAUGAUAAAAUGUGUAUAGGUAGAGAAAAGAAUGCUCGAAGUAUCAUUCCAAAUUUUCAAAACAAACAAGAGUAAUGCACAUUUUUGCUUUCACUUAGAUGUGAACUGAAUCGGUUAAACACAAUGGAUAUUUUCAAGCAAAGAUGGCCCCAAUUUAUCAAUCAAUGUGACUGAUUUUAUUUUGGGGUCAAAUGAAGGAGGAAAGGAAUCUCAUAGGGACUUUUGAGUGACCUCUUUUGAUUCUGAGCACUCUUAUUGUGAAUUUUCAGGCAGGAGGUUGAAAAAAUUCCAAUUUAGUCUUAUUUCUUAAAAUUCAUCAUGAAAUCUCCAAUGAAUAAGAAUAAAGAAUGAAAUGUACAUAAAUAUACGCAAAACAAUGAUUGUACAAAAAUUUUAUUGCUGAAAAAGUUUGAAACAAAAAUUCUCAUUCAAUUAUGAUACAAAUGAGAAGAGAGAAACUCGUAAAGAGCUCAAAAUAUACACUUUUGUCUCCUUUUCUUUUGGAACAAAAUGUAUUAACAAAUCAAAUAAACUGAAUUUCCCUUUGGAAAACAAAUACAAAAUCUCUCAGAGGCUUUAGCGUAGAGCUUCCAGAUAGAUCAUUUAUGUUUUCAUUGUAGGAUCUGCCAAAGAAUUAAAUAACACUUGCAGUUUUGACACUUUAUUAGAUCGGAGGUGCCAUCAGAUAUAGAAAAAUAUUUUCCCUUUAUUGAAGUAUUUUUAUGAAUGCAGGGGAGGGGGAAAAACAAAAGGAAAAAUACCCAGAGUCAGUAAGUAAGAAUAAAAAUCGGUAUGCAUGUCCUAUGGGGGAACCCUUUUGUGCCAAGGGUAGGCCUAACAUGAAAAUGUAAUCCUCUAGGGUAGGCACUAUACCAUACCUGAUGGAUCUGAUCAAAUCGUUGAGUGAAAAAUAAUUUUGAAAAAUUUGGUCAAUUGGAGUGACGAGAGACACUUUGUCAAAAUGAGGUCAACGUCCGAAUGGAUCGAUCACUUUUGAUCGAUACAAUAAUUUGCAAAAACGCACGGGUUUGACCUUGACGAACUUCCUAUCGAAGAGACCGGAAUUCGUUUGACAAAAUUUUCUCAGUGAAGUAUGGGUAAAAACCCCAACUGAUCAAAUGGCUGAAUGCAAUGGAUGGUUUUCUCAAAAUCGACUAGGUUUUCCAAUUUGAAUUUCUUCAUUGAAACCCUAAUUGGUCAAAUGGAUGGAAUGAAAUUGACAAUUUAUUUAAAAUCAACCGAAUUACCUUAAAAAGGGAAACGGGUCAAAUGAAUGGAGUGAAAUUUACUCAAAAUUGACCGAAUCAUCCUAAAAAAGGAAGUUGAUCGAAUGAAAUUGAGAAUUUUAUUCAAAAUGGACCGGAUCAUCCUAAAAAAUGAAAUUGGUCAAAUGAAUUGAAUGAAAUCGAGAAUUUAUUCAAAAUUGACCAAAUCGCCCUAAAAGGGUAAACUGGUCAAAUGAAUCGGACGAAAUUGAUGAUUUAUCAGAAAUCGACAAAAUUGCCCUAACUAAUCAAAUGAAUUGAAUGAAAUUGGUGAUUUAUUCAAAAAUCGACUAAAUUGCCCUAAAAAUGAACAAAUUGAUAAAAUGGAUUGGAUGAAAUUGAUGAAGGAAAUGGUCCAAUGGAUUGAAUGGAAUUGGGAGCUUAUUAAAAAAUCAAGCUAUCCACUGGUAAUUUCAAAAAUUUAUUACAAUGCAUUUAGCCUAUGAGCCUUCUAAAAAUCAAAUUUUGGCCCCAAUUUAUUUAUCGUCUCAAUAGGAGGAGUCAUUUGUGAAUUUUUUCAAAUUAAUGUCCUUUGCGCAAGGGAUUUUUACCAACUUUGAUAAAAUGGCCAAAAAGUGAUUAUUAGACGCUCAUAUUCCAAAAAUCACUCUAUGAAAAUGAUCGGAUCCUACCUUACCUUGUGCACUACCCCUUUGGAUGGUACAAAAUGUAAACGUGCAAGUCUCACUGGAUUAAGUAUCCGAGACACAAGGUGGCUUAUUCCUAAAUACGGGAUUCCCUAUGUGGCAUUCCCUUUCUAUGGUUUAUGCGUGAUGCCAUUUAUUAAAGCGAUGUAAAUAUGUGACAAAUAUGGCCUAAAGGACAUAAAUAAUACAUCGGGGGGAAAAGGUCUAAAAAUGAAAUGUAUUUAUUGAAAAUCAAGUGUAAUAACUGAAAUUUAAACAUGUGAGUCAUCUAGUGGGUAAGUCACUAAAAGAGUGCCAAAAAGGCCUCUUAUUGCUAAGGCACAUGAAUGCAAUCCAAGAAAACAAAAGAAUGGUUAGUGCAAUUGAUAGUACACAUAACAUAUUGGGAGCAAUUAAGAAAAGAAAUACAAUAAAAACAAGUAAAAGGGGUGGAACCCCUUCCCUCGUGCCUAAUGUGCUUAAAAAAGGGUGAGACUGACUCUAACCUAGGAAAAUUCUAACAUGGAUGCAUGAGGCUGGGGUUCACUAAUGCGACUAGACUCGAUAAGGUUUAAAAGGUCCCCAAGCCUUCAGACCCAAAGGCCAAGGGUCAUCACUCCCAAGGCCUUCGAUCGGUGGCUCGAGUGAUCCCUUAGGUAGCGCUAUGGGCGCAGAGCACACCAUCCGCCUACCCAAGGCAAUCGAUCCUAAUCCUACAAGGAGGUGUGGGAUGGCGCCCACGAAAAAAAAAAACAAAAUGGGAUAACAAUAAAUAAACGUGCACGUAUGAAGUGUUCCCUAUUUUGAGGGAAAGGGUUGAGAACCAACGCAAGGCUCUAAAGGUGACACACCCCCCCCAAAUGCAAUGCAAAGCGCGAGAUCACAUCACAUAAAUCAUUCAUCCAUCAAAUCAAUCGUACGCAAAUGUGUGAGGGAGCGAGUUGAUACGCGCGAAAUGCAAAAAUCCUAAAAAAGAAAAAUGCAACCCUAAACAUCCAAAUGCGAUAUAUGAAAAGGUUAAAAGAAGAAAAAGAUUGACUAAAUCAAAUUUGCUCGGACUCUCUAAGUCCCCAGUGGAGUCGCCAACUGUCGCGCCCCAUUUUUUGAUAAAUAAAUAAAAUGGUUUGAAAAAAAAUGUAUUUUUUGAUUCAAUUUGUGGUUGGAAAAUGAAUUUUGAUUUAAAAAAAAAGUGGGCCUCAAUGGGGUUUUGAGAAUGCGACGAUUUGACCCAAAAUUAUAGUUUAAAAAGGGUUUUUUUGAAAUAAAAAAUCGGAGUCGCCAUUUGGUAAUGAGUUAAGGUGUACCAAGUCACCUAAAAAUGAAUUUUUAAAGAAAAAUAGGAAAAAGUAGUAAGAAACCCCUUUUAAACGACUCCUAGUCCACGUAAACCAACGAAAAAGGUUCGGGAGUCACAUUUGACGAAGGGGAAGGCAAGGAUAAAAAUCCAAGGCACCCCUUCGACCUAGCCAAGGCUAGUUGCGUGAUUUAAUCAAAAAUUUUCUUGUUUUAACCAAAGAAUUUAUUACAUUUGGAUGUACUACAUGAAUGCAAACCCUAGACCUAGGGGGACAUGGGGGGUAAAAUUUCUCUCCAAAGCUUGAGUGAUGCCAAUCACAUUAAUUGUGAAGCCCAAUAAUGAUCCUUUGGAGAGGUCACGAAUAAUGCGAGUGAGAUGCAAAUGAAUGGAAUGCAUGUAUGCAAUGUGAGGACAUGAGUUUAAAAAAGUAAUAAAAACAAUAAAUAUGUAAAUGAAAAUGUGCACGUGAGUGGGCAAGGUACGGUAUGUGAAAUGAUAAUAUGAAGUGCAUGUGUGCAAGUGAUGAUAAAGUGUUCGCGUGCAAGUGAAGAAACAUAAAGGUGCACGUGUGCAAAAUGGGAGGAAAGAUGAAAGUGUGAUGAGGGCAUAAAAUGGUAGAGUGGAUUUAAAAAUGCAUGAGCCUAGGGAAUUCAUGCAUAUUGGGUACGGGGAGACCUAAAUCGUGACUCAAUUUGCCCUUUUAUAGAGGGAAUACAAGCGUGCUAAGGCUUAGAAAAAGCCACACUCGUCUAUAUCCCAUAUUUAAGGGGACUCACAAGCAAAUGAACCCUAUAACUAGCAAGAAAUGCAAAAAUCCUAAAAUGGAGGGAAAAGGGGUUCGAGGGGCAUGCAAAAUGAUAAAACUAAGAAAAAUGCAUGACAUGUAAUGAACAUGCAAACAUGUACUAACGAGGGGAAAUCCCUAAGGGUCUAGCGUUGGACUAGCCCAUUCUAUGAAUUCCGACUAGCGUUGGACUAGCGGAAACGUACAUUCAUCCAUCACAUUCAUUCAUGGCUAUGGAAAGCGAGUAGACAUGCCAAACACUCAUAAACACAUAGCACAUAACAUUUAGCAUGCUCGACUAGAUGCAAGACCCUAACAAAGCAAAUUAACACGUAGCAACUAAGCAUGCAAGACACAUAAGACGAUUAAAGCCCUAACUAUUACAUUUGCUAGCUAGGCACAUGACUUCGAUAGGUCUUCAUUGAAUGCUCCUCCAAGCCCUAUCUAUUACAAGCCAAGAGGUGUACACAUACCCCAUAAAGAAUAACUUAAAUAAAAAGCAAAAGUAAAUGACAUAAAUAAAAGAAAUUAAAGAAAGGUUAAGAAAGCAAAGUAGACAUGCAAUUCACUUAACACGUUGGAUCACGUAGGAGAUGCAAGAGGAUAAAAGAGAUUAUACCUCCUCCCUUUGUGGUAAUCAAAUGAAAUGAAAAUGGAGUGGUUUUGCCGGAAGAGAUACACCCCGGCGAAGCUCCUCUCCUUUGUUGGAUUUGAUCUGAAGUCACCGACCUCUUGCUUAGCUGCAACUCCCUUUCGUUUGGUUUCUUCUUGUCCCGUUGCCUUUGUUUUCUUUUCCCAGAAAAUUCUCGAUAAUCUCUCCGUUUCUCGGCCCUCUCUCACUCUUCCUCUUGCUCUCUCUCUUUUCAGAUCUUCAUCCUCCCAAAGCUCUUCCCUUUCUUUGCUGGUUCACCUUUCUACCGUCACUUUUCUGUUCUUUUGCUCUCAGAUUUUCCAGCCGCCCUUUUCACUACAAGAAAAAUUAUAUUUGGAGGCGCAACAAAAUGAUGCAAUAGGAAACUUUUAGAGGCACUUAGACUAUUGAGGCGCACACAUCAAAUGUCUACUAAACUACCCGUUUGGAAAAGGUUGGAGGCGUUUCUUAACGUCAUGUUUAAUGAAUUUGAUGCAUUCACAAUUGCCAUGAUAGAAAUUGCAAAUAGGCACACACCAAUGCCUCUAAAGAUGCCCUAUAAAGGCACUUUACUUGGUAUUAUUUUUGCUCUUUUUAGGACACUUUUACAUGUUGCCAAAAAGUAAUUGUCUAGGCACAAUGAAGUGCAUUAUAUACAUUAAUGGAGGCAGUUUAUAGUGUAGUGUUUACCUAUCUUUCAAGGCAUUUUCUACCAUUGUAAAAAGGAAUCUCCAAACACUCAAAAAGUGUCACGAUAUGUGGUUUUACUAGGUGCAUUAGUUUCAAUGUCGGCAUUGGCAAGUGCCUCAAUAGAUGUCUUUUUUUUGUGCAAUUUUCAUCUAAAUUUUCUACUCUAAUCUCCUAAUACAAUACGCCAAACACAUAAUAUGCAAUUGUAAGACAGCCACUAUGCCAAAGAAUAUAAAUCUGCUUGACAGUAAAAAACUGGUGACAUCCUAAAUAAAGCAAAAAGUUCCACAAAUCUGAAGUUAAUUCAAAAACUAGCAUUAAUACUUCUUUAAACAAAAGGCUGUCAUCCAACUCUUGCAAUAGAAUCCAGCAACAUUCUCAAGAACACAAAAUAUUCCACAAAUUUGAACUCAAAAACUAGUAUUGCUUCUCUAAACAAAAGGCUGCUGUCCAACUCUUGCUUCUCUAACAAAAGGCUGAUGUCCAACUCUUGCUUCUCCAAACAAAAGGCUACUGUCAAUCCUCAUGAAUCUUCACCUAUAAAAUUAGUAGAUUAAGUAAGAACACCACUUCAUUAUCCAUCCAACUUACAAAUAUUUGUAAAGAAAAAAACUUGAACAAUCUUGUGUCAAAUUAUACCAAUUUCAGUGGCCAAGCAAUCGGUGCACCAAGUGCAUCUUCAAUUGUUUGCAAUAGCCCAUAAGGCCUAAUCAAUUGUUCAUUGCGUUCCAUCACGAUUUGUACUAGUAUUUCACACCAACAUGGUCCUAAUGGUUGUCCACCAACAACUUUAGAAGGAUCAAUUCCUUGGAGGCGACCAAUAGCUAGACAUUUUGUUGGAUCAAACAAGCUGAAAAUAUCCACCCAAUCACCUUCCUACAAGAUAAUUUGAAGUCAUAGAAUUGAAUUAGGUAGAUUUAUUUUUUUAAAAAAAUUUGGUAGAGUUUCCCCUGCAUUUUGAGCAUUUCUCCAAUUUUCAGCAAUAAAACUUAAUAACCAUGACUUUACUAAGUUGAAAUUACCAUGUUUUACUAUUCAGUAUAACCAAACAAAAUAGCAGUUUAAUGAAUCAACAAGUUUCAAACAACAAAAGUGAGUAUCCUCAUAUGGUAUAAUCACAAUAAAUUCUUGAAAAAUAAUCAUGAAUAUACCUGAAGAGAACGAACACCCAUAGGAGAUUUUGAAACAUGAUUAGAGGACGUUGAAUUUAUCGAGCCACCAGUUUUUGAGCCACUAUUUUGCUGCUGACACACCAUUGCUUUGAGCUCUGCAAGUUCUUUGGCUUGGUCUUUCAGCUGCUGAUCUUGCUCAGCAAAUUUAUCUUCCAUCUUAGAAAUUGCUGCCUUUUGCUCCAUAACGAUACGCUGACAAGUGCUGCGACUAGGUAUGUUACCCCAUUUGUCUGAUGGUGUCACACCUAGACCAUACAUGCGCACACGCCCAUUGUUAUCUUCCCCAAAUACUUGGGCAAAUGCAUCAUUACGACCAACAUCAUCAUUAGAACCAGGGGGAAGUUGGCUAACUUUUUCCUUCAAAGCUUGCUGUAUUUAAAAUCCAGAAAAAAUUCAAUAUUACUAAAGUCGAUUAUCUUACAUUAAUGAAGAUAAAAUCAGUCCUAAGUUAGUAGACAAUUUAAGUCAUUUAGAGUACUAAUUUCAUCAACCAAUUAAUAACUUACUAAUGUAGCUGCAACGUCAUCAUUUCCCGGGUUUCCGUUUGAGUCAGUAUAACAGUGUUCGAACAUAUCAACUCGUGAUGGGAGAUGACCUAAUUUUUUCAUCUAUAGAAAAUGAAGUCUUCAUAAGACCACUAGGUGAUACAAGAAAAAACUAAAUGAAACUAAAAGGUUUAAAAGAUUUACCAAUUUCUUUCGAAUUUGAGCAUACGAUUUCUUCCCUGUCUUAUGAUUCAUUGUUUUCUUAGCCCGACUCAUCUUAUUCUUCUCGCUGGUAUUCUGAAAUUAUAGAAAAAUAGUGAAAACUUAUAAUCUCAACAUAAUGCUUGAUAUUUAAUAGUUAAAACAGUUAUACCUUUGUUUCCUCUAAGCUCCAGUAAGCCAGAAGAUUUCUCCACUGAUCUUUCAAGAUCCGCUGAUCCCUAUUGUUAAUUUGACUCUCAAUGGAUUCAUUUGGAUUGUAAUAUUUUGCCUUUAAAGCUGAUUUCCAAUUUCUCCAUUUUUUGCCGAUUGAUUUCAAAGUCCAAAAAUCUGCACCUGGAGGAAGACGAAAUUUUUCCUACAAUAACACCUCAAAUAGUUAGAUCCAUAUUUUUGUCAUAUAAAGGGUACAGCUGUAUAUUUGCAUCAAGCAAAAUGUGCAUUACCUUCACCAAUACAAGCAUGUCUUGCUUCUUAUCAUUUGUCAUUUCACGCCAAUCUGUCACGUCUAGAGGAGCAUACUUUCCAUUUCUUGCUAUUGUUCCUAAGAACUCAGUAAAUUUGGACUUGUUCUUGCCAACAGGCUCACCAUCCUUAUCAAAUCUAACUUUGUACCGAUGACAACUACUAGGUUUACCCCAUAUUUCUGUCAUAUAUGUUGGCCCUCUAGUUUUUCUUUGUGAAUUUUCAUCUGCAUUUUCUUCAUCUAUAACCAUGAAAUAUGACACCGAUGAAUUUCAUUACCAAAAGAAACUAGUAGAACUAAAAGUUUUGAAAUUGAAUCUCAAGAAUGAAAAUCAGAACUGGGCAUGACUUAUUAGAGAUGUACCUGUAGAGUUAGGCUCCUCAAUGUGAAUCUGAUUUUCAGCUAUAUCCUCGUGUUGAUCAACAAGUGUAUUUCCAGUAAUCUUCUGUCUUUUAGUCCUUGCCAUUCCUACAAAUAAAAACAUUUAACAAAUAAAAGAACACAAAUACAAAAAGGAUAGCAAAAUCUCAAACGAAUAUGAUAAUAGAAAGGCUACAACUAGACUGAAAAUUUUCAUCUACUAACAAAUCAAUUUUAAAGUGCAAGUAAGUUAAAACAGAAAUUUUAAAAUAGACAAAUGCAAAGACACAACAAGGUUAAUCUGAAUUUGCAUCUACAAAAAAAUGCAUGUGAAAUUGCAACCACGUUUAUAGUUACAACUUUUACAGUUUUAAUAGCAAAAACCAAACAUUUCAACAAUUCAGGCUAGUGGAGUAUUUCAUCUCCAUCAUCUUCUCGAACCCAUCGAAUGUCUUCAUUCUCAUUGUCCAUUUGAGUUGUUGAGGUAAUUGUGCUUUGCAAAUACAUCUCAAUAUCACAUACGGGGUCCAUCAUAAACUCAUUCCUAGGAGAUGUAGCAACAACAACACUCCAGCCUUCAGCUAAAGGGUCUUCAACAUAAAAAACUUGUGAAACUUGGGUUGCUAUCACAUAUGGCUCAGGGUGAGGCUUUACAUUCUUGAAGUUGGCCAAUGUGAAUCCAUCCUCAUCUUGCUUUAAUCUUUUGCCUUUUGAUAUCCAAUCACAUUCAAAUAAGGUGACAGUUCGGCCUUCAGUGUAAUUUAACUCAAGGAUAUUCGUCAAAAUACCAUAGUAAGCCAAGUCACUUAAAAUUGGAUUAUUAUCUUUAGUACUCGAAAAGCUUGAUGUUGUUGCAUUGACAAGAACCCCACUAUUCUGAGUUUUCCUCUGAGAUUCUAAUUGUCUUGUAUGGAAGCGAAAGCCAUUGACAAGAAUCUUUUGAUAUGUUCUCCCCACAUUAUUUGGACCCCUAGCCAGAAGUUUCAAAUCUUUGGAGAUGUCAACACCAUCAGCCACUUGAAUCUGCUUAACCUAUUAUAUACAAAAUGUAACAAUGACAAAUUUCUUCUUUUAUGCAUAAAAAAAAAAGAUAAUAGAACCUGUAAGAUUGUUGAGCUUACAUGGUCCGAAAACCAAUCUGCAAAGUUCUCACAAUGAAUACGCUCAAUGACAUGUUUUCCAGCACAUGGAUUUUGCUCCUCCACCAUUUUAUGGUGUUGGCUGCAUAUAGAAACUCACUAAGUAUUUAACAUAUAUAAUUUUUUGAAUUGAAAGGAAUUUACUUACUCAACAUAUGGCUUGAUGUGGUCGCAAUUAAAUAGCACAUAUUGAUGUGCUUUUCUCAAAAUUUCAUUGCUGAAAUUUGUUGGAGUUCCUUUUCCUAAUGGACGACAUGAACUGGAAAAUACAUCGAAGCCUUCACUUGAGGUGUUGCCCACAUCAUCAUUUCUACUUGUCCGAUUAAACUUCGUUUCAACAUAAUCAGCUAGGUAUAAGGAACAAAAAUUCAAACAUUCCUCAGCUAAAUACCCUUCAGCAAUACAGCCUUCUGGUCGACUUCUAUUUCGGACGUAGGAUUUCAAAGUUCCUAAAUACCUUGACAAGGCAAGUUUUAAUUCAGGUUUAGAAUAUUGAGAUGAAGUUAAUGAUAAAAAAUGUCUAAAAUUUUCAAAAUACUUCACUUAAAUAUUUCAUGAGUACCUUUCUAUAGGAUACAUCCACCGAUAAUGGACAGGCCCUCCUAUUUUUGCUUCGCUAACCAAAUGAACAGCCAGAUGUACCAUCACAUUAAAAAAGGAUGGUGGAAAAAUCCUUUCUAAUUGACAAAGUAUGAUACCAAUCUCUUUUUCCAAAUGAACUAAAUCUGCUGGAUCCAAAACUUUGGAGCACAACUUGCGAAAAUACCUGCUCAAUUUGACUAAAGGAGAGCGAACUGCUUUUGAUAAAGUCCUGCGCAGAGCUAUUGGGAGAAGUUGUUGCAUCAAAAUAUGGUAAUCAUGACUUUUUAAUCCAGAAAUUUUUGAUGGCUUUACUUUAAUACAUCUAGAAAUAUUUGCUGCGUAGCCAUCUGGAACUUUUAUCCCUUUCAAAACUUUGCAAAAUAUCUCUUUUUCCUUCUUUUUCAUUGUAAAGCAAGCUGGAGGCAGAACACUCCUACCAUUUCCCUUCUCAAUGGGAUGCAAUUCUGAUCUUAUACCCAUAUCACGAAGGUCAAGACGUGACUUUUUAUUAUCUUUGGUUUUUUCCAGAUUCAACAAUGUAGCCACAAUGAUCUCACAGAUGUUCUUCUCAAUGUGCAUAACGUCAAGAUUAUGACGUAUCAUAUUGUCUUUCCAAUAGGGCAAAUCAAAGAAAAUACUUAAUUUUUUCCAAUUAAAUGGCAAUUCUGGAUUGUCACUAACUGUCUUCCCAAGUUUAAUACUAUAACCAGCUAACUCAUCUAAAAUUGUAGACCCCAUUAACCUUCUUGGUGGUUUUCCAUACUCUACAGCUCCAUUGAAAGAUUUAGCAUCUUUGCGAAAUGGAUGGUUCAUUUCCAAGUACCUUCGAUGCCCCAUAUAGCAAUAUUUUCCCCAAUUUUGCAGAUGCUGUGAAGAUGUGUAUUUAUGGCAUACAGGACAUGCAAGUUUUCCUUUAGUGCUCCAUCCGGAGAGGAUUGCAUAACCUGGAAAGUCACUGAUGGUCCAUAAAAGUGCUGCACGAAGUUGAAAGUUUUCUUUUCUUGAUGCAUCAUAUGUAUUCACUCCAACAUCCCACAAUUCCUUUAAUUCUGCUAUGAGAGGUUUUAAAUAUAUAUCAAUAUUAUUUCCUGGUGCAAAUGGACCGGGUAUCAACAAUGACAACAUAAAGUUCGAUUGUUUCAUACACAUCCAUGGCGGCAAAUUAUAUGGCAUCAAUAUUACCGGCCAAGUGCUAUGAGUUGAACUCAUAUUUUUGAAUGGGUUAAAUCCAUCUGAUGCUAGGCCCAACCUCACAUUACGAGAAUCUUGAGAAAAUUCUGGAUGAUGAAAGUCAAAUGUUUGCCAAGAUGGAGAAUCAGCAGGGUGCCUCAUGUUACCAUCCUUAGUACGACCUUCUGCAUGCCAUCUCAUAUGGCCUGCAAUUUUGGAGGACAUAAAUAGGCGUUGUAACCUAUGUUUUAGGGGAAAAUGCCAUAAAACCUUAUGCGGUAUUUUUCUUCCCUCACCAGUCGGAUCAUUUUCAGAUUUAACCCAUCUAGAUUCUUUACAUGUUUCACAAUGCUUUCUUCUUGCAUCUACCCCCCAAUACAAAGUGCAGUCAUUCGGACAUGCAUCAUAUUUAUCAUACCCAAGUCCUAAUUCCUUCAUUAACUUUUCAGCUUCAUAAUAAGACUUAGGCAAACCAUCCAUCGCAUCUGGAAAGGCUUCUUUCAACAAAUCAAGUAACAUAUCAAAAAUUUUGUUGCUGAGUUUACCAAGGCAUUUGAGGUGAAGCAGCCGAAUCAUAAAGGAAAGUUUUGAGAAUCUUUUACAUCCAGAGUAAAGCUCUUUGUUAGAAUUAUCAAUUAGAUUGUAAAACUUUUCAGCUUCUACAUUGGGCAAUUGGCUUUUGUAUUCAGUUCCAUCUAUCCUUGUAUAAUCUUGUUCAGGAAUUCCCAUUGCAUCAUGAACCAAACCAUGCAUGUCAUCAAGUUCAUCCCGUACCCCAUGUGAGAUAUCAUAGGAAGUAGGUUUUGGUGCACUAGAGUAAACAAAUUCUCCAUGAGCUGCCCAAUGGGUGUAUCCUUUAACAAAACCAUAAACUUUCAAAUGAAGUUCUGCAUUCUCCCUGGUAAUACAUACACCACACUUACAUUCUUUACAUGGACAUAAUAUCAUCCCAUUUAUACUUGAAUUCUGGAAUGCAUAAUCUAAGAAUUUUUGCAAACCAUCCCAAUAUUCUUUGCUUCGUCUAUUCUUUUGCAUCCAAGUUUUAUCCAUAUUCUGUAACCAUGACAAAUUUAACCUUAAAAUAUACACAUACAUACAUAUACAUAUACAUAUAUAAGCAAAAGAAAGCAAUUAAGAAUAAUAUUAACAAAGUGCAUCACUCAUACAACAAAAAAAUUAUUAGGAUACCAAGAAGCUAUUUGAAAGUCAACGAGAAGGUCACUGUUUGAGAUAAAAACACAAGACAUGAGAACCCCAAAGGUUUUCCGCUACUAGCCAUUUAUCACGUGUCACCAAGUAAAUAGUUUUUUACACAAAUCAAUGUUAAGAAUAAAAUUUGCAGGUCAUAUAAUAUAUCUACUGCAAUGACACUCCAGUUUAAAAAAAAUUAAGAAUCCAAAUGACCAAAAGAUGAAAAUGAACGUACAUUACAGGUUCAAACAAAUGAACAAAUUUAAUAUCAUAUAUGUAACUUAAUCUAAUUCCUAAUAAAAAAGAACACAAGAAUAUAAGUUGGCUUGUACCUCUAGCGAAAUCAAUGUGCAACGUCUUCAAAAUGAUUUCUUUUCACAGAUAGCUAUCUUCAAUUCAAACCUGUGGUGAAACAUUAAUGAACUUUAGUAAAAUUUUAAUAUUUUGAAUAGGUGCUAUACGUACUUCUCUAAUUAUUCAACAAGAAAAAUAACAUCAGCUUGCAAAUUUCUUGAAGAAUAUUUUUAAAAAAUGAGAAAGAACCAAAAGUGCUGAAUGACUUUUCCUAAUUAUUCUGAAACAAACAGAACAGGGCAUGAAAAUAUAAAUGCACCAACAUAUAUAAAUGCAUCAGCUUACUAUGCAAACAGAACAAGGCAUGCACAUUAUUAUGAAGCAAACAGAACAAGGCAUCAGCUUACUUUCUCUAUGUACAUAUAUAAAUGCACCAACAUAUGCACGAAAAUGAUCCAAGGCAUGCACAUUUUCCCCAUGUGAACAGAAAACCACAAAUGCAAAUUAUUCUCAUUGAAUAACAUUUUCAUAAAAAGCAUUGGGAUAGUAGGAAUUUUAUUUAAACUCAAGAAAUAAAAAGAUUUUAUGUUCAUGUUUGAGGGACCAACUUCGCUUUACAAGUUAAAAUUUAGAAACCUCUGUAUUGGUGCCAAUUAUUUUUCUGGUAAACUUAAUUGCCAUAUUACCAUAAUAUGAAUCAAGUUUGGAAACUCAACUACAACUCAAACAAUUGCUAACAGUUAACUUUCUUCCCAAUUCACUAGUUCUGACUUUGCCAAAUUUUACAUGUUUUUCCGAAACCAAAUGACAUGAACAAUACACCAUCUUUGACAUUCUUAGUAGUUACUAGUCAGUAGAAGUAAAGCACCUGGGAUUCUACAUCCUAUAUUUUGUGCCAGACCAGUUGCACUAACGUAGGAAUAGAAACCAAUUCCCAAGUUCCAACUCGGUUGAGAGAAGCAUUAACUACAUAAUCAUAAUGUCCUGAUUCACUUCUCAGACAUCCAUUUUUCCCCUUUUCCCUUCCACUUUUGUACUUGAAUUUAAAAAAAAACUCCACCACUAUUUUUAUACACUUUAUUAUACUUUGUAUCAGCGUAUUAUUACCUGACUGCCAAAGUACUUUGUGGAAUCAAUAGGCUAAAGUAAAUGCAAAAGGUGCUUAGAAAUUCAACAGGAUUGCAAAAGGAAGCCUCAAUUGAUCGAUCGGGCUUAGUCGCCAAAUACCAAAUCACACGGCAGGGUUUGAUGGGUUUGUCUUGCUUAAGAUUAACAAUCGGCCGCGGUGGGAGAAUGGGACUGCCUCCUGAGUCCUGAAUUGGUACUGUCGAUGGCCCCAAGGCCGAAACAAGGAGGCGGACACAUUCCAUAUGGCAUUACAUUAGAUACGAGCAAAAAAAACCAGCAAUCAAUCAACCAGCCAACUGCUUUUAAUAUUGCCCCAUGUUUUUCUCCAUCACAUUAUUAAUACUCAACAUAGAAAUCAGAUUUUUAAAAAAGAAAAAAAAAUCAAACUAGCAACAGGGGAGAAAAUAAUUCAGUGGGCAGGCAAAGCAUAUGAUUUUCAAAAACCCAUAAUACACUUACCUUUUAAUCGCUAAACCAUCCUUCUCUUCUUCUGGUCAAAUUGGAGUGCAUCUAAAAACUCAAGAUAGAAAGAGAGAGGGUAGGGAUUAAAGAAUGAAAAAAAGAGGCAGAAAUGGAAGGUUGAUUUUGACGAUGAUGGAUUUUGUGAAUAGGGUCCAAGGGUUUAGAUUUGGAGAAGAAACUGAGGGAAUUUUUUGGUAUGAAUUGUAAGAGGCGGAGACCUUUCAAAGAGAAAUGUAUUGGGCAAACUUUAGUGAAGCGGCAAAAUUUUCCUUGCCGCGUUUUUUUUUUUCUUUUCCCCGCGCUUUCUCUCCAUUUCAUUUAUACCAGUGACAAAACUACGUCGUUUCUAUCUCAAUUUCCUAUUACUUCUGCUGACAUUCACAAUUAAUGCCCUAAUAGCUAUUCUAAUUUGACAUCUCAAAUUUUUCAAUUUAGAAAAAUAUAAAACAAAGUGCAAUGGUAUUUGGUUCAUGUUAUUUUAUUAUGGCACUCACUUUUUUUUGUCUUCAUAAAACAUGUAAAAUGACACUUACAAAAAAGUGUCCUUAUAGGUAUGUCAUAAUAGGACAUUUUUCUUGUAGUGUUUUCAUCCACGGCUGCUGUCCCUUUUUCUAGCCGUAAAACCCUCAAAAAUCUUCUCUCGGUUGUUUUCAGUUUUCCCUUUCAGCCCACACUUUCUUUGGUCUCUGCCUCUUCCCGUUUUGUCAUCCUUUCCUCACUAAGAAACCCCGUAGCCUGCUUACUAUUGUUUUUCUCCCUAGCCGCCAACUCUGUUUUUCCUUCAAUCCUUUGCCAGAUUUUUUAGCCGUCCCUUCAAAAACCUCUCCUCUUGCGGCUGAUGUUCUCUUUUUCUAUUUAUAUGGGACUCCUCAACCCUAAAACCCAGUCCUUUCUUCUAUAAUUUGCAGCCAAGGGGCUGCCCAGCCUUUCCUUGCAAGCUGCGACAAAACGCAGCUUGCAUGCCGCAAAUCCUCUUUUUUUUUUUUUUAACUUAAUAAUUUAACAAAAAUAAAAGUAAAACUAAAUAAUAACAAAAACAACAAUUUUAAUUACAAAUAUAUCAGAAUAAACAAACUAAAACAACAAAAUUGCCAUUUUCAAUCUUUUUCUUUCAUUUUUCAUUUUUCAUCAUUUUUCACUUUUUUUCUUUUUUUUUUCACUUUCAAGAAAUUCUAUGCUAAAAACUUAAAAAUAGAAAUAAAACUAGAAACUAAAAACUAAAAAUCGAAUAAAACGAACACGACAAAUAAAAAACUAAAAAUAAACAGUAAAUGAAAUUACACCAAAAUUUGGUGUCUACAGCUAUGAUUUUAAAAACUAUACAUAAUCCCCUUAUGGUUUGGAUUAAAGUGUCAAAGUGACGAAAAUAAUCAUUCAUAACGGCGUCACCUAAAAUGUCAAAAUUACCCUUAUGUAAAGUUGAAAUUUAUGUAUUAACCAAGGAGGGUUAUGUGUAUAUUUUGAAAAUCAUAAUGGAAUUAUAUGGUAAAAUAUAAAAAUCAGACGGGGUUAAUGUGUCAUGUAUUUAUAAGGGUAAUUUCAACAUUUUUAAAAGUUCCAUUACGAGUAACUAUUUCCGUUACUUUGACACUUUAAUUCAAACUACAAGGAGGUUAUGUAUAGCUUUUGAAGUCAUAGGGGGGUUAUGUUCAAAAGGGUAAACCAUAGUGGGGUAAAAUGUAAUUUACCCUUAAAUUUUUUUAGGUUAGAUAAUCAUAGCGGUUUUGCUUAAUGUAUGUAGCUCUCGACGUAUCAAAAUGAGGUCAACGAAAUGGAGGGUCAGUCUAAAGAAGAGUAUAUUGGAUCAUUGAGAAGAUAUGUGUACAAACGCAAUUGGCAAUAGGAUCACAAAUUUCCUUUAAAUGUUAGAGCUCUUUUUGAUUUUCUUCCUAUAUUAAAGAAUUUACUAGGUUCUCCAAUGAAAAUGUCAAACCUUCAUCGUUGAAACUGAAUCUUCAGCCAUGAAUUCUUUUUGUUUUCAUCAUUAAAUUUUCAGGAUUAUAUCCUUUAGAACAUGAUCAUAAGGCACCAUAGGGUAUUCUUAAAGAUUCUAAUGCAAAGCAAUAACAAAGAUUUCCUUCUCUUUCUUUUCCUCCUCCAAUCCUCUCUCUCUCUCUCAUCCACAGCAGGAAAGCAUAUAUUAUGGCCUACUACUUAGUAGUGUAGUGGGGAUUUUUAGGUUGGUCAUCGCUUAAGUUAGAAUAUGGAGCAAGAGAAUAUUAGUUCCUUUUCAUUCUCGAAAAACCCUGGUUCACAAAAACUGAUAACAUAAACGAGGAUUUACAGGAGUAGCUCUAUUGUGACCGGUUUCUUGCAAAAACAAAGAUCAGCAACCAUCAUAAUGGUCGCUUCUUACUGAUGCUGCAGGCAUCAUUGUAAAUAUGUUCAAAAAGUGGCCCUUAAACUUGAUGAAUUUUUUAAAGCAAAGCAACGCGGAUUUGGUCAUUAAUAAAUGGGUAGACGUUGCUUUCCUUGAGGGUUCCUUUGAAUUAAUCAAAAGAAGAUUAAGAAAUGUAAAUCAGUUUGACAGAAUGGUGAACACGUAUGUAUUGCAAACACAAGUAGUUGGACAGUUUAUUGGCAUUUUUUACAACGAAAAUUAUUGGAAAGUUCCAAUCCAAUUAAAAUGUGACAGACUUUACGGGAUUUUAUGGUAAAUUACAUCUAAUCACCUUGGAUUUUUAUAUUAAUAUAUGAUCUCCUUUACAUUUCAAAAUAUCGGCAUAAACCCCUAUUGUUUCAUGUAAUAUGAAAAAUAGACGGAAAACAUCAAUGGUUACAGUGAUUGAACUAGAUGUGCUCCAAAAAUGCAUGUGGUGAAUUAAUAAUAUCCACUUAAUGCUCCUACAAUUUAUAAAUAUCCACUUUAACCCUUUAUAGAUUUUGUAUUUAUCCACAUAAUUCUUCUAUAACUUUAUACAAGGUGGUGUAAUUGUUGUUCGAUUUAAUAUUUAAGUAAGGGCAAUAAUAGUAGUUCAACUAUUAGUGUAACAUAAGAUAUUUUUUUGUAAAAUUUCUAUUUUAUAUGAAACCAUAGACGGUUUAUAUGAAUAUUGAAAAUAUUAGGGUUGUCAUGUGACAAUCAAUGAAUCUAUAGGGGAUUAUGUGUAUAAUUUAUCCUUUUAACUAUAUAUAGAGAACUUUUUCUUAAAAGUAUUGAACUAGUAGAUAGAGAUUCAAUUUGGGCCCACUUUACUCAAUAGAGCAUUAGUCAAAUUACAAUUAUCCUCCACGAUGACGUUGUUUGAUAUUUGUUAGCAUCCUGAAUUUGCAAUCCCGUCAAAAUCCAUUAUAUAUAUAUUUUUUGUCAAACGGUCAAAAUCUAUUACUGGCGUAUUGAAUCUUGGUUACAGACCAGUCAGCUGAUGGUUCAGGUCCAGGCGAGUUGGUUGUAAGACUUGCCAAGGUCAAGUUUUCCCAGGCCAUAAGUUUUCCUGGCUUAUACAACUUUCAUGAUCCCUCAAACAAUACAUAAUUUGGCUCCUAAUCUACCAAUCUAGUUUGUAGGUUGUUAGCCUUUUACUCUUUUGAUGCCUUCCUUUGAAAUGAUCUCCAGAAAUUUGUUGUUCCACUUCAAAUGUUACAUGCUUUGUUUGCUUAGCUUCCAUACCAUUGAAUAUUGUUGUUCCACUUCCAGCGACACAAGCCCCUGGAACUAUCUUGACUCUUACUGUGGAAAUAUUACAUACAAUUCCGGCAGCAUUUACAGAACCAAUCUGAAUUUCUUGCUUGACAAUCUGUCUUCGCAUGCAUCUCGGACAGACAACAAUGGCUUCUAUAAUUUCAGUACUGGCGAUGACCCUUCAAACAAGGUCUAUGGCCUCUUUCUCUGUCGAGGUGAUGUCAACACUGAUGUUUGCAAAGAAUGCGUCGCAGAUGCCCACACACGACUACUUCAUGAGUGCCCGAAUCAAACAGCUGCUAUUGUUUGGUAUGACGAGUGCUUGUUACGUUUUUCUGACCAGACGAUCUUCUCCAGGGCUGAUUUGGGAGAGAAUUUGACUAGGCGCAAUCCAUUCGAUGUCCCUGGACCUGACUGGGACAAAUUCAAAAUGGUAUUGAUCAAUUUGUUGCAUAACGCUGCGGAUAAGGCUGCAAAUCAUACCAUGGGCAAAAAGUUUGCUGUCGAAGAAGGCAAUUAUUCCACUGAUCAAAAGAGAUUGUAUACCCUUACGCAGUGCACACCAGAUCUAUCCCCUUAUGACUGCAAAAGUUGCCUCACGGAGGCUAUAAUAGAUGUACCCGCGUGCUGUUCCAACAAGCAGGGAGGGAGAGUAAUUUAUCCAAGCUGUAACCUGAGGUAUGAGGUCUCCAGCUUCUAUGAUACUGUAUCCUCUGCAUCGCCAAACUCUCCUGGCGGUCCUCCUCCUAUAUCCACUGAAGGUAAGUUCUGCAGCCUUGCUAUGGCCGUCUCUUCUUGGAAUUGGUGUUGAAUACAAUCUUAAUUCUUACAAUUUCUUGUUUGUAGUACUAAAUUCACAUGCCUUCAUUUUAAAUUCAUACCUUUAUUAUUGGAAUUAAUAUUAUUGAAGUUGGUAGAAUAUGUAAAUAUAGGAUGAGGGGUGUGAAUUCACUUUCAAACGAAAAUAUGUACCUAUAGAAGACCACCACGUAACUUAUUGAAUUUUCUAAGUCAAAUUUUAGUUGAAUACGCAACAGUAAGAUUUCAGCAUUAGCAGAUCACAUGCAAAUUUGGAUCCAUCAUUUGUCAUUUAUGGACAGUAAAUUUAGUCUUUUUGCAAGCAUUAGGACUGUAAUAACUAUUGAAUAUAUGUUCAACUGUUGAAGUAGUAUUGUUAUGGUCAUUGCGGAAUCCCUUUAACCAUGAUGGCCUGACGUCCGAAAAUGGGUUGGGCACUUUUGCAUUACGUUUUUAUUUAGUUAUCUAUCCAUUUAUCUAUGAUAUGGUUUUUUAAAACUCAUAUACUUAUGUUAUAAUUUUAUUUUGAUUGGUUGAUCAGCAUACAUGAAUAUAAAGUGCAUUUGAGAAAGUUUUUGCAUUCAAUUUGCUAGAAACAUUUAUAUAGUGUAAAAGGGUUUAAGUUCAUGGAAAAUUUUGCAAUGAUUAAUCAAAUGGAAAAAGUUUGGUAUUUUUAAUUUAACUUUUGAGUUUAACUAAAAUAGUACAUGAGUUAUAUUAUGAAUGGUAUUGAUAACAAAAUUGAUGUAAAAAAAUGAAAUUACUAUGGCAUAAUGCAAAGAAGAAUCCAUUUUAGUUUUUCCACUUUAAGACAAAGACAUUGAAGAAGAUCGAUGAUGUAUUGUAUGCAUGUAAAAGAUUUUCCGUUAUAGUGCAAUAUAAUUUGUUUGCUAGUUUGAAAUAUGAUAUUAAAUAAUUAAAUUAAUGUUACUUCUUUGUGGUUUAAUGUUUUGCCUCUUAACCCCUUGUGGUUUCAAAAUCGCAAUUUUACCUUAGUUGUGCUUUGGCAACGUGAAGCCAUUUGAUCUUUCUUUGUUUUGUGACAAAACUAGAUGUCAAAAUUUUGAAUACAAUUAUUAAGAACUAAAGUAAGAUGAAUUUCAUAUUUUAAGAAAUAAAGUGCUUAACUUUGAAAUUUAAUGAUUAAAGUGGUAGUAUGUCUAUAGUUCAAGAGCCCAAAGUAGAAAAUAGCUGAGAAAAAAAUAUACAAGACAAAUAUUAGCAUUGAAAUCAACCAAUACCAUAUUUACCCUCUUUGAAGUUAAUUUAGCCUAAAAAGGAAAAAUCAGUGAUCCACUUUCAAAGAAAGUUCAAGGGGCCAGGAUAAUAGGAUAAUUUCACAUGCACAAGAGAUCAUGAGGUAACGCACUAUAUGCUUAGUGGCUAAGGUUGAGACCUUAGGAUUUAGAGAUCUUAAAUUCAAAUUUCCUUUCUCCUCCACUUUUAAAUCCUAUCAUUGUUUUCUUGCCAAAUAAAUUUUUUUUACAUUUGUUUCACAAUGGAUUUUUUGUUUUACUUUUUAUUUCAUCCCCUAUAGUUAUUGAACAUGGCAUGACCCUAGCAGUUGAAACAAUCAGCCCAAUGAAAUAGGCUAUAAACGAGUUGAGUAGAGUCGACUUUGGUUUAAUCGAUUCAAACUUGACUUAGUUUUAUCAAGCUCAAACUCGAGCUUGAACUCAACAAGCUCUCAAUGUAACAACUCGAGCUCGAACUUGACUCAAAUUUGAAUCGAGUUUGAAUUCAAACUCGAGUUUAAAAAAAUUAUUUUAAUUUUUAAAAAGGAACUAAAAUAAUAAUUUUCUUAACAAAUAAUAAAAUAUUAGGAAUGUAUACGUAAUUUUACUAUUAAAAUAAAAAAUAAUAUAUAUAUAUAUAUAUAAUUAAGUCGGCUUAUGAACUAAUAAGCUGAAUAUCUUUGAAUUCGAGUUCGACUUGAUCAGGUUGAGCUCGACUCGAGUUCGAUAUUGGUCGAGUUCGAGUUGAGCUUUGGAUUGAAUUGCUCGUAGGUGAUUCAAUUCAUUUGUAAUCCUACCAAUAACUCGACCAUCCGGCCGAAAGGAUUUCCAGUUUGAUUGGAGAAUGAAUUGGUCCAACCAAACCUGUUUGACAUGGUGGUUCAAUUGGAGCCCGUCCGGUUUUCCAGUUGACUAGGUUCUUUUUUCUAAUACAAUUGUGGAUCAUUGUUUUUUAAAUAAAGUCUAAUAUAUUUUUUACUAGAUUUGUAUGUUGGAUUUUCAUUUAAAUGUGUAUAAAAUUUUACUACUUGCUUAGUUUUUACUUGAUAAUUAAAUGUUUUAUUACAUAAACUUGUUUACUUUUUUGUUAUACAAUUAAUUCUUUUACCUGUUAUACAAUUAAUUCUUUUACCUUUCAAACUUACAAUAUUUGAGUUGUUAAAAAUUAUUUUAUUUUUGAAAGAUAAAAUAAUAAAAAUGAUGCUAUAUCUUUGAAAUAAGUGAUACAAUUUUGUUCUAUAUUUGAAUGUGUUAUUUAUUCAAGUGCAAGUACAGUAAAAUGAAAUUGAAUCUUCUAUUAAUAUUUGUAUGUUCAUUAUAUAUCUUUCAAAGUAUAAUACUUAGUAUUUAAAAGUACUUUAUUACUAUUUUAUAUUUGUAAAUAUUAAUUUAGUACCCACUAGUUUAACCAAUCACCACUAGUUCAACCAAUGACUGAUUGGUUAAACAAGUCACCCAUUGCCAUGGUCCCUGUGCUGGAUUUCUUGUCCGAUUGAGUUUAAUAACUAUGUAUAUUGCCAUGUAUUCUUCAUGUAGGGUCAUAAAAAAUCAAAAUGAAAUAAUGAAAACAAAUACAUGACAAAAGAACAAAAAACACAGCAGAGGAAACACUUCGUUGGAUGAUUUCCCAUCUCAGAUCCGUGGUCUUCUGAAAGCGAAGAAAACUUAUGCUAUCCAAUUUCACAGGACCACAGAUGCGUGGUGCGAAAUCAUCCAGCGAAUAAGAUAUAAGGAUUUGCACUUCGACACAAGGCUACAAGUGCAUAGGCUAAAGAAUUUUUGGUGAUUUGUCUCUCUUCUUAAUUUGGUAAAUAAUUUUCUUCAACCCUUUUUCAUCUAUAGCAAUUCUUUGGCCUAAAAAAGCAAUCUCAUUUGUGUGGUUUUAUUUCCAAAAUAUUUGGCAUUGUUGUCAUUUCUUAAUAAUCACUGGGUUUGGACAGCCUCGCAUACAAUGGGUAGUUGUAAUUUGGUCCAAACACAGUUAAGCUUGUAUAUGUUCAAACCUCAGCGGAGUUUCUUAAUAUUAAUCCAUAAUAUUGAAAAUUGAUGAUGAAAAUCUCUCUUCAUUUACCAUCAACAUGAAGCAUGUGAGACCAAAUGGUAGUGAAAAACUUUUAAAGAAUAUUUGAAAAAAAAAUUCUUUCAAAUAAUGUGUUUUUGCAUAGCUUUUUGGGUUAGGCCCUUCUCCAUUAAUUGAAGAAAAUUUGUUCUCCAUUACACCUAAGUAAACAUGGUUAUAAUACUAUGUUUGAAAUAAAUGGUCAUCCAAAUUAUAUUUCUGGUGUUGUUUAAAGUAUAUCAAAAAAUUCAAAUUAAAUUGAUUAAAUUUUACUAUUGGAUCAAACUUCACAUUUUUUAUCAUAAUUUUGGCCCAUAUUGCACCAUCAAAGUGUUUUGUACAGAUUGAAUGACAAAAAAUUCAUAAAUGAGAAUGAAUUUUAAGUAUGUUGAUCUACUUGUGGAAGUAAAAUUAUUGACAUAAAUAGAUUGUUAUGAAAAAUUUAGGCACAUAAAUGGUGAGAAAGUAAUAGAGAGGAUCUCAACUCUAGCUUUUUGUCUAUGUAAGGCUGUCUCAGAGUGACUCUGCCCCGAAGUUUAAUAAACUUGAUCUCCUAUGAUCAGCUGACUUUCGAAGCUAAAUUAAACUAACUUUCAUCCAGGCAAAGGGCGAAGAGCAGCUUUUUCAAUUGCUGUCCCAUUAAUUGGGGUUGCUGUUGCGCUAUUUGUCAUGGCUUUAGUUUUCCUGAAAAGAAGAUUGCGGAAGAGUUAUGUUGCAAUGGCACCGGAAACAAGUGGUAAAGUUUAUUGAUUGCAAUUACAGGAAACCUCAGAGGUUUUUGAACUAAUAAAUUGAGUGAAGUUGCUUAUCCCUGGUGCAGAUGGAGUUGCUGAAAUCUUAACAGCCGAAUCCUUACAGUAUAGCUUAACUGAAAUUCAAAUUGCCACAAAUAACUUCUCUGUGGAUAACAAAAUUGGCGAAGGUGGAUUUGGUCGUGUAUACAAGGUCUUUGCAUGAAAUAUUUUGCUUUUGUGAAUUUGAAUAUCUACACAUUUAAUAUUUCAAUUAAAUUCAAGUAUGCAUGUUUACUCAGGGUGUACUUGGUAAUGGACAAGAAGUAGCUGUUAAAAGGCUGUCAAGGAGCUCAGUGCAAGGUGCAGAAGAAUUUAAAAAUGAAAUUGUAGUAGUUGCAAAGCUUCAACACAGAAAUCUAGUUCGGCUAUUGGGAUUUUGCCUGGAAGGAGAAGAAAAGAUACUCAUCUAUGAAUUUGUUGCCAACAAAAGCCUUGACUACUUUCUCUUUGGUGGGUUCAAUCUAGACAUAUUUAUAGUAAUUUUUUGUUGUUCCAUGUGAUCUUGUUCUAUUUUACUUGACUUGCCAUUUUAUGGAAAUCGCCUCUAGAAAAAUGUUUAAUUGGUGUGAAUUCUAGUUUAGACCCUUAAACCACAGACGCACUCAAACUUUAGUUCUUAAACUUUAAUUUUGGAUACUUCACCUCCUAAUGCAUCGCAUUUGUCACAAUCACUCACUCAAUUGUCAAAACUAAUGGGAUAAUGGCAAGUAAUGAUCAAAGUGGGAUGAUUUCAUUAAUAAUUAUACUGAAGUGGGACAAUUUAAAACCUUUAGGGUGAAGUGUCCACAAUAAAAAUUUAAGAACUAAACUGAGAGUGCAUUUAUAUUUUAAAAGCUAAAGAUGUAAUUUACCUAUUUGAUUAUGCUUUCUGGAAUUAUUGAUUUAAUAAUUAUCAAUGCUAGCACAAUAUAUUGUGUUUAAAUUUGUGUAGAUCCAGAAAAUAAACUAUCAUUGAACUGGUCAAGACGUUACAAUAUCAUUGGAGGUAUAGCAAAAGGACUUCUUUAUCUGCAUGAGGAUUCUCGUCUAAGAAUUGUUCAUCGCGAUCUCAAAGUAAGUAAUAUAUUAUUGGAUGGAAAUAUGAGUCCAAAGAUAGCAGAUUUUGGCAUGGCAAAGAUUUGUGGAGUUGAUCAAUAUGAAGGAAACACAAAUAGAAUUGCUGGGACAGUGUAAGUUUUGCUCCCACACUAUCUUUUCAUGGAAAAUUAUGGAAAAUUUGUUUGCAUCAUUCGGAUUAUCUUUGUACUGAUUAUAACAAUCGUUGUGGCUUGUAGUGGUUAUAUGGCUCCUGAAUACACAAGGUGGGGUCAGUUCUCACUAAAGUCAGACGUGUUUAGUUUUGGGGUUGUAAUUUUGGAAAUUGUCACGGGCAAGAAGAGCAGUGACUUCCAUCAAUCUAGAGAUUCCGAAGACCUUCUAAGCUAUGUAAGUACAAAUUGCAAAACCUUUGCUGUAGUUGUUACUUUUUUUUUUUAUGAAUAAAUCUCAUAUAUCAGACAGUGUAUAUACUAUCACCGUUAGAUUCAUAACAUGUAUGCAAAAUUUAAAUUUAAAAUUCAAAUUUUGCAUAAUUAUUGUUCAUCCAAUACUGACAACAGUGUAUACACUGUCAAUGGAAGAAAGAUUAAUCAAUCUUUUUAUAUGAAUAAACUUGAAAUAGAGAGUAUUGACAAUUGCCUAUUGUGAAUAUUGACAUUUACCUGUAUAUCUAUUUAAGCUAAUUGAAGUUUUUAAGAAUGUACACCUCAUGAGUGGGAUUAUUUCGAACAGGCUUGGAACCAUUGGAGACGCGGCCAAACUUUAGCUCUUUUGGAUUCAAGCAUUGGAGAUUCUUAUGCCAGAAAUGAAGUCAUUCAAUGCAUCCAAGUUGGCUUACUAUGUGUUGAAGAAGAUGCCAGUAAAAGACCCACAAUGGCUUCCGCGGUCUGCAUGCUCAAUCCUGGUUCUGUUUCCCUCCCAACUCCACAUCGUCCGGCAGUUUUCCGGAGCAAUGGAUCGGAGAGCAGGGUAGACGAGCUGGAAGUUGAUCAAUCCAACACUCAAAGAAUUUCAGCUCCAAGCUCUGUCAAUGAUGCAUCAAUUACUGAACCAUAUCCCAGAUGAAGGAAGAAAUAGGCCAAUUCUGGAAGAAAAUAUCAAGUUCAUCAUCAGCAUUAUGUUGUAGAUUUUGAAGCAUGAUUCAUUAACCAGGAAGGUAUCUAAAUUUGCCCACUAUUGUUGGAAAUUAGGGGAUCGCUUCAAUGUUUGCUUCUUCACACUAAUUGACUUCUUCCACCAUAGGGGUAUAAGGAUGUGCUUGAAAGAAAAUGCAAGUUGUUGUCGCUCUUUAGAUAUUUUUUAAAAAUAGAAGAGCAAUUUUAUUUAUGAACAUUAAUCCCCAGCUGAUCGAACAAACAGUAUGUCUUGAACUUUUACCAUUUGUACAUAGCAAAGUUGGCUUCCAAACUGAGUCUAUCAAUUAUAUCAUUGUAUACGUUUGGUAACAAAACCAAUAUAAAGGCUGUCUUGGUUCACAAUUCUUGGAGUGUGUUAUUAGUUAAAAAGAGUUUAAAUUAUAUCAGAUUCAUCCUGAUUUGGAACUUUUUCAGCAUUCAAUGAUUUAUUAUCACCUAAGCUUUCUUAAGUAUUCUAUUGUAAUAACAUUGUACUUGCAUUCAUACAAUCUUCGUAUUUGUUAUUCCUUCUUUUUUUUUUUUUUGGUUCAAAGUAUUUACCCAAUUUUGUCAUUUAAUUUUCUCUUUUCUUUAUUCUUUUCCUUAUUCAUUUAAUGUAACUUAGCCAAUCUUUUUCCCUUUUCUUCAAGCAAAGAAAAAACCAUUCAUAUAAUUGUGUAAAUCUGAUGGCUAUCCCAACUAUCAAUGAUUACGCAAAAAAAGAAAAAGGAUAGUUGAUGCAUUUAUACAAUCUUCACAUUUAGCAUAUGAACUUUUUCAAGUGAAUAACUACAUCUGUGAAUUAUUCUGCUACAUAAAUAAUCACAAAUAACCUAGAAAUCUUGAGAAUUUAAAGGUAUAUAAAAUUCUAUGAAAUCCCCAAAUGCAUAGAUGAAAUUUAGAGUAUGGAAAUUGAUAUUAAAAAAUACAAAAUUAUUAACCCAAAAUUAUACAAGUGAAUAUCUUAGCAAGUGUAUGAGAGAUAAUGGCAGAUCAACAAAAUAUUUCUUAUUCUUCAUCUUGGAUUUUUCUUUCCUUCAUUUCAUUCUUUCUUUUUCUGGGUAAGGAAAAGCCAGGGAAUUGUGAUCUGUGAUGCUGUGAUUGACAGGAAAAACUAUUGGCACUUUAAGGAGGACUCUGUAUUUCAUCAUUUUUUUAAAACUUUUUAACUCAAAUUGGUGUCCAGAUAUCAAAGGUGAUGGUGUAUUAGUGUAACAGUAGAACACUUAAAAGGAAGUUUAGGUCGCAAGACAUAAUUGGGUGCCUAAAAAGUCUCAAAUCAUGAUGAUCCUGAUGUGCACCCUUAGUUAAGAUAUGUAAAUGUUUUAUCCGUAUCAAAUUAGACAUCAUCUAAUAAAAUUAGAUUAGAUUAGUUACUGAUUUAAAUGUUGUCUUAUCUUUUGGGUUUAUAUUUUGUGCCCUUAAAGCACCAUAAGGAGUGGGUCUCUUUUUUUUUUUUUUUCAAAAGGGUAAUUUGUUUGCUAAUGUGCUGUAUUUCAGGGUGGUAAUUUUAAAGGUUUAAUGGUGGGCCAAUUUCCUUUUUCUAUAUGCUUAUUUGGUGCUUUAAGCAUCAAAUAAAAAAAAUCUUGAUGUAAAGAUAAAUGAAACAAAAAUAAUAAAUAUUUCCCCUGUUUUUUGUCUUCCUUGUCAUAGAGCAAGUGUUCUAGGGUCUUUAUUUUGGGCAAAAAACCGCGGUGGUCCUCAAACUUUCAACUUUGUGCACUUUUAGUCCUCCAACUAAUAAGUGCGUAAAUGUAGUCCUUUAAUUAAUAAAAAUAUGUAGUUGUAAUCUUUCCGUCUAAUUUAGCCGUUAAGAUGGACGGGAUGAUACAAAAAAUAAAGGGAUAAUUUUAGAAACCUCCCUUGAGGUUUUUAACAAUUUCAUUUAGCUCCCUUGAGAUUUUAAAAAUUAUACAUACCUCCUUAUCAUUUAAAAUGACAAUACUACGCUUAAAUAUUUUAAUGAAAUUUCCUUGUUUGGUAUGUUAAUACUUAGAAUGAAUUUUAAAAUUAUUUUUUCAUUCUUUUCCGUCUUAUUCCUUUUUUUAAAAAAUUUUUUGCCAAUAAAGUGAUAGAACUACCACUAUUACCUCUAGUUUCUAUUGUAACCAAAUGUCCGACAAGUAAUUUUUUUUUUUUAUGAGUUAACUUUAUAUACAAUACAAUAUUUUUGCUAAUCUUUGUUUUCUAUUUUUUGGUAUUAAAAUUAACAAAAAAUCAAAAGAAAAUGGUCCAAAAUCACUAUUAAAUUAUGAUAAUCCAACUAUUCAAAAAAUUCAUAAAUUCUAAAUAAAUUAUUUCAACAUUUUCUUUUUUAUCUUAUAAAUUUAAAUCCAUAAUAAAAUAUGAUAAGUGACUAAUUUACGUAAUAAUUGUAUGAUAUUUUAUAUUAUUUUUAGUCACUUUAGUUAUAUUAUUGGAAGAAAAUGAAUCAUUUUGGCUAUAAUUGGUGAAAAAUGCUUUUAAGUAAUUAAAUGAGGUUUUUAUCACUUUUUAGUGGGAUUUUGUGUAUUUUGACAGUUUUGACACAUUUUCGUAUUUCGGCUAUAACUUGAGUUACAGUGAUCGGAUUGAGAUGAUUCUUGAACCAAUUUGAAGAUAAGAGAUAGAUCUACAACUUUGGUGAAGACAUCUAAAUCCAGUUUGAAGGUUUUCAAAGUCAAAAAGCCGAAUUACAGUAGCAAAUUUCUACUGGUCGAAGCUGAAACAGGGCAAUGAGCAGGCAAGGGUAUUUUGGUCAUUUAUCAGCCUACACAGAUCCAAAUGAGGUGAUUCUUGAUGCAUUGGAAAUCUAACUCAAGGGGCUACAAUUUUCAUGUUUUGGUCAAGAGCUAAAUCACCUUUUAUCAUCAAGAAAAGUUCAGUGGAAGUUGAUGCAAAAUCGGAGCAGAGCUGGAAAUUGAACUAGAAGUGACCAAAUGGUCACUGUAGAAAUCCGACCGGAAUUUGGCCGGAUUUCUGGCCGGAUUGUGGUCAGAAAAGGCUACUUUGUACGCGUAAAACUCAAUUUCACCUCCACCAACUCACAUGUGAUGCUAGACAUGUGAGAAAUAUUCCCAGCUGUAAAAGGGAAGUGUAGACCUCAAGUUUUGACCAAUCUUUCAUCUUUAUAUAGUCAAAUUCAUUGCAAAACAAAAGGAGAUGGAGAGACAUACGGGAGAAGCUUGAAGUUGCAGAAAUGUAGCUCUUUCAUCUUCCUAGUGUUAGUUUAGCUUAGUAUAGAGUAGGAUAGUUCAUCCAUUCUUGUUAUUAGCUAGAUAAAGAAGAAGAUAGAGGAUGAAGAAGGCAAGGAAGAAAGCUCAUGUGACAAGGGUUGUAUUCCUUCCAAACUCUUUAUCUUUUGUACUUGAUUCAAAGUUUGGUUAAUAUACAAGUUCUGGAUUUUGUGUUCAUUACGUGUCUUUAAAGUUUAUACCUUGGGUUUGGUUGAACUUUCUAUGAUUGUUAGUGUUUAUUAUUUGGUUAUUUGAUUGCUAUGAUUUGAGCAAAUUAUUUAACACUUUGGCUCUUUAAAUCAUGAUUAAUCUAGUACCAUUGAUUGUGAUUCUCUAAGGUGUUGUUUCUGCAAUGAAAAUUGAGAUUCAACACUAGUUCAAGAAGUGCUAAACAUAGGGAGUACACUCACGAAAGUAGAGGUGCGCCUAUGUGGUUUUUAGUGAUUCAUUUCAUGUAAUUUCAUUGAAGAAAUGAACUUGUAGCUAAUUUCAUAACCAUGAAAAUAGGUAUGGAUUAGUUAUGAGUAUAGUUGAUUCACUAUGAAAGUAGGUUUCACAUGUUUAAGGAAAUUACACCAGAAUUAGCCCAGAUAUUAGUGCUCAAUGAUCCAAAAAUGGCAAUUGCAUGAGUAGUUGGGGAUACCACAACCUAAGGAGUUUUUAUUUGUCAUUUUGUAUAAUUUCAGUAGGUUAAAUUUGUUAUAAUUCAUUGAUAGUCUAAAUAAUAGAGAAACUUUAGUAAUACAGGUAAUUGUUCACUCUUCCCUGUGAAAUCGACCCGAUAUAUACCCUAAACUACUAGUUGACAUGUAUACUUGCAGUGAACGGGUGUAAUUCGGUUUUUUAACUUGUGUGUAUGUAAAAUACCCGUCAAGUUUUUGGCGCCUUUGCCGGGGAAUGAUUUGCCAAUAUCGGUGUGAAGAACAACUUUAUUAGUUUAGACAUAUCAUUAGUUAUAGUGUGAAUGUUAUUUUCUGUUAUUUUUGUGUUUUAUGUGUGUAUGUGUUUCAUUACUUAUUUUUCUUACUAAUUUUGCUUUUGAGGUUGUUUAAAAAUAAUUUUAGGUGAUGAAAAGGAUAGGUCAAUUUGGAGAACAAUGCUUGAGAAAUGGAAGUUUGGCAAUAGAUGGUUACCAAGUACAAAACUCCUUCAAUAGAGGUAACCAAGAAUUUACUGAAUGUAUGUCUUUUGAAGAUGGUUUAAGGUGCUUAAAGGCUAAAUUUGAUGUUAUAAUGCUACAAGUUCAAUUGGACACAAUUAUGCAUAAAAUUGAGCAAGGGAGGAAUGUUAAUGCUUUUAAUUCUUAUCAUGUGAUUUGCGACUUGUGUGAAGGUUAUCAUGCUACUAAUACAUGUAUGCAAGUACAAAAUGUGGAUUAUUAUGAUGAAUUAGAGCAUUACAAUCGCUGUUUUGAUCGAUAUAGUACUAAUUGGAGCAAUUCUCCUGCUUAUGGUUGGAAUAAUCAAUGUAUUUAUAGUGAUAAUUCAUAUUUUUAUGAUUACCAACCUGAAAGUGUCCAAUAUGAAUCAAAACCAUCUUGGGAGUUGGCAAUAGAGAAGUUAGCUAAUACACCUCUACCUUGGGAGUUAGAAAGUGAACCGUUAGCAAUGAUUCUAAUGCAUCUUGGGAGCUAGCUGUAGAAAAUUUUUCUAAUCAAUUUGAUUUAGCAAUAGAAAAGCUAACAAAUGCAACUUCCGAUCGUUUUGAUAGGAUUGAGGAAACAAUAGAUGAAUUAACUUCUCACUUUGGUCGAAUACAUGAGUAAUUGAGUGCAUUGUGUGAAGUUAUUUCCUCUAAUAAUGUGCAAAAUGAUCCUAGCAUGAAUGGUGGAAAUGUUAUAUGUGAAAAUGGGUUGUAUUUUGAUCAAAAUGAUGAUUCUAACUUGUGUUUCAAUGAGGAAAUGUCCAUUUCACAUAAUAAUAUCUUUGGAGCUAACUUUGAAUCUCAAGAGAUGAGUUUUAAUGACUCAUUUUUCACCCCUCUUGAGGAGUGCAUUGAAAGUAUAGAUUCUAAGGGUAUUGCUGCCCAAUAUACUCUCAUGGCAUUUCAUUUGGUGAAUUCUCAAGUGGUACAUAUUCAAGGUAAUAUCUAUGAAACACUUGGGAUAGGUAAGUCAAUUCCAUUUCUCACAUCAUUAGAUUAUGUGACUUUUGCUAUAAAGUCAGCAUUUAAUGAUCCACCAAGACCAAAAAUGGUGGAUUAUUCGCUAACAAAGCCUCCUUGAAAAAAGUGAGGUGAAAUAGUCAAGCUAUUGAUUUUAAAGAAACGCUUAUUGGGAGGCAACCCAAUGUUUUUUUAAGUUCAUGUUACUUUGGAGUGAUUUUAUGUUUAAAGUAUGAGUUUGAGUUAUUUUGUUAUUUUUCAUUUGUAGGUUUUGGAAAAAGAUGCAAAAGUGACCAAAUGAGGUGAAAAAGGCGAAAUUUGAUCAAAGAUCUCAACACCUCAAAUUCAGUAAUUGUGGUUUUUGAUGUAUUAAAGAGCUUUAGAAUGCAUGUUUAGAUCAUUUUACAUGUGCGUGAACGAUUUAUUUUGACAUAGAAAUGAUCUAGGGUGUAUUUUGGAGAAUUGGGGUCAAACUGAAAAUUGCAAAAAUUCUGCAAUAAGUGCAGAUUCAAUAGAUCCGAGGCCUCAGAUCCACUUCUGCAAUCAGAAUUUUAUUUUUCAACUCACUGGCCAGAAUCCAGCCGACAAUCUGGCCAGAUAUCCGGCCAAAAUGUGUCCGGAUUCUGGCGAUAUUUCAGCUUCAAGAGUGAACGGAUUCCUCACAAUUCCCCUUCCUUUCUCCUUCAACCUACACACACUACUCACUAAAACACCACUUUUCACCAUUUAAUCUUCAAAUAACCUUUCACCAAAUCACUUCCUCCCAUCCUUUAGAGUGAAUUUCAUAGUUCAUAUUUUUUCAAAAACAACUCUAAAAUUGUAAGGCCCAAAAACAACCUAAGAGGGGGGUGAAUUAGGUUGAUUAAAAAUACGUUAUUGAGUUUAUGCACUUUUUCUUUAAUAAAAAUUUACCUUCUUUUCUAGUAGUGAUCAACCAAGUAAAUUUAAAGACGAGAGCAAUGUUGAUCAGAAAUAAGAGUGUAUAUAAGCAAUGAGAAUUUUAUUAAACAAAAGAAAUAAGAUAGAGUAUCAAACCGAUUGUCUACAAAGCUUUCCUCAAACUUAAAGACCAAUCACAAAGACGAGCACCUUCUCUUUGAUGAACAAUAAUCAACUCAAUGUACAAUGGAGGGAUCACUUCUUCCUUGCCCCAAGCCUCACUUAGUCAAGUUAGGAAGUUUUACUAUCACUCAGAUAACGCUCAACAAAGUUACACUAUUGAAAAUUUCAAAUACAAGAGAAGUGCUUACAAGAACUUCACACUACUUGGAGAACAAAUCUUGCUUAGGAGACUAUUUUCUAGCUAAAAUAUCUUUUGAGAUCUUGUAAACGAAGUGUGCAAAAGUUCCUCCCUGGUUCAGAAUCGUUUGUAUUUAAAGGGGACCAAAAUGGACUUCAUUAAUGCUUCCAACGGAUAGAAGGCAGAUGAAGAGUCAGCUAGCCGUUGGGGCUGUCGGACGUCCGAUAGCUUAAUCAUCGUCCGAUCCCAUCGUCCGAAAAUCAGCCAAUUUUUUGUUCGGACGUCCGAUGGGAUUUUAUCGUCCGACAGCUUCUACGUCCGAACGUCAUCAGAGAGUCAUCAAAACUUUGCGAAAUUUUUCGGACGUCCGACGCUAUCGAUGUGCUUCCGAAGCAUGCGUCCGAUCCUCCCCGACGUCCGAUGCUUCCUCACGAGCGUCCGACAGAGUUUCCUUCUUGAUGUUCUUCAUCCUUUCGGACAUCCGACAGCUUCCUUUCGGACGUCCGACAUGAGUGCCCUGUUUUUGCUUCUUCUUUUGGUUGAUUUUCUUUCCUUGACACCUUUGUACUUGAUUCUCUAAAAAGUAAAACACUUAUAUUUGAAGAGAAUUAGAUAAACAUUUCAAAGUGCUUUGUGAUCAUCAAAAUCAAGAAUAACAUUCUCCCCCUUUUUGAUGAUGACAAAACAAUGGUUUGAAAUGAAAUUUGAUGAUUACAAAUAGGCUCCCCCUUUCUCAUUUGACAAAAGCUCCCCCUUACUUAGUCAAUCAUAGAACAAAAAUUGAAAAACUCCCCCUCACAUGGCUAUUUCACAGAUUUAUUCAAUCAUCCAAAAACAGUUUAUCCCCGAUAUUUUAUCAACUGUCCAGCCAAUUCAACGCAUCCUGCACAUAUCCAUAUUCAUAUCUACAUAUUUCUCCUCCUUUUUGCCAUCACAAAAGUCAAAAAACAGUAACAUGAACAAGAACCAGUAACAUGAACAAGAACUAAACAUUCAUAACAAAAUAGCUUACGAGCAUCACAAACAUUACAUCCACAUAUCCAGUUUUGAACAUUACAAGCACCAGAAUCAAAGAAACAAAACAAAAAAAUCCGAGGCAGCCAUCUAACAUCCAACAAAUAGAAAACAGUCAAACAGAAUGCAAAUGAUUCUAAUAGGACUAGUGAUCCUAAAUGGUAAACUAAAUGGACCCAGGCGUCCUUCGAGUAAGCAGAUACUGAGAGAGAUCCUCCUCCUCAGUGUCUUCAUUAUCUUCAGCAUCUUCACCAACUGAUUUCGUACCUUUGUCAGAUGUGGAAGGAUCAUGAGGUGCCACGGGAGUAGAGAUGAGGUCGAUGGGAGCAGGACUCAUAGAGCGAAUAGGAGCUGAUGAACUGGAAUCAGUAGAGCGUGGCUCUUUGCCAUGAGGAACUUCUUCAACCACAGGUGGGGGAAAGAGAAGAUUCUUUUUAUCCAAGAAGUCUGCUUGUUGCUCGGAUGACAUGGUGAGCAUGAGACCAUGUUCAAGAAGUAGAACAUGUUGUUUAAGAUCUCGAAGGAGUUCAACCACUUCAGAAUUUGAAGAAGAAUAUGCCUUAGUGGCAGUCUUCUUAGGAUGAAUAGAAGUCAGUGCAACAGAGGAUGGAGUGUGAAGGGGAUCAUGUGCAGCCUUAGAUCUAGGUUCAUUAGACGUGGCUCCCUUAUAAGCCCACAUAUUAUCCCUAAAGACAAGAUUCUUGCGCUCAAAAUAAGUCUUAGUAAAGGCAGAAGAAAAUGUUUCUUUGGGACAAACACCAAGAAUGGGUAUUUUGAAAAACUCAAAAAUCUUCUGAAAAAAUUUUUCAUAAGACAGUUUUCUACGAGAAUCAGUGGUAAAGCGAAAUAAAAACUUGCACAUGACAAAUCCAAAGUCAAUGCGAAUUUUUUCUCGAAAACAAUAAAAAAGAUAUAGCUCCAUUUUAUUGGCAUAUGUCCUAUGACCAUCGGUAGGAACAAGCAAAUUUGAAAUGAUUGAGAAAGCAAUUAGAUUCACAGGAGCAAGGUCAUUUAGUUUUGCAUCAGCAGGGGCAGAAAACUUCUUUUGAAAAUAAGACAACAUCUUAGCACUAUCAAAGUGAUUAUCAGCAGUGGGAUGCUCUUCAUAAGAAAAGAAUUUGACAAUUUUACUUUUGCAUCCUGGUUCAAUAACAGUAUUUAAAACAACAUUCACAAUUUCAUGAUCAAACACUAAAUCUACCCCAUUUACUCUGGACAUAAUUUCAGUGUGGUCAGUGCCUUUUCUAAGAUUGACAAAGAAUUGAUAUAGCAUUUCAGGGUAAUAAACGUUAGGCAUGAAAAUGAUAUGUGACCAUUUCUGGAAUUCAAAGAGACGCAGAAUGGACUCUAAACCUAUCUUGCGAAAUUCAGCGGGAUUUAUAGUACGUUGAGGAAUGAAACCUUUUUGGGAUAUCCAGGAGUGUUUUUCUUUGGCAGCAUCAUCAAAGAUGGGGAGACUGUGGUUGAUUGGGAGGGCGGUUGAGGUGUAGUCCCUUGUCCGGAUUCAGGCUGAGCAGAAGGCUAUGAAGUUUGAGCCUUUACUGCUCCCUUUUUGACGCGUUUGGAGGAUCUUUUGGCCCUAGAAAAAUCAGCAUCCUCAUCCCUGAGUGUGUGUUUGCGUCCGGCAGGCACUUUUUCUCCUCUUAGAUUCACCAUUGUGUGAAAUGCGUGAGAUGUAUGAUGCUAAUGAUGCACACAGUAGUAUGGGAGUGAAUCACACAAUAAUUUUGGGGUAAACGAGCCUUGAAGAAAAUUGAACAGAAUGGUUAUGGGAAAAUAGGGUUUUGAGAAAAAUUUGGAAACUGUCGAAAUGUGAUGAGAUUUGGUGAAAAGAUCAGGAAGAUGAACUCGCAAUGAUCAGGAAAAGUUUUUUGUUGAGUCAAUUUUGGAAUAAGUGCUUCAGAAUAGCAUGAAUUGAGAGUGAAAAGGAGAGACGGUUUUCGUCCGAGAGAGAAGAGAAGAAGAAGGGUCUGAAGCAAAUGAGGAGGGAAGUUACUUUAAAAAGUGUACCGUUGCACUGUCGGACGGCCGAACGAAGUCGUGCGUCCGACAGUUUCGUCCGAACAGGUGCUUUCUGGAAAAAUAGCUGAAGAACAUUAUCGGACGUCCAUUCAUCUGCUUUCAGACGUCCGAAAGUUUUGAACAAAAAAAAUUUUAAGAUGAUUUUUCGAUUAUCCCUAAUUUUGAUCUUAGAUAUAUGAAUUGAUUCAAUGGCAAAGCUUUUGUAAAAAUAUCAGCAAUCUGAUCUUUAGAACAAACAUAAUUCAUACAAACUUCACCUUUUUGAACAAGAUCGCUAAUAAAGUGGUGCUUUAUAUCUAUAUGUUUUGUCCUAGAAUGCUGAAUUGAAUUUUUGAUCAAAUUGAUAACACUAGUAUUAUUACAGAAUAUAGGCAUGCAGUCAUAUAACAAUUCAAAAUUAUUCAAGGUAUGCUUCAUCCAUAAAAGUUGAACACAACAUGCACUAGCGGUAAUAUAUUCCGCUUCGGUUGUAGAUAAAGAGAUUGCAUUUUAUUUUUUGCUAAACCAAGAAACUAAGCAAUUACCAAGAAAGUGACAAGUUUCACUUGUACUUUUUCUGUCCACACGACAACCACCAAAAUUUGCAUCCGAAUAUUCAUAUAGAGCAAAUUCACAAGAUCUAACAUACCAAAGACCAUAGUCUAAUGUACCUUUCAAAUACCUAAAAAUCCUUUUAACAGCGUUCAAAUGUGAUUCUUUUGGACAAAAUUGAAAUCUAGCACACAAGUAAAUAGCAAACAUAAUAUCGGAUCUACUUGCGGUUAAAUAGAGUAGGCUUCCAAUCAUACCUCUAUAGUGCUUUUCAUCCACAUGUUUACCUUCUUCAUCUUUGUCAAGUUUUGUAGAAGUGCACAUUGGAGUUCCAACUUGUUUUGAGUUCUCCAUGCCAAAUCUUUUCAGCAAUUUCUUGGUGUAUUUUGCUUGAUUUAUAAAAAUUCCCUCUAGGACUUGAUGUAUUUGAAGUCCAAGAAAGAAAUUUAAUUCUCCCAUCAUACUCAUUUCAAAUUCACUUUGCAUAAUGGUGGAAAAAUCCUUUCAUAGAUACUCAUUAGUAGCACCAAAAAUAAUAUCAUCUACAUAUAUUUGCACAAUAAAAAGAUCAUUUAACACUUGUUUAGUAAAAAGUGUGGUGUCCACAAUACUUCUUUUGAAACCAUUUUCAAUCAAGAAAUCACUCAAUCUUUCAUACCAAGUUCUUGGAGCUUGUUUUAGUCCAUAUAAUGCUUUUGAGAGUUUAAACACAUGACUUGAAAAUUUUAUAUUUUCAAAACCGGGGGGUUGAUCCACAUAUACUUCUUGAUCAAUAAAUCCAUUUAAGAAGGCACUUUUAACAUCCAUUUGAAACAAUUUGAAACCUUUGAAGCAAGCAAAAGCAAGAAGCAUUAUAAUCGAUUCUAAUCUAGCUACGGGAGCAAAUGUUUCAUCAAAAUCAAUUCUUUCUUCUUGUGCAUAUCCUUUAGCAACUAAUCUAGCUUUAUUUCUUACAAUUACACCUUUAUCAUCCAACUUAUUUCUAAAUACUAAUUUCGUGCCAAUGAUAGGUUGAUUUUGAGGUCUAUCAACUAGUGUCCAAACCUUAUUUCUCUCAAAUUGAUUAAAUUUCUCUUGCAUUGCCAAAAUCCAGUUUUUAUCCUUUAAGGCAUCAUUGAUAUUUUUAGAUUCAAAAAGAGAGACUAAAGCAAAAUUAUCUAUCAAUUUCUUAGAUGAGAAACGAGUCUUUACCUUCUCGGAUGGAUCACCAAUUAUAAGCUCUCUUGGAUAAUUUUGGCUAAAUUUCCAAGUUUUGGAAAGGUCUUUGAAUGAAUCAUCAUUCUUGUCUUCAUCUUCCUUUUUUUGAUCUUCAUGAGUUUCAUCCUCCAUUUCCUUUGCUUCCGGUUUAAAGUUUCCUUCAUCUCCAAUUGUUAGCUUUUUCAUUCCUUCAUGAACACCUACAUCAUCAUCCUCACACGAACUUUUGGAAUUAUCAUCACUAGUUUCAUCAAAUGUUAUGUGUAUAGUUUCUUCUAUCACAAGAGUUCUUCUAUUAAAGACUCUAUAUUCUCUUUUGUUCUCAUAAUACCUCAAAAAUAUUCCUUCAUCAGAUUUUUUUUCAAACUUACCAAGAUGUUCCUUUAAAUUCAAAAUAAAAUAUUUACCACCAAAAAUUUUGAAAUAUCCAACUGUAGGUUUCUUAUCAAAAAUCAGUUCAUAAGAUGUUUUAUUCAAAAUAGGUUUCAAGAGAAUUCUAUUUAUCACAUAACAUGCGGUGUUUACCGCUUUAGCCCAAAGAUAUUUUGGUAAAUUACAUUCACUCAACAUAGUUCUAGCAGCCUCUUGGAGUGUCCUAUUUUUUCUUUCUACAACACCAUUUUGCUGUGGAAUCCUUGCAAUAGAAAACUCAUGUGUUAUGCCAUUAUGAUCACAAAAUUCUGAAAAAUCACAAAACUUGAAUUUCGUCCCAUUAUCACUUCUAAUCCUAACAAUUUUUAAAUCAAGCAGAUUUUGCACUUUAGCAAACAAUGAAGUAAAAUUCUUGAAGGCAUCAUCUUUAUGAGUAAGGAAUAUCAUCCAAAUAUGUCUAGAAUAAUCAUCAACAAUCACAAAAUAAUAUCUCUUACCUCCCAAACUCGUAAUUUGAGUAGGACCAAAUAAAUCAAGAUGCAAGAGUUCCAAAGGUUUAGAAGUUGAUACACACUUCUUUGGUUUAAAGAAAAUUUUUGUUUGCUUCCCAAAUUGACAUGCAUCACAAAUUUUGUCAUUUUCAAAACUGAUUUUUGGCAAGUCUCUAACCAACUCCUUUUUUGAAAUUUCCUUUAGUAAUUCCAUGUUAAAAUGACAAAGUCUCCUAUGCCACAACCAAGGAUCUUCAUUUGAAGUUUUAAGACAUUGGAAGUUAGAUGAAUCAAGUUUAUCAAGAACAACAAUAUAAAUAUCGUUAAACCUCUUACCUUUGAACACAACAUUAUAUUUAGAGUCAAACACAAUGCAUUCAUGCUUUUUGAACAACACAUUCAAGUCUUUAUCAUAUAAUUGACUAACACUAAGCAAGUUAUAACCUAAGUUAUCAACUAAGAGCACAUUAUGAAUAAAAGUUUCACCAUCCUUACCAACAUCACCUAUUCCAAUUAUCUUAACUUUCACAUCAUCACCAAAUGUCACCUUUCCAUUUGAUUUUGAUUUUAGCUUUAUGAACAACGAAGGAUCACCGGUCAUAUGCCUUGAACAGCCACUGUCAAUGAACCAUUUGGACUUGUUUGAGCCUUUUCCCUGAAGAGAGAGAGUGUUUGGUACCCUUUAACUUUUGGGUCCACAAUAGUUAGCAUUGUGUCUAACUAACCACAUGCAUCUCAUUCCUUUGUUCAGAUUUCUUUUCACAUAACAAUCUCCUUUCAAAUGCCCUCUUUGACAACAAAAACUACACAUAAUGGAAGAGUCUUUAACAUGUAAUGAUUUGAUAAAUCUCAAUCCACUCCUUCUAUAUAUUGUGAAAUCAUGUGCAUUUUUUUUGUGUGCUAAUGUUCUUUCAUGAGCAGUAAGAAAGGUGAUUGACAUGUUCUUUUUGAGAUAAUCUUGUUUUCUAGCUUUUAAGGUCUCAUCCAAAUUGUUCAUCCUUUUAUUCAAAUCACCAUGUCUUUCCUUUAGUAUUUCACAAACACUUGUCUUUUUAUCAAGUUCAUUUUGAACAUCAAAUUCAGCUCUUACAAGGCACUCAUUGUCAGCCUUUAGUUGUUUAUUUUGUUGAAGAAGACUUGCAUUUUUUUGAAUGAGAAAAAUAAUUUUCUGUUUUAGUUGCUUGUUUUUAUCAUAAGAUUCCUUCAAGACAUUAUGCAAUUUUUUAACAAAUGAUUCAAGAUCAUCAUCAUCAUCAUCAUCACUUUCAGAUUGAGAGUGUAUGGAAAUUAGCUCAUUAUCUCCAAUAGCCAUGAAGGCCAUUUGAGCUGAUUCUUCUUCUUCUUCAACUUCGCCUUCGGAGUUACAUUUAUUCCAUGUAAUCUAGAAGUUGUUGAACAUUAGUUUUCGAUCAGCUUUUUCAUCUUUCUUUUUCUUUAGGGAGCAUUCGUUUGCGUAGUAUCUAGGCUGUCCACAUUCAUAGCAUUUGUCCAAUUGUUUCUUGUUGAAUUCUUGUUUUCCUUUGUUCCUUGCGUUUGAAGACUGAAUCUGGAAUUGAUUGCUAGGUCCUCCCCUUCUAAACUUUCUUUUAUUCAAGAUUCUCUUGAAACUUUUUGUGAUGAGAGCAAGAUCGUUGUCAUCACCAUCCGAGUCUUCAUGAUCCAAUUGAGCUGGAUCAUCUUCACCUUGAGCUGCCUUUAGAGCUAUGUUUCUCUUUGCUCUCGCGUCCUCUUCCUCCUGCACUUUAGUUUUCAACUUCAACUCAUAGGAGGUUAGUGAGUUAAUGAGAGAUUCAAUAGACACAGAAUUCAAACCCUUAGCCUCCUCUAUUGCAGUCACUUUACUUUCCUAUUCUUUGCCUAACGCAUUGAGAAUUUUCCUAUUUUUUUCUCCCAAGGUGUACUCUUUGCCCAACACCUUGAGACUUUGAUCAAGUCAUUAAACCUACAAUACAUUUUGUCAAUAUUCUCAAGGGGUUCUAUUUUAAAUGAUUCAUACUUUGUGACCAAGAUAGACUUUUUCUGUUCUCUCACGUUGUCACUACCCUCAUGAAUUUCUCUUAACUUAUCCCACAUUUCUUUGACAGAUUUACAUCCUUUUACUCUAAUUGAUUCAUUUGAUUCUAAGGCACUAUAAAGAACAUUCAUGGCUUUGGCAUUUAAUGUGAGAUUGGCUCUAUCUUGAGCAUUCAACUCAACUCUUAUUUUUGGUCGAAACAAACUUGUAUCUGCAUCAAGAACUUUAGCAUCAUGCGGUCCUUCAUUCACAAUAAAUCAUAGCUCAAUAUCAAUGGAUUGCAAAAAGAUAAUCAUUCUUUCUUUCCAACUAACAUAAUUGGAACCAGUAAACAUGGGAGGUCUAGUGACAGAUUGCCCCUCAACAAACAUGGCAUGAUUGGUUGUCAUCUUUACUCCAAACCGCUAGAGCUUAAUCUCAAGGAGACCAAGCUCUGACAUCAAUUGUAAGGCCUAAAGACAACCUAAGAGGGGGGUGAAUUAGGUUGAUUAAAAAUACUUUAUUCAGUUUAUGCACUUUUUCUUUAAUAAAAAUUUACCUUCUUUUCUAGUAGUGAUCAACCAAGUAAAUUUAAAGACGAGAGCAAUGUUGAUCAUAAAUGAGAGUGUAUAUAAGCAAUGAGAAUUUUAUUAAACAAAAGGAAUAAGAUAGAGUAUCAAACCGAUUGUCUACCAAGUUUUCCUCAAACUUGAAGACCAAUCACAAAGAUGAGCACCUUCUCUUUGAUGAACAAUAAUCAACUCAAUGUACAAUUGAGGGAUCACUUCCUCCUUACCCCAAGCCUCACUUAGUCAAGUUAGAAAGUUUUACUAUCACUCAGAUAACCCUCAACAAAGUUACACUAUUGAAAAUUUCAAACACAAGAGAAGUGCUUACAAGAACUUCACACUACUUGGAGAACAAAUCUUGCUUAGAAGACUAUUUUCUAGCUAAAAUAUCUCUUGAGAUCUUGUAAACGAAGUGUGCAAAAGUUCCUCCCUGGUUCAGAAUCGUUUGUAUUUAAUGGGGACCAAAAAUGGACUUCAUUAAUGUUUCUAACGGAUAGAAGGCAGAUGAAGAGUCAGCUAGCCGUUGGGGCUGUCGGACGUCCGAUAGCUUAAUCAUCGUUCGAUUCCAUCGUCCGAAAAUCAGCCAAAUUGUCGUUCGGACUUCCGAUGGAAUUUUAUUGUCUGACAGCUUCUGUGUCCGAACGUCGUCAGAGAGUCAUCAAAACUUUACGAAAUUUUUCGGACGUCCAACGCGAUCGAUGUGCGUCCGAAGCUUGCGUCCGAUCCUCCCGGACGUCCGAUAUUUCCUCACGAGCGUCCGACAGAGUUUCCUUCUUGAUGUUCUUCAUCCUUUCGGACGUCCGACAUGAGUGCCCUGUUUUUGCUUCUUCUUUUGGUUGAUUUUCUUUCCUUGACACCUUUGUAUCUGAUUCUCUGAAAAGCAAAACACUUAUAUUUGAAGAGAAUUAGAUAAAUAUUUCAAAGUGUUUUGUGAUCAUCAAAAUCAAGAAUAACAAAAGUGGUUUCAAGCUUACCAAUAGUUAGGGUUGUACUUUCUUGAAUCACUCAAUUGAGGCCAAAUUGGAGUAAGUUUCUUGAGGAUUUUCACAUCAUAUUCAUCACUUAACAUCACCGAACCACGUUGAGGUAACAAAUCUUCACCUAACUUUAUUAUUUGAAUUUUGCCAUGAUUAAAUAUUUUCUAUUUUUAGGCAAUUUUUAAUAUGUGACGUUAGGUGCAUUUAUUUGAGCUUAUUGAUGCUAUUGGUGAUUGUUAGUGAUGAAUAAAUUUUGUGAUUUGCAUUUAUUAUAUUUAUUUGGUGAAUUCUUGCUAGUUUUAUGCUUAAUUUGGCUUGGUGACAAAACUGCAUAUUAAGUGGCCAAUGUAGCAUUUUAAUUAGCUUAGUGGGAGUUUUUGAUAUUCAUGUGAGUAAUUUAGAUUACCUAAUGAAUAAAAAGAUGCUUGAUUGAAUGAUUUCUUGAAUUCUUAGGUAAUUCUAAAAGAAGAGGUGAAUUGAAGAUGGCCUUAAUUGAUGAAAUUCAUAAAUGCACUUACAAUUUUUGUGGUUCAAUAGUUUUUAGUAUUUCAUGAAUUUUCACAAUGGUCAUUUAUAUUUUGGUUUGGUGUGUUUGCCUCCAUUUUGAGAUUACUUUUGUACUUAAGGGGAUUUGAUCAUUGAUAACAAAAUGUAUAAAUAGAACCUACUUUGCUCGUGAUGGUGCAUUUAUUGUAUGAAAUUAGCUUCCCUUUGGUUUGGAUACUAAUGCAUAUAUUUGAUUAGCAAAGAUUAGCUUAUUUUAUGUUUUUAUCCCAUGAACAUCGUAUGGUUCCACAUGCUUGAUCAUUUUUCCUUUUUCCUUGUCUUGCAUGUUUUCUUCUUGUUGAUUGCAACUUUUUAUUUUUAAGAAAUUUAUUUGUUUUGAUUUUGUCUUUUUCAGGGUGCAAUAAGUGAACUCUCCAUUCUUUCUUAAAUACGGUUGAAAAUUCAUAACAUUGCCAUAAGGGGAGUAUUUUCUUUUACUCUUUAUUUAUUUUCCUUUUCUCACAUUGAGGACAAUGUGAAGUUUAAGUGUGGGGGAGGAAAAUAUUGAACUUACAUUUACUUGCUAGGUGAUGAUAUUUUGUGGAUUUAAAUAUUUAGAAAUGUUGGAAUUAUGUUUGAAUUAUUUGUCAUGUGGAUAAUUUGCUUGAAAUUGGAUUUGUUGGCAGGGAGUUUCGUCCAUUUAUAAGAGGAAACUCUGUCAAAAUUUUUCUAAAAUCUUUUUCAAUAUUUCAUUAUGACCCAAAAAAAAUCUUUGCAUUUUUAUUUUAAAAAAGGGCUAAAUUGUUCCAACCUUAAGUGUUUAAUUCUUCCAAUUGUUGAAACUUUAUGUGUAUUUUGAAAGGUUUAGUCCUCAUUUAACUUGGAAAUGGUUAUUACGCAAUUAGGAUUUUUGCAUUUGAGAAAAUAUAUUUGGUAAAGUAAGGAAAAUUAUGCCUAUAAUUUUACAUGUUUAAUGAGAUUUCUUCUCUUUACUUAAUUUUGCAAGUAAGUGAUUGAUAUAGUCGAUAAAGGUUAUAUUCCUCCUUUGAUUAUUCUUAUAUAUUUUCUAAGAGGGAAUACCUAUUUAUUGUCCUUUAUUUCUUAAAAAGAAAAAAAAGUAGAAAGAAAAGAAAAAAAAAGAGAAAAGAAAAGAAAGUAAAUAAAAAUUGUUCUACUCCAAUGAUUCACAUACCGAAUAAUCGGGGGUUGGCAUCUACAAAUGUCGACAUUCGCGUAAAAAGGUACUUGAAUUAAGAGUAUGCAUUAGCAACUUGAAUAAGUGAAAUGUUGAGUAACCGGGGAUCUUCACCUAAAAGUGUCGAUUUUCGCGUAAAAAGGCUAUUUAAGUAAAAUUUGUGUGAAUAAAUCCCUCUUAGUUAUAGAAUUUUGAGAAAAGAUGAUUAUAAGGAGGAGGAAGGCUAUAAAUUGACUAUGUAAUUUGCUUAUUUGUAAAAUUAAAUUAGGGUAAGAGAUUAAGUUUAACUUGUUGAAUUUAGGGUAUAAUUAUCUUUCCUUUACUUAAUAUUAUGAGUAUUUAGUGUAAUUUGAAUAAUGAUAUAAUGAUUAUUUUCCAAGUCUUGAGGAAUUAAAUUGGACAAAGUGCAUAUAUUGUUUCACCUCUUGAAUCAUUGUAGUUGAUUAUGUGUGAAUUGCUUGAGGACAAGUAAUGAUUCAAGUGUGGGGGAGUUUGAUAAGUGACUAAUUUACGUAAUAAUUAUAUGAUAUUUUAUAUUAUUUUUAGUUACUUUAGUUAUAUUAUUGGAAGAAAAUGAAUCAUUUUGGUUAUAAUUGGUGAAAAAUGCUUUUAAGUAAUUAAAUGAGGUUUUUAUCACUUUUUAGUGGGAUUUUGUGUAUUUUGACAGUUUUGACAUAUUUUCAUAUUUCGGCUAUAACUUGAGUUACAGUGAUCGGAUUGAAAUGAUUCUUGAACCAAUUUGAAGAUAAGAGAUAGAUCUACAACUUUGGUGAAGACAUCUAAAUCCAGUUUGAAGGUUUUCAAAGUCAAAAAGCUGAAUUACAGUAGCAAAUUUCUACUGGUCGAAGCUGAAACAGGGCAAUGAGCAGGCAAGAAUAUUUCAGUCAUUUCUCAGCCUACACAGAUCCAAAUGAGGUGAUUCUUGAUGCAUUGGAAAGCUGACUCAAGGGGCUACAAGUUUCAUGUUUUGGUCAAGAGUUAAAUCAGUUUUUAUCAUCAAGAAAUGUUCAGUGAAAAUUGAUGCAAAAUCGGAGCAGAGCUGGAAAUUGAACCAGAAGUGACCAAAUGGUCACCGUAGCAAUCCGGCCGGAAUUUGGCCGGAUUUGUGGCCGGAUUGUGGUCAGAAAAGGCUGCUUUGUACACGUAAAACUCAAUUUCACCUCCACCAACUCACAUGUAUGCUAGACAUGUGAGAAACAUUUCCAGCUGUAAAAGGGAAGUGUAGACCUCAAGUUUUGACCAAUCUUUCAUCUUUAUAUAGUCAAAUUCAUUGCAAAACAAAGGGAGAUGGAGAGACAUACGGGAGAAGCUUGAAGUUGCAGAAAUGUAGCUCUUUCAUCUUCCUAGUGUUAGUUUAGCUUAGUAUAGAGUAGGAUAAUUCAUCCAUUCUUGUUAUUAGCUAGAUAAAAAAGAAGAUAGAGGAUGAAGAAGGCAAGGAAGAAAGCUCAUGUGACAAGGGUUGUAUUCCUUCCAAACUCUUUAUCUUUUAUACUUGAUUUAAAGUUUUGUUAAUAUACAAGUUCUGGAUUUUGUGUUCAUUAUGUGUCUUUAAAGUUUAUACCUUGGGUUUGGUUGAACUUUCUAUGAUUGUUAGUGUUUAUUAUUUGGUUAUUUGAUUGCUAUGAUUUGAGCAAGUUAUUUAGCACUUUGGCUCUUUAAAUCAUGAUUAAUCUGGUACCAUUGAUUGUGAUUAUCUAAGGUGUUGUUUCUGCAAUGAAAAUUGAGAUUUAACACUAGUUCAAGAAGUGCUAAACAUAGGGAGUACACUCACGAAAGUAGAAGUGCACCUAUGUGGUUUUUAGUGAUUCAUUUCAUAUAAUUUUAUUGAAGAAAUGAACUUGUAGCUAAUUUCAUAAUCAUGAAAAUAGGUAUGGAUUAGUUAUGAGUAUAGUUGAUUCACUACGAAAGUAGGUUUCACAUGUUUAAGGAAAUUACACUAGAAUUAGCCCAGAUAGUAGUGCUCAAUGAUCCAAAAAUGGCAAUUGCAUGAGUAGUUAGGGAUACCACAACCUAAGGAGCUUUUAUUUGUCAUUUUGUAUAAUUUCAGUAGGUUAAAUUUGUUAUAAUUCAUUGAUAGUCUAAAUAAUAGAGAAGCUUUAGUAAUACCGGUAAUUGUUCACUCUUCCCUGUGGGAUCGACCCGAUAUAUACCCUAAACUACUAGUUGACCUGUAUACUUGCAGUGAACGGGUGUAAUUCGGUUUUUUAACUUGCAUGUAUGUAAAAUACCCGUCAAAAUACCAUCAAAAGUAUCCUAUCAUAGUCAUAAAAAUAUUAUUAUAGUUGUUUAUCAAAUAUUAGGUAUGGACAUGAAAAUUUUGGCACAUUUUUCUUAUAAUUAUACUAGAUAAUCUUAUAAUUGUAUAGGGAAGUAAAUUAAAACUCAUUACACAAGGGUAUUUUUGGUUAUUCAUUUAAAAAUUUGACCAAGUCAAUAUUAUUUUAAGGUUUUGUUACUAAAACUAUCAAAUCAAGGGAAGUAGGUGUAAUUUUCCAAAUCUCAAGGGAGCUCAAUGAAAUUGUUAGAAACCUCUAGGGAGGUUUUUGUAAUUAUUCCAAAAAUAAAUGUCAUGUGAGCAAUCCAUUAUAUGUUUUCCAUCCAUCUUAACGGCCAAAUUGGACGGAAGGACUAUAAUUGCACAUUUUUAUUAAUUGGAGGAUUACAUUUAUGCACUUAUUAGUUGGAGGGCUAAAAAUGCGUAAAGUUAAAAAUUUAAGGACCACCGCAGUUUUUUGCCCUUAUUUAAAAUUAGUCUAUCUAACAAAUAAUGAUUAUUAGUGUAUGUUUAUAUAUGAUAGAUUGGAUGAAAUAUAGGUUCAUUAAUAAGUGGCCUUUUGAUAUCAGUUGAAAUAAUACUUUGAUCUAAAUUUUAAUUAGAAACCAUGGCACAAUCAUCUGAAAUAGAAUGGCGUAGUAGAGGUCUUGACUCCAACAAGCAAUGCUUCCUUCUCGGUACUAACACUGUGAAUUGAACCCUCCUCAGAACCACAAAGCAUAUGCCUUUUUUUCAAUUAUAAAUUAUUCUUUUUUUUUAAUUUUACUCACAAAUUAUUCUUAAAGUUUAAAAAAAGAAGAAGAAGUCUCCACCCCUAACAUUCAUGCAUAUGUCUCGUACUAAUAAAUAAAUAAAAAAAAGUCCAACUCUGAUUCCCGUCCAAAACCAAAUUCCGCCAUGUCAACUACUUCCAUAAAAAAUAAGAAUGCCCAAAUACCAAUUUAGGGGGCGCUUGGUUCAAGUUUAGGAAUUGGAAUUGUAAUUGGAAUCAUAGACUCUGGUUUUGGAAUUAAAACUUUUCAUUCCAAUAUCUUGCUUGGUUCACACAUUGGAAUUAGCAUUAUUCCAAUUCCUGAUGCUUGGUUUGAUGAGUGUUUCGGAAUUAAAUGCAAUUAAAUUCCAAAUUUACCCCUGAUAUAACAAUUCUUCUAAAACAAAAGAAUUACACAUACGACAAAUUAACAUUUUCAUAAUUGUAACUACAAUAGUUAUUAACUUUUUGAUAAAACAUAAGAAAAUCAUAAAUAAUAAAAAAAUUAAUACCAGAAAAUAAAUAUAGUGGCUGCAUUAACAAGGAGUAAAUUCCCAAAAAAAGAAGUUUUUAAACAAUCACCCAAAAGGUGACGAUUUUUGAGUCUCUUCCCAAAGGGUGAAAAAUGCAUCCAAGGAAUGUGUUCUUCCAAAUAACAACGCAACUUUCAAAUACGUUAUUUUAUGUUUUGGAAAUUUAUUUAAAUAUGAAAAAUUGGUUAAAUAGCCCAUAAGAUACCAGUUCUUUAUGGAAAACUGGCAGGCUUUGUACCAGCUUUAUGGAAAAAAUUGAUUAAAUAGUGCCCAAAGGAAAACUAGUAUGUUUUGUAUUUAACAUAAAUUAAAUAUGUGAAAGUUAAAAAAACAAAAUUGCCCAUAAGAUACCAGCUCUUUAAGGGAAACUGACAGGUUUUGUAGUAUGUUUUGUACCAACUCUUUAUGGAAAACAUACCAACUCUUUAUGGAAAAAAUUGAUUAAAUAGCGCCCAAAGGAAAACUAGUAUGUUUUGUAUUUAACAUAAAUUAAAUAUGUGAAAGUUAAAAAAAAAAAGAAAUUACUCAUAAGAUACCAGCUCUUUAUGAGAAAUUAGCAGGUUUUGUAUUUAAUACGCUAUUUAACCAAUUUUUUAUAUUUAAACAAAUUUACGAAAAUUAAAAUAACGUAUUUGAAAGUUGCAUUUUUAUUUGGAAGAACGCAUUUCUUGAAUGUGUUUUUCACCCUUGGGGAAGAGACUCAAAAAUUGCCAGCCUUUAGGAAGUUAGUUUAAAAACUCUUUCUUUUUGGAAAUUUACUCCAUUAACAAGUCAUUUGUGGUUCCUAUAUUAGAUAAUGAUAUGAAAUAGAUCUCUCCUUACAUAUAUGAACAAAAGAAGGAGACUCAAAUCACAAAAGCUAACCAUACCAAAUACAAGUCAAUUGUCUAAUCCAGUCGAGAGUGCCACUCAAUGUCCACAAUCUCCAAAAGACUAAUCAUAUAACCAUCUAACAAUCACCAUAACAAAAAGAAAUUGCCAUCAAAUCAUCACUUUCCAGCUAACAAUAAUUUUACUUCAGCGAGUAGAUGGAGGAUAAAGGAGGUUAAUUACAUAUUGUCGUUUCAUUUCUGCAGGAAGAUUGUAGAACACAUGAAGCUUGGAAAUCUGCUCCGAAAGUAUGUCGGCUGCAUUCAUUACAUCUCCACUCGGUAAAGCAAGUUUCAUUAACUCAGCAACAACUUGAUCUCUUCUAUCGGAGACCAAUUGCUCACGUUUAUCCUCAUUUGACAUGGCUGCUGCCAUAGUUGUGAAAUUAGCUUGAAUUCCCUCCACGAAAUCUCCAAAUUUGCUGGUGAGAAGUUGCAAUGAUGCAUCAAGAUCACCCCUUGUUGUUGAUGCAGAUUUCAUUUUUUUUGACACAUUUGCAAUGGGAGGGGAUUGUUUCUUUUGUUUCUUGGAAUUUCUUGUACUUGUUGAGCUUGGUUGAGUUGAUUGCUCUAUGGAAUUUACUUCAUCUUCUUCUACCUUAUCAUUAUCCGAGUUUGACAUAGCAUCAAGCCCUUCAUGUCCUUCCUCCAAAUUUUGGACAUCUUCCAUAUCUUGGACAGCUUGUGCAAAAUCUUCAGCAACAUUUCCAGUGGCUCUGUCUCUUCCAUAUACAAUUUCAAGAUCUCCUAAAUAUGGAAAUUUGACAUCCCAAAGGCCCUUCGCAUCCUUAUGAGUCUAGAGAUAGAAUAGAAAGAUAAAUGAUAAUCUUAAUAAAAGGUUGAAAAAGAACAUAUCAGAAUGUAAAAAGUAAUCAAUUUCUUACCUUGCACCAAUCAUCAUACCACUGUUUUUCACAAGAAAUCUUUUUCUCAGCAUCAUUCCAACUACAACCACUUUCUUUGCACAUUUCAACAAUUGCAUGGAACCUAUUUUUCAGCCACUUAACUUUUGAUUCAAUAUGUGGGCUGACUUGUUUGGUAAAAGUAGGUUGCUUACGCAAGAUAAUUUUAAGCAAUUCGCUCAUAUAAUUAUUUUUAAAUCCUCCAUCUGAUUUCCACAUUGGAUCACAAGCCAACUCUUGCAAUGAUUCUAUGAGCACUUUUACCUCUUCACCAGUCCAAAAACAUUUAUUUUUCCCUCUUCCACGUACAAUUUCAUCAUUCUCCAUCCUAUCAUUUAGAAGUCAACCCAUAUAUAUCAAUUAAUUUUGAUACACAAUAGCAUAUAACUGAAAUUUAUAAUAUAACAAAACACAUAAAAGAACAUACAAUUAAAAGUCAAUCCAAAUUUAAAAGAACAUACAUCAAGUGUCAAUCUAAUUCACAAAUCCACUACAAGAGUACAUCAAAUGUCAAUCCAAAUUUAAUGAGUCUAAGAGCUAAACAUCCAUUCAUAGCUAAAUACUAAGUCCAGCCCUCCAAUUGUCAAACAUUUCAUGUGCUAAAUUAUUUCUAAAAUUUGCCCAUUGAUCACUUGGCAAAAUAGUGGAUAUGCACUCUACUUCUUCAUCACUGUCUUCAUCUUCACUUUCAUUUUCUUCACUUUGUAGUAAUUCUUUGGAUCAAAAGUCAUGAACUUCCUUAUCAAGUUGUGCAGCAGACAACAUGCCAUAAUUAUUCGCACUUGUGUUUGAAUUGGAAAAAAUGAAGGGGAUGCUAGAAUCUUCCACCUUCCUUUUAGCAAUCCAAAACAUCUUUCUAUGAUUAUCAGAUAAAAAUAUUUUUUCCGUCUUCUCUUUUCAAUAGGCAAACGUGGCAUCUUUGUCUACAUAACAAUAUGACAACCAAACGUAAGUAUUCACCAAACUAGAUUACGGCAUCAAAAUCUUCAAAUGCAUUAAACAUCAAUUGAUCUUAUUAAAAGGGCCUAGACAUGCAUCAUACAUCCGUAAACACAAUGAUGUAUAGAUAUAAAUAAGCAUAAACAAAUGAAAUUGAUGGUUGAAACUUGAAAUCCUAAUGUACGAAUAACUAUGAAACUGAAAGCUAUUCAAGCAGACAAUUUUACAAACAGGUACAGGGCAUGUAGAAACCCACCCAAACUAUACCAGUAUUCACGGAUCAAAUAACCAAAAGAUCAAGAAUUGAUUGACCUCCAUUGAAUGCGUAAUCCAAGAAAACACAUUAAAACCAUAAAAAUGACAAAUCUAGUGACAUUAACAUUUAUCUCACCAAAAAAAAGAACAAAAUAAUGUAUUUGUUGAAGUAAGUGAAUUAAAAUACAUGUAUUACAACAAAAUACAUGGAUUAAAAACAUGUAUUAUUCUCACCAAUAAUAGUGUAUUUGUUGCGGAAAUAAUUUCUUAUUGGAUUUUGUGACAAAAGAAUAUGAAUUCAUGGAAGGAAGACUUUUUGCAAAACUGACAGAUUGUGUAGCGUGAGUGGAAUAAAAGUGAGAAGGUGAUGGGUCCAGAGCAUAGCAUUUUGGUCCAGUUAGUGUUAUUGUAUCAGAUUCCCUUAUUUUCUUCUUUAUUUUCAGCUACCCAGUGAGUAGCCUGAAAAAACAGAGAAGAAGAAAGAGAAAAGCUUGCAUACGAAAAGAAAAUUGCAGAGGCAAGGGAGUUUGUAAUCCACUGACCUGGGAUCAAGGAAUUCACCCUAGUAGAAGACUCUUCAACUCUAGAAUUCGUUGUCCAAGGAGAGUCGAAAGCCACUGAUCUUUAUGGUUGUCCAAUCGGUGAAGUAGAAGAGGUAGAAAAUCUGAUGAAGAAGAAGAACAGAAGGUGCGGCGUGUAAUGAAAAAAAAAAGAGGGUAGGUUCGUCAUAAAUGUUUUUGCUCGGGAAUGAGUUGAGGGUUUUGUCCAAAACCUCCCAAUUUACUCAGGAAUGGUGAAAGUCCGAUUUUUUAGAAAUGAUUCCAGAAAUUGCAUUCCAAUAGACUUAACCCAAGCAACAAAUAAGGGGUUCAUUCCAUUAUUUGAUUCCCAAACCCUUUAACCAAGCAGCCCCUUAGUUAUCCAAUCCUAUAACAGAAAGCCCAAGUCAAAACAAUUGAAAAACCCACCAUCCCACCGUCACCUAUUGACCUUUUGUUUUAAAUUAAUUAUGCUUUUUCCCUUAAAAGGAUAACCAAGCAAAUUCCAUAUCCUAUCCUGUGUAACUUCUUGAUUUUCGUCUAGUAAAUUUCUAUAUAAAAUUUUGUCCUAAGAUAAUUUUAUUUGCAAUGUUUCAUCAAUUCAUCUACCCAAGCCUCCAGCAUUCAGUUUAGCUAUUGGGCAAAUCUUUUGUUUUUCUAUGUUUCGUUUUGAUGGAAGACAAAAAUUGACUUUUAGAUUUUCUUGGUUACAACUUUCUUUAUAUAUUCAUUCAAAGAUGAAACUUUUAUUUUGUGCGUUUAAUAUAUAUAAAUUAAAUGAAUUUGGAUCUUGGGUGUCAUUAGAUUACAUUUAUAAUAACAAUAAUUUUCUUGCCUCUGUUGGUUUAAAAUUUAGUUAUCCUUUCCUCAUUAGUCCGAUAAAUUGUCAUUUUAGAUUAAAUAAAAUUGAUAAUUACUUCUUCUAUUUUUCAAUUAGAUAAACUUCAAUGUUUCUGUUUUGUGUUAAUGAAUAUAGUGAAUUUAACUAGUUCUGCUGCAAUGAUUAGGAGAACUAAAAGAAUGGUUUUAGACAAGGUUAUAGUUAUUGAUAAUAUAAAAAAAAACUUGUCAAUAGAAUAAACUUUUGAAAAUCAUUAUGAAACAUUUGCGGUUGCUUUAGAUGAAAAAGCAAAAGCUUUAGAACUUCUAAAACAUAAAGCUUGCACUUAAUUAUACUAGUGAUUUUUCAGGUUAAUUAGUAACUUAUUGAGAUUUGAGUAUUUUGUAACUAUCGGGAGCAAGAAAAUUGAAUAAAAGGACACUUGAAACAAGUGUUGAACCUGGAAGCUUUGAAGCUUUUUAUUUUAUUUUUUAACUUUUUAUGGAUUUUUUUAGUGUAAGUCCACAUUUUUAUGCUACUUCAAAUAGUCAACAUUUUCCAAAUAUUACGACUCUUCCGAAAUUCAACUAAGACAAAAUUCCUAGAGCUAAAAAUCAAUUAAAAUAUAACCACUAAAUUUAUUUCAACGUUUUGAAUGUUUUUUGCUCAUUUAAUAUCGAUUUAUUCCUUUUUUAAAAAUAAAGUUAUACUCAAGCUUAGUUGCCCUAUAACAAAUUGUUGGCACCGCCACUGCUCCAUCCCACCUUGAUUUCAAAUGCAAUGUGCUACUUCAUGAGUUUUUUAUAGAACUAUUUACAAUUAGUUAAGAGGGACCAUUGAUGUAGAUACAAAACAAAGUCCACUUAAUUUCUCAGGAUAAAUACAGCAAAGGGUUUGAAGCCGUUCCCUAUUGGUAUCUAUUGAUAGUUUAUUGUGACGCAUGUCAAGAAAGGAUAGGUUGCUGUUUAGAGCUCGAAGGAAUUUCAAAUAUUGAGAUUAGUGACGGUGACGGGGGUUGGUGUGGGCCGAAGUGUAAUCGAAUCGGGCUGAGCCUUAUUUUUAACGUGCUCAAUGAUGUUGCAAACUCGGGUUCGAAAUGAACAUUGAGCUGGAUAUGAGUUUCAAUUUUAAGCUUGAUUUUCCACUCGAUGCAAUAUUUUGACUGUCGUUAUGCUCGAAAAUUUGAUUGACUAUUUCUUAAAGGUUCGGUCCUUUUAUUACGUGCACUUAGGAGAUUGGAUAAGUUACAAGAUCUUAUAUGUUUAAUAGGCUCUCCAAUUUUCUAGUUUGAUGACGAUCUUGAAAGUGCAAAAUCAUGAAAAUGUCAAACCUUCAUCAUUUAAACCGAAUCUUCAGCCAUGAAUUCUUCUUGUUUUCAUCAUUAAAUUUUCAGGAUUAUAUGCUUUAGAACAUCAUCAUAAGGUACCACAGAGUAUUCUUAAAGAUUCUAAUGUAAAACAAUAACAAAGAUUUCCUUCUCUUUCUUUUCCUCCUCCAAUUCUCUCUCUCUCACCCACAGCAAGAAAGCAUAUAUUAUGGCCUAGUACUUAGUAGUGUAGUGGGUGGGUCCCUCUUUAGAUUACUUUCGGACCGAUUUAACGGUUAACUCUCGUGCUUAGUCUAAUUAAGUGUGUGUGAGUUUAUUUCAGUUUCUGAAGAAAACUUAGUGGUGUAGUGGGGAUUUUUAGGUUGGUCAUCACUUAAGUUCGAAUAUGGGGAAAGAGAAUAUUAGUUCCUUUUCAUUCUUGAUAAACCCUUUUUCUUUAAGUUCUUUUUUAAUUUAUAAAAUCUAUUCUUCUUUUCCCUUUUUUGGGCCUCAUAAUUGUAAUUAAUAUAUAAAAAUAAAAAUUAUUUCCAUUUGAUAAUUUGAGCAUUUAUGAAAUUAAAACACUAAUAGGCCCUAGAAGAACGCAGCAUGUUAUAAUUACUAAACAGAAUAAAUAUCUAAACUAGAUGCAAGAAUUUUAAGAACAACAUGAACGUGUAUGCCGAAAAUAUACAUAUGUUGUUAAUUUGGGUGAUUUCGAUAAGGAAAAUACUGAAUGAGAUAUGAAUCCUAUACCAUAAUUUCUUAACACGAAUGAAAAAUAAUAUAAAUAAAAAAGCAAUGCUAAAAAAUUAAUUUUAAACUUGAUGAAUUUUUUAAAACAAAGCAACGCGGAAUUGGUCAUUAAUAAAUGGGUAGACGUUGCUUUCCUUGAGGGUUCCUUUGAAUUAAUCAAAAGAAGAUUAAGAAAUGUAAAUCAGUUUGACAAAAUGGUGAACACGUAUGUACUGCAAAACAAGUAGUUGGACAGUUUAUUGGCAUUUUUUACAACGAAAAUUAUUGGAAAGUUCCAAUCCAAUUAAAAUGUAACAGACUUUACGGGAUUUUAUGGUAAAUUACAUCUAAUCCCCCUGGAUUUUUAUAUUACUAUGUGAUCUCCUUUAUAUUUCAAAAUAUCCACAUAAACCCCUAUUGUUUAGUGUAAUAUGAAAAAUAGAUGGAAAGCGCCAAUGUUAUAGUGAUUGAACCAGGUGUGCUCCAAAAAUGCGUGUGGUGAAUUAAUAAUAUCCACUUAAUGCCCCUACAAUUUAUAUGAAUAUCCACUUUAACCCUCUAUAAAUUUUGUAUUUAUCCACAUAAUUCUUUUAUAACUUUGUACAAGGUGGUCUAACUGUUGUUUGAUUUAAUACCUAAGUAAGGGCAAUAGUAGAAGUUCAACUAAUAGUGUAACAUAAGAUAUUUUUUUUUUCUGUAAAAUUUCUAUUUUAUAUGAAAUCAUAGAGGGUUUAUAUGAAUAUUGAAAACAUUAGGAGCGUUAUGUGACAAUCAAUGAAUCUAUAGGGGAUUAUGUGUGUAAUUUAUCCUUUUAACUGUAUAUACAGAACUUUUUCUUAAAAGUGUUGAACUAGUUGGGUAGAGAUUCAGUUUGGGUCCACUUUACUCAAUAGAGCAUUAGUCAAAUGCCAAUUUCCUCCACGAUGACGUUGUCUGAUAUUUGUUAGCACCCUGAAAUUUGCAACCCGGUCAAAUUCCAUUACUUUUUUUUUUUUCAACGGUCAAAAUCUAUUACUGACGUUUGAAUUUUGGUUGGAGACCAUUCAGCUAAUGGUUCACGUCCAGGCGACUUGGUUGACCGACUUGCUAAAGUAAAGUCAUCCUAUAGGCUAAUCAUUUUCGGGGCGUGUACAACUUUCAUGAUCCCUCAACCAAAAUUUUGGCUCCUAUUUUACAGCUGUAAUUUGUGGAUAUUUAGCCUUUUAUUCUUUUGAUGCCUGCCUUUGACAUGAUCUCCAGAAAUUUGUUGUUCCACUUCCAUUAUUACAUGCUUUGUUUGCUUAUUAGCUUCCAUACCAAAUUCACUAGCCCCGUUAAUUUUCUUUCGUCUUACUGUGUAAAUACUACAUACAACCCUAACAGCACUACCGGCAGCAUUUACAGAACCAAUCUGUAUUCCGUGCUUUUCGCUCUAUCUUCAAAUGCAUCUCGGACAGACACCGGUGGUUUCUACAAUAUCAGUACUGGCAAUGACCCUUCUAACACGGUCUAUGGCCUCUUUCUCUGUCGAGGCGAUGUCAGCACUGACGUUUGCAAAGAAUGCGUAGCAAGUGCCACCACAAGAGUAUUUCAAGAGUGCCUGAAUCGAAAGGCUGCUAUUGUUUGGUAUGACGAGUGCUUGUUACGUUUUUCUAACGAGACAAUCUUCUCCAAGGUUGAUUCCACAGCUGGUGUGUUUCUGUACAGUGUACAAAAUGUCACUGGUCCAGGAUGGUACGCCUUUACAAGGGUAUUGGUAGAUUUGUAUAACACUGCGUAUCAGGCUGCAAAUGACACCCGGGGCAAAAAGUUUGCUUUUCAAGAAGGCAACCUUACCACUUUUCAGAGAUUGUAUACCCUUACACAGUGCACACCAGAUCUAUCUGCAGAUGACUGUGGAAGCUGUCUCUCAGAGGCUAUAGGAUGGCUGCCCACUUGUUGUACCAUCAGAGUGGGAGGCAGAGUUUUCCUUCCAAGCUGCAAUAUUAGGUAUGAGCUCUACCGCUUCUACAAUAGUGCAUCCCCUGCACCACCGCCUUUGUCAAACUUACAUUCCUUCACUGGUGCUCCUCCUCCUAGUUCCACUAAAGGUAUGUUCUGGAGUCUUGCUCUGACCAUUUUUUUUCCCCAAGUGUUAAAAACAGACUUAAUUCUUACAAUUUUUGUUUUGCUUGCAUUGAAUUAUGGAUCAAAAAUGAAAAUGAAAGGGCUAUAUUCGCAUAACUUUAGUUUAAAUCCACACCUUUGAUACAUUUAUAAUUGGUGUGAAUGAUAGUUGAAUUUGUACAAGGCGUAAAUCUCACCAUUGGGAUAAGCACAUCAUACUGAUCAUAGCACUCAUGAUUUGUCAUUUCUGGUGGAAUUUUAAGCGGACUUAUACUUCCUAAGACAGUAAUUAUCUACAUACUUAGCCUUUUUGCAAACAUUAGAAUUGUAAUUAACUAUAGAAUAUAUAUUGAAAUAAUAGCGUGGUCGCCAUUGUAGAAUCCCUUAGGUAUGAUAGCUUGACUUGCGAAACUGGGUUGGGCUUCUCUCCAUUACGUUUCCUUUAGUUUUCCAUUCAUUUAUCCAAUUGACGAGGUCUCGCCUUACACCAAAUUUAAUAAUCUAAUUACCUCGAAUUCUGCAAGCAUAUAGUUUGUUUAAUGAGUAUAGGAGGUAUUACUAUUUUCGAUCUCAUGAGGGGCAAAUUUACAAUUACUAAGACUUUUUCACUUGCUCUAUUAUCUAAAUAGCCUCAAAUAUAGAAAAUAUAAAUUGAAGGUAAGAAAAAUAAGUAAACUAAGGAAAAUCACAAGAAUGGAAGAAUCAACUAAGCACAAGUUAUAGGGAAUAGAAUCCACUCUUUGCUCUAAACCCCGGUGAAUCAGGUAAAAUAUCACUUUUAACUCUUGCCUUGUGAGAUCAUUUUCUAACGCACUUGAAACUCACUCUCCCUAAUGAAUCAAGUUUUUACCAAAACUAGACUCUCCAACUUUGUGGUGAAGUUAUUAGAUUUAGUUCAUGAAGAUGCAUGGAAAAAGUUAAGAAAAUCCACCUAAAUGUACCACCGCCUAUGCCAAACUUAAAUUUUAUUAUUGGCCCUGCUCCUUGUCCCUCUAAAGGCGUGUUCUGGAACCUUGCUCUGGCCCUUUUUUUUUUUUCCUGGUGGAUUAAAAACAGAGUUAAUUCUUACAAUUUUUUUUUGUUUGUAUUGAAUUUUGGAUCGAAAAUGAAAAUGAAAGAGCUGUAUUCACAUAACUUUAUUUUAGAUCCACACCUUUAAUGCAUUUGUAAUUGAGAUUAACAAUAUUAGAUCUACAUAUCAUGAGUGUGGAAUAAUUGUCAUGAGUGUGGAUUUUGUAGAAUUUUAAGUGGACUUAUAAUUCUUAGGACAGUAAUUAUGUACAUAUUUAGCUUUUUUGCAAGCAUUAGGACAUUAAUUGACUAUAGAGUAUAUAUUGAUUUAAUAGUAUGGUGGCCAUCGUAGAAUCCUUUAGGUAUGAUGGCUUGAUUGGGCUCCUCUCCAUUUCGUUUCCCUUUAGUUAUUCAUCCAUUUAUCUAAUAUACGGUUUUUAAAACUCAUAUUAUUAUGUUAUUAUUUUAUUUUGAUUGGUUCAUCAGCAUAAAUAAAGAUAAAGUCCAUUUGACAACGUUUUUGCAUUCAAUUUGCAAGAAACAAUUAAACCAGGACAAAAGAGUUUAAGAUCAUGGAAAAUUUUGUAAUGAUUAAUCGAACAUCAAUAAUUUGUUAAUUCAAAUUUAACUUUUGUGUAUAACUGAAAUAGUUUAUGAGGUAUAUUAUGUAUGGUGUUGAUUUGCAAAAUUAACUUCAAAAUGAAAUUAUCAUGGCGUAAUGCUAAGAAGAACUCACUUUUGUUUCUCCAAAUUUAGACAAGGACAUUGAAGAAGAUCAAGGAUUUGUGCUAUGCAUGUAAAAGUUUCUCCAUUAUAGUGGAAUACAUUUUUUCCACUAGUUUGAAAAUAUUAAAAUAGGUAAAUUAAUUUUACUCCUUUGUGGUUUAAUGUUUUGCCAUGCAACCCCUUGUCGUUCCGAAAUUGCAAUAUUACCUUGUGCUUUUGUGAGAGGAGCCAUUGAGUUUUUCUUUGUUUUGUGACAAAACUAGUUGUCAAGAUACAGAAUAAUUAUUAAGUGCUAAAGCAGGAUAAAUUUCAUACUUUAGGGAGUAAAGCAUCCAAAAUUAAAAUUUAAGGAUUAGAGUUGUAGAGAGUCCAUAAUUUAAGGCUCCAAAUUGAAAAUUAGCCAAGAAAAAAAGUACAAAAUAUAUAUUAGCAAUGAAAUCAACCAAACACCAUAUUUACCCUCUUUAAAUUUGAUUUAACAAAAAAAAUCAGUUAUCUACAUUGGCUUGGGUUAAGAUGAUAAUUUCAAAAGCAUAAGGAGAUUAAAAGGUGAAACAUUAAAUCAUUAUGGUAAAAGGUAUUAUUACAAUUCACAUUAAUCAAACAAUUAAUUACAUUUGUCUCACAAUGGAUCUGCUCUCUCUACUCCUUGUGCCACUUCUUGUCCUAACCUUCUAUAGUAUGUCUGCAUGAACAUCCUUUUUUAACCCUGUUUUUGUCCUUGAGUUUCUACUAUGACUAACAGGGUUAAAAAAAAGAUCAAAAUACAACAAAUAAAACCAGUAUAUGAUAAAGAAAUGAAAAAUAUAUAUCUACUAAAAAACUCGUAAAAAUUUGAUUUUUUUAAUUAAGAUUUGGCAUUUUAGUCUAUUAUCAUUUUUUUUACAUAGUUAGUGGUUCUUGGAAUUCUAAAGAAGAAAAACAAGAGUUAAAAUAGGUUGUUUAUGAAGGAUAUACGACAAUAUAAUACAAGAUGGGACCUAGAGUAAGCUAGGAAGUGAUACUAAAACUUAAGUGCAUUCAUCUCCCUUGAAAUUUGGCCAAAUUAUAAGUCAGACCUAUUGUACAUGUAUUUCCAUGAAAUUUGACCAAAUUACCAAUCAGACUUUAAAGUUUGAUCACCGUACUAAGUAACCCUAAGUAUUGAUAAUGGGGUGAGAGACUGGCAGGAUUGCAGGUUAAUCGCGCCAAGCUUCUCAUUGCCCAGAUCAGGACAGGUAAGCUUGGCCUCAUCUGAGCUUCAAAAAGGCCCUCUAUGGUGGCACUUAUAACCUAUAUAUGUUUUCAAAACUCAAACCGGCAAGCGACUCAACUGAGCUCAGGGUCAAUCAAAUCGGAUCGGUAUUAAAAACCGAAUGAUAUCAUAAAUAUAUAUUAAUUUUUUAAAAUAAAAAAUAUAAAAAAAUACUAUUAAUAUAUUAAUUAUGUUCAUUUUUACCUCAUAGUCCUUGCAUCACAUCAAAUUCUUAAAACACAAUUGAGUUACAAAUUGAACAAAAUGACAAAUCACUAUCAAAUACUUAAUACGAAUUUUAAAUAAAAAUUCAACAAUCAUAUUUUAAAUUAACUUGUUAAUGUUUAUAAAGUUCAAAUGCACAUGCAUGAUAAGUCUUAAACAAAAUUGAGACUAAUUUGUACAAAGUGCAAAAGCUAAAGUUGCACACAGGAAUUAUAAAAGAAAUUUGCAAGCAUAAUUGUAAUUGUUCAAAGCAUAAAGGUCAAAAACACAAAAUUUUAAAAAUUUUAGACUUGGAAGGCAGUUGCCACCUGGCCUUCAUCUUUUGUCUUCCUGCUCUUCAUUCGGUCCAAACACCUAUCGCCUAUACUUUGAUCCCAUUUCCACCUCUUUCUUCUCCUCCUCCUCUUCAACCUUCAAGUUCAACCAGUGUUUUCCCUUUUUUUUUUUUUUUCUCUUUUUCCGGUCAACUUCAACCAAUGCUAUUAGAAAACAGAAAUUCACCAAAUUAAAAAGGUAAAAGAAAAAAAACGACAUCAUCAAAUCACUAGCAUGCAUCAUCACCAAAUUACCGGUGGGUUUCUUUCUCUGCAUUCUUUUUUUUUUUUUCCUUUCAUUUUGUGAUUUCCUUUUGUGUUUCUUUUCUUCAAAAAGGCAAGAUUCCUUCUCUCUUCCUUUAUUUUCAUUCUUUCGUUAAUUUCUUUCUUUCUUUCUUCUUUUCAUUUAGAUCCAGAUCUUUAGAAGUUGAUAAUGAAGAUAUAUUCAUAGAUCUAUUUUCUCUUAGAACUUUUUGCUUGUGAUUUCCAAUACAUAUUACCAAACUGUUGGAGGGAUCAAAUUAAGGCUUUAAAGAUGAAGAAAAUUUUGGAAAAAAGAAAAAGAAAUCAGCAGCAGGAAAAAAUACAGCAAAAAUGAAGGUACAAACCGGGUUUUACUGGUUUUGGUUUUACUAGUUUUUCAGUCAAAUCCAAUUUUUUACAAGCAAUUUCUAAAGAUGACUCGAACUGAAUAACUGGUCGAUUUUCGAUUUGAUCGGUCAGUCUGGUCCAAAUUUAAAAACAGUGCUUGUAACCAUAGAGGUACCGGGUCCCUGAUAAUGCUACGACCAAAAGGGAUACGAGCUCCUUUGCAUUGGUUAACCCCGAGUCUUAAAAAAAAAAAACCUCGAGUCUCGACCGACACCAUAUACUUUGACUGGUCAACAAAAAGACAAGCUAAAUGUUCCAAAAUGCCCACCAACGUAUGUCAUUGUCCUAGAUUCCCAGUUAAUGUUUCAAAUUUAAUGGGCAACGGUAACCUCUUCUUUUCCUCAUUCCUUUAUAGCAAACAUUUGCCUUUAACCUUUACCUCACUAGUCACAAUAGGGCUCCUGCAUCCAACCUCCAUUAAGCAGCCAACUUUACUUUACACAACCAAUCUGCGCAAUGAUUGGGCUCUAGUCGUUUAGAGCACAAUUUUAGACUGUUAAACUCUGCCGUACAUUAAGUUUAAAGAGAGUCAUUUAAAAUUAUUAUUAUAUUUUAUCAAAUGAAUUUUUUCGUCAUUUACUUUUAAAAUCUUAAUUUUAUGUAGUACAAUUUGGUUUUAACCUAAAUUUUUGAGCAUUUUUUAGCUUGAAAUCACUCCAUGACUAGCAUGCAAUAAUUUUUUUAUGCACAAAAGGUCAAAUUUUAUUAUUUUAAUGGCAAAACAAAUACAAAUUGGGUCAAAUCUCACCUUUUUAGAAAAAAAAAUGAAUAUAGUUUGAAUCAAAUCCUAUAUUUUUAAAGACAAAAAUGGAUAUAGAUCGAGUCAAUUAUAUAAUUACAAAUGCGUCUCACUUUUUUGCCCAGAAAAAUGAUCAUGUGUGGAUCAUGUAAUUGAUUUAUGAUAAAAAACUAUCAAAAAAUUUAAGUUAAUUUUUACCGAUUUAAUUUUGUAAGGGAUGUAAAGUUACAAUUUUAAAAGUGAAUGACAAAAAAAUUCAUUAAACGAAAUGUGAAAAAUAUUUUGAACAAUUUUCCCUUUCAAAAGCUGCAUUACCUUUCCUUCUAAGGAAACAAAAAAGCCCAAAUCUCCGCAACGGAUCUUCUGUCCCACACCCUGUGCCACUCUCUGUCCCACUUUUUAUUAUAUUGCUAUUUCUCUUUCACAAACAUCAUGUUUUAAUUCUUUUUUAUUUCCUUAUGAUCCAAUAACUAUUAAUUGAGUAAAAAAUAAAUACAACAGCUUCAAAAAACUAAUAUAUAAUAGAAAAUUAAAAAAUACAGCAGAAAAUUCAUAAAAAAUCUCAUUUUUUAUGCAUUUUGAUUUUUUGAGUUUGUUAAAUUUUGUAUAUUACUCAAUUAAUAGUUAUUGGAUCUUAAGGAAAUAAAAAAGAAUUAAAACAUGAUGUUUGUGAAAGAGAAAUAGCAAUAUAAUAAAAAGUGGGAUAGAGAGUGGCACAGAGUGUGGGACAGAAGAUCGGUUGCAACAAAUCUCAUCUACCAGCAUUACCAUUACAUACGUUCAAAUUCCACAACUGUAACACCAUAUAUGUAUGUAUGUACGCGUGAUGCGUGUAUGUAUGUAUGUCUGCAUGCUUAUGAAGCGAAGGAAAAAGUAGAAAGGAGAAAAUGACUUGGUUAUACCAGUCUCGAGGGAAUUGAAUAGGAGUAGGUACGUUAAAAUGAGGAGGUGGUUAUUGUGAUUGCGGUGGCAGUUGUAAUAGAUCUGAAAUGGAGUAAAUAAGGUUUGAGACGAAGAGGGUGCUUUCUUCUUCUUCUUCAUUUUUUUCGUCAUUUUAUUUAACCUUUCCACACUGUUGGUUUGGUUAUCUUGUUUUUCUUUCUUCUUAGUAUUGGUGCAUCUUCCUUUACUUUAUCUUUAAUGUUUCUUCUCCACUUCUUUGUCUUUUAUCUCGUUCUAUUCUGAUACGUACUUUCUUGUUCUUCCGGGGGAAGCACCUAUUUGCUCUUUUUUUUUUUUUUUUUUAAACGGAAACGUUAGGAAUUGUAUUGAUAUCAAAACAAGCUAUACAACUUGAGCAACAGCCCAUAAGGAGCUUUACAAUAGUGUUGUUUGAUACUGAGGACUUAGAUAUUCCUCAUCUUGCACUAAUGUAGUAGCAUAUUCGCUUAACCUUCUACCUAUCUGAUUACACUGGUUGCCUACCAAGCUAAAAGAGCAGUUCAUAAACAAAGCUUUUAGCAUGUGAAUGUCUUCCAGCUGAGCAAAAAGUCUUAUAUCUCGUGUCUUGUUCGUCUUCAAAACUCGCAGCAUCUGAGCAGAUGAAAUUAACAAUUUAACAACUGGCCAUGGCUUUUCUCUAAUUUUGCACAGUGUUAAUUUGAUCGCUACAACAUAGUCCAGUAAUCUAUCUCCUGUGCUUCUGUCUUUUAUGGCCCAUGCAGCAUGCAUGUUGUUGCCUUGUUUAGCCACUAUGCCAAUGCUUAAAGGUUUCCCUUCCUUUUGCUGGCUGACCUCCACUACAAUGAUCAUCAUGUUGCUGUCUUCAUUGUCAUAUUGUUCCUCUUCAGCCUUUGAUGUUGUUUCCUAACUGCUCUCUCGCUUAUUUCUACUGUAUUCUUCAGUGUACUCUAGCCAUUCUAGAUGAGCUUUCUAUACAAUGUCAAAAGGAUGACAGUAUCUGUUGUUGAAAACCUUCUCAUUCCUGGCUUUCCAAACUUGCCAGAGAAUGUUAACAGUAAAAGCUUGGUGCUGAUGUCCUUCAGUUCUGCUUGUUGCUUCCAUCAGUCCACUCCACCAUUUGUUGAAGUUCCCUCUAUUGUCAGCAAUUCCAUCCCACUGCACUGGGGCCAGUCUCCAUACUUCCUUUGCUUGAUUGCAGAAAAAAAACAGGUAUUCUAUUGUCUCCUCUCCUUCGCCACAUACUUGGCAUAUUGGCUCACCCAUUUUGGUUCUGCAAUAUAUUAGCUCAUUCACUGGUAGAGCCUUGUUCAGACAUUUCCACAUAAAAUUCUUCAGUUUGCCUUUGAUGUCCAUUUUCCACAUCUUCUUCUAGUCCUUUUCUUUUUGUCCAUUGAUACUUGUUUCCCCUUGCCCUUUCGUUUCCUGCUGCUGACUAUUCUCCCCCUUGCUCAACAAUUUGUAGGCUGACUUGAUAGAGUAGUUGCCAUUAUUGCUUGCUAUCCAAUAGCUGCAAUCAGCCCUUCCUGCUAAACUAAUUGGAAUUUUGAGGAUUUCUUCAGCAUCUUUUCCAUUGAAAGUUUUGAAGAUCAGGUGUCUAUUCCACCUGAAGUUUGUUAUCAGCUCUUCCACUUUAUGUAAGCUGCAGUUUUGGGGCUUAACAGUAGUUGGUUUCCCUUCUUUGUUGUUUGGGAUCCAACUGUCUUCCCAAAUGUUGGUACUCUUGCCAUCCCCAAUUUUCUUCCAGAUGCUCCUUCCCACUUCUUCUCUAACACUGGUCAUACUUUUCCAAAUCCAUGAAGCUGUUUGGCUCACCUUGCAUUGGAAUAUUGACCUGUCUGGAUAAUAUUUAGCCUUCAUGAUCUUGCUUAUCAGUAGAUUUGGGCAUGCCACAAGUCUCCAAAUUUGCUUCUCAAGUAGAGCUUUAUUGAAAUCCUACAAUUCCCUGAACCCCAGUCCCCCUCUACUUUUGUCCUUUGUAAGUUUAGUCCAGGAGCACCAAUGCAUCUUCCUUCUUCCGCAUACCAGAAUCUAGCCAUCAUAGCACUAAUAUCUUUACAAAGUCUUCCUGGUAGUUUGAAGCAGGACAUGGCAUAUGCAGGUAGAGCCAUUGUGAUGGCUUUCAGAAGUAUUUCCUUCCCUGCAGUGCUCAGUAGUUUGUUCUUCCAGCUUUCCAUUCUUCUCUAGCAGUUAUUUCUGAUGAAACCAAAUAGUUGUUCCUUUGACCUUGUGAUGACUAUGGGUAGGCCAAGAUAUUUUCCUUGGCUUACCAUUUGAAUGUUUCCCAACUUCCUGCACACUUCUACUUUCUCCACCUCAGGUACAUUCUUACUGAAAAAAAACAGAAGAUUUGUCAUAGUUUACCAUCUGACCUGAGCUUUUUUUCAUAUUUUGCCAAAAUCUUCAUAAGCUCCUCAGCUUGAGCUGGAAUUGCUUUACAGAAAACUAAUGUAUCAUCAGCCAAAAACAGAUGGGAUAUUGAGGGACCCCUUCUACUGAUACUAAUUCCUGAAAGCAGCUUCAUCUCCUCAGCUCCCUAUUUGCUUUUUUGCCACCCCGCUUUUCUAAAUUUAGUAAUUAAUUAUCUUCGGCUUUUUUUGCUAGCAAUUCUUGUGCCUAAAAAUGCUAUCCCAUUUGUUUUGGUUUUUAUUUUCCAAGUCUUUUUAAAGUAGGGCAUUGUUGUCAUUUGAUUAUAUCCAACGGUUGGGUCUGGACAGCCUCAUUUGCAAGCGUAGUUGUAAUUUGGUACAAACACAGAGCUAAGUUUGUAAAUUACUGAAGCUACAGGGGAGUUUAAUUCUAUUAAUCCAAAACUAGAACAAUUAGUAUGCUAGGAUUGACAAUUGAUUGUCAAUUUUUUUUUAUUUACCGUCAACAUGGAGUAUGUGAGAUGAAAAGGUGGUGAAAAACUUUUAAAGGAUACUGAAAGAAUAUUUUUUCAAAUAAUGUGUUCUUGCAUAGCUAUCCGUCUAUGUAAUGGGCUGUCUCGGAGUUACACUAACCCAAAAUUCAGCAAACUUGAUCUCCUAUGAGCUGACUUUUGAAGUAAAUUAAACUUCCUUUAAUCCAGGCAAAGGCCGAAGACCCCUACGAGGAGCUUUUCCAAUUGCUGUCCCACUAAUGGGGGUUGCUUUUGUGCUAUUUAUCAUGACUUUAGUCUUCCUGAAAAGAAGAUCAGGGAAGAGACAUGCUGCUAUGGCACAGCAGGGGGCAACUGGUAAUGUUUAUUGAUUGCAAUUACAGGAAACCUCAGAGAUUUUUGAACUAAUAAAUUGAGUGUAUUUGCUUAUCCCUGGUGUAGAUGGAGUUGCCGAAAUCUUAACAGCCGAAUCCUUACAGUAUAGCUUAACUGAAAUUCAAAUUGCCACAAAUAACUUCUCUGUGGAUAACAAAAUUGGCGAAGGUGGAUUUGGUCGUGUAUACAAGGUCCCUAUAUGAAAUAUAAGUGAUUCUGAAUUUUAAUAUCUAAACUUUCAAGUUUUCAAUCACAUCUUACUAUGCAUAUAUCUUCAGGGUGUACUUGCUAAUGGACAAGAGGUAGCAGUAAAGAGGCUGUCAAGAAGCUCAGGGCAAGGUGCAGAAGAAUUUAAAAAUGAAAUUGUAGUGGUCGCAAAGCUUCAACACAGAAAUCUAGUUCGACUAUUGGGAUUUUGCUUGGAAGGAGAAGAAAAGAUACUCAUAUAUGAAUUCGUUCCCAAUAGAAGCCUUGACUACUUCCUCUUUGGUGAGUUUUAGUCUAGAAAUGCUUGUUCUAGUGUUUGGUUUUUUGUUUGACCUUCUUCUAUGUUACUUAAGUCCACCAUCUUAGCAAAUGACAGGUAACAAAUUGGCUCUUGACAGGUGUUUUAUUGUGAGAAACCAUUGAUUUAGUAUUUUUCAGUUCUAACAAAGAAUAUUGUGUUUAAGAUAGUAAAGAUUCAGAAAAGAAACGAUCACUGAACUGGUCAAGACGUUACAAGAUCAUUGGAGGUAUAGCAAGAGGACUCCUCUAUCUGCACGAGGAUUCUCGUCUUAGAAUUGUUCAUCGUGAUCUCAAAGCAAGCAAUAUAUUGUUGGAUGGAAAUAUGAGUCCAAAGAUAGCAGAUUUUGGCACGGCAAAGAUUUGUGGAGUUGAUCAAUCUGUAGGAAACACAAAUAGAAUUGCUGGGACAUUGUAAGUUUUGCUCCACACCAUCGUUUCUCACAUAAUAUGACUUUGUAUCUUUCAUGGAAAACACAUUUCAUUGCCUCAUUAGUGAUGCCUUAAUACCAAUUAUAACAAUCUUUGUGGCUUGUAGUGGUUACAUGGCUCCCGAAUACACAAGGUGUGGCCAGUUCUCCGUAAAGUCAGAUGUAUUCAGCUUUGGGGUUGUAAUUUUGGAAAUUAUCACAGGCAAGAAGAACAGUAGCUUCUACGUAUCUGAAGAUUCUGAAGGCCUUCUAAGCUAUGUAAGUACAGAUCACGAAAUCUCUGCUGAGUUUUACUUGUUUUCUGUGGUUUUGAACAAUUGGAGUGGAGGAUUUGACCCUAAAUUGAAAUUGGAACGCCUAAAUUUCAAUUUCUUUGUUUGUUUGUUACUCUAAAGAUUACCUAAAGUUGCAAUUGCUUAUGUGCUUGCGUGAAACCAAAUUGGAACAGUAGCUCAUGAGCUACCUGCCCUAAGUAAAUACAUAAAUCUGUUUGUGUUCCAUGUAGAUCUUUAGAUCUCCAUUGGGACUUAUCAUAUUUGCUACUCGUUGUGUCAUUGGUAUGUUGCACUCAAACGAUAUAUCCCUCUAACGUAUACCUAAUUCUUAGUUUAUCUCCUAACCUUUGUGUCACUUAACCUCCCUACCAAACAAAACUACACUCUUAUUGUGUUGAUUAUUUUCUUCUCUUUUGUUUUUUCUGUCAACUUCAUUUUUUUUUUUCAAAUUCUUAUUUUUGAGCAAAGUCAAGGAUUCCUCCAUAAAAAAAAUGUAUUUGGCAAAAUAUAGCAUCGUAAUUGAAUAUAUGUUUUAUUAUGACUUUAUAUAUGUGUGUGUAUAUAAUUAUUCAAUUACCAAUCAAUUUCAUUCUAAUUAAUUUCAUCCAUUUUCAAUCUAAGAAAUCAAAAGGAAAAAUUUUUAAUCUAUAUCCUCAUAAUUAGACAAAUUGACAAUCACAUUCACAUGUCGAUUAUUUGGACAUUAUUUUAGUCUUUUUUUCUCUUAUGGAUUUUUUUAUUAGAUUCUUUUCUUUACUAAUUUUAUAAAAUUAAUCAAAUAUUAAUAUAUUCUUUAAUAAAUAUACUUCUCUCCGUUGAUAUGUUCCCAAUUGGAAUUAGAUUCAUCCAAAUUGAAUUAUAGGUUAAGAUUAAUUGAGAAAAGAAAGAAGUAAAAAGAAAAAAAAUUAAACCUAAAAAUAUUAGAGGAGUAAUUUUGUUUCUCAAAGGUUAAGUGACACAAAAAAUACAUUAGGAGGUAACGUAAGAAUUGGUUUGUAUCUUAGGGGGAUUAAUUCUAAUUAACCCUUCAAAUAAAGACCAUUUAUUUCUUUAACAAGGUACACUAGACUAAAAAUGACAGUCCAUAGAAAAGGAUGCGAACUAAAUUUAGAGUAUUGACUAAUGCCUAUUGGAAAGGUGACAUUAUUCAUAGAACAAACUACUAUGUAAAGUUGGAUAUCACUUGUGAAACUAGAUAUGCUUGAGCAAAUUGCAGUUUUUAAGUCUGAACUCCUUAUAUGUGGGAUAAUUUCAAAAAGGCUUGGAAGCAUUGGAGAAGCGGCGAUCCUUUAGCUCUUUUGGACUCAAGUAUUGGAGAUUCUUAUCUCAAAAAUGAAGUCAUUCAAUGUGUCCAAGUAGGUUUAGUAUGUGUUGAAGAAGAAGUCAGCAAAAGACUUACAGUGGCAUCCGUGGUCCAAAUGCUCAAUAAUAGUUCUGUUACCUUACCUACUCCACAUUGUCCGGCAGUUUUCCGGCGCCAUGGAUCGGAGGGCAGGGUGGAGGAGCUGGAAGUUGAUCAAUCUAAUACUGAAAGAAUUUCAGCUCCAAGCUAUGUAAAUGAGGCAUCAAUUACUGAACCAUAUCCCAGAUGAAGGAAGAAAUAGGGCUAAUUCUGGAAGGAAAUAUCAAGGAAUUGUGUUUCGCAUUUCCAAAUCCUCCUAAGAAUGAAAAAUCUGCUUGUACCGCAGUGUGUCCUAGUUGACAAAAUAGCCCCCAUGUACAAGUGGACAUUCUUGUCAAUCACUAGCGAUUUUGAAUUGAGCUGCACAAAUUUUUUUUUUUUUUUUUGAAAGUUGAACAUAUGCAUAAACUCAUUCAUUACAUAACCUUUGCAAGAUAUAUUCAGUCAGGACAAGACAUCUUUCCUUGGUUUACCACUAUCUAUUAUCUCUAUGACACCAUUUGCGUGAUUAAACUACAACAAUUUUUAAAAGGCUUAUAAACUACAUGUAACUCUAAUCAACGAUACCACAAUCAUACUUCUUCUAUUACAUUUGGAGAUUUAUUGUGGAAUUUCUUAUUAGUAUAGUUUUUUCACUCUUCCUCACCAUAAACACCUAAUUUUCUCCAAUUAUACAUUUGGCAACUCAAUUUGGAUCACAAAUGGCAUGAACGGUUAUGCAAUGUUGUAAGCCUCAAAACACCGCAGAAUCCGUCUGGCCAAAUUUGAGCCAACAACUUGAGCAGCCAAGUUGGAUACCAUGGCUAGCUUCGGGUAAUGUAGUGAAGAGUCAUAUUUUGGAGGGUUUUGAAAAGUCGUAGGGUUUCAACCUUGUAAUACUAAGUUAUUCUUCUUGAAAGUUGCGAAAAUUUUCCAUUCCAUCGAGGUACUUUUCAUUUUUUUAAAUUUUGUUUGUAGUUUCUAACUUAAUAUAUAUUAUCAUUCUUAUUCAUUGUCCCUUUUCCACGGAUAAAUAAUACUAAAAAGGUACUAUGUCUCAUUUCUCAGAAUUGCAGUGGUCAAGAUCAUGAACCAUUAACCAUUGAGAUUUAUUCAUGAAGUUUCUGAUUUUUAAACUUGGAGUCUUGUCAUGUAACAGUAAGUACAUAAAUGUAUAUAGAAUCCAGGUUAAACACUGAUUCUUAAUCCGCAUUGAAACCAAUUAUAAACUGAAGCAUGUAGCCUGGCCCCUAUACAUAUAAUCGCAGUUUGUUCCAAUUCUACUUCUUGAUUCAAGGCAACGAAUUAAAAAGUCACAACAUGGAUUUUAUUAGGCCAGAUAAAAGGCAACGAAUUCACAGCCUGGAGAUGAUCAAUACUGUAAAUUAUAUACCUUCAGAUGUAUUGACAAAGAUUCUGCUACGAUUUUAUCUGAUAUCAUUGAUGCAAUUCAGAAGUGUUAACGAAUCCUGGUGUGCCCCGAAUUCAAUACCUUCACUGGGUAUAGCCCCACGAUCUGGAGGUACCGAAUCUAAGUGAUCCACUGAUUCAAGUAACUGGUCCUAUCAACGGCAUCCUUUGCAUCAUGGAUGGUUCUGAUAUUCAUGUUUGUAAUCCUGUGUCUCACAAAUCAGGAGGCUUCCAGCUUCCCCCUUCUUGUUCCUCAAGAAUAUAGGACAAGAAUAUAGCGCUCACGGGAAUUUGCAUCAUUCCUCAUGGGGGUAUGAAUUUAGCUUUAAUGCCUACAAUGUUUUUAGGCUUGUGAGGAUUCUGCCAUAGGAUAGAUACAGCUUUGUUUGUGGUUUAAUAAGAGCUGACAAAUAAUGACAUUCGAGUUUGUCUAAAGUUCUUAAAUUAAUAUGAAAUUUUCAUAUUGUUAUAUGCCUUGGUAAAGUUGAUCUUUAUGGUUGAUUUUACAGGUUUAGUUUUUCCUUUGGUCUUUGCCAGUAUGGAUAAGAUGCCUUCCUUACAACGGUUUGUUGAAACCUAUACCAAUGAACCCAAAUUUGUAGUGAUGUGCUCCUCUUACAAUUUAAAGUAACAUUCGUUCUUCAAUUCAGAAAAACCUGAAGUAGUUGCCGAACAACAGAAGUAAAAUGUAUCACUUCGAAUAUUUCUUGUUUAAAGCACAUCUUAAUUUGUUUCGUGUUAGAAUUUUUUUUCCUAUCAAAUGGAUAUACUUGGAUUACAUGGAUUAUCCACGUAAAACCGCCAUUUUAACGAGUUAAACUGGGUAAUCAUUUAAUACUGAUGAUUAAAUUUUUCUCAUUCAAAUCCAUCUAAAGUGUUGGCUUUGAUUCAUAGCGUCGAAUGGAAAUCAAUAGUUUAACUUAAUCUUUUUAUUUUCCAUUUUAUCUCUUUCUCAUAACUAUUGUAGAUCUCCAACGUAUAUGCUAAUCAGUAAAAGGUUAUUCUCUGCAUUUCAUGUUAAUCUUUGUAGAAAGCGGGAAGUAUACAUUAUAUUAGCUACAAAGAUCAUUGUUGUGGGUAGUAGUAGACCCAAGAUAAUUUUUUAGCAGAAGCACAAAUAAAAAAAAAAUUAGGUUUUGCAAGUAGAAGGGGGCAAUAAUAAUAUUCAAAUAACAAGUAAUUGUACCAUAUAAUAUCAGUUAAAAGUCAAACUUAUUGUUGAAUAUUGCAUACUAACCUUAAGAGAAUGAGGCCAAGGGUUCUCAUAGUCAGCCCGCUAUUUUAAUACAUAUCAUUAUUAUGCUGCAAACCUGUGAAGCUGAAUAUGCACGCGUUUUAAAUGAGCCCAUUAAGGCCCACCUUUAAUUCCUAACAUGAACCAAGUGAUUGAUGCACAUUAAAAAAUGUUUCUAAAGAAAUUUGUUUACAAAACUUAAUUUUAUUUUUUGCAAUAAAUAAAAAUUCAAGCAAUAUUUAUGUAGAAUUAGUUUUAGUUUUUUUUGAUGGAUAAUGCAAUUGUGGAAAACUGAUAGAAGGUCCAAAAAGUUUAGAUAAUGAAAGGUAAUGAACUGAGUGGUAUUGUGCUUAGUAUCUAGUUGUUUAGAUAAUGGCGUGGGAUUAGUUUCUUUUUUAUUAUUUUUGUUUUGUUCAAAUAGAUUAGAUAAUUUACCUUUACAAUUAAAGUAAUAUGAUAGAAAUUUUGAAAUUUAACCAUUACACACUAAACGUACAGUAGAAAAUUUAAACAAUUAUCCUACUUUUUAUAAUGUAUGGAUAUCAUUAUACAUUACAAUUUCAAAGUUCAAAACUCUCUCUAAAAUACCCGAUCAGGGGCAUCAUAUGUUCCAUUUGAGUCCAUUUGAGGUUAAAUUUAUUAUUUUAAAUUUUCAUACCAUAUUCCAACUUGUUUACACCCUACCUAAAAUUAUUUAUACUAUACUCCUACUUGUUUACACCUAGGGACAAACUGUGAUGCCCCCACUUUUUUCAAGGGCGAACUCAAGGGUAUCCGCAGAACGCUUGCUCAACACUCGUUGGGGCUUACUACAAUCCAUAAUUCAAAAGCUAGAAAUACUUCAAAUAUUUUCAAUAUAUAAUUAAAGUACUCCAAAAUAUUUCAUACUUAAAAUUAGAUAACCUUCAAGUUUAAAUACAAUCCAAAAGAAUAUGUACUAUAGUCAUCUGCUAUAAUACAACUUAAAAUUUUCAAAAGAAAAUAACCUAGUACUAUUCACGAGCAUUUUCGGUCUUGAACCCUGUUAAGGAAAACAAAAGCGUGGAAUGAGUUAAACAGCCCAGUGAGAUUCCAAAACGCACUAGCAGUUCUAAUAAAUUAAGUAAAUUAACCAUAACACAUAUAUGGUUCAAAGUUUCACAUUGGCACAUUAAAAUGAGACAUUUAUCAUUGUAUUGAAAUAAACACUCAUUAAAAGGAUACGGUGUUCACAUGGAACCAUUUCGGUCAGCUUCAUCUUAUUACUCCAGUAAUUCCCCUGGUUGUCUGGCCAUCACCUUAUCCCUCCAGUGGUAAUACUCGAGUAUACAGAAAUGGUGGCCCAGGGUUCCAACCUACCCGACCGAGUUCAAUCCUGGCUCGAGCAGGUUAGUAACCAAGGGCAGGAUCCAGUUCAGCUUAGAGCUUACAACAUGCGCAAGUAAUCAAAUAAAUCGGUAAACGGUAGCAGUUCAAGGUUAACGAUAGAAAUUUACGGUUAAACGGUAGAACUUUGUCAUUUUAGUAGGUCGAGUGAGAUAAAGUACACACUUGCCUUAAAACGGUGAACAAUUUCAUAGGAGCAAUUAUAGGUAGCACUUAACACUUAAACACAUAAGGAACACUCACCAAUUCAAAAUAAGUGAGUAAAGAAAGUCUUUAAUGAUCCACUUCAGGAUUCUCUUCGAGACCUUCUUGAUCGCCUGAAGAAAAGUGUCCAACAAUCACUCUCACACUUUCACAAAUUCCUUAUCAAACAAGGAAGAAUGCACACUUGAUUUAAAAUUCAAUUCAACGUCUUUAUAAGAGUUUCACUUUAUCGAAAGUCAAGAUUCACAAGUGAGGAAUUUAAAGUUACUAAGGAAAUGCAUAUCCUCCACGAAAUCGGGUUUAAAACGAUAUAUCAAUAUCAAGAUGAGAAGUCAAGUUCCCAAAAUUGCAUUUUCUAAGAAAUCGGCAAAUUUCAGCUUUGCAUGCCAAAAUUAUAAAAAUCAGAUCUUGCACUCAAUAACUCCAAAAUUGGAAAACUUUACACUGUUAGAAACUAGUUUCAAAGUACUAAAAGUUCCUAAAAAACACCUUUCCAAGAUUCUAAAUGGAAGGCAUUCAAAAUUUCAGCUCAAAGUGGCUGAUCUGAGUAAGCAAGGCAGUUUCAGCCAUGCUUUUCGGCAAUCUUUGGAAAUUCGGAAAAAUUCAUAGAAAGUGAACUAGCCUUUGAAAUUUGUAACACACUACGAGAUUCUAACACUUGUUUCAAACAAGACAAAUGGAACUGAAUUCAGAGUUUUGAACAUUAAGAUAUCAUAGCUUAAAGUCGGCUGACUUUUGUACACUAUUCAGAAAUUUUUCAGAUUUGAAGAGCAAACUUUGAGACAUCAUUUGGGUAUCAAAAUGGUCCUAGAAUAAUACCAAUUUUGGUACACUAAAAAUUCCAUAUGAGAAAUACCUGUCUAUCAAAUUUCAUGCAAAAAUUCAUAUGAGAAGGUAGUUAACAAAAUCACCAAAGUUCGGAAAAUUUCCAAAGCUAAUCUGCCUUCUUGUUUUCUUUCCCCUUCUAAACAUUUUGCACAAUGAAAUCAGUCCCAUUUUGGUUCAUUUUUUAAACCAAGGUCCUAUAACAACUUAAUAGGAAAUAUAUGAUUGAUUGACAUCAGAAUUUUCGAAACAAAACGUCCCAAAUCAAACUUAACCAUUCGGCUAGCAAAAAGAGAAAGAUUUCCAGAUUUCCAGCUUUGUCACACUUUGGAAAUUAUACCAUAUCUCACUCAAUAUAACUUGAAAUUGAGAAUGGUCAGUGGAAUUGAAAACUAGAUUGAAAAUUCUAUAUUUCAUUAGAACAAGUCGUUCUCAAAAUCAGUUCACAAGUGGUUCGAAUUCAAGCCUCAAGUUACAGCUUCUCAUUUCCAUUCGGGUGAAUAGGCUGAACAGAACAGGAAACUUUGGUGAACCACUACAGUUCACUCAGUUCGAACUAAAUGGUGAGUUUUAUACCGUUGGAAAGCUACAAAUGUCUAGUUUCAAAUGCCACAAACGGCACUCGAAUUUGACAUCUGUACAAUGAGAUAUGUUCAAUUAAAGAAACACUGUUCGGACUGCCUGGACACGUUUCCAGAUUUCUUCAAGUUUUGAAAAUUCAAUUUUUUUGCUCAACCAAUUCAAAAAAUUUUUGAUAGAAACUUUCUACACAUAAUAUAUGACAUAUAUACAUCAGUUUCACAGUUAUUGGAGUAUCAAAAUUUUGAAAUCUAGGCACAGCAAAAACAGGACAGAUUCGGCCAUCACACUUGCACCACUCUCCUUCGAUGUUUCCUUCAAUUUCUAACCUUAACACUCAUCACAAACACACUAACACACUUUUUAACAUCAUGGCAAUCCUUAUAUAACCAAGAUAGGAGUUCAUAGAGCCCACUUCAACCAAUCCAAUCCAAAUAACAACACAACAACAAGGAAGCUACAAGCUUCAAAGCCAAGAAUGAAACUCUUUAAAGCCAAGAAAUGAAAGAUUGGAUGAGUUGAGGUGUAUACCUCUUGAACCCUUGAAGAACCAGAAAUUUUUUAUCACAAAAGCUCCAAGAAAACCGCCAAGAUGAAGUCUUCCACCAAUCUUAAGCUAAUCUCUAAGUGGUAUGUGAGUUGUGUGAAGAUUUAAAGGUGAAAUGGUACAAGAUUGGAUGGAGUUUUCUUUCCUUCAUCUUCCUUGGGGCUGCUGGCCGAAAAAUGGAGAGAGAUGAGAGAGGUUUGUGUGAUAAAACUUGGGGAGAAAGAAUGGAAUAGUAGCCAUAAGUGUUGGGCAAAAAGUCAUCUCUUAAUAGUUGUCGCGCACGGGUUUCGUACCACCGUUUUCUCUCUUGUUUGUUAUACUUGUGCACUAAACCUCCAGUGUACUUCCUUUAACACUAUAAUUAUUCACUCUUAGUAGUCUAGUAUAAGUUUCUUAAAUCUCCACUUAGCCGCUCUGACCCGAAACACGCGUACUUACACGAAAUGCGCAAACUUACGACGCGCGCGUAAAAAAAAUCGAAACUUAAGAAAAAGUCAUGCACUACUAGGGUUAUUAAAUAUAACUAGGACAAUUAAUUAUAAAAAAAUUAAAUUAAUAAUUAAAAACACGAGUCCUCACACAAACAGGUUUGAAUUGAAACUUGUGAGGCCCCAUUUGUAAAAUAACCAACUUUCCUAACUAGUCACCCUUUCAACAGUGAUGCAAGAUGUGUGGACCAAAUUGGAUUAUUCUCUAGCACAACUUAUUUGAGUCAGUCCUAAAUUAAUUUAGGAUUUUGUGUCGUUGUUUAGUUGAUAAAGUAUGUUUUUGGAGAGAAGUAGGAGGGAAAGGAGGAGAGGAAAAAAGCAUAAUGAAUAAGAGUAGAAGACGCUAAUAGCAUAAGUGUAUCAAUAUUGUUUUCCAAUAGAUCUAGGGGUUGGGGUUUGGGUGUAGGGUGUGGAGAGAGAAAAAGGAGAGGCAAAGUGCGCCAUCAAUGUCCUUCCCAGAUCAGAAAAGUAUAUAAGAAAUAAGAAAGUUGAGGAAGUUAAUAGGGGGCAUUUUAGUGACAAAUCGUGGUGGAGUAUAAAUAUAAAAAAAGUGUAAAUAUUGUAUUGAAUAUUUUAAUGGUAAAAUAGUAAAGGAUUAAACUUUUUUAUACACUGAUAGUGUAUAUAUUAUUGGAUUUGAAUUCAUUCCAUGCGUGCAAAAUAUUUAUUUUAAAUUCAAAAUAAAAUUAGUUAUCAUGUAUCGAAAUAUAUAUAUAUAUAUAUAGCAUAUAAAAUAUUAAUCUAUUAUUAAAUUAGUUUAACCUGGUAAAGAUAGAAAGAACUCAAUAACGAUGAACUAAGAGGCACCAUAGAGAGAUGUAUUGGUUCAUGAGAGGAACAUAAUGACUCACCAAGGGAGAGACUAGGUUUUAAUGUGAUUGGACAAAGGAAAAUUUCUGAAUUAAAUUGAAAGGAAAAUGAAAACAAUCCUUUUUUUUUUGUGUUUUUUAGGGCUUUUCCCAGAAGGGGCCCCUUCCAAAAAUUCUCGAUGGCUUAGGCUGAAUCUAGGCCCAAGAGGGGACUUGGAAAUUGCUUUCAAGUUUCAACCAAUAGUGGAUGGGCCUCGAUUAGAAUCUCAUCAAUUGCGUCAUUGUCCCAAGCACAAAUAUUUUAAAAAAAAAUCAAAUCAAUUAUGCUACCAUCAUGUACUUUAGAUAUAGCACUAGUUUCUUUCCCGUGCAUUUGCAUGGAUCAUUUUACAUUCAGCAACCCAAUUAAAUAUUGCAAUACAAAUUUUUUAAAAUUUACUAUUUAUUUAUAUAGAUAAACUACUGUUUUGAUUAACUAUUCAAAAGUAGUUUGAAAAUGGAAGAAUUGAUAUACUAUAUGUUAAACUUAAAAUGAGCCAAAUUUUGUAAAAGAUGUGUAAUAUAAAUAGUAAAUAAAAUGAGAAUUAGGUUGGAGCACUAAACAAGAUUUUAUAAACAUUUAAUAUAAAGUUAAGGCAAUUAACCAAAUUAACGGCGGCCAAGGAGGUUUUUUGCUCUAGUGGCUAAAAUUGAAACUCUAGAACUUAUGGGUUCUACGUUUUAAUCCUCUUUCCCUUCCCUACUUCUUAAAUUUCAUCCUUUCUUGCUAUAAAAAUAUUAAAAAAUUAACGAUGAGCAAAAGGUAACAAAAAUUCAAUCUAAAAUUAAUUUUGGAACCAGUAUACAGUCUAUUAAACCUGUGCAUAUAUUGGAGCAAGAGCAAUAUUUUCCUCAAGAAAGGAAUAAGUGUCAUAAGGCAUUCAAUAAUGAAAUGUCCAAAUUUUAUUUAAAAAAAUUAGAAAAACAAUAUGUUGAAAGAAAUUUGCUAUAAAUAAAGAAGUAAUGAAUCAUUGAAAAAAAUAAAAAUUAUCCAAAUUUUAGUAAUCGUAAUUUUUAACAUAUAAUCAAGCAAAAUUAUCAAAAUAUAAAACAUGAUUGGAAAGAAACAUACAUAAGAAAAAGAAAAAUAUAGGUUGAUUGCUAAAAAGAUUUAGUAAGAAUAAUUAAUAUGAAUGUAUAUAAGGCAUAAACUCAUGAAUCGAUUAAAAGUUUCUGUAAAUAAGAAAGUGAAAAAGGAUGGGUAUCAACUAUCACAAAGAAAAGGAAAAGAAUAAAAAAAAUAAAAAACACAAACAUCAAAGUAGCCAACUCAAUAUGUAUAUAUAUGUGUAUGUAUGUGUGUGUGUAUAUACAUAUACAUAUACAUACAUGCAUAUAUAUGCAUACAUACAUACAUAUAUAUACUAGUUUUUGGCCCCUGCGCUGGCCUAUGUUAUGGCUGAUGGAUUUUAUGCUGUGAUUGGCAGUAUUUUGUAUAGCAUAGGCAAAAAAAUAUGUUGGUUAUAUAGUCGAAGAGAUAUGUGAAUUUUGUAGUUAUUCAAGCGUAGUGGCAAUGAUACCAAGGAUAUAUUCUUUCUACAUUAGUGUUUUUGAAAAUGAGGGCUAUAUAUUCAGCUUUUGUAGUGGCAAGAAAUAUGAUAGUGUGGCCUGGUUUCCUAUCAUGCUUAUUGAUAAAGACGUUCCAGUUGGUUGUGAUGUAUUUGCCUUCUAUGUUUGUUGAAAUGGUUUUGUAGCCUGUAGUGAGCCUGAGAAGUGGAGUUCGUUUUGCAUUUAUUCGUUGCCUGAGGGGUUUGGGGAUUUUCUGUAUAAGUUUUGGAAAUAUCGUUAGUGUACAUAAUGUGUUUUGUGUCGUGAAAUGUGGUGUGCUAUGAAUGUAGUAAAAGAUGGCAAAGUUACCAAUUGAUGUCUGUCAAUGAUGGAGUAUAGAUGGUAGAACGCUAUGUUUUUUUGUCAGCGUUUAGUGAAAGUUUGGGCUCAAUGAUGAGAAAUAGGUCUAUUUAUUGCUGGACAUUGAGUUGGGUCUAAAAUGGAUAGAUGGGUAAAAUUGUUAGCGAAGAUUUAAUUAUGAAAAUGGUUUGUAGUUUUGCAGUGAAAGGUAGUUGUACCUGGAUUCAUAGUAGAUGGGUUUGUAUUUGUUGCUGAGAAAGGAGUUGUCUAUGGUAGAUAGUUUUGGAAUUGGUGCUCAUUAAAUAUUAUUGUGUCAAAAAUGUUUUGUGUAUUGUAUAAAAAUAAAAUUAGAUAAUAGUCUUGUAUGGCAUUGUCGAUUAUAUAUGUGUUUAGCCAAAUGCAAAAUGUUGUCCUUCUAGUUGGAUUUGCCAUUGCCUGAGCCCAUGCUUCAGAAAUAUUGUAGUUUGAAUUUGUUCUCAAAUGGCAUUGAAGAAUGAUGUAGGAAUUUUCUGCAAAUAAGUUAAAGCGAUGGAGUUGUAUGAAGUAUUUUGAUAGAAAGUUAUAAAUUUGGGUAGAAUCAGUACCGGAUUGGAGUUGUUGUUGUGGCAUAUUAUGAAGCAUAGUUUCGGAGUUGGGUCUUCGAUUUACUGCCUUGUAGAGGUAGCGGUAUCUGUGGAUGAUUGGGUUUUGAAUAAGUGUAAUAGAAGUUUUUAUGUUUGGUGUAGUGCUGUGUAUAUAUUGUUAUUGAAGGUAUAGAAAGUUAGAUAGAAAGAUACCUGAUAGAUUGGCGUCCAUGGCCGCGUUGGAAAGGUUUGAUGAAUGAACAAUGCACAGGGGUGAAGUUAGUUUUAUACCGGUGAAUGUUUAUUUUUGGGGGUAUUUUUUUAAAUAUUUUUGUGUGAUAAGGUGAGUUUCUGAUGGAUAGAUGUAUUUGUUGUCUUUGAGAAUUUCUUUGAUUUGAUAUUUUGUUUGUUUGAUUUUUUUAUUGGUAUCUGUUAGCUAUUUGUGAGUAUUUUAGAUAUGGCAUGGGGAUAGAUGUUAGACAUGGGCAAUAAUGCAUAGGUAUGUGUGAUUGGUGUUUUUUAUUAGAAAUGAAAUACUUGAAUCAGUGGUGUGACGGUUUUGUUUUAUAUAGUUAUUUGUCGCUGGUCAUGUGAAUAUUUAUGAUGAUGUUUUUGGAUAUAUAUAUAUAUAUAUAUAUAUUGCUUUUUUGCUUGUUUCUAUUAGGUGGAAUGUGUUCUUGUUUUUUGUUUGUUGUUUGUAUAGAAGAUAAUAUAAAUGUUGUUUGUUAAUUUGUUGCAUAUCUUAGAGGGUGGUAAUAGAGGAAAAUAUUAUGAUUGUUGGAGUAAUGGUCAAUUUGUUUGUUGGUUUUUGUUGAUUUAAUUUGACAUUUAAUGGUUAUUUUGUCUAUAUGCGUAUAGAUGAGGGAUAUUAGUGGAGUUAGAAUAUUCGAGUAUUAGGUGUUAGAUCAGAUAUAUUUCAAUGUAUUCAUCGUUGAAUAUUUGUACAUAAUAUUCAUUUCUUUGUAAAUAACUAAUGAUUAGUAUGUAUCCUGGUUCGAUAGCAUGGUUUUUGAUUAAUUUUUUUCAACCUUUUGUGAGGUAGUCAUCUUCAUACUUUAUUUGCUAGGUGCGGGAUAGCAAUGGAGUAUGAGAAUGCCAUCUUUAUCUGGACGGAAGUGGUGCAGGUCCUCUAGAUGUAUCUCCUGUAAUGUUCAAGAGGGGAUAUAAUAAGUACAUCAUAAUGGAGUAUUUUUAUUGAGAAAAUUAUUUUGGCAUACUAAAUAGUUUAGAGUUUGAGGUGUAAUUAUGAGGUAGAUAGAAAUUUUUGCUAGUAGUUGUUCUCUACCGGAAAAAUAUCCUGCAAUGGAAGAAAGAUUGAGUUAAUUGUUAUUUUUUUGUAUAAUUAUAUAGUAUAAUUUGGUGAUAGAUGUUGAUAUGAGUUCUUUGUAAUUACCGUGUUCUUUUUAAAUAUCACCAUUGAGUGGCAAAGUGUUCCAUUUGUAAAAGUCUGUGCAUCUGUUUGGAGUGAAAAUGGUCACUCUGAAUACCAUUGCUCCAAUAUGGUAGAAUUGGAUUAGUGAAUGGUCACAAAUAUCACGGUCUUCAAUGAAGCUGUGCCAAUUGGAAUUUUUUGGGGUUUCAUCAAGAGUGAUAAACAAAAUCUUCUUUCCUACUUUUAGUAUUGCUAUUCAUCUGAAAUGGUUUGCAAGGAAAGGGAUAAAGCCAUUGGGUAUGUCCUAUAUAUGGGAUGGGAGGUUAAUUUAGUUUAUUUUUGUAGAAAUUUGUAAGGUUUGUUUGAGUAUGGUGGUUUAGAGAAGUCUUUGUUACUUACGAAAUUGUGGUUGUCUGAUUUUGUAUAAUAAAUGAGGAAAGACUUGAUCGGCUAGUCUGGGAAAAGACAACAUUAGGUGUGUAUAUUUUAUAUAGUAGAGCAUAGAUGAAAAUUUGUAUUUGUUACCUAAGUGUAGUUCUGAUGGUGGAUAUGGCCUUAUUGCUAAUGACAUCCAUGUUGUGACGUCUUUAUCUAUUGUCCAAAAUUGUAUAUUUGGUCUGUGAACUAUCCACAGAACACUAUUUUGGAGCUAGUGGGAAAUUUGAUACAUUGGCCGGUGGUCAGAUUCUGAGGUUGCUAUAAUCGCGACAAUUGGAUUAUUGUUUUGGUUUAUAAAUGAGUAGGUGGUUAGUUUAUUUGUGUUGUUGUCAUGGUAUGAAUUGAUUUUCCAGUAAAUCAAAUAGUUUGAUUCCAUGGAUAGGAUUUUUAAGGUGUUUUGGGUAAGAGGAAUAUUGAGUUUGGGUGUGGGAAAUAUUUUGAACAACUAUUUUGCUGUAGAGAAUGUGAUGUAGGAAGGGUUGCAUGGCUGAAGUUUUGUGCUGGAAUUUAUAGUAAUCUUGUUUCUCUAAUAGGGGUGAAGAUAUUUCACUGUCUAUAUGGAAGUUUCUUAAACUUUAGGGAUUAGUUUUUUAUUUUUUUUAUUCAAGUAGUAUUGAGGGAUAGUGGAGUUGAGCUAUUAAAUCUUGUUAUUUCAAUCAAAAUGAUUGGUAAUGUCAUUAUGAGAAAUGGAUAUAUAGACAAUGGGAGUCAAGUUAGUUGAGAAUUCAUGGGCUAUAUAGUGAAAAUAGUGAAAAUAUCUUAUCUUAGCUGGCCAUGCUAGGCUAUGAUUUCAAAAGGAGACAGAAUCGAUGAUAUAAUAGGCCGUAGACCAAUGUGUGUUCAUAGAAGUUGCAGUUACAUAGACAAAAAAUUUGGAACAGAUUCUACCAAAAGAUAUGGUCUAGAGGCAUUAACAGAGAUUAUGUAACCUUGGUUCAAAAGAGCUAUUCUUUAUCUAGCAUUAGAUUGUUAACCUUGUUUUAGUUGUUUGGUGUCUUUGUCAGGUUGCACUUCCAGCUUGCAUUUAGUAGAAGAUCUUGUUGAGGAUGUGGCCUCUGUGGUGGUAACGUCAGAAUCUAUCGGCUUUGAAGUUGGUAUUGGAUCUAUUUUGUUACUUGGAGCUUCAAGAGAUUCUCUUUCAGGUGUGAAAGAUGUGGGGGAUAGACCUAUAAGAAGGGUGAUAGAUGAUUCUUUAUGCGGCUUGUCUUCAAUUGCACCAAGAGGUUGUUCGGAAACAGUCACAUAGGAGGAGAGAAAGAAGCUUGGUGAUCCUUGUGGAGUAGAAUGAUUGGAGUUGCUUCUUAUCUGACAAUAGACAGGCUCUGAGAAUAGUCUAUCAUUGAUUGUUUGAAUUGGAAUUGCUUCUUCCUGUUGAAGAGAAUGAGAAAAGAAAACUUUUUGGGUUAUUGUAUACAUUUGAAAGAUAAUGUAAAAAUUGGAUUGUGUAAACUAGUGAUCCUCACAGAUGAUAUUUGUUCAUAGAUUUGCGUUGCUGUGAGGCCAAUUAUGCUCUCGGCAUAGUUGUGUUGGACAAAUGCAUCUAAAUGAGCUAAAUCAUCAAAUAUUUGGACAAAUAGUCUGGCUCUUUGUUAGAGUUUUUUGAAAUGUGUUAUACAUGGGAAAUAAUAUAUUAAUGUAAACAGAGACGUGUAAUAGCAAAAAAAUAUAUUGAUACUUGACAAUAGAUAAUUAUAUAUUUAUGUGCCUAUAUGGGCAUUUUUACAUGGAUAAAUACAUAUACCUGUAUAUACAGAUAUAUAUAUAUAUAUAUAAUGAAUAAGAGUUCAUUUUUGCUGUGAAUGGGAUAGUGACUUACUUGGGCACAUGUUUUGUUUGGUUUUUGUUACAAUUGUGGGAUAGAAACUGAAAGUCCAUCGGCGCAUUGGUGGUACAGCCGCAGUCGCCACAGUUAGCAAUAUAGAAGUGCUGGUGAGAAUUUGUAAUUUGGAUUCUUCUUGACUAGUGAUAUAUAAUUUAAAAUGAGUUUGAUAGAUGUUUAUAAUGAGAGGACUUGAAUGUAAAGUAAAUUCAGUGUAUCUAGUUAAAUUAGUCUAUUAGCUUACCAGGAUGUAUGCACCAAGAAUUUGUGAGAUCUGUCGAAUAUCUUUUUCAGAUGGGGGCUUGAUCUUUUAUUUUGCUUUUUCUUAUAGUCUUUGUGACUUGAUCUUGUCAAUAUAGUUCUUGUUUUCUUCAAUCCUCUAGCGAACAGUGGUAUUAAUAGUGGUAUAUUUAUCAAUUUGUAUUAUAUAAGUGAUGCUUAUAUGGAAGUGUAAGUAAUUAAGGAACAAAUUUGAGUGUCGAAGUGUGCAUACCAUGCUGCCAAUGUGCUGAUUUGUGGGAAUGGAGGAUCAAGGAGUAUAUCUGUGCUUCCUUUAGUCCUUAGAGAGAUACCUGUAAUGAUAUUAAAGCUGUGUUAGAGUGCUUGGUUGGUAGCCUUAGUACUAUAGAGAGAAAUGUUUCUAUUUUUAAAGUAUAUCAUAAAAGGUGGUUACAUAUGCUUGAGAAUGAUAACAAUUGGGUAGGUAUGUGCAAUUUAGAGAAGCGGAGCUCCUUCAUUAUCCACAAAAGGUUCCCAAAUUGUGAGAACAAUUGGACGUUGUUUGAGAAAGUUAGAGAGAUAAAAUGAAAAUUCGAAUCAUUGGAUAUUGAUGAUUAGCUAACGUAAAGUGUAUGGAAAUGUGUUUUUGCUUACUCUUCAUUGAGAAUAAUGACUUCUUGGAUAACAGAUGGUUUGGCUCCACCAACCAUUCUUUGGGGUAAUGCUUGAAUGACAGCACAAAAUAAGUCUGUUCAAUGGUUAGUAUGAAAAAAAAUAGAAUCAGCAGAUAAACUAAUGAUUUAUAUAGAGUAAAUUUAAUGAAAGGUGAGUUGUGUACUGAGUCUUUGAUCAUCUUUUCCUUGAUAUUGAUCUAGGUCCUAGAAUGAGGUAAGCGGAAAAUACAUUGGUAAGGGAGUUCCACCUUGUUGUAUGAAAGACCUUUUAUCAAAUGUUAGCUGGAAAGGUGUUGCACUCAUUUGGUGGCGGGACUUUUACUGAUAUACGCACCACCAACAUAGUAUGAUGUCUGAAGCUUGAAUAUUUCGCCAAUGUAAGGUAGGUCUUGUUGAUAGAUAAUGCCCUGAACUAUCUUAUUCUGUAAAAGAUUGUAGGUUAGAGGAAUAUAAAUAGGCGAUGGAACAUGGGCAUGUUAUAUAAUUUAUAUAAGAGUCAAGUAUUGGUUUAUUGUAUGUAUUGCUGAUAUAUAUGUACUUGAUCAUUUGCGAAUAAGAGUCGUUGGUAUGCCUUUGAUAUUGGAGUUGGGUCAAAAAUUCUUGUCAGCUCUAUAACAUAGACUUUGGCAUACCAUUGGCGCUGCUUCUCCUACAAGUCUUUUAUUAAAAUGCAUAUGCUAUCCAUGGCUACAAUGGAAAGUAUGACAAUAAGAGUAUCAUGUAAAGAAGAAGAGGUUAUUGUCAAUGGAAUACGAUAAAAAAAUGAUGAUAUAAAAGGCAUAAUAUGAGAGAAGAGAACUUUUUUUCUGUCUUAGAACAGUCGACUCAAUAAAGUCAAAGUAAAAUGCUAACGAUAGAAGUUAAAGCGAAACAGUACUAAAACUACACCAGCAAUUGAUAGGACUUCAUCAUAUACUAUAUUUCUUGUAGAGACUGUGUGAGUCUGCUCAUCUAGAAUAGCCUUAACUAAAACUCUAACAUCAUCCGCUGUUUUAGCUCUAGAUAAAGCAACAUAGAGUUGACCAUGACCAAGUACUGGUUCCUUUAAAUACAAGCAGACAAAGUCUAAUGUCUAACCUUGUGCCUUAUUAAGUGUGAGGCCCCGCAAAUUAGAUUCUUAUCUUUUAUCUUGUUUUUCUUACUUGCCUUAAAUUUGUAAUUGCUUUGAUGAUUGAGGUGUGUUCUUAACCUUAUUACUUUAUUUACCUUAGCGCAUGUUUAAUUUGAUACAUGUUAAAUUUUAUAGUACAUGAUACUAGUGUGAUCGACUAGUGAGGUACGUGCGAUAAAUUUAAAGGAUUAGAAGGAGUUUUGCGUAAAAGGAAUUAUAUGACAAGAAGUGUUAAGGAUUAAUUAGAGGGGCAUUAGAUGUGUUAGUUAUUAGAGACAAAUAGAGAGGCAAAAAGAUAGACAAUACAUCUUUCCUUGACAUUUGUCAAUUAGCCAACCAAGCUUGACCAACCAAGUUUGACCAAGACCAUGCUUUCUUCUUCUUAUCUUGACCAAACCUUUUUGUUUUCAUCAUUUUCUUAUUCUUGCACCAUCAUGGACGAAAUUUUGAGAGAGGAAAGGGAGAGAAAACACAAAAAAUUUUUGCCUUGAUCUCUUGCUUAAAUCAUGAAGAAUCCAACGAAAAAUCCUAAUCUACUCCGAUCAAUCUUGAGAUAAGCUUGGAGAGAAGCUUUUGGUGAAGUUUUAGAAGAAGAAAAUCUUUCAUGCCUCUUGAUUUGUUUGUCAUCUUUGGGUUUGGAGGUAAAGAGUUGAAUUUGGCUAGAAACCUUAGUUUUCUCUUCUUAUUUUUGAUUUUAUUUCAGGUUUGAUGUUAUAGAAACUAAAGGAAGCAUAUUUGUGGCAAUUUCAUGGCUUUGCUAGGGUUUGUAUGUAUAUGUGAUUAUGAUGGGUUUCUUGUUGAAAUUUUACCUUAUAUGUAUUUAUUGUUAUGUUGGUGAUGAAACCUUAUGGAUUUGUUAGGUAGGUUUGGAUGACAAAUUACGAAAUUAAUUGGAGGAAUGUUUGAAAAUCCAUUGGAGAAAAUUCUGCCUACUGGCCGAAAUUUAGGGCUGGAAUUGCAGCCUUGAUUUCUAAAUUUUCAUGAUAAUUUUAAGCUCAAUUUUGUUCAAAAUACUUUAUAAUAUGUUAAGCUAUAAGUAUGUGUUAGAUUUGAACCAAAAUCAUGAGUUUUAAGUGGUAAGAACACCAUUUCUUUUGCUGUUUUCAUGGCUGGAAUUCUGCUCAAAGCUGACUGAGAGAGAGUGUGACUUUAUAUAGCUUUGUUCUUGGUUUUGUGUGAUGAACUUGGCGUACUACUGCCCUAAACAUAUGAUUAGACAGUUAUCCUGGUAUGAGUAGUGAAUUGGAGUGGAAAAUGAAAGAUUUUAAGAGGUGAACUACCUUGUUUUUCUUUAUUGUUUUGCUACUGGAAAUUUCCGCAGGAAGCUCUGCACAGCUUUGGAAAAUUAGUUAUAACUUCGUGUAUAAAAUUUGGAAUUGAGUUCUGUUUGUUGCUUUUCAAACUAAAUUCAGAGUGAUUUCUACCAUGAAAAUUUCAGAAUUUGUCUCAAUUCCUAUGAAUAUCUGUGAUUUUCCAAUGUUGACUGAAUUUCCACAUCUAUUCUAUUUUUCUAUUCGAUGAAGUAGCAACUUGAGACUGGAAUUUGACUAAUUUGUGGAUAGAAUCUUACAAAUGCGUCUUCUGGGAAAUUGUAAUCCUUUGAGUCUAUUUUUAAACAGUAUAAAGUUUAUAAAUUUUGGAUAUAAAAAGUUUGAGAUAUGAUUUUUCAAAUAACAUUGCGCAAAACUAGAGAAAAUUCUAUUCUGCAAAAGUUGUUCUUGCUUUCAUUUUUGUAGAACCAUUUUGAGUUUGGUUUUAUGAUUGGAGUUGAGAUAACUUAGUUGGUUUGGAAGUGUUUUCCUUUGAAUAUGGUAGCUUGGAGUAGUGGAUCUCAUGGCACUUUACAUACUUGAUUUUAAGACUUGAAAGUGAGGCCAAAAGUGCUCUUGAGGCAAACACUUAAGCUUGUUGCCGUAGUGAGUGUUCCAACUGUAUGUUCCCUGCUCAUUGUUGUUAGAAAUUUGCUAGACACUUGAUUUGACAUUUCAUAGGCGAGUGCGUACUUUAUCGCACUUGACCUAACUUGACUAAACACUAGAUAUCUCAUUCAUGUAUGUACAAGUAACUUGAUUUGCAUGUGACCUGUAUAUUGACUUGAAAUAAUUGAAAUGUUUGAAAAUGUGACUUGGUCAUGGCUAGGCGAAUGUGUCCUUAUUCCCACUCGACCUCCAUAAACUUGAAAUAAUUGAUCAUGCGUACAAACUUGCAUGUUUAUGUGCAUGACUGUAGAUAGGCUGUAUUCCUCUUGCAGUGGUUGAAUAGUAGAUCAGAUGCAUUCCUCUUGCAGUGGUUGAAUUGUAGACUGGCUGCAUUUCUCUUACAAUGGUUGAACUAGGCCUUGGACCUUUAUCCGAGACGUCGGGUAAGUGAAAACUUGGAUUACUCAUGCGUAUGCGUGAAUGUAAGUCGGUAAUGGCUAAACUGAGCCCUGGUUGGACCUCUUACUUAAGACCAGCCUCAGAGUGGUUUGGUAAGCUGGGCAACCUUGGGUAAAGGAUGAAGUUCCUAGCCUAUUUACUCUUGAUUGAAAUUCCUGAUUUGAACUUGUGACAUUUCUGAAUAUGGAGUGUUUAGUGACAAUUAACGUCUCCAAUCAUUACCUGCAUGAGCGUUGGAUGACAGCCAAUGACUCCACUCUUGAAUACCUGAAUAUUUGGGGUUUUAAGCCAUAUCAUGAAUACUUGAUUCUUGAAUACCUGAGACUAUAAGCCCAACCCCACGGUUAGUUGGUCAAAUUGAGCUAGUAAAGGGUUAGGUCGAGGAGAUUAACGAAUCAUGAGUACUUUUGGUGUUCGGACCCGGUAGGGGGAUGAUCAGUGGACGGAGAUUGACGUUUAGUGGUGAUCUACGGAAAUUGGAAUUUUCUAGUUGAUGGAGAGUUAAUGAAGCUCGAGCAAGCAGCUGUGGAAUCUGCUCCUGAGAGCAGCCUAUAUUCUUUUAACAUAAAUGUGUUCUUUACGGUGUAUUAAUGCAUGAUCUAUCUGGUAACCUGAUUACUAAACCAUAUGUCAUGGUCUGCUUGAGUAUGACUUGUUUUUCGAUAUCCUAUGAAUAAUAUCAUGUAUACGAGUUUACUUGCCUGUUUUCUUGGAACCUCAAUGGGUUUUUAACUCAUUUUAUGAAUUUAUUUUUCUUACAGGGAUGAGAACAUGAGAGAUUGAAUUGGGGAAGGUAUAGACUUUGUCUAAGUUUUGUUAGUUGCUCGUGUGAGCACUCUUUAGAAUUUCUGGAUUGCUUGCGUGGUUUUGAUUUUGUAAAUUCGACAUCGUGACUGUAUAUAUAGAUUGUACGGACAUUUGAGAUCCAGAACUGUACACAUUGGAGGUUGUAUUUGUUAUCAUCUUUAUUAUUGAUAUUAUUGUUCUAAAAUUUUGUAGCGCGUGACCGAAUCCUAACGAGAGUUGGGCAGGCGGUCCACCAAACCCUUGAGUACGCCCUAGGGGAAGGUAGGGUUAUCACGAGUGGUAUCAAGCUGUUUCGCGUGAUCUCUGCGUGGGGUGAGUUUGGGUCAGGUGGUGUUAUGGUCCCAAUUAUGUGAAUAAGUAUAAAGGACCAAAUGCUAUUCUUGAGCAUAAGUUAUGAAUCAUGAAGGUUAUAAGCGUAAAAUCUUUAUCAUGAUACUUGAGGAAGAUAGAUAUGUGCAUCAGAUAGGAAUCUUAAACUUGGUUGAUUUGCACUUGAGAGCGUACGGCCUGAGAUGUGAAUUCUUCUAGUUUCGGAUUCUUGUACCUGAGUACCAAAAGUGGAGAGCACUAGAAUAAGGGUCGAUAUCUCAAUUGCACUUGAGAUAAAAUUGGAUGGCAAAAGUCAAGGUGUGAAAAAUUCUUGUAUUGGGCCUGAGAUUGAACUUGUCAAGGCGAGUGGAUGAAUUGAUGCCAUCAUGGACUAGUCUCGUGCAUGUCUGGUGAGGGUUUCUAUAGAUGAUGGCCAGCUUUGCAGUCAUCGUGAAUGUUUAAAGAGAUAGUAUUGCAACUCGUUUCAUUUCUCCUAUACUUAUGAAUCCUUGUUCCAUGUUUCCUUGAUUUUGUUGCGAUUUGAUUACGAUUACAUAUGUAUUUCUUUUAAUUUCUUAUUUGACUACCAUUUUCUAUUUUCUACCCUUCUAUGAUACCCUAUACAAACCUGGUUUUGAUUCAUAUUUCUCUACAAGUUUUGGAUUAUAUAUGAGAUUUUGGGGACAAAGGUAUGAGUUUUAUACUGGUAUGUAAAUUUUGACAGAAUUAGGAUGAUCGUCUUGAUGGAGGAUGGUACAAGACACUAGUGGAGGUAAGGGAUUAUGGUUUUUUCUUGGGCAAAUUUGUAAGAAAGUGUAUAAUGGAGAGUGAGUUAGGGUGCAGAACUUUUACUUUAAGAAAUAUGAUUCCGUAUUUUAUUAUGUGUAUAAGUAAUGAUAGUAGUUUCUAUGGAAAGACCCAAGAACUCAUCUAUGUCAAAUGGAAAAUAGUUAAGACUUAUAUUUCUUGGGUGACCUAUAAGCAAAGGAAUGGAAGAGUUAUAUGAUCAGAGUUUCCAAUUGUGAUUAAUUACUUGUUUCAAUCCUUUGAUUUGCUCGACAGGCUAUUAUUUGAUUUAAAUAAAUCGGUGGGAUGAUAAAUUUGGGAGAUAUGUAUAAGGAAAUAGACAUUCUUCGAAAGGAAGUAGAAUUUCAAAAGAAAUUGACUGACUACUGGGAAGGAUGAUGGAAACAAGAAUAUGCGGAGAAAAUUGAGCUGCUGCACAAGAACAUAGAACUAAAAAAAGAAAUAUGAAGGGAUCCUGAAAGAGGUGUGGAAUAAGUUUGAAUUGGUGCAUUUGCCUAAUCAAGUAGCAUCUCAAGACAAUACUAGCAAUCAAGUUAAAAGGGGUGAAAAAAGUUUUUAUGAUACUAAAGGGAAACAUAAAAAGAUUGGUGGAGAUGAACUUGCUAUGAAGGAUAAAGGAAGAAAGAAAAGAAAGAAUGGACACUUCAAGAAGAGAUUCGUAGCUACUAAAUGUGAAACCUGUAACAAAAAUCAUACUGGAUUAUGUUAUUUGAAAACUGGUGCAUGUUUUAGAUUCGGCGAACUUGGACAUCAAGUGGGAAACUGCCCAACAUAAAUGAAUUUUGCGAUGGUGAAACUACGGUAAUAGUUGAAGUCAGUAAUUAGUAAUGUUUUAUUUGAAUAAUUGUAUUUAUUGGACUAUGUGUAGUGAAAGUUUUAUGUAGUAAUUUGUAUCUCCGUUGAAAAUAGUAAACUUGGCGUCUGAUGUUUUAAUUAGUGAUGUUAAAUGUCUGUGUCUAUUUGGAGUUAAACCCUUAUCCAUGAUUCGAUUUCUGCACUUUAUUCUUGGGUUUGAACAAAGAUUCUUACAUGUGCCUAGUAUUGAAAGAAGGACUUUCGAUUAGAAAAGGUAGUAUGUGUUUAGUAAUUCAAAUGUGUAAGCCUCAUGAGAGAGAAAGCUUCUAGAAAUCAGAGGAAACCCCAUAGAAAAGAGACCUCAAGUUUAUUUUGUGAGCAAGGGUUAGAAUUUCGAGAACGAAAUUCUUUUAAAGGGAAGAGAGUGUGAGACCCCGCAAAUUAGGUUCUUAUCUUUUAUCUUGUUUUUCUUACUUGCCUUGAAUUUGUAGUUGCUUUGAUGAUUGAGGUGUGUUCUUAACCCUAUUACUUUAUUUACAUUAGCGCAUGUUUAAUUUGAUACAUGUUUAAUUUUAUAGUGCAUGAUACUAGUGUGAUCAACUAGUGAGGUACGUGCGAUAAAUUUGGAGGAUUAGAAGGAGUUUUACAUAAAAGGAAUUAUAUGACAAGAAGUGUUAAAAAUUUUAAAAGGGCAUUAGAUGUGUUAGUGAUUAGAGACAAAUAGAGAGGCAAAAAGAUAGAAUACAUCUUUCCUUGACAUCUGCCAAUUAGUCAACCAAACUUGACCAACCAAGUUUGACUAAGACCAUGCUUUCUUCUUCUUAUCUUGACCACAUCUUUUUGUUUUCAUCAUUUUCUUCUUCUUGCACAAUCAUGGACGAAAUUUUGAGAGAGGAAAAGGAGAGAAAACACAAAAAAAUUCAUCCUCGAUCUCUUACUUAAAUCAUGAAGAAUCAAACGAAAAAUCCUAAUCUACUCCGAUCAAUCUUGAGGUAAGCUUGGAGAGAAACUUUUGGUAAAGUUUUAGAAGAAGAAAAUCUUUCAUCCCUCUUGAUUUGCUUGUCAUAUUUGGGUUUGGAGGUAAAGAGUUGAAUUUGGCUAGAAACCUUAGUUUUCUCUUGUUAUCUUUGAUUUUAUUUGAGGUUUGAUGUUAUAGAAGCUAAAAGAAGUAUGUUUGUGAUAAUUUCAUGGAUUUGCUAGGGUUUGUAUGUAUAUGUGAUUAUGAUGGAUUUCUUGUUGAAAUUUUGCUUAUAUGUAUUUAUUGUUAUGUUGGUGAUGAAACCUUAUGGAUUUGUUAGGUAGGUUUGGUUGACAAAUUACGAAAUUAAUUGGAGGAAUGUUUGAAAAUUCAUUGGAGAAAAUUCUGUCUGCUGGCCGAAAUUUAGGGCUGAAAUUGCAGCCUUGAUUUCUAAACUCUGCACAGCUUUGAAAAAUUGGUUAUAAUUUCGUGUAUAAAAUUUGGAAUUGAGUUCCGUUUGUUGAGUUUGAAAAUAAAUUCAGAGUUCUUUCUACCGUGAAAAUUUCAGAAUUUUUCUCAGUUCCUUUGAAUAUAUGUGAUUUUUCAAAUUUGACUAAAUUUCCACAUCUGUUCUGUUUUCCUAUCCGAUGAAGCAGCAACUUGAGACUGGAAUUUAACUGAUUUGUGGAUAGAAUCUUACGAAUGUGUCUUCUGGGAAAUUGUAAUUCUUUGAGUCUAUUUUCCAACAGUAUAAAGUUUAUAAAUUUUGGAUUUAAGAAACUUGAUAUAUGAUUUUUCAAAUAGCAUUGCGAAAAACUGGAGAAAAUUCUAUUCUGCAAAAGUUGUUCUUGCUUUCAUUUCCAACUUCAAGUUGGAGUUGUAGAACCAUUUUAAGCUUGGUUUUAUGAUUGAAAUUGAGAUGACUUGGUUGGUUUGGAAGUGUUUUCCUUUGAAUAUGGUAGUUUGGAGUAGUGGAUCUCAUGACACUUUACAUACUUGAUUUUAGGACUUGAAGGUGAGGCCGGAAGUGCUCCUAAGGCAAACACUUAAGCUUGUUGCCGUGGUGAGUAUUCCAACUGCGUGUCCUUGCUCAUUGUUAUUAGAAAUUUGCUAGACACUUGAUUUGAUAUUUCAUAGGCGAGUGUAUAUUUUAUCGCACUUGAUCUAAAUUGACUAAACACUAGAUAUCUCAUUCAUGUAUGUACAAGUAACUUGAUUUGCAUGUGACCUAUAUAUUGACUUGAAAUACUUGAAAUGCUUGAAAAUGUGACUUGUUGGGCAUUACUUGUGACUUGGUCAUGGUUAGACGAGUGUGUCCUUAUUCGCACUCGACCUCCAUGAACGUGAAAUAAUUGAUCUUGCGUAGGAAUUUGUAUGUUUAUAUGCAUGGUUGUAGACCGACUGCAUUUCUCUUGCAGCGGUUGAACUGUAGAUCGACUGUAUUCCUCUUGCAGCAGUUGAAAAGUAGUCCGGUUGCAGUCCUCUUACAGCGGUUGAAUUGUAGACUUGCUGUAUUUCUCUUGCAGCUAUUGAACCAGGCCUUGGAUCCUUAUCCGAGACCUCAGGUAAGUGAAAACUUGAGUUACUAAUGAGUAUGCGUGAAUGUAGGUCGGUAACAACUGAACUGAAUCCUGGUUGGACCUCUUGUUUGAGACCAGUCUCAGAGCGGUUUGGUAAGUUGAGCAAUCUUGGGUAAAGGAUGAAAUUCCUAACCUGUUUACUCCUAAUUGGAAUUCUUGAUUUGAACUUGUGAUAUUUCUAAAUACGAAGCGUUUAGUGACAACUAACGUCUCCAAUCAUUACCUACGUGAGUGUUGGAUGAUAGCCAACUGCUCCACUCUUGAAUACCUGAAUACUUGAUUCUUGAAUACCUGGGGCUAUAAGCCCAAUCCCAUGACUAGUUGGUCAAAUUAAGUCGGUAAAGGGUUUGGUCGAGCAGAUUGACGAACCAGGAAUACUUUUGGUGUUCGGACUUGGUAGGGGGAUGAUCAGUGGACGGAGAUUGACAUUUAGUGGUGAUCUACGGACAUUAUAAUUUUCUAGUUGACGGAGAGUCAACGAAUCUUGAACAAGCAGCUGUGGAACCUGCUCCUGAGAGUAGCCUAUAUCCUUUUGACAUAAAUGUGUUCUUUACGGUAUAUUAAUGCAUGAUCUAUCUGGUUACCUGAUUACUAAACCAUAUAUCACAGUCUGCUUGAGUAUGACUUGUUUUUCGAUAUCCUGUGAAUAGUAUCAUGUAUGUGAGUUUACUUGCCUAUUUUUUUGGAAUCUCACUGGAUUUUUAACUCAUUUUAUGAAUUUGUUUUCCUUACAAGGAUGAGAGCAUGAGAGGUUGAAUUGGAGAAGGAAUAGACUUUGUCUAAGUUUUGUUAGUUUCUUGUGUGAGCACUCUUUAGAAUUUCUAGGUUGCUUGCGUGAUUUUGAUUUUGUAAAUUCGACUCCGUGGCUGUAUUCAUAGAUUAUACGGGCAUUUGAAAUCUAUAACUGUACACAUUGAAGGUUGUAUUUGUUAUCGCCUUUAUUAUUGAUGUUAUUUGAUGUUCUAAAAUUUCGUAGUGCAUGAUCGAGUCCUGGCGAGAGUUGGGCAACCGAUCCUCCAAACUCUUUAGUAUGCCCUAGGGGGAGGUGGGGCUGUCACAUUAAUAGUUAUUGCAAAACAGAGUCUAGCUGAAAAUUGUGUUCUCUUGAAGGGUACUAUAUAAAUAUUAGCAUCAGAACACUGUAAUGAGAUUUUAGGAUAAAAAAUUGUUUUCCAGUAUGAUUUCCAACAGUAAUGAGUGCUUCGAUAACAUUAGUAGUAAAAUCAAGUGAAAGGUAUCGAAUCUGUGCAAUAUAAUAAUGUUAAUCGUAGUUGCCAACAAAAGCAGUUUUGAGUCAAUUCUAGUACUGGAACAGGGACUCUGGAUGUGCAAUAGGUUACUAGAUUCACUCUGGUUCCGAAAAAUUUGCUAGAUCUGAUAUACCAGAAUGUAUUUACGAGAACUUAUUAAUUUGUAUAUAGGGCAAGUCGGGUCGUAUUCUCAGGAAUUGGGAAAAAUUUGCUCCUUUUCAAGCCAAGGGUAAAUGGGGAUUUUGAGAAAUUAAAAGACCUAAAAGAAGGUAUUAUAUCAAAGCAAUGAAAAUGCGAGAAAUAAGCAAUGGAAAAAACUCUAGUCAAAGUUACACUUUAGAAGUGGUUCAGGCAACUGAUCAUUGAUUCAAAUAUAAUUCCAACAUUCAUUAAUAAACAGGUUUUUAAUUGCCGAUACGAUCUGACAAUCAAUUCCUCCGUACUAUUUCGAUAGUCAAGGUAUGACUAUUGACUAUUUUUCUAAUUUAGAAAUAACCCUAGGUACGACUAUAGGAUUUAAUUCCUCAAUUGCUUUAGAAAUUAGAGAAACCCUGUUCUAAUUAAUAAACAUGCUACGAGGAUUUAUUUAAAUUAAUCUAUAUGUUCUCCUGACACAAAUCCAAUUAUGUCAGUUGCUACCGGGAUGGGUGUAAUCAAAUAAUUACGGAUUCAACUACCCCCAUCAGCAAAUAGAUUAUGUGAUUAAUUAAAUAUUACACAACUAUUCAAUCAUACACAAUAAUCAUAGCCACAAAGAGCAGAAAACAUACAAAUACCAAUGAAUGAAGAAAGCAAUUAAAAUAAUUUAGAUCUCACAGUUAUCAUUGAACCAAAUCUUCAGUUGUUCUCUUGACUAGAAAUAAAAAGUUAGUUCUCCAUUAAUGGAGAACAAUCCAUGUGAAUGUUUUUUUUUAAAAAAAGAGACUCCCCAGGACUUGACUUCCACCCUCCUUUAAAAGAAAGAAAAGGCCAAAAAAAUUAAAAGAGUAAAAGCCUCCCAAGAAGAAAGCUUGCAGAGCCGACAAUAUCAAAUUUGAUCUCCCAUGGCCCAAUUGCCUUGCCUUAUUGAUUGGUUUCCUAAUACCAAUCAAAUUCCUAAAAAGUUUCCUAUCACAAUUCAAUUUCCUAAAAGCUCUCCUCUUCUUGAGAAUGAUCCCACGAAAUAAGGAAAGUCCCGGCAGCCAACAAAUUAGAAAUUUGACUUGGAUUGGGAAACUGACCAAUAUCAAUCCUGACUUUCCGCUCUUGAGCAGUGAGCAAAGGUGCGCCCACAUGCAACCAUCAAAUUAAUUGGAAAAUUGCCCCUUUUUGUUACGUUUUGCUCUUUUUCCCUACAAUUAGCACCAUUAACCAAAUAUAAGUAGAAUCCAUCAAUUAACGCAAUAUUUGGUAAAAUAAAAGAGGGAAAUAACCAUAAAAUUAAUGAAAAAAAUGCAACCUAUCACCAAGACAGAUUAAUCGUGUUCCAUUGCAUAAACCUUCUCUUGGGUUCAAGUUUCUAAGUAAUAUAAUUAGACUAUUGACUUUUAGAAUCAACUCAUGCGGUGGCAGGCUUAGAGGUUCUAAUGAAUGCAAAAAGUCUUCAUGCCUGCUUGUUUUGAUUGGUCUAUAGUUUCAUCAUAACUUAAAUAUUUAUGUUUUGUGCCAGGAAACAGUGUCAUCAGGAGAUUGUUUAUUUCAUGCACAAAAUCAUUUUUAGUAGUUAGUAUAGCUCUGUUAAGUGUAUGCAAUUAGCGUGGACCAAAAGCUGUUAGGUCAGGAAAAAUGCUGCUUAUUAGAGCAAAAAGUGAGGAUCGAUCAUCAAUAAAAGGCAUAGUAAGAUGGUGCGACAAGACUAUUCUGAAGUCACCAAAACAAGGCAAAGUUCCAUUACCAAGACUUAAAAGAAAUUCUGAGAAUAAUUUAUGUAAAUGUGCACACAUGUUUUCAACCAAGUGGAGCUUUUCAAGAUAGUUCCAAACAUAAGAUUUUGCCAAACUGGUAGAAAUAUAAUCUUCUUUGUAACCUUUGACUACAACAGGUAAUGUUUGACGAAAGUCGCCACCAAAUGCUACAACUUUGCCACCAAAUAUUAUAUCUGAAUCUAUUAUAUCCUUUAUCAGCAUGUCAAAGCACUCAAUAGCAUAUUUUUUGGCCGUCGUUGCUUCAUCCCAGAUGAUUAAUUUGACUUGCUUGAUCAAUCUUGCAGUGCUACUUUGUUUGUUAACACUACAGCCACUAUCAUUGUUUUCAUGAAUUGGGAUCUUAAAUCGUGAGUGGGUUGUACAUCCUCUUGGAAGGAUAGAAGCAGCAACACCACAUGAUGUUGUUGCUAAUGCAAUUUCGCCUUUAGACCUUACAAUUGCUAGCAAAGCCUUAUAUAAGAAUGUUUUGCCUGUUCUCCAUUUAUGAAAAAUGUUCUGGUAUGUCAUUCUCAAUGCUAUACAUGAUUUUAAUAAAAGUAGAUCGUUGUUGAACAUUAAGGAGAGGAACUGAUGCUGUGUCCUCAGCAAAGACUUUGAUGUCUAGCUCAACCUCUUUUUCUUGUGUGUCUCUUUGAGUGGAAAAAUCAUCAAUGUUAGGUACAAUUAUCUUGAAAUCAGCGAGAUGUUUGCCUAUAUAUUGUAGAUGGGAGUCAAUGAGUUGGAGAACUUUUAGCCUUGCCUGCUCAGCUGAUAAAGAUCUGUCCUUAGAAAUAUCUUCAGACAGGUAUGGUUCAAAUUUCUGCCAUAGGAGCAUUGGAUUAGGAGGUGUUACAUAGACCAAAAUGAGAGCAAAAAGGUGACCGAGAGUAUAAGGCAUCUGGAAUGAUACAGUUUCAAAUAAUCAUUGUUCUGCACUAUCAUCAGUCUUUAAUAAGCCUAGAAUUUCUGCGGCUUCUCUAAAUGUUGAACCUGUUCUCAAGCCAAUGUGUUUUAGGCUUUCAUAAGACACAGGGCCUUUGACAUGCAUUAGUAGGAUCCGCAAGUAGUAUUUUCCACCUUGAGUUGGAUGCACUAAAACUAGUCUUCCAAUUGUGCUUCUUCUUUGUCUUGGUCCCCAUAUUAUGGGAGUUGCAUUCCAUAGAAAAUUUUGAGAAAAAUCUUUAUAGAGACAUUUGAGGUUUUUUGCCUGUCCAUCUAUGCUAUUCGUUCGGAAAAAUUUUGUGACCAUAGUUCGUGAUAUUCGUUCAUCCAUUGCAACUCUUUGAAGAAUAUCAUCCUCAUUGAAAACCAUUGAUUGUUCUUCUUCUAGAUGUACCUGUAAUGCCAUGAUAGAUGGGUUCAAAUCACGAUUGAAAGCAAAUAUUCACCAUGCUGCUUUUGGUGCACAUAUCCAACGUCUAGAUUGGAAAUUUUUUAUUUUGUCAAUUGCUCCAUCAUUCUCUACUGCAUUAAGCUGAUACAAGAUCUUUGAGUGUCCCUUGUAGAUGUAUUUGUAAAUAUAUUUAAUAGCUUCAAUUGUGGAGCAAACUUCGACAUUGAUGCGACAGUCAUACUUACUUGCCAAUAUGGAUUGUAGGGAAUGACCCAACAAUUGUCAAACUAGAAAUGACGGGUCGUAGCAAUGCUUCCAUCACGACGGCGCAUGUAGAGAGGAUAUGAAUUCUUAUUAUAUCUUGUGAAUUCAGUGAACUCCUUUGGAUAGCCAAAUCUGCAUUUUCCAUUUUGCUUCAUACAUGGGCAAUUUCUAUUAGCUGUUCCAUAUGGUCCAUAUAAUUUAUGAACAACUACAAGAGAAUGGAGAUAUGGAAAAGAAACUGGAUCUGGUAAUUCUGCAGAUACAAUGUGACGAUCCCACCUCCUCCUAGGGUGUACCCUAGGGUUUAGCGAGUCGCCUGCCCAACUCUUGCCAAGACUCACUCACUCAUAACUUGAGAAAAUAACUUACAUCCAUAGAAAAUAAAUAACACAACAAUUUCAAACUUAAUAUAUACAUUGAUACUUAGAUCCAGUUACAAGGUUUAUACACGCCCAAAUACAUUAAAGUGUUAUGAUUCAAGUACAAUCAACCCUAGUCGGGGUAUAGCGCGAGUACAAUUUCAAAUUUCAAAAACUAGACUAGUUUAGCCUGUACAAGUCUCAUGCCUCGCUCGUAUCCCCUGUAAGGAAAACAAAACUAACGGAGUGAGCUAAAACUCAGUGAUAUUCCAAAUAGCAAAUUGACCAUUAAUUAAAAGUGAGAGUAUCAUAAUAGUGAAAUAGCGAGCAUAACAAGUCAAGAAAAUGAGAAAUAACACUUCAUAUGGCCAAACAUUAAAUAUUCAGCAUUUCACGUAAAAGGAUACAGUUGCUUUUGUAAACCAUCUCCACCAUAGCUUGAUCAAAUAGUAGUUGACAUUCCGUCAACUUUCAAAUAAGGUAACUAGUCCAGUAGUACACCACUUAAUUCCAAUCUCCAUCCACCAACCAAAUCUCUUACCGGGCCUGAACUCCAAGAUAAACACUGGUGGUAAUACUUGAGUAUACCGAUUAAUCGAGGAGAUAACACUCUACUCGACAAAACUAAAGACCCAAGAUUCGUUAUCGAAUUGACCAAACCCUUGCCAGCUCGACUCGAUUAACUAUCCACAAGGUUUCUGGAAUUCCAGACAAUAUACGGAUCAUAAGCAUGUACAUCAAUUCAAUUGCAAUCAAUGAACAAGAAUAUAUCACAUUAGGGCAAGUGCAAUAAAGUACACUCUUGUCCGAUCAAACCAAUCACAUAUCAUGUAAUCACAUUGGUCAAGUAUUGAACGCAAGUAUCAAGUUCAAUCAGGUAUUUGAAAGCACUCACCAAAGAUGUAGUGCUUUUACGGAUCACGUUCAAGUAUUACUCCUUGUUUGGAGUCCAAAUCUGCGAUAAAAUAUCAUUUAAGAGUUUUGAAAAUCAACUAAGGUUCGAAACUUAAGUGUUUCGUUUAACAAAAAUCAAGUAAUUGACACUCAUUUGGGGAAUAUUCGUAUUACUUAUCAUGUCCUAAAAAACUCAUGCUCGCUCUUUUUGUUUUAGAAAUGAAGCGAUUAAAACUUUGGAAUUCCCAUUUGAGUAGAAGAGACGAGAAAAACGUAUUUCUAUUGAUCGUUACUUUCAUUUUUUUCCAAGGGUACGAGUUUCGGCCAAAUUUCAGCUUAUAUACCUCUACGAAAGAGGACUCGAAUAACCUAGACAAUUCAAGUUUAAUUCAACCUCAACUCUUCGCUUGAAUCACAAGUACACACGCCUAGUUCUCGAGUGAAAAUUUGGGCGGCAUGCCCUUUGUAUUUAGCUAUUUUUCAGCUAUUUAUGGCUUCAUUGUUUUCCUCAAAUUAUCCCCAAAGUCACACACAAGCAAUGUUACCACAAUAGCCCUUCAACCAGGUUUAAUGUCUUUCAAUUACAAAACAAUACUAGUAAUGCGACCGGAAACCAAGUUUAAGGACAAACAACAAAACAGCAGGUUUGACGUCUCUUGGCGUUUCGAUCAAAACUGAAGCUAUGCUUAUCGGUUUAGGGUACACUUUAUACCAUUUCGAAGCUAAGACAGAGAAUUACAAGUCUUAUGAAGAUAUUGAUAGCCAAUUCGUUCAUUUUCAAGGUCAAAAUGUGCAAUCUUAGAGAAAAUAGAACACUGCCCGCGCAAUAGGGCAUUUGGCAGUCAGGGAUAAUUUUGUUAUUUCACAUGAUACAAUACUCUAAUUGAGUUAAAAUUUUACAGGAAGCUAUAUAACUCCAUUUUCUACAACUUUCAUGUUUUGACCUAGGCCUGAUUCGGUCUCUAACAUGGACUAACAUACAGGUCAGUAACAGGACAGAUUGAUCUCAAAUUUCUAAAAUUUGAUGAUUCAAUGCUUGAAAUUCACAUUUAUGUCUUAAAUCACUACCCUAAGUCCCUAUCCAAGCUUAUCAACAUCAUAUGCUAUAUAAACAACACUAAACACAAUUGAAAUUCUCAAACCCUAGUUGAACAUUCCACCAUAUCAUCCAAAAUUAACCAAUUGACCAUCACAAGCCAAGAAUAUAAGCUUCUAACCAGCUUAAACAAGGUUAAGGAAGAGAAAAAGAAAGGGCAGCCAUAAUACCUCACCAAGGAUGCUUGCAAGAGAAAACCACAACCUUUCCUUCCAAAACUUUACCACACAAAGUUUCCUAAGUUUCCAAGUGAGAGUUUAAUCGGUUUAGAUUGUUGAUUCAACUAAAACUAAGCCAAAAAUCAAGAGUGCAAUGAAGUGUUUUCUUCUCUCUUUUCUCUCUCUAACUCUCGGCCACCAUGAGGGAUAAUGAGGAAUAAAUGAAACUCUAAGAAAGAUACGAAGCUAAGACUUGGUUUGGGUCAAAGUUGGUUGGAUGACUUCCAAGUGUCACCUUAGGAUGGAAUCUCAAAUUUUUCUUCUUUUCCUUGUUUUUCUUGGUCAAAUAUUUCGGCCCUCUCAUGGCUGAUGAAGAGCUGAUAUUUAUGAAAUAAUAACAAGAGGAUUAAGGUAAUAACGUGGUGGUCAAGUGGUGUAUUCAAUCAGUAGCGAACGGUACACUUCGGUUCACACCGUUUUUCCUUAACUCGCACGUACUAGAGUUUUCACUUACAAUUCACUAACUUAUUAUUAUUACUUCUAAUCACACACUUUUUUUUUAAUCUAAAACUCAUUCUUAACCACCAAAUUUAGUACACACUCCAUACCAAUUAAUCACACUACCAAAAUACGCAAAAAUCUUAAUUUACUCUAACGAUGAAUCUAAAGGAAAAACCCUUAAUUCUAUGAUUGAUUGCAGUUAUUGAGGGAGUGUAUGAGUAGAAUUAAUUCUAUGAUUGAUUUUACAAGUCCUCACAUACAACUCUAUCAUAAGGUUCAGGUGAGUCCAAUUUCCAUCCAUUUGCAAGGAUUAUAAAAAAAUGUGCAUGUGGGAGACCUUUUUUUUGAAAUUCUAUAACAUAUGUGUAUGCCGCAACUUUGCCAAAGAAACUUUUUUUUUUUUUAUAAUAUCAUUUCUAAGCUCUCUAGUUUUGUGCGGAGUACUCUUGUUGUUAGAUUAGACCUACUGUGUGCUUCUUCAUGAUCAGAUAGAUGUUUCUUGAUCUCAAGCCAAGUUCGACUACAAGUGACUGUUAGGAAUAUAUCAAGUUUGCCGUAUAGUUGAACCAAGAUCAUGGCAUCCAUAUAUCUUCAUUUCAUAUCUCUAGGACCUCUAAUAAAAGAAGCAGGCAAAUAUAUUCACUAACCAAUAUUUGAUGCAGAUGUUUAUCCAUUUGCAAUACUAUCUAAAAUUCCUUGGUAAACAUCAGUUCUGAUCUAUCAUUGUCUAUUUCGAUGAAAAUUCAACCUUGUUGAUUCUAUCUUUACAUAUGUAUCGAUGCAGAAUUGCUGAAACAGUCUCCCACAUUGUAGCAAUAAAGACUUGUCAAUUUCACACAUCUGAAAUUUGUAGCAGUAGUAUUCACGACAAGAGACUGUGGUCCUUUUUUCUUUUUUCUGCAAAACUGGUGUAAGACAAUAAACUUGUCAAAAGAUAUCAUAGACUAUAUGAAUCAGAAAAAGAUAGUAGCAAGGAUUAUACAUAACAUAUAUCAUAUUUUAUAAAUUACCUACAUUUUCAGCUGAAACUAUUUCCUCUGCAGUAGAACAACGUCCUAUAUGCAUAUCAUGGCCAGGACAUAGAAUGUGACACAGACUGUUGAUCCUUCAAGAUUCUUUGUAUACCUUCAUGCCAUCCAGUCUCAUCUCUUGUAAAAAUUAGUGGAUACUGUAACAUGUCAUAACAUCCAAAAUAAUGUUUAAUGAUUCGUGAUUUACCACUUCUUGGAUAUACUUGUAUAUGCUGCAAAGAAUCUCCUAUAUUGAGGUCAUUUUUUGUCCAUAUGCCAGCCACUUGAGAGACUGCUGGAGUGUUAUAGACACGUUAGUCUAGAGAAGGGUGCGAGUUUAAGAAGACUUUAUGGUUAUAAAUGUAUUCGAAGUCUCUUAAACUACGAAAGAAUGCAGCAUACGGAUUAUGAUCUAGAAUCUACUGUAGUUGUUGAAGUAUACAUUCUCGAAAUUUAUUAUAGAUGGCCAUCCGAUUAGUAGUUUCAUGCUCAGUAUCGAAAUAGUAUAGCUACACAUUUGAUGGUUUUUGACAUCCAAAGGAACUAGUGGGUUGAGAAAAGUAAUACAUUUGGCCCUGCACUCUAAAUGCAUAGAUUCCUCUGUCUCUCUUAUUUAGCUCUUUAUCGCAACAAACUCCCAGAGAUAUGAAUGCGAACAUGUUAUUAUAGCUUCUAAUACAUUGGCAAAAUUUGAUUGCUUCGGGAGUAUUAGUAGUGUACAAUUUGGCUAAUUGAGGAAGCAUUUCCAUCUCGACCAAUCUAAUCUCACUAGAAGCACAACAAAAACCAGGUGGCUCAAGAUAAAAACGUUUAGUACCACAGAAAACACAAUCUUCAACAACCGGUAAAACAGACAGUUCAGUAGGAAUCCUAUCAAUCUGAUGAUUUCUUUUUUUUGCCUUUUGCUGAUGACCUGUCCUAGAUAUAGAUGCAUUUAUUGAUUGUCUUAGGUAAUAGAUAGACUUUUAAUAUAUAUUUGCAUUUUGUUUUCGUGUAUUGGUAGUCGUCUGAGGGUUGAGAAAGACUGUUUGUUGUUCAACUGGAUAAAGAGGAAAACAUGUGUGAAGGAAUUCAAACAAACUUCCAUAAAACUGAUAUUGAAUGAUAGACAAAAUUAUAACACUGGUAGAGCGAUAACUACCUCUAGUACUGGGUGCAUUCAUAAAAUGUUAAUCACAGUGAACAUGGCUGUCAGAAUUUAUAAACAUACAAUAUUUAUAUUGUCUAAAGUUAAAAAUCGAAUGGAAGUAUUAGGGGAUUAAUUUCUUUGAUUCAAUAAUUUUUAGAGAUUGUAAUUAUGAAAAGAAGAAAGAAUUUUUUGAGAUUCUAACUAUAUUAUUAAUAUAUGUAAUAAAUUUGAUAUUUGUACGAGUUUUCUUGUCUUUUAUUUUCGGCAACGAAAUUUGUGCAAAUAUGGUAAAACAUCCCUCAUAUGUAUGUCAUGGACAUUUGAGACUUUGUAAAACAAAAAGUGCUGUUGUUAAAAUAACUUUGUAUCACAGCGAGCUAAUUAUUUUUGGACCGUUGUAUACGUGAACUAAAUUUAAUUUAAAUUAUACAAAACAUUUGUACGUGCAAGUGAAUUUCAUUUAAUUGUUGGAUCUUUUUUUAUAUGAACAAUCUGGCAAGGAAAAAAGUCCAGAACACAACAAAUUUCUUUAUAUUGCGUAUUAUACCAAUUUUGUCAAUUUGUUAUUGUUGUACUAUUUCUUACAUUGUUUGGGCUUUAACUCUUAUUAAUUCUUGUGUCCAGAUGUAAAUUUAUUAAAAUUGUAUCAUCUUAGUAUAUUCGUAGGUGUUAAAAUAUAAAAAUUGUGAUAUAUAAACAAGUGAUAUUCUAUAUAUAAGUAUGAAGAUUGUUGUAAUUGGUAUUCAAACCUUCAAACUUUUUAAAAAUAGAAAAUUAUUAAAAACUUAUAAUGUGACACGUUGUUAAUAAUUUUUGUCCAAGGUCAUCAACAAAGUGAAACUUCUUUUCAUAGAAUUUAAAAAAAAACAAAAAAAAUUAAUUAAUAUCUAAAAUCAUUUAUUAUAUAGGUAUAUUAUGAGUACUUACUAAGUUAAGUACUUACAGCCUUAAUGACUAGUAACCUCUUAUCAUUAUUUAAAAUAAACUUCAUAAUAUUAGUUUGACAACAGUUUUUAAUGUAAAACUGUACAUGUAUUGCAAAAAUUAGUAAGUGUUAAUCGUUAUAAAAUCUACCAUGUUACUACUAAGAUUUAGUAUCAAUGAAUAAAAGCUUAAUGUUAGUUGAAGUAAACUUACUUUCCAAAAUAGUGUGAAUUUACCGAAACCGACUAACAACCAUUCGUAAUUAAAUUUGGUUGAAUCUGGUGUUUUAUUGGAAAACGAGUUUAUUUUUAUUAUAUCCCAUAAGUAAAUGUGUUUGCAGGUUUAUGGGCAUUUUGUUCUUAUAAUGGAGGAAAGCCAAAAAGAGCUGGUGUUUUAUUGGAAAACGGGUUUAUUUUUAUUUUAUCCCAUAAAAUAAAAAUUGAUCAGGGGUUUAUGGGCAGUCUAUUCUUAUAAUGGAGGAAAGCUGUAAAGAGCUGGUGUUUUAUUGAAAAAUGGGUUUUUUUAUUUUAUCCCAUAAAUAAAUGUGUUUACGGCUUGAUGGACACUCUGUUCUUAUAAUGGAGGAAAGCCAUAAAGAGUUGGUGUUUUAUUGGAAAAUGGUUUUUUUUUAUUUUAUCCCAUAAAUAAAUGUGUUUACGGCUUUAUGGACACUCUGCUAUUAUAAUAGAGGAAAGCCAUAAAGAACUGGUGUUUUAUUGGAAAACGGAUUUAUUUAUAUUUUAUCCCAUAAAUAAAUGUGUUUGCGGGUUUAUGGGCACUCUGUUCUUAUAAUUGAGAAAAGCCAUAAAGAGCUGGUGUCUUAUUAGAAAAUGAAUUUUUUUUAUCCCAUAAAUAAAUGUGUUUACGGGUUUAUGGGUACUCUGUUCUUAUAAUGAAGGAAAGCCAUAAAGAGUUGGUGUUUUAUUGGAAAACGAGUUUUUUUCUAUUUUCUCCCAUAAAUAAUCGCGUUUACGGGUUUAUGGGUACUCUAUUCUUAUAAUAGACGAAAGCGUCUAUUAUGGAAAAUUGAUACUUUAUAGAAAGUGACCGCGAUUGGGUUUAUGAAAUUUCUGUUUCUUUCCCUUUUAGACCAACUGUUUUGACUUUGUGAAUUUCUGUGCACUGGGAAAACAAUUGUCGAUGAAUUUUUUUAAGAAUUGCAAAAGAAAUAAAUUAAUUAUGUAUAAAUUUCAAAAUUACUAAAUUAUUCACCGGACAAACUCACAGUAAAAUUUCUAGUGAAUAAAUGGGAUUAAUAUAUAAUACUCGUGUUCCCAGAAAAUUACUAUUUAUUUUUGGCUUUCCUCCAUAAAGUGCUCAUUUUCCCCUUUUCCAUGUCAUUUUUUUAGUGGUUGAAUCUUAUAUUUGUGAACUAUCUGUAGAUGAAAAAAAAAAUUCCAGACUAUACUAAUUUUAUUAUACUAACUCUGUUAUUCUUAUUAUUGUAUUAAUUGUUAUGCUAUUUCUCUCAUUUUGUUAGGUCUACAUUAAUACAAGUUUAAUUCUUAUUAUGUCUCGUGUCCCAGAAAAUACAUAUUAUCCUAUUGACGUGGAUACGUCCAACAGGUAAUCAAAUAGAUGCUAAAAAAUUUAGAAUGAAUAAGUUGCUUUGUAUAACGGUUCUAAAGGUUCCUUCAGACUUUAUAAAUUAGGUGUCUUGAGUUUGGAAAGACAAUUUCUUGCAUAUCUUUGUAGUGGAAAUGGAGUUUAAACUUGCUAUAGGUUAGUUUCCUGUUUUCCAUUGUAUGCUAAAGGGUAAUUUGCCAUUCAACCUAAUUUUAUUCUGAUUUUAUCCAACUAAUAAAUUAGCUAAUGAAAAAAAAUGAGAAAAUGGAUAACUUAUGGAGGAAAGCCAUAAAUAGCUGGCGUUUUACUGGAAAACGGGUUUAUUUUUAUUUUAUUUGAUAAAAAAAUUUGUUUAUGAAAAUAUGGGUACUCUGUUCUUAUAACAGAGGAAAGCCAUAAAGAGUUAGUAUUUUAUUGGAAAAUGAGUUUAUUUUUAUUUUAUCCGAUAAAUAAAUUUGUUUAUGGGAAAAUGGGUCUUAAAGAGCUCGUAUUUGAUGGAAAAUGAUACUUUAGAAUACCAAUGGAUAACAGUUAAAACACAAUCAUAGAUUUGACAUUUUAAAUAAUGAAGAUUGGUUCCGUUUGGAUUAAAUAAUGAAGAUCAUAGUUAAACACAAUCACAUGUUUUAAAUUACUUAUAUUAAAACUUCAUCGUCUUAUUAUAUUCAUAGGUUUAAAAUUAUAGAAAUUAUAUAGAUAAGUGAUAUUCCAUACAUAAGUAGGAACAUGUGUUGUUAUUAUUAUCCAAACUUUUAAACUUUUCAAAAAUUAUUCAAAUGUCUAAUACGACAAAAUUUUAUUACUUUAUAAGGUUUUGUCAAUGGUCGAAAUAUUUUAAAAUAAAUUGACCCAAAAUUUUUUUAAAUUAUACAUACAAUCAAGUAUGUAUACAAGUAUAUUAAGAGUACUUACAAAGUAAGGUACUCAGUUUUAAUCAUUAAUAAAACAUUUUAGUGUUAUUUCAAAUAACAAUAAAAUAUGGGCUUGGUAUAAGCUUUUUAAGCAGAAUAGAAUAUUUGUGCCAUAAAUUAGCAUGUUUUUGUCAUUAAUCAAAUUUACUAUGUUAUAAGUAAAAAUCACUAUUUAUGUAUAAAAACAUACUAUUAUUUGAAAUAAACUUACUCCCUCAAAAGUAUAUUUGGGAUAUAAAAUUGUAAUUUAUCUCUUCAAAAAGUACGUUUCAUAUUAAUUUCAAUUUACCUUUUGGACUCCCAUAAGUUACUAAUUUAUUACGUUAACUUACUAUUUUAGAUGAGAAACUUACUUCCUUAUUUUUACCCAUAAUCCUAUUCAAGUGGAUAAGUCCAACAGGUAAUCAAAUGGUCGCUAAAAUUAUUAUAACCUAUUAUAUCAUGUCUAAAACUGUUUUUUUAUUAUAACGAUAGUUACUAUACCAUUUUCCCGGAUGCUUAAGCUAAACACUUGAGUACUAAAUUUAUAUAUGUAUAUAAAUAUAAUGAAGGCUUGAAUCCUUUUGUGUUUCGAAUUGCCGCGGAACUACUACGUUUACCUCCACUUUUCCUUCUUCCAAAUUAUUAUCCCCCGCAUGUGUGAGAUUUAUAUUUGUUAUUUGUUAAAAUUUCGAUACUUUCUUCACGCACAUUUUUCGUGGAAUACCAAAAUGGGAGAAGCGAAGACAAAAGUUAAUUAAAUUCAAAUGAAGAAUUGCUGUGGUGUAGAAUUUUUCUCAGGCCUGGCGAGUACUCCUUGCCAAGCGCGUGGUCUGUGAUUCUUAGUCCAAAUGGUUUUGGACCACAAACAAUUCAACCAUGUCUAGACCAUGAUGUGUCGAUUCCUCGUCUGGACAUGCAUAGCACGCCUAUGGUAGGAACGGUCAAUGCGUUCCUACCAUAAAGGUUUCCAUGUUUUGAGUUUACAAGUCAAAUGCCUACAAACAAGCAAUGAUUGCUGCUGCAACAUCAAUUAUGUUUUGUUGUCCAAGUUUUUGAGCUGCAUAUUUUGGACAAAAACAACUUGGAAUAUACACUUGAAGUAGUAAAACUAUACAUGUUUCGUAACAAUUUACUCCACAACAUUGGCAAAGUUUCUGCUAUGACUUGGUUCGAUCAGGCUUUUGCUUUACACCAAAUUUUAAAAGCCAAAAUAUCCCAUUUUGUGUAAGUAUACAAAUCAUUUAUCAAAUAUAGGGGAUAUUAGAUGUCGAUCCCACAAGAAAUAUUAUCAACUACCGGUGUUAUUCGAACUCCUCUUUUAUUUAGAUUAUUACAAAUAAAGCAAAUGAAUCUACACUACCAACAUGCAACACAAGUAGUAAAAAUUGACAUGCAAAUAUGCUUAGUGUUAUGGAAUUACUAUCUACUUAUGCAAAUGAAAUAACCAAUUAAUUGAAUCCAUUAUUUUGGUUGGUUACGAAGUAAUUUCCAAAUAUAUGUGAUAUAUGCUUCCAUUGAUAUAUUAACUGUACCUAUAACUAUCCCAUUCCUAUUAAUGUGAUAUGAAACUAGCUAUAUAUUCGUUAAAUUCUAUAAAAUCGUAUGAAACAAGCCACCAAAACCACAAAGGUGUAACCUUAUAUUAGUGGGUUAACUCCCUCGAUUUAAUACUUUCAUGAACUAGUGUUCAAUCACAAUGGUAUUAGGUUCAUGAGUAAAAAGACUAUGUCCCAUAUUAGGUCAACAAACGAAGAAAGAUCGGUUAAUAUGUAAGUAAUGAUUCGAGACCUAAUAGUUUAAGUUUUGGGUCAGAGUUGAAUUCCUAACUUACAUAUUAGAUUCUUUGGUGGACUUUCUCGAAAUGUUUCUCCCCUAACAAGUGGUAUUAGAGUUUCAGGUUGUGAGACUGGACUACUCAUGGGGCAAGUGGAUUCUUUUCGGAGUUGGAUAGAUGAAAAUUCUCUUCUUAGUGAUGGAUUGAAGAGCCAAGGAGUUUGGUUGGUGUUGAACCAAGUGCGUCAUGGGUUUGACAAGGGAUCUGAUUGGUGUUAGACCAAGGAGUCAAAGGUUGACGGGAGUCCAGAAUCUAAUUUAGAUGUUGAAGAAGAGUGAGUCCGUGAUUUUAAUAGCAUAAAUGCACGACUGUAUUUCAACCUUUUGACCAUAAGAAUGCUUGAAUGGGAUUUCAAUACUUUAUAUGAAAUGUACAUCUAUGUAUUAGUUUCAAAAUGGUUUAAGAAUCAUUUCAAUUCAAAGCUUGUAACAUAGGUUAUAGCUAAAAUAUUAGAAGGUGUGAAAACUGUUGAAAUUUCCUUCUUUUAAACUUGAUUGCAUUUCAUCUUUUGAAUAUAUUGCACUUCAGAUUCACUUUAAAUCAUUUCAAAUCAUCAAAAAUCAUCCAAAUAUAUUCUCACUUCGCAACAAUUAAUGAUUGAAUCAUUAAAUCCAACAAAAUAUGAAAUUUCAACCACUUAAAUCCAUAGAAAUGCAAUUUUUCACAGUUAAACCAUAAAAUGCAAACUUCACUAGAAAUCUAAUUAAUUAACUAUAAAAAUAAUUAAAACACACCAAAAUUAAGCUAUAAAUACACUUAAAAUAUACAAAAUAAACACUUAUCAUUCUUAUCACAAUAAUGAAGAUAGUCUUGCUUAGUUUUUUGCACUCUUCAUAAAAUGGUUAUGCAGAAUGUCUUCUUUUGUUGUGCACACGUAUAAAUAUUUUCUCACAUUAUUUGAUGAAAUAUUUUUAAGUAAAUAGAGUAUUUAAAAAUAAUUAUUUUACCAAUAAAUAGUUGAAAAAAGCAUCAUGAAAAGAAAAAAAAAUAUAAACGGUAGGAAAUAGUCUUGUCUAAGAAGCACAAAUUAAUUGGUAAUGAGAUUGGCUUUAAGAGAGUGGAAGGAAAAUUAAAAAAAAAAAGGCUUCAAUGCCUAGCAACUAUUUAUAUAUGUAGGCUGUCUUUGUAUCCAAAGAAAGUAAAAAAUAGCGGUUGUGAUUAGAGUUGUCAAUGGGUUGGAUCAACCUCAAUUCAGACUCAUCAAUUCAAUAUAAUUCAAGUCAAGCCUUGCAUAUCAUUGGGCUCUAGGGCUAGGUUGAGUUUGGAGCUCAAAAUAAUGCAUGAUUAAAUUGUGACCCGAGUUUGGAUUUAAAGGGGCUCAACCCAAUUAAAACCCGACUUGAACAAUUAAGUACAUAAACACAUAUUCUUUUAUUCAUAAUGAUUUAUGUUAUUUAAUAAUUAUAUAUUAUAAUGUAAAUAGUUUAAGAAUUAUAUAUAAUGAUAAAAUAAAAUAAAUAUUACAUGCAUAUUGUUCUUAAAAUUAUGAAUUAAUUGUGAAUUUGGGCCAAACUUGAAUUGGGCCGAAAACUCUUGCAUCUUGAUGAGUCAUGUAUGAGCUUUAUAGAUUGAGCCCAAAGACUGAAUCCCAGAGCCCUGGAGAUCUACUUUGUUUUUGUAAGAAAAACUUGAACUUUUCAAAAUCCAACUCAUAAGAUCCAAUUAACACCUUGAACAGUGACGGAAAAACACAUGUAUAAUUUCGUUCCAGCCAUCUAGUUGAACGGGUAGCAAUAGCGACAAAGGAGGGAAGAGGGGAGGGUGAUGGCGGGGGCGAGUGGAAGAAGAAAAGGUGGUAGAAUUUUUUUAAAAUUUCUUUGUGUUUUUAUAAGUUAUAUUUGAAAUGUGUACUUUUGGAGAUUGUUAUUGUAGAUUUUACAAACAAAAAUAGUUUGUGAAAAAAUAGACUAAUCCAAAUGAAGCCACAGUUUUAGUCAUUGUAUUUUUAACAAGAUUUAAUUUUUGUCUUAUUAAAUGACAAAUGUGCCUCCACUGGCUAAAGAAAGAUGGUCAUUUCAAGGCUAAAGAUUUUUUUUAUUUUAAUUAAUUUGUAGAAAGUCAAUUUACAUAUAUACUUAUAGGUAAUUUGAAAACAAUUCUCAUUGCAAAACUUAAAUGCCAGAAAUAAUGAAUGACUGCAAGAGUACAAGUCCAAUAUGUUUGGAUUGUAUUUUCCAUGAUUUUUCAUGGAAAAAUUACUGUAGCGAUUUGAUGUAUGUGAGGGAAAAAGAUAAUAGAGAAAUGUAAUCACGGAAAAUAAUGUAAUUUUUCGACAGAAAACUGCAAUCCAAACAAGGCGUAAGAAUUCCAAUUCGCAAGUGGGUUUUUAAAUACUAAAAGUUUGUAUUUCAAUGAGUUGUAGGGUAUAAUAUGUUCCUUGUAUAGUAUUAUUGUACUUGGGGAUAUGUCCGUCACUACUUCAGAAAUUGGCGGACGCCGGACAGAAGUAAUGAAGGCCAAAAAAAAAAAAAAAAAGAAUCCAAGGAAAUGACCACAUAGGAUUAAAAGCAAAAAUUUAUGGCAGCUGUGGAAGGAAAAGAACAAUCAACAACUGAAUGGGAGAAGGAAAAGCUUUACAGAAAUAGUUCAGAAAGCACGGAAUGAGUGAGAGGAAUAUGACAGAAUUGUAUUGCAUAAAGUGAAGCUUGGAAGCAGAGAGAAAACAAAAGAAGUGGCUGAAAGGAGUGACCAAGAGAUCCCAACAGACCAGGUUAAAAUCUCAGUAACAGCUAAGCAAGAUAUGGCUGGGAGGAGAACGGCAUUGUAGCAAAGAGAAGUAAUGACAUGGUGGAUACUGCAUGGGCACUAAUAGAACAGGCUGUGAAGUUUGCGUGGAUGGAUCAAAGCACAGGAGCAGGGAUGGAACAAGGUGCAAAUGGUACUAGGCAAUGAAGGCCUAAGAGCUAAAAUUCAAAAGACUGAUGGCAACGAUGCGAUACUGGGUACUGUGCAGGAAUGGUUCAGUAGGAUAGAAUUUGCCCACAGUAUACUUUCAUGAUGAUUAAUGUUCACUAUUGAAUUCUUGAACAUUAGCAAAGGGCAAAAGUCGAAUCAUGAAAAUACCUUGUGGCCCUCAUGUUGUGAAUAAAUCAACAGCUCCUUAAGCUUUACAGCAUUCCGCAGAAUAAAUUUCACCAAAGUACUCUCCGUUGGCUUAGGAGAGUAGGAAUAUUCCAGUUUGAAUACCUCGAGGAAAGAUAGAUAUCCAGGCAACAAUUGAAUUUGAUCGUAGUCAUCAGCAGCUUGCCUCGAAAAUUCCUGUUUAACGAAGUCAAACGAGGAAGACAAUGAAAAGGACUACAGGUUAAACAUCAAGGAACCACCAAAGCACAUAAACGCAAAAGUUUAUGAAGCCUGCAAAAAAAAAAAAACACAAAAAAAAGGAAAAGCUAAUCUUUAUUUUACCGCUGUAAAUGUAAGUGAUUCAAGACCUGGUGCCAUUUUCGUGAAGUUUGUCAGCGCUGCAUCACACUGAAUUGCAAUGCUAGCUGAAUACACUUUGAGGUGGGCAAGCUUAUAAAAGAAAUUAGGAGGACAUCGUGGAUUGGCAUCAGCAAGCACCUUGAGGAGAUAAGGCAAUUAAGCUAGCAUUAGCAGGCUGAAAGGAGAACCAACUACUCGAUACUUGAAAUUAGUUUAGCUCAAUAAGAGAUUGUUCACAAUAGGUUUGCUAGCUAACCAAGUUAAACUUGAAUAGCAUCAACUUUCAAGCUGGGGCUCAUUAGAAUUUAUAGGUAAAAAAUCCAACCUACUCAAGCUUGCCUCGGUAAAACCUCAGCGUGAUAAAUAAAAAACGAAAGCUCAAAAACAAUUUCAAGCUUUUUUGAAUAAUCUAAGAAGUUUGAACAGUAUGAUGUUUGGUUUGAUUGGGCUUAUUUACAGCUGUAAGCAUCAGUCAAGAUACAACACAAGAAAAAGGCAUAACGGUAUUUUCUAGCAAGAUCAUGUACAUCAUGUAGCUAAUCAUUUAUCAGAAUGGCAUGACAUCUUCACUCAUGAGUCGUGAUAAAUCGAAGGCUGAGCCUGUUGCUUGCAUCUAUAUUCUUAUCCAGAGUCUCAAAUUGCGUGAAUAAUGAAAGACAAUAGCAAGAGGUAAUUGCAAAAUUAAAUUCUGAACAUUUUAAAGGAACAAAGUUGCUUAAAUUAGGUGAGAUUUAGAAACUGGCAUAAAGGAGAAUCGUUACCUGGAUCAGAUCAGUAGAUGGUUCUAGGAAUCUGAUGAAAGCAGCGAACCGUGUCAAGAUCAUACAGGCUUGAAAACCUGUCUUGCUUCUUUGGUUAAUAUCAUUAUUCAUGUCAGGUUUCCAAUACUCUAGAGAUGCAUCAACAAGUUUUGAUUGGCUAGAAAAAUAGAAACUGGCAAACUUAUCAACACUACAUUUGAAUUUUGUAAGGUUACUCCCACGAAUCUCUAUUUUGCAAUCAUUUGAUCCAUCAUUUGCAUGUAUAAAGAUGCAGCCUGUCAUCUCAAACCUAGCAAGCCUUGGCGCCUCUAUUUUAAGCUCCUUCACAUUCCUCCAUUUGCAAUCCGAUGACAGAAACUCUUCAAUGACAGGGAAGGUAAGAAACAGGGGGCUAGAAGGGUCAUCAUUCUGAAAUUCAACAUCAUGGAUAUCCAAGAUACGAAGGUUUGAGUAAGAUAUAUUCAUCGGAAUUUUGAUCUUGCAGAGUUUGAGUUCUAAUUUCAUCAAAGAAUCAGACGUGAAAAACCAACGAGGAAAUACCAAGACCCCAGCAUAUGAAAUAAAAAAGCCUCUGGACAUCAGCGCUUAGAGCAGCAGCGAUCCAAGUUUUCAUACGAAAUGGAUCAUACACGUCUAGAAACAAAAGGUGACACUCUUUGAUCGAUGAAUGCAUAGAAAGAGCAAGAACUCUGUCCACAAAGUUCAUAAAAUCUGUCUUUUUAGGCUGCUUCUGCCGUUUCCAUUUCCUCCGCCUGGGUGAGUAUCGAAAUCUCUUUCCAUCAUCAAAGGUUAGGUUUUAAAUGGAAGUCCAUUUGUACUCCCAUUUCCUUGACAAGACGCUAGUUCUAACAGCCUCCUCUGUUGGUAAACGGGAUAGGAUGUGACUCAAAAUACUUUUAGGAAGUUCACUGAUUCUAUCCUUUUUACCCUUCAAUAAUUCCUUGCUUCGACUUCUUUUCUGGUCCAUACUUCCAAUUUUUCAACUUAGACCUGAAACUAGCUAAGAUGACUUGGAUUUUGAGUUAGAACUGAAAUUGGUUGGUUGAUUCCUUCAAUCGUUGGACGCUAGAAUUCCAUAUUUGUAAGUUGGUCGGGAAAACGGAAGGGCUGCUUAGUUGCAAUUGACACUGUUCUUGGCUUCAAUAAUAAUUCUAUGUAUUUGGCAACAAGAAAAACCAAAACUGACUUUGCACUGGUACUAUGCUUAAACCAUACAUAAGCAUAUUUGGGAACUCAAAAGGUAAUCUGAUGGAGUCUCAGAAAAUGAGUAUUGUGGCAUUAAUAUAGAGAGAUGCUACAGGAUACGAGGUUCAUGAACUACUUCCAAACAUACACACAGGUUCCACUCCAAUAAUGGUUUAUCAUAAAUGCUAUCCAUAUUCAUCCUCUUGAGAAGUGAUAAAUAACAAAUGGUGUCCUUGGAUCUUUCAAAAGAUAGAAUUGACUGGUUCUGUAUGUAGCUUUACCAGUCCAUAUUGGAGGGGAAGUUCAUGAAUCUGUCACCAGGCCGGCUAUGGAACUGUGCAAAUAAAAUAAUUGAGAUAGGAAAGGCAUUUUCAUGCUCUCAUAUGCAGGACUAGGAGAUGUCAGCUAUUGAUAUUACGAAUUCCUUUGACAAAAAUUAUGCAUGAUUAUCAAAAUAGUAAGACACAAACCAGAAUGACAGGGAUGUUGCAUAAUUGCCCUUAGUGUGCAGCCAUUCUAUUGGCCUGUUGUAGAUCCUGGAUAAUUGAAUGUAUUAAUCAAUCUUGAAGUGACAUCGGAAAAAUAAGUACAGAAAGAUUUUUAAUCUAGUCAACUUUGAAUCUUACAAAGAACUCACUCUUGAUGUGCAAACACAGCCGUACAAUCUCACACCUAUGAUAUCUCCUCCAAUGCAGACAAUCUGAAGGAAAGAAACGAAACAGGCAGAAAACAGUGUGACCAAUCUUUCUUUGCAUUAUGAUAUACUUCUGCAGGUAAGGACUUGAGUACGUUUACAAUUCAUAACAAGUGCUAGUGAUCCAGUUAUAGGGCAAUUAUUUGCCUUCACAUUACUCCAUGAUAACGUUAUCAUAUAGCAAUUAGUGUUAUAACACGAGUUUUAUCUGACUGCUACAUUCACAUAAAUGCAAACCCUGAAGCAAUUGACAGCGUAUAAGAAUCCUUUGAAUAAAACAGUCUGUUGCGAAAGCAGCCAUAUAAACCAUUUUAAUGCAAGAAAAUAAAAGCACGAGAUAUUUACGUGGUUUUUUCCAAUGUGACCUAUAUCCUCUGGCAGAGAGAAAGAAUUCUUAUUUCCGAAAAAAAAAACUGACCAAAAGUGUCCACAGUAAAUCCUAGAACUGCUUAUUUAUACAUAACCCAAUUAAAAUGGUAUAGGCCAUAUCGUGCGCCUUCUCCCCCGCACCACUAAUUAAGGACAAUGGUUAUAAUUCGGGUCAGUUCCCGAAAUUCAAGGCACAACUGUUUCGGUUCUCCUUGCCAAACCUUCACGAUUAUUAUAUCUUACUUGAGAGAAUAGAAUUGUUGAACAUUAACACGCAAUGAUGGAGCUAAGGCGGGCUGAUGGGGGCCAUGGCCCCCUAAGUUUUGAAAAUUUUAAUUUAUAGUGUGUAACUAUGUGUGUAAAAUAAAGUUGGUCCUUCUAACUUUUUACAAUUUUAGUUUUUAUUAUGCGAGUUUAUGUAUAUAUAUUUAUAAUUAAAGUUAAUAUUUAAUUUUUUUAGAUGUCAUAUAUUUAAAUGGAUGGAAAUUAUUUUGAGCAUAGCAUAUUAAGAAAAUGUUGACCCCCUAGAAAAAAAAAUCCUGGCUCCGUCACUGUUAACAUGAGAGCAAAGGACAAAGACUGAAGCUGGAUUAUACAUUUCUCCAUCUGUUUUAGUGUGACGAAAAUCCUUUCUGCUGGUUUACUUCAAUUAUAAGUGAAAUACUCAGUGACUCCAUGAGAUUUUGGGCCUCAAUUGCAUAUUAUCAAUGGUAAAUAUGAGAUGGGAUGCACGUGUGGUUGCUACAUAAGCCAUAAACAGAGAAUUUGAGAGAGAGAAAGACAAAAGUCACAAAACAAACGAUAACAUAAUAAAGUAGUGUGAAGGAAAGAAAAAGAAAUCCAGAUUAGUGAAGAACUAUAUAUAUUUGCAAACCUGAGGAUAAACAAAAACAGAAAUUUAGGUAAUCUCAAGGAAAAAUCUUUAGCAUUUUCCAAAGGAAGUUCACUUGAAAAUCCUAGACUAUUCUCUGGGUAAGGGCAUUAUCACUUCCGAAAGGGCACCAUCGAUACAUGAUUUGAGCCUCAGGAAAACUUGAACAGCUGACCUGUACCUUGUUUCAUCAUCUGCCCGUCAUCCUGCAUGUAUAUUUACAAUCAUUCCACUCUGUCGCAUUCUGUUUUAAAACCUUUACCAAAGAAUUCUCCAUUGUGCUAGGAUAAUAGGAAUUUGCAAUUUCACUAUCUUGAGGCAAGUUAGACAAAAGACCCCACCAGGCAUCAAUUUGAUUCCCUUGUAGUUGUCACUUGUCAGCAGCAUUGUCUGCACAAACCUGUGUCGUAAAGUUACAAAAGAGAAAAUGAAAAUCGCCAGCUUUAACAAAUCAUAUGACAAAAAAUACACACAAAAACAAUGCUUAAGAGUUAAAUUGAACAUUACACUCAAUUGCCAUCAUAUUUAUGCAAGCCCGUAAACUUGUUUUUCCUUAGCUUCUGGGGGCAGGUGAAACUAUAACUUGAAGAGCUAACCUAGUAAUAAUAAGUGAUUGAAAAACUGUUGCCAUCUUCAAAAAGUGUAUCACCACUGCAUCAGUUCCUACUGCUAUCCUAGCCGUGUAAAUUUUCAGGUCGGUAAGCUUAUCAAGAAAUGGAAGAGGACAUGGUGGUUCCCUAUGAGAAAGUACCUUAGGAAAUAAUGGAAUAAAGCUAGAAUUAGUCAAGAUAUACAACAUGAGAAAAAAGCUAAAUUAAAUGUUGUAGCAAGAUCAUGUACGUAAAAAAAAAAAAGGAAACAAAUCAUACAGAAAUGGUAAGACCAUUUAAACCACUAGUACUUAUAACACAGACUAAACCUGCCCAGAACUCAUAUGUACAAUCUCAAAUUGGGUGAACAAUGAAAGAGAGUAACAAAAGAUAAUUUUGAUCAAUUUUAAAGGCAACAUGAUAGUCGAACUACUAAAAUUUAAGUAACCACAUCAAGGAGGAUAUUUACCUUGGCAAGAUCACUAGACAGUUCCAGGAAUCUAAUAAAAGCAGAGAACCCUUUUAGGACCAUACAGGCUUGACAGCAUAUCUCCCCACUUGGGAUAAGAUGAGUAUACUGCAAGCCCCGUACUGUACAGAUGCAUCAUCGUUUGUUGACUGGCUAGAAAAAUGGAAAUUUGCAGACUCAUUCGCACUACAUUUGGAUUCUUUGAGGCUGGUUCUACAGAUCUCAAUUUUCCAGUCAUUUCAUCCAUCGCUCACAAAUUCAAAAAUGGGGUCUGACUUCUGGAAACUAGAAAGCCAGGGUGUUUCGAUGUAAGAAGCUUCACAUUCUACCAUUUGCAGCUAGACAAUAAAAAUACUUCAAGGAAUGGGAAGUUAAACAAGUGGUAGUUAGAUUGCAAAGAGUAAUCAUCCUGAAAUUCAACGUUAGGGAAAUCUAAGGUUUGAAGGUUCAAGGAAUGUGUAUCAGUUGGAAUUUUGAACUUGCGGAGUCUCAGUUCCAUUUCUGUUAAAAGUAUCACAAGUGAAAAUCAAAUGAGGAAAUACCGAAUAGUCCCAUACAUAACACGAAGCCCUUGGACAUUAGCACUUAAAGCAGCAGUGAUCCAUGUUUUCACACGAGAUAGAUCAUACUUGUCUGAGAACAAAACAUAAAACUCUUUUGACAGUUGAAUUCUUACGAAUAGAAAGCACUCUAUCCAGAAAGUUUAUAAAAUUAGCCCUCUAGGCUGCUUCAGCUCCAGCUUCUUCAGUAGGGACAAGUAUCGAUCUCUUUUCUGUCAUUAAAUGUAAUAUUAUAAAUGGUAGUCCAUUUGUACUCCCAUUAAUGUGAUAAAUAAAACACUGGUUUUAACUGACGGGAUAGGAUGUGACUCAAGACACUUACAAAAGCAUGUUGAUUCUAUCUUCAGCAUCCAAAUUAUUACAGUACAUUUGUUACUUUGAGUUCUCUUUCAUCCAAAUUUCUAACUUGGAGCACAAAUUGAAACAUGAACUCUGUACUUGUAAGUUGCUUGGUAUAUAGAUGAAAGGUCUACUUUGUAAUAUUAUAGUUACUACCUUGGACACUGUGCUAGGAAUCCAUUUUGAUAACAAUUCAAUGCAUUUUCGAUCAAGCCUAUUCCAAUUUCAUAGGAACAGCUUCUAUCAUCUUCCUCUAUUCUUAUUCCUACACCAAUAGCUACUGUCAGGUUAACUAGAAUUGGCUAGAAAUUCAACCACAACCAAUCCACUUUUGAUAGCAAAUCAAAGAUAAAUUACAUGUGUAUCACCAAAACAGGACAAAAUUCUAAACAAAUAGCUGAUAUAAAAUUUCAGUUUGUAUUGCUGUUCUAUCCUGAAUUAUCAAGGGCAUAAAAAUCUGCAAUUGUUAAUUGUAAUCAAAGUAUACUCAUUGAAGAACGAAGUGAACAAUCAGAAUGCAUGGGAGCGUCCAAACUAGUUUCCCUUGUAAUAGACCCUUUUCUUAAUAGCAAAUUAGCAACACAAUCAUGCUGCAUAGUCAUGAGUUAUGGGUGGGGGUGCUUAUUGGCCAGUAAUCGAGAAUUCGAUAAAAAAAAAAAAAAAAAUUUGGUCUAAAGGAGUGAACAACUGUUCCAAGAAAAUAACAAGGAAAAAGCAGAAGAGAGACAUGAUAUAUUGUUCAAAACCAAAGAGGAUGUAGCAUUGUAUUACUAUAGCAAUCCAUUUUCCUUCUUCUCUUUCUCUCUUUCCCUCCAGGAAGAGGGAUGGAAAGAGGGGAGGAGGAAGAGGGAAGGAGAGAAAGAGAAGAAGGAAGAGGGAGAGGGAGGAGAAAAUAAUAAGGAUAGAAUGGUGGCGAUUGUGGGUGGUAGUGUUAAUUUUUAAAAGGUAUAUUAAAAAAUUUUUUAAUUUCAAAAGUACACCAAAAUAUAUUCCAAAUACCCUCAAAAAACACCACAGAAACAAUCUACAGUAAAAGUUUUUUACAUAUACUACUGUAGUAAAAUAUUAUCAAAAACUGUUAAUCCAAACAGAGCCAAUAAUUUUUAACAAAAAAAUUAUGUAAAUGAAGGUAAUUUACAAUGACGAUAAUAGAUAAAAAAUGCAAAUCUGAAGGCCACCGUAGUUGGAACCAUAACAUCACUUGACCCUAGACUCAUUCAUAUAGAGAUCACGCGAAAUUCACUCUAAUGCCAUUUGUAAUGCCUGCACCCAAUAGGCUAGCCCAAUAAUAGUUUUGAGCUGAAACUAUGAAUUUAAAAUGGUUAACCCAAUGUUAUAAAUAAAUCAACAGAUCGAUCGAACAUUAUGUUCCUUUCCCUUCGUCUUCUAUUUGUCGACGUGGGAUAUUUCACAAGGUGAUGGCCAAUGUUUUGGCAAAACAAGUUCAUUAUGAAGCAUAUAAUUUCUGCUAAAUUUGUCCCUUGUAUUGAUGCCUAAAACAUUUAGCUCCGAAACUGUACAAUUUGGCUAAAUUGAUUCUUUUGUUCAAUGUAUAAAACGAAAAAAGUAAAUGAAAUUUCAUAAAACUCAAUUGGAAUCACAGAAAUUGGAACCACUAGAUGAUAAACUUUGGCAAGCAUUUUAUUUGCAUGUUUUUAGUGUAAUUUAUUACUAGUUUUUGGUGUGUUUUUAAGGGAUAAAGAUGAAAUUUAGCUCCUUUGCCAAUUAUUUCUAUAAGUCACAUUUGACAACCAAAACUUGCAUUUGAAUGGUUUAACUUACAAAUUAUGUUACUUUUGGUAGGUUUUGGUGAUUGAUGAUUGAUUUGGAACAAGUAGAAUACAAAUAACGUGUUGGAAAUGAUUUGAUGACAAUUAGAAAAUGACAAAAGUGAGCAACUCAAGUUUCCUGAAUAUUAAAUGUGGACAAAAAUGGGUGGCUACUCAUGUUUUCACACACGUUUUGAGGUGAACCCAAAAAGACAGAAAAUCAGAAAAUGUAGAGGAGGCAAGAACGCCAACUAAAAUGCGGACCACACCCACAUUUUCCUACCCGCGUAUUCUUAAUGCAGCUGAACAAGUCCUUGCGCAGCUACUUGCAGGCAUUUCACACUGCUUUACAACUUCAUUUAUAGCAUAGAUUUCAGCUGUCUUUUCUGACGUGCGCAAGGUAUACAUAUAAUAUUUAGCUCAUUCACAAUCAAGUUUUACAUUUAUAAACUCCAAAAUGCCCCACACGCAAUUUAUCACAAGUAUACGAAUCGUGAGUGAAUAUAGGGUAUUAAGGGUCGAUUCCACAAGGAAAAUUGCAAUUACCAGUAUUACUAAAGUUUCUCUAUUAUUUAGACUAUCAAUGAAUUAUAAGAAUUAAAAUCUACUGACUUAUGCAAGAAAAUAACAAAUGGAAACUCCUUAGGUUGUGGUAUCCCUAACUACUCAUGCAAAUGCUAUAUUUGGAUCAUUGAGUACUACUAUCUAGGCUAGUUAUGGUGUAAUUUCCUUAUCCACGUGAAUCCUACUUUCGCAGUGAAUCAAUUAUACUUAUAACUGAUCCAUACCUAUUCUCAUAGUUGUGAAGUUAGCUACAAGUUCAUUUAUUCAAUGAAAUUACAUGAAAUGAAUCACCAAAACCACAUAGAUGCACCUCUACUCUGGUGAGUGUACUCCCUAUGUUUAGCACUUCUUGAACCAGUGUUAAAUCUCAAUUUUCAUUGCAGAAACAACACCUUAGAUAAUCACAAUCAAUGGUACCAGAUUAAUCAUAAUUUAAAGAGUUAAAGUACUAAAUAACUUGCUCAAAUACUAGCAAUCAAAUAGCCAAAUAAUAAACACUAACAAUCAUAGAAAAUUCAACCAAACCCGAGGCAUAAACUUUAAAGACAUAUAAUAAAUACAAAAUCCAGAUCUUGCAUAUUAACUGAACUUAGAAUCAAGUACAAAAGAUAAAGAGUUGGAGAAGAGAUAACCCAUGUCACUUGAGUUUCAACUCCUCUUUCUUCAUCUCCAUCUUCAUCCUAAUCUAGCUAAUAUACAAAAAGGAUGAACUAACUAGCUAAACUAACCUACACUAAGAAGAUGAAAGAGGUACAUUUCUGCGCUCCAAGCUUCUCCCGUAUCUCCCUCUAUUGGAUCCCCUCAAUCUUGCAAGUCUUGGCUAUUUUAUGAUGAAAGUUGGUCAAGAAAUGAGGCAUCCACCUUCCUUUUACAGCUGGUGAUGUUUCUCACAUGUCUAGCAUUGCAUGUGACUUAGUGGAGGUGAAAUUGAGUUUUCCGCGUAAAGAGCAGUCUUCUCUGACCACAAUCCGGCCAGAAAUCCUGCCACAAAUCCGGCCAAAUUCCGGUGGGAUUGCUAGUGUCAUUUUGUGCACUUUUGUUCAAUUUCCAACUUUGCUCCAUUUUUGCAUCAACUUCAACCAAACGUUUCUUGAUGAUGGAGACUGAAUUGUCUCUUGACCAAAACAUAAAAGUUGUAGCUCUUUGAGUUAGCUUUCCAAUUCAUCAAGAAUCACCUCAUUUGGAUUUGUGUAGGCUGAGAAAUGACCAAAAUACCCUUGACUGCUCAUGGCCCUGUUUCAGCUUCGACCAAUAGAGACAUUAGCUACUGUAAUUGGGAUGUUUGACCUGGAAAACCUUCAAACUGGAUUUAGCUGUCUUCACCAAAGUUGUAGAUCUAUCUCUUAUCUUCAAAUUGGUUCAAGAAUCAUCUCAAUCCGAUCAUUGUAGCUCACGUUAUAGUUGAAAUACAAAAAUGUGUCAAAACUGUCAAAAUUCACAAAAUCCAAGUAAAAAGCGAUAAAAACCUUAUUUAAUCACUUAAAAGCAUUUUUCACCAAUUAUAGCCAAAAUGAUUCAUAUUCUUCCAAUAAUGUAACCAAAGUGACUAAAAAUAAUAUAAAAUAUCUUAUAAUUAUUACGUAAAUUAGUCACUUAUCAAAGUCCCCCACACUUAAAUCAUUGCUUGUUCUCAAGUAAUCCAUACAUAAUCAACUACAAUGAUUCAAGGGGUAAAACAAUAUAUGCACUUUUGUCAAAUUUAAUUCCUCAUGACUUGGAAAACAAUCAUUAUGUAAUUGUUCAAAUUACACUAAAUACUCAUAAUAUUAAGUAAAGGAAAGAUAAUUAUACACUAAUUUAACAAAUUAAACUUAAUUUCUCACCCUAACCUAAUUUCACAAAUAAGUAAAUCAUAUAGUCAAUUUGUAGCAUUCCUCCUCCUAUCUUCAUCCUUUUCUUUUUUUUUUAUCUUUUUAUUUUACAACUAAGAGGGGCUUAUUCACACUAAUUUUACUUAAAUAGUGAAAAUGCUUUUUUACGGGAAAAUCGACACUUUUAGGUGAAGAUCCCUGGUUGCUCAACAUUUCACUUAUUCAAGUUGCUAUGCAUACUCUUAAUUCAAAUACCUUUUUACGCGAAUGUAGACAUUUGUAGAUGCCAACCCCUGGUUACUCGGUACGAGAAUUAUUGGAGUAGAAUAAUUUUUAUUUACUUUUUUUUUCUUCUUCUUUUUUUUAUAAGACAAUAAAUAAAUUUUCCCUCAUAGAAAAUAUAUAAGAAUAAUCAAAGGAGGAGUAUAACCUUUAUCGACUAUAUCAAUCACUUAAUUGAAAAAUUAAAUAAAGAGGAGAAAUCUCAUUCAAAAUGCAAAAUUAUAGGCAUAAUUCUCCCAACUUUACCGGAUAUACUUUUUAAAAUGUAAGAAUCCUAAUUGCAUAUUAAUCAUUUCCAAGUUAAAUGAGGAUUAAAUAUUCCAAAAUACAUAUAAUGUUUCAACAAAUGGAAGAAUAAAACACUUAAGGUUGGAACAAAUUGGCCCUUUUUGAAUAAAAAUGUAAAAAUUUGAAGAACUUUUGGGCCUUAAUGAAAUAUUGGAAAAGAUUUUAGAAAAAUUUUGACAAAAUUUUUUCUUAUAAAUGGAUGAAACUCUCUGCCAACAUACCCAAUUUCAAGCAAAUUAUCCACAUGGCAAUAUAUCCAAACACAAUUCCAACAUUUCUAAGCAUUUAAAUCCACAAAAUAUCAUCAUAUAACAUUAAAAUGCAAGUUCAAAUAUUUUCCUCCCCCACACUUAAACUUCACAUUGUCCUCAAUGUGAGAAAAGGAAAAUACAUAAAGAGUAAAAGAAAAUACCGCUCAAUUGAACUUGCGCAAUCCGAAUCCAUGUCCAAGUGAUGAAUUUCCAACCAUAAGUAGUCCGAAUCACUAACACCACAACAAAGAUGAAGAUCACUUGGAUUAGUCCACAAAAAAGAAAUAAAGAAAAUUACUAAAAAGGAAAACAUCACAAGUACUACAGAAAAUAAAAAAAAAAACUAGCGGCAAUGUCACGUGGUGACGAGCACUCCCUCAAGUAGCCGCUUGGUCAGGUGAAGAGGGUGGAGUCGGAGGAGCUUCAAUGCCCAGUUUGGUCUCGAUGCGACGAAGACGCUCGGAGUUCCGCUUGUUCUCUUGUCGACUCUUCUUCACCUCAGUCUCAACGCAAAGCAGUUUAUCCAUUAUCUUCUUCAGAAAUGAUCGAGUGUCCUGAGGCGAGGAUGGACGACAUGAAGAAGACGGCUCAGUUGAACCCGGGGGGUGGUUGUGUCAACCUUCAAUUCAUGCAAUUUCCGCUUCCUCCUCGUGCCUAAUAUCUCCAUGAGCACCUUCUUGAGUCGAAGGACCACCUACAUCUUUACUCUUCAAAAUAAACCUGCAAAAUUCAAGUGUAAAGACGUCAUUUUUCUUGAGACCUGUAGGGAUAGCGUUAGAAAAAUCCACUCCAGCCCUUUGAAACUCCAAGGUCAAGAAGCGAGGAUAUGAGAAAGCAUGUUUAAUGUCAUUACUUCGAACCACUGUCCACAUGUGAUUGGUGAUAAUGCUUCCCAAUGGAAUGUCUCAGAUGUUGCCUAAACCAUGCUCCAUUUUAUCCAAGAAGUAGAUGUCACUUGUGCGUGCCUCAUUGGUUCCACUUGCCCUCGAAAUAAUAUUGGACGAACAGGUAAAUAAGAAGACGUUGCGACUCCGGAAAGGAUGAGGUCAAUACUGAAUAUCUCCCAGUCUUCCGAGUAGCCUUGUACUCAACCCCCAAGCGUACAAGUGCCUCUAGCAUGUUCCAAGAGUCCAAAUCGUUGGGUUUGAAAGCUUUUUUCAAAUCUACCUUAUACCCAACAUCCAAAACAUGAAGAUAGCUCUCCAAAUCAGCUCUAUGGACUCGAACUUGUCUCCCUCGCACUGUACUGGUAAUCACCUCUGUAUCGUAGCGAAAAACCUUCUUGUCCUCCAUAUUUGCAUAAAAUUCUCGGACAAACUCUUCAUAAUAGAAGUUUGGGAUGUUAAAGAAGUUUUCCCAUCCCAAUUUGGCAAAGGAGGCCUUGAGAUGGUGGACCUCCUCAGCAUCCUGAGUGAUAUCUUUCUCCACCAAUACCUUAGCUCCCUUCCUAGCAUUGUACCAAGUUUCAUUUUCGGCGGAGGUGAAGCGUGACUUAUCAUAAGGGACUUCCUCCUCUUGUUUCCCUUGUGCCUCUUGUUCCUCUUAUUGUUGAGUCUCUUCUCCGGAUGAUGGCUCGUCCUCAAGCACUAAACGUCUACUUGCUUUUCUUUUCAUGCGCGGCGGUCUAGACGUCGAAGAUUCUCCUCUCCUAUUAGGAGGAGGAGAUUUCACUCCGACUUUCUUAGUGCGAGCCAUUGUACCUAAAUUCAAUAAUUAAACAUUAACUUCAUUUAAUAGGUACAUUGCUAAGUAAAGAUAAGGAAAACUCAUUCACUUUUACCCCUUUAUCUUUAAUUAGACAAUCUUAUCAACUUACUUAUAUAAUAAUUAACAAUUAACACCAUAAGUAAAAAUCAAAAUUGAUUAUCAACAACAAGUGCUCUUAUCAUUUCCCCAAAUAAAACAUUUAAGCAUAUAAUGUCCAAAUAAUUAGAGGAAGCAAUUAAACAAACACACAACUCACUUCCAACUUAAUGACCUAAAUAAGCAUAAUUAAGUAUUAAUAACACCUUAACCAUGAAUUUUAAGCUUAAAAAGAUCAUUAAUUCUUCUUUUCACCAAAAUUUCUAGAAUAAACAUGCUAAAAAUCAAAGGAUAAGCCAAUUAAGCCUAAAUUUAGCAUGUAAAUAUCCUAGAACAAUCCAUUGAUCUCCUACAUUUUUCUUUAAUCUAAUUAGCUCAAGAAUUUAGCUAAUAAUUAUCAAAUCAAAUUAAUCCUCAAAAUUAGCUAAAAAUUGCUAAAGUCACCAAAUAAUCACAAACCCAUGAGUUAAACAUCACCAAUAAUCAUCAAUAAGCUCAAUAAGCAUAAUAAAAAGCAUCAAACUUCACAAAAUGAAAAAAAUUCGAAAUUGCUCAAAAAUAGAAAAAAAAAUGAAAAUUGGCAAAAUUCAAAUGACAACAUUUGGUGAAGAUUUGUUACCUCAAACUUGUUUGUUGUUGAUUAUGGAUGCAAAUGGUGAAGAAACCCCCAAAAAUUUCACUCCAAUUUGGCCCCAAAUGAAGAGUUCAAAAUUUUGAAACCCUUGUUCUUCUCAAACUCAAAUCCGAAUUAAAACUUGUUUUUAAAGGAUUUUAAGUUAUGAAAUCAACUCACAAGGGAAAGGGGAAUAUUUUGAUGUAUUUAGUUUGGAGAUUGGAUGGUGAAAAGAUGAAUUUUAGGAAUAGUGUGUGUUUUAGGUGUGAGUGUGUGUGUGAAUUGAAGAAGAAAGGAAGAAGGAAUUUGGGGAAUCCGUGCGCGGAUUCCCCUUUGAUGCGCAAAACCGGCCAUAAUCAGCCGGUUUUUGGCAAGAUAUCCGGCCGGAUUCUCGGCCGAAUACUGGCCAGUAGCCAAACAAAAAUUUUUCAAUAUCACAGAUCAAUCUGGCCUACAAUCCGGCCGAAACUUCGCCGGAUUUCUGGCCGGAUUGAAUUUUUUUUUUUUCAAUUCUGCAUAUCCAGCCGAAAUUUGGCCAGAUUUCCGGCUGGAUUCGAGCCAAUAGCUCCAAAAAUUUUCAUUUUCUUCCCCUGUUAAUCCGGCCAUUUUAUGGCCGGAUUUGUUGCAGAAAAUUUUUAUUUCUGCACUUUUUCCUUCCGUUUUCCAUUUAAUCAAGCUUGCAACUCACCCAAUUUUCAACUUUCUUCAUUUUUUUCAAGAAAAACUCACCUUAAACAUGAAAAAUGUGCUUUUCUCAACUGAAUGCAAUUAGAAUCAUGAAAUCAUGCAUCGAUAUAGCAUUAGCUUAAAACACUUUAAAUGCAUGAAUUAGAUCAAAUGAACAAGAAAACUCCCUUUUACUUCCUUCUAAUCUCUUUUGCACUUGAACAAUUUGGAUAAACCAUUGCCAUUGCCACCUAUAAAACACAUAAAAACAAUAAUUAAACAACUUAAACUUACUAAAAAUAAGAAAUCGUUGGGUUGCCUCCCAACUAGCGAUUCUUUAUAGUCAUUGGCUUGACUAUAUAACCUCAUUAUCAAGGAGGUUUGGUUAACGAAUAAUCUACCAUUAUAGGUCGUGGUGGAUCAUUAAAUGGUGACUUUAUAGCCAAGACCACAUGAUCUAAUGAUGUGAGAAAUGAAAGUGGCUUACCUAUCUCAAGUGAUUCAUAGAUAUUAUCUUUAAUAUUCACCACUUGAAAACUUACCAAAGGAGCUGCAAUGAGGCUAUCUUGGGCAUUAAUACCUUUAGAACCUAUACUUUCAAUGCACUCCUCAAGAGGGGUGAAAAUGAGUCAUUAAAACUCACAUCUUAAGGCUCAAAGUUAGUUCCAAAGAUAUUAUCAUGUGAAAUGGAUAUUUGCUCAUCAAAACACACUUGAGAUUCAUCAUUUUCAUCAAAAUGCAAUCCAUUUUCACAUACAACAUUUCCACCAUUCAUGCUAGGAUCAUUUUGCAAAUUAUUAGAGGAAAUAACUUCACCAAUGCAUUCAAUUACUCAUGUAUUCUACCAAAGUGAGAAGCUAAUUCAUCUAUUCUUUCCUCAAUGCUAUCAAAACGGUCGGAAGUUGCAUUUGCUAGCUUUUCUAUUGCUAAAUCAAAUUAAUUAGAAAAAUUUUCUACAGCUAGCUCCCAAGAUGCAUUAGAAUCAUUAGCUAAUGGUUCACUUUCUAACUCCCAAGGUAUAGGUGCAUUAGCUAACUUCUCUAUUGCGAACUCCCAAGAUGGUUUUGAUUCAUAUUGGAUACUUUCAGGUUGGUAAUCAUAAAAAUAUGGAUAAUCACUAUAAGUACAUUGAUUAUCCCAACUAUAAGCAUGAGAAUUGCUCCAAUUAGCAUUGUAUUGAUCAAAACAAUGACUGUAAUGCUCUAAUUCAUCAUAAUAAUCCACAUUAUGUGCUUGCAUGCAUGUACUAGUAGCAUGAUAACCUCCACACAAGUCACAAAUCACAUGAUAAGAAUUAAAAGCAUUAACAUUUCUCCUUUGCUCAAUUUCAUGCAUCAUGGUGUCUAUUUGAACUUUAAUUACAUCAAAUUUUGCCUUUAAGCACCUUAAACCAUCUUCAAAAGACAUGCAUUCAGUAAUUUCUUGGUUACCUCUAUUGAAGGAGCAUUGCACUUGGUAAUCAUCCAUUACCAAUCUUCCACUUCUCAAGCAUUGUCCUCCAAAUUGACCUACCCUUCUCAUCAGUUAAAACUGCUUUUAAACAACCUCAAAAGCAAAAUUAGUAAAAAAAAUAGGUAAUGAUACACAUACACAUAAAACACAAAAAUAACAUAAAAUAACAUCCACACUAUAACAAGUAAAAAUGUCUAAAUUAAUAAAGUUACUCUUCACAACGAUAUUGCCAAAUCUUCCCCGGCAACGGCGCCAAAAACUUGACGUGCGCAGGGUAUACAUAUAAUAUUUAGCUCAUUCACAAUCAAGUUUUACAUUUAUAAAUUCCAAAAUACCCCACAAGCGAUUUAUCGCAAGUAUACGAAUCGUGAGUGAGUAUAGGGUUUUAAGGGUCGAUCCCACAAGGAAGAUUGCAAUUACCAGUAUUAGUAAAGGUUCUCUAUUAUUUAGACUAUCAAUGAAUUAUAAGAAUUAAAAUCUACUGAAUUAUGCUAGAAAAUAACAAAUGGAAACUCCUUAGGUUGUGGUAUCCCUGACUACUCAUGCAAAUGCUAUAUUUGGAUCAUUGAGUACUAUUAUCUAGGCUAGUUAUGGUGUAAUUUUCUUAUGCACAUGAAUCCUACUUUCGUAGUGAAUCAAUUAUACUUAUAACUAAUCCAUACCUAUUCUCAUAGUUAUGAAGUUAGCUACAAGUUCACUUCUUCAAUGAAAUUACAUGAAAUGAAUCACCAAAACCACAUAGAUGCACCUCUACUCUCGUGAGUGUACUCCCUAUGUUUAGCACUCCUUGAACCAGUGUUAAAUCUCAAUUUUCAUUGCAGAAACAAUACCUUAGAUAAUCACAAUCAAUGGUACCAGAUUAAUCAUGAUUUAAAGAGCUAAAGUGCUAAAUAACUUGCUCAAAUACUAGCAAUCAAAUAGCCAAAUAAUAAACACUAACAAUCAUAGAAAAUUCAACCAAACCCAAGGCAUAAACUUUAAAGACACAUAAUAAACACAAAAUCUAGAUCUUGCAUAUUAACUGAACUUAGAAUCAAGUACAAAAGAUAAAAAGUUGGAGAAGAGAUAACCCAUGUCACUUGAGUUUCAACUCCUCCUUCUUCAUCUCCAUCUUCAUCCUAAUCUAGCUAAUAUACAAGAAGGAUGAACUAACUAGCUAAACUAACCUACACUAAGAAGAUGAAAGAGCUACAUUUCUGCACUCCAAGCUUCUCCCGUAUCUCCCUCUAUUGGAUCCCCUCAAUCUUGCAAGUCUUGGCUAUUUUAUAAUGAAAGUUGGUCAAGAAAUGAGGCAUCCACCUUCCUUUUACAGCUGGUGAUAUUUCUCACAUGUCUAGCAUUGCAUGUGAUUUAGUGGAGGUGAAAUUGAGUUUUCCGCGUAAAGAACAGUCUUCUCUGACCACAAUCCGGCCAGAAAUCCGGCCAUAAAUCCUACCACAAAUCCGGCCACAAAUCCGGCCAAAUUCCAGUGGGAUUGCUAUAGUGUCAUUUUGUGCACUUUUGUUCAAUUUUCAGCUCUGCUUCGUUUUUGCAUCAAUUUAAACCGAACUUUUCUUGAUGAUGAAGACUGAACUAGCUCUUGAUCAAAACAUAAAAGUUGUAGCUCUUUGCGUUAACUUUCCAAUGCAUCAAGAAUCACCUCAUUUGGAUUUGUGUAGGCUGAUAAAUGACCAAAAUACCCUUGACUGCUCGUGGCCCUAUUUCAGCUUCAACCAAUAGACAUUAGCUACUCUAAUUCCACUUUUUGGCCUAGAAAACCUUCAAACUGGAUUUAGAUGUCUUCACCAAAGUUGUAGAUCUAUCUCUUGUCUUCAAAUUGUUCAAGAGGCAUUUCAAUCCGAUUAUUGUAUCUCAAGUUAUAGCCAAAAUACAAAAAUAUGUCAAAACUGUCAAAAUUCACAAAAUCCAAGUAAAAAGUGGUAAAAACCUUAUUUAAUCACUUAAAAGCAUUUUUCACCAAUUAUAGCUAAAAUUAUUUAUAUUCUUCCAAUAAUGUAACCAAAGUGACUAAAAAUAAUAUAAAAUAUCAUAUAAUUAUUACGUAAAUUAGUCACUUAUCAUUUUCCAAGAAGAAAUGUUGUAGCCUUGAAGAAGUGAUUUUGUGUCUUUCCAAGAAGUAACUUAGUUAGGGUUUUUCUUCUACAAAUACCUUGCAUUAGGGAUUGAAGAUACAUCCAUGGGGACUUAGAAACUCUUAGAGAGACUUUGGAGAGUUUUGAGAGAGGUAGUGUAGAAGAAAAGAGCUUGUAAACUUAGCAGAUUGAACCAAAAGUAAAGGAAAAUUGAGGAGCUUAUUUCAACAUCUUGAAUAAGAAUCUCUCAUCCUUUGCUGUUUAAAUUCUUAUGUUCAUUUAUGUCUUGUUACAUGAAUUUAUUGUGUUCAUUUAUGUCUUGUGUUUAAAUAAGCUUAACUUUAUGUCUAGCUAAACUAUUUUCUGCUAGAAUGAAGAUGAAUUUGUUUAGAAGUAGUUUUGGUUGAUUUUUGCUAGCUUGUGAAUUUGUGAAUUCAUGAGUCUAUGCUUACAUUUGUAGUUGUUUGGUCACCAACUAUGAAUCACUUAAUCAUUUGUUGAGUAUUAAAGGUUGCCAUAUAAGUGUAGUUCAAGAUUCAUGAAACUUAAAACACAUGUUCGCGUUAUGUAGGAGAUGUAUUUAGGCAGACCUACUAAAAACUACAUUGAUCUUCAUGAGCUAAGAUCAUAUCAGUGAAGGUCUAGUGCGAGUAUGUUUGAGUAAUCGUGAAAGUAAUAUUCAAACAAAAUUGAAAUAUAUAUAUAUCCUUAACCAAUCAUGAGUUAAUGGCCUAAAUCAAUCGGAUUAUUUCUUAAUCUUGAACAACAAGGGAUUUGUAGCUUCAAGAAGUCCUCGUACCAAGUUUUUCACUGUCAUUUUGAUUGUUUUUAUUAGUUUAAUUGAUAGUAUUGUUUUUACUUGAUUUCUUUGUUUUUUAGAUAUGAGCCUGUUUGGCAAGUAAGUUUUUGGGUAUUUGUCUAAAAUUUUACUGUUGAAGUUGUGGAAAAUUUUUUUGAAAUGUGUAUAUUUGUGAAUAUUUUGAAGUGUAUAGUUUAAAAUUUUUGAGAAGUUUUUUGAAAUUACUAUUGUUAAAGUUAUUUAAAAACUUGUAGCUGACAAAUUUGGUCAAAAACUUGCUUGCCGAAUAAGGCCAUAGUAAGUUUAAAGACCAUGGUAGUUGCCCAUACCGGUGUCGAAUCAAUCCAAUUAUCAUUGUACUCAUUUGACGGGUAAACUUGUAGUAAAGUAGAGUAUUUGGGCUUAAAUAUAUAGGAUAAUUAGGAUUUAUAACUUGAAAACCUAGAUCAAAGUCAACUUAACAAAUGAUAGAUAAAGCAAACUAAAAUUUUCAACUUCACUAGAGUUCCAAUAACUAGACAGUUUACUUUUUACAAAAAGCAAGUUUACAGUUAAGUUUUAACAAUUAUGCAUAAAUUAUAUUACAUAACCUAUAUUGACAACAAUCAUAAAUAUUCAAGUUGCAACCUUAGUUACCCUUCCCUUUGGAGCCCUAAUAUUCUUGUUUAUGAGAGGACUUUUACUUCUUUUAAAAUAUUUCGGAUUUGAACCAUGAGAAAAGACCAUCUUAAUAACCAGAAAAUUCUACACAAACAUUUAAAAAGAGUUUCUAUAUAUUGCUAUAUUCAGCAUAUAGUAUCGAUAGAGGAACAUUUGUUAAAAGAUGCUGAGUCUCAUCAACCUUUCAUAACGAAUACUGAAUUUGUCCAAACCAGAAAAUUUGCUUAAAUUAGUGAAGAACUCUUUUUCUUUCUUUGUGUUUUUAGACAAAUAUUUCCCUUAAUAACCAGUACAUGCACGUGCACACACACGUGUGUGUGUGUGUGUUAAUCACAGAAAUUCCUCCUUAGGUGUAAUCAUUCUUACACUUUAUUCUCUAAUGAUAUUUUUUUUCCUCACUUUAUCUCUUAAACUGCUAGUCACUUUAUCUCUUAACACUUUAUCCCUAAGAGUUAACUAUAAUAAAUCCCUUUAACAUAUAGCUUGUUUUGACUUUAUCCUCUAACAUAAUUUUUUUCGCAAUUUGUUUGUUUGUUACUAAAAUCAUCAGCGAACUCCAAUAUUUGAUAGCUCCCAAGAAAAUAAUUUGUAAAAAAUUAAUGUUCCAUACAUAAUAAUGAAAAUAUAAUAUUUUUAUUGAUACGGUCCUAGUUAUAUUCCACUCCAUAAUUACAUUUUUUUUAUUGAGGUGAAUAUCUUGCUAAUUUGACACAAUAAUGAAAAAAUUAAAAUUGUUAUUGAAAAAUUAAAGUGUGAAAUAUUUUAAAAGUCUAAAAAAGGUCAAGAUAUUGUCAAUUUCUCUUUGGGAGUAUGCAUAUGACUAUGCUUUUCUUUUAAUAGCUAAAUAUUUCUUUAUAACGAAGUAUACAUUUUUUUGUUGGUAAUACUAAAAAAAGAGAGAAAUAUAGUUGAUUUGGGUUUCAAAGUUUAUUGUUGUUCUUUUAAUAUACCAUAUUUAGAUGAUAUUAAAAUUUAUUUUGAUUGCUAUGUUUUUCAAAAAAAUUCUGUUGCAUUAUAACACAUUUCCCAAUCAACUUUAUUUUUUCGACCAUCUUUUUGUUUCACAAACAUCAAAUAGCAAAAAGUGCUAUUAUUCUAAAAGAUUUGCCAAGUAAUCUUCAAUUCAAACAAACCCAAUCUAUAGACCUUUAACAAUAUUUUCAUAGUUUAAUUCUGCACUAAUAAUUUUUUUAACUUAUCAUGUGAAAUUAGCGGGAUAUUUUCCUCUAUCUAAAAAACCUGUAAUUAUAGGGAUAAAAUUUAUCAAAACCUAUACCCAUGAAUAUAUAAUAAAUUUUAUUAUUAUGUUAGGGAUAUUAAUAUUUUUAUACAUUAUUUAUCUUGAAUGGUAUGAAAAAAAUUGGAGUUGACUAAUGAUUUUAGCGAUAAAUAGGCAAAUUAAGAAAAAAAUGAUAUUAGAGGUAAAGUGCAAAACACAUUAUAUCGUAAGGGAAUUUAUUGUAAUUAACCCUUAUCAAUGUUUUUUUGACAUUUCCAUUAUACAAUGUUAGCAUUGAUUAAUGGUUAGAGGCUAAAGUCAAAAACCAAAAAUAAUGUUAGGGGACAAAGUACAAAAUUGGUUAAAUCUUGAGGAGAGAUUUUGUAAUUAAUCCUAUAUAUAUAGGCACAUACACAUACACACACAACACUAAUCUUACACUAAAUAAAAACCCUUUGAAUGAAAACAUGAGUUUCAUCUAAAACCUGAAAAUUAGCAAAUAUAAAAACCCAUCAGCAUUCAUCGAUAUAUUUUAAAAAGUUUUUCAUUCGUAACUAACAAUAAUUGUCUAAAAAUUCUUUAACAUUGUUCCACGUUACUAACAAUAAUUGAUUCCAGUAAACAGUUAUUAAAAAUCAUUGAGUUUAUAAGCCUCUUUCAAUUUCAAAAUAUUCAACUUGUGCAAAUCGGAAAAUAUCAAGAUUUGACAAUGGUUAAAAGAAUUAAUUGUCUCGGGCGAUUCACUGUUUUCACAAGAUAUUUAUACAGUUGGAAUUUGGAAAGAUCAAUGAUGUCUUUAGCUUUCGUGAAGGAGUCAUCUCCGAAAUCUUAAUUUUAGAACAUUCAAAUAUGACUACUGUUGGGGAAAUCGGGUAAUUUCCCACUCAAAAAAAUUGAACUAGUGAUUUAAACCGAUUCGAUAAUUCCUAGGAAAGAUUGUCAAACAAUCUCCUAAGACAGAAUUACCAUUCCAAAUAAAUUCCCAGGACAGGCUGGAGGGGUCACAAGCGGUCCCACUUAAAACCCAGUCUCCUAGACAGAAUUUACAUGCACGGUGUAUUAUCACAAAUAUACCCGUGUAUAUAUAAAUAAUACAUACACACGAAUAAGAAUAAAUACACCCAAAUGAACCGUAUAAAAAUACUACAAAUAUACCCGACAAAUAUAUUGAUUACUAUACUACAAUAGAAAAGAAACUACUAAAUAAAUGCGAAAUAAAUAAAAGAGAUAAGGAAAGAACGCACCCGAAAAUUUGAUAACGGAGUUCGGCCAAUUUUGCCUAAUUUCCGUGUACCACUCAAGCGACCCGCUCUUACAAAUUUUGGAAGAAGAAAUAUUACAAAAGAAUUACAAAAUCCUUUUGGUGUAAUUCUUUUGUAAGUGUAUUUGGUACAUAUUAUUAGGAACCUUGAGAGUCCUUUUAUAACUCUCAAGCAAUCCUACAACUUCUAAAACAACUGAUGUGGUAUUAAAUGUUUGCCAAAAAAUGUCAACAAUUUUGGCUUGGAAAAGUCAUCAAUUUCUGCCACCAAAAUUUCUGCGACCAAAGUCAAAAAAUCUCCACCAUGGCAUAAAUUCUAAUCCCACCAAAAAAUAUAAAUCUUCUCACAAAAAUAACAAAUAGUUCUUGCAGUGCUUCCAAAUUUGUACCCUCAGGCGCCAACUCAAAUGUGUAGGAUAUUGACAAAGUUUAAACAAUGUUCAAACUUGGAUCUUGUAACCACCUUGGUCAGCAUAUCUGUAAGAUUCUCCGCAGUUCGAAUCUUCUGGACAAAAAUCUCCUCUUUUCGAGAAUUUCCCACACAAAGUAAUAGUGAACAUCAAUGUAUUUCGUUCUUGCGUGCAAGAUCUGGUUCUUUACUAAGUGAAUAGCACUCUGACUGUCACAAAAUACGUCAAUGUGUUUUUGACCAACUCCCAAGUCUUCAAGCAAUCCUUGAAGCCAAAUUGCCUCCUUUACAGCUUCUGUAAUCGCCAUAUACUCUGCCUCCGUUGUAGACAAAGCCACCGUUGACUGCAAAGUAGACUUCCAACUAACUGGCGCCUUAGCAAAUGUGAACAAGUAGCUACUUGUAGUACGUCGCUUAUCCAAGUCACCUGCAUAGUCAGAAUCACAAUAUCCAACUAUACAUUGACCAAGUGAUUUAUCCCGCUUGAAUACUAAUCCAACGUCUACAAUAUCUUGGAUAUACCGUAGAAUCCAUUUCACAGCUUGCCAAUGACCCUUGCCCGGAUUUCAUGCAUAAAUCUGCUUACCACACCAACUGCUUGUGAAAUGUCGGGUCUAGUACACACCAUUGUAUACAUCAAGCUACCAACUGCAUUAGCAUACGGGACUUUCGCCAUGUAUGCCCGCUCUUCAUCCGUAUUUGGAGAUAAUAGGUUGCUAAGUUUCAAAUGAGGAGCAAGCGGAGUACUUACAGGUUUUGAAUCUCCAUUCAUGCCAAAAUAUUGUAGUACCUUUUUCAAAUACUACUUUUGUGUCAGACAAAACUUGCCUCUCGUUCUAUCCCUGCUUAUCUCCAUGUCGAGAAUCUUCUUGGCUUCUCUCAAAUCUUUCAUUUCGAACACUUUACACAACUGAGUCUUCAUUUUGUCAAUUUCAACUUGGUUCUUUGACGCUCAGCGUAUCAUCUACGUACCAGAGUAAGUAGAUGUAGGAAUCAUCUCGUAACUUGCGCAAAUACACACAAUGAUCAUAUUUGCUUCUUGUGUACCUUCGGCCCAUCAUGAACUGGUCAAAUCGUUUGUUCCAUUGCCUCGGUGAUUGCUUCAAUCCGUACAAUGAUUUGCUCAGUUUACAAACCCAAUCUUCUUUACCAGCAACUUUAAAUCCAUUUGGCUGACACAUAUAGAUUUCCUCCUCCAAGUCACCGUGAACGAACGUGGUCUUCACAUCAAGUUGAGCUAACUCCAAAUUCAACUGCGCUACCAAGGCCAACGCAAUUCUAAUAGAGGAAUGUUUAACAACUGGAGAAAAUACCUCAUUAUAAUCAACUCCCUCCUUCUAAGCGUAGCCUUUAGCCGCCAAUCUUGCCUUGUAGCGAACAUCAUUCUUGUCAAGAAAUCUUUCUUUCUUUGCAAAUACCCAUUUACAUCCAAUUUCCUUCUUGCCCUUCGGUAGUUAUGUCAGUUUCCACGUCUUGUUCUUCUGAAGAGAUUGCAUCUCUUCUUCCAUAGUAUCUUUCCAUCUAACAUUUUCUGUACUUCAAACUGCUUCAGAAAAUGUGGAUGGAACAUCUUCAACAACUGGAAGUGCAUAGGCCACCAUAUCAGCAAAACGAGCAGGUUUUUGAAUUUCUCGUCUUGAUCUAUUAACGGCAAUUGACUCUUGCUGUUGUUGAGGUUCUUGGGUUGAAACCUCUUUUUCAUCUGACUCCUCAUCUAUCAUAGGAGAGCCACUGACGGUGAUUUUUGCUGGACUCACCAUUAUUUGCUUGAACUCUACCUGUUUCGACGUACACACCACCUGUUGCGGAGUACUACUGGUCUCACCUAGUGUUACCUUAUUCAACAUGGCAGAUUCAUCAAAGGUAACAUCCCUACUGAUAAUCGUUUUCUUUGCUUCUAGACAUCACAAACGGUAUCCCUUAACUCCAGCAUUAAAGCCCAUAAAGAGAGGUUUCUUUGCACGUAGAUCCAACUUUGAUUCAUCUACAUGAUAAUAUGCAGUAGAACCAAAAAUACGCAAAGAAUCAUAAUCUAUUGCAGGUUGUUCAGACCAUACCUCUAAUGGAGUCUUGCCACCUAUUGUAGAUGAUGGCAAGCGAUUGACGAAAUGUUGAGCGUAUGUCACAGCCUUAACCCAAAAUUUCUGCCUAAUCCAGCAUUAAAUAGCAUACAACGUACUUUCUCCACUAGUGUCUUAUUCAUACGCUCUGAUAUCCCAUUCUGCUGCGAUGUUCUUCUUAUUGUGAAGUGCCGAACUAUGCCACAUUGUUGGCAUAUCUUCUGGAAAAGAUCACUCUUGUAUUCUCCACUAUUGUCUGUUCGAAGAAUCUUGAUCUUUCUUCCCGUCUGGUUUUCAAUCUGAGUUUUUCAUUUAGGGAAAAUCCCAAGCACUUCAUCCUUCUUCUUCAUAGUAAACACCCAAACUUUUCUGAAAAAAUCAUCAAUAAAAGUGACAAAAUAGUACCUGUCUCCAAGGGAUGAAGUCUUGGCAGGUCCCCACACGUUUGAAUGCACAUAAUCCAAAAUACCCUUGAUAUUAUGGAAAGGUGGGCCAAAUUUUAUUCUUUUCUGUUUUCCCAGAAUACAAUGCUCACAAAAUUCUAAUUUGCAAGUUUUCGUACCUUUCAAUAAUCCUUGCUUGGCAAGAUUUUGUAAGAAUUUUUUACCAGCAUGUCCCAAUCGCAUGUACCACAACUUUGUUGCUUCUGCAUCCUUCUUGUUAUUGAAAGAUGUUGCUGCUGCUGCUGUCCCAACAACUGUACUACUUUGGUAGUAAUACAGAUUAUUCUUUCUCACGCCUUUCAACAUCACAAGUGCUCCCGAAAUUGCUUUAAGAAUUCCAUCUUGCAUCUUCACUUUCAGGCUUUUUGACUCCAAGAGUCCUAAAGAGAUGAGAUUCUUCUUCAAAUUCGGUACGUACCGAACAUCCUUCAAGAUUCUGGUAGAUCUAUCAUGAUUACGCAGUUUGAUUGAAUCUAUCCCAACUGUUUUACAUGGUUGUUGUUUCCCAUGUAAACAACUCCACCAUCAGGCUCUUCAAGUUCGAAGAACCACUCUCACAUAGGAGACGUAUGAUAGGUGCAACCUGAAUCCAAGAUCCAUUCAUCUGGAUAAGAUGUUGAUGGUGAUGCAGCUAAAGAGAAAUCCGAUUCCGCAUCACUUUUGCACUUUGUAACAUACAUUUGCAUCUUACGGAGCUUUCCCUUUCUUCUUCAACUUUGGACAAUCUUUCUUCCAGUGCCCUUUUUCACGAUAGAAAGCACACUCAUCUUUGGCAACUCUACUUUUUGAUUUGGACCUUCCUCUUCUCCCAUUUGAUUGGCUUUGUUAACGAACUCUUGCCACUAACGCUUCAUCUGUUGCAACUAUUUUAUUUUUCAUUUUAUCCUAUUUUCUCAAUUCAUGACUAUACAAAGCAAAACAUACAGCAUCUAAAGAUACAUUUUCCUUCCCAUGAAGUAACAUAGUUUUCAAAUGUUCAAAUUAAUCAGGAAGGGAUGACAACAAAAUCAAAGCCAAAUCUUCAUCUUCAAAUUUAACAUCUAAAUUUAACAGAUCUGCUACUAACUGAUUAAAUAUAGUGAUGUGUUCAUUCAUAGUAGUACCUGGUUGGUAACUGAAUCGAAACAAUCUUUUCUUCAUUAGGAGUUUAUUCUGACCACUCUUCUUCAGAAAUUUCUCCUCCAAUGCCCUCCACAAUUUCCAUGCAGAAGUCUCGUUCUUGAAAGCAUACUUUUGCUCUCUGGACAAACACGAUCGAAUAGUUUUGCAUGCCAACCGAUUUAUGGUACUCCACUCCCUCUCUUCUAUAUCAUCUGAUUUCUUUUCUUCAAUGGCAAUGUCAAGACCUUGUUGGAAAAGAGAGUCUAUGACCUCGCUUUGCCACAUGCCGAAAUGGCUAGUACCAUCAAAUAUCUCCACCGCCAACUUCGAACUUGACAUUGGAAUCCUCGACCAUGUGGACGAGGAAACCGAUGCCCAGAUGUAACUCUUGACGUGGAAUUGUUUGAUGCCAUUACAAACUCAAAUAAUAGUAUUCAAUAUAAAAAUUAAAAAUAGGCCAAAGGACGAAUCUUCAGCUCUGAUAUCACUUGUUAGGCAAAUCGGGUAAUUUUCCACUCAAAAAAAUUCAACUAGUGAUUUAAACCGAUUCGGUAAUUCCCAAGAAAGAUUGUCAAACAAUCUCCUAAGACAGAAUUAUCAUUCCAAAUAAAUUCUCAGGACAGGCUGGAGGGGUCACAAGCGGUCCCACUUAAAAUCCAGUCUUCUAGACAGAAUUUACGUGCACGGUGUAUUAUCACAAAUAUACCCGUAUAUACAUAAAUAAUACGUACACACGAAUAAGAAUAAAUACACCCAAAUGAACCGUAUAAAAACGCUGCAAAUAUACCCGACAAAUAUAUUGAAUACUAUACCACAAUAGAAAAGAAACUACUAAAUAAAUGCGGAGUAAAUAAAAGAGAUAAGGAAAGAACGCAUCCAAAAAAUUGAUAACGAAGUUCGGCCAAUUUUACCUAAUCUCUGAGCACCGCUCAAGCGACCCGCUCUUAUAAAUUUUGGAAGAAGAAAGAAUUACAAAAGAAUCACAAAAUCCUUUUGGUGUAAUUCUUUUGUAAGUGUAUUUGGUAAAUAUUAUUAGGAACCUUGAGAGUCAUUUUAUAACUCUCAAGCAAUCCUACAACUUCCAAAACAACCGAUGUGGGAUUAAAUGUUUGCCAAAAAAAUGUCAACAAUUUUGGUUUGGAAAAGUCAUCAAUUUCUGCCACCAAAGUCAACAACUACAAGGUUACCAGAGAGACUAAAACUUCCAGAAUGGACUAGAUUUACAUAAUCGGAUGCUCGUGAGUUUGAAAAAAAUCAUACAAGAAUGGGCUUUCCACUACUAUAUACAUCAAGAGGCUAAAACUUUGAUGAGAAACUGUUCCAAGAUUUUGAAUUGAAACAGUCAACCUUGAAAAAAUUUCUACCUUCGGUAUAAAUUGAACCAGAAGAAUUACUUUAUAAGUAGUAAAAGCCCUUUGGGAAAGCAUAUGGCAUCUUAAUCCAAGCUUUAUACACCAAAUUAUGACGGAUUCAAUGCAACUAUGCUAUGAAGACUUUUCUAUGCAAGAUUAUGAGUUUUUCUUAUUUCCAUGUCAUGGUUCUGCUGUUGUAGAAUACAAAAACCAUGAAACUUCAUCAUAAACGGCUCUGUAUCAUAUAACUUCUAGGUUUAAUAGGUUCUCCAAUUUUCUAGAGUAUACAUGGGUUAGGAUCACGAUCUUGAAACUGCUAAAACAUGUAUAUGUCAAACCUUCAGCCAUGAAUUCUUCUUGUUUUUCAUCAUUGAAUUUUCAGGAUCAUACGGUUUAGAACAUGAUCAUAAGUUAUCAUAGGAUACUCUGAAAGAUUUUAAUGUAAAACAAUAACAAUUUGUAUGUAACAUGAAAUCGAAGUAGCGGUUUUACCCUACACAAAGAAUUCCUUCUCUUUCUUCUCCGCCCUCCAAUCCUCUCUCUGUCAUCCACAAUUACUAAGGAAUAUAUCAGGGCCUACUAGCUAGUAGUGAUAAAGGAUUUUUUAGGAUCCUUCAAUACUUAACACUUUUGUACUUAUUUAAUCUUUGUGGAAUUAGGUUGGACAGCACUUAAAAUUCCUUGCUAAAGUUCCAAUGCGGAGCAAGAAAAUACUUGUUCCUUUUCAUUCUUGAAAAACCCUUUUCCUCUAAGUCCUUUUUUUUCCCAAAAACCUGUUCUUCUUUUCCCUUUCUGGACAAUCAUAAAUGUUAAUAAUAACUAAAACAAUAAAAAUUAUUCACAUUUGAUAAUUGCAGCAUUUAUGAAACUAAAACACUAAUAGGUCGUAGAAUAAUUACUAAACAGAAUAAAUAUCUAAACUAGAUACAAGCAUCUUAUGAACAACACAAAUAUGUACUCCAAAAUAUACAUAUGUUGUAAGAUUGGGUGAUUUUGACAACAAAAAUACUGAAUUAGAUAUAAAAUCACGAACAAAAAACAAUAUAAACAGAACACCAAUCUUGAAAAGUUAAUUUUAACAUAAAUGAGAUGCCGACAAGCACAUGGAGUAUGAAAUUGAUAAUAUAAAUUGGACAGGUAUUUCUUUCGUUGUAGGGCCUUUUGAUUUAAUGCUUAUCUCGUGAUAUUCCCACUAUAGCCAAAGAAAAAGAAAAGUCUAUGAAAUGUAAACAAGUUGGACAAAAAGGUGAAGACACUGAUAUAUAUUGCAAAUUGUAUUUUCGACAACGAAAAUUAUUGGAAGUUUCAAUCCAAUAACGAAAAUGCGACAGACUUUACAUGAUUUAACUAGGUUAAAUUAAACCCAACCCCCCCCCCCACACAACAAAAAUAAUCUUUCAUAUUGCAACAUGAUCCCUUUAGGAUUUCAAAAUAUUUAUAUAACCUCCUGUGGUUUCAUGUAAUAUGAAAAAUGGACAGGAAGCACCAAUAGUUACACUGAUUAAACCAUACAUAAACACGUGUGUGAUAAAAUCAAAAUAUCUAUUUAAAUUCCCUGCGAUUUGCAUGAAUAUUCAAUUUAGCCCUCAAUAGUUUUUGCUUUUAUCCACAUUAUUCUCGUAUGAUUUUAUGUACGGUGGUUAAAGUGUUGAUUGAUUUAGUAUGCUUAAAUAAGGACACUACUAGUAACUAAAAAUAUUAUGGGAUUUAUUUUCUUUCCAAUUUUCACUUUACAUGAAAUCACAUGAGAUUUAUGUGGGUAUUUAGCAAUAUUAGGUCGUUUAUGUGACAACAAGUGAAUCCACGGGGGAUUAUGUGUAAUCUAUCCUUUUAACUGUAUCUAGAGAACUCUUUCUCAGACCAGUAUGAACUCUGAACUACUAGGUAGGGAUUCAGUCUGGGUCCACUUUAUUCUUCUCAGCAUUAGUCAAUUCCAAUUAUCCUCCACAAGUGACGUUGUUCACGACCAGGCGACUUGGUUGUAAGACUUGCCAAGGUCAAGUUUUCCCAUGCCAUAAGUUUUCCUGGCUUAUACAACUUUCAUGAUCCCUCAAACAAUACUUAAUUUGGCUCCUAAUCUACCAAUCUAGUUUGUAGGUUGUUAGCCUUUUACUCUUUUGAUGCCUUCCUUUGAAAUGAUCUCCAGAAAUUUGUUGUUCCACUUCAAAUAUUACAUGCUUUGUUUGCUUAGCUUCCAUACCAUUGAAUAUUGUUGUUCCACUUCCAACGACACAGACCCCUGGAACUAUCUUGACUCUUACUGUGGAAAUAUUACAUACAAUCCUAACAGUCCUUCCGGCAGCAUUUACAGAGCCAAUCUGAAUUUCUUGCUUUACAAUCUGUCUUCGCAUGCAUCUCGGACAGACAACAAUGGCUUCUAUAAUUUCAGUACUGGCGAUGACCCUUCAAACAAGGUCUAUGGCCUCUUUCUCUGUCGAGGUGAUGUCCACACUGAUGUUUGCAAAGAAUGCGUCGCAGAUGCCCACACACGACUACUUCAUGAGUGCCCAAAUCAAACAGCUGCUAUUGUUUGGUAUGACAAGUGCUUGGUACUUUUUUCUGACCAGACGAUCUUCUCCAAGGCUGAUUUGGGAGAGAAUGUGACUAGGCGCAAUCCAUUCGAUGUCCCUGGACCUGACUGGGACAAAUUCAAAAUGGUAUUGAUCAAUUUGUUGCAUAACGCUGCGGAUGAGGCUGCAAAUCAUACCAUGGGCAAAAAGUUUGCUGUCCAAGAAGGCAAUUAUUCCACUGAUCAAAAGAGAUUGUAUACCCUUACGCAGUGCACACCAGAUCUAUCCCCUUCUGACUGCAAAAGUUGCCUCAGAGAGGCUAUAAUGGACGUACCCGCGUGCUGUUCCAAGAAGCAGGGAGGGAGAGUACUUUAUCCAAGCUGUAAUCUGAGGUAUGAGGUCUCCAGCUUCUAUGAUAAUGUUUCCUCUGCCUUGCCAAACUCUCCUGGCGGUCCUCCUCCUAAUUCCACUGAAGGUAAGUUCUGCAGCCUUGCUAUGGCCGUCUCUUCUUGGAAUUGGUGUUGAAUACAAUCUUAAUUCUUACAAUUUCUUGUUUGUAGUAAAUUCUAGGUCGAAAAUGAAAAGCACUAAAUUUACAGCCUUCAUUUUAAAUUCAUACCUUUGUUAUUGGAAUUAAUAUUAUUGAAGUUAGUAGAAUAUGUAAAUAUAGGAUGAAGGGUGUGAAUUCACUAUCAAACGAAAGGAGACCACCACGUAACUUAAUGAAUUUUCUAAGUCAAAUUUUAGUUGAAUACGUAACAGUAAGAUUUCCGCAUCAGCACAUCUUACUGAUCACAUGCAUCAUCAUUUGUAAUUUAUGGAAGAUUUUAAGUGGUCAUACUUCUUAGGACAGUAAAUUUAGUCUUUUUGCAAGCAUUAGCACUGUAAUAACUAUUGAAUAUAUGUUGAAGUAGAAUUGUUAUGGUCAUUACGGAAUCCCUUUAACUGUGAUGGCCUGACGUGCAUUACGUUUUUAUUUAGUUAUCUAUCCAUUUAUCUAUUAUAUGGUUUUUAAAAAUCAUAUACUUAUGUUAUAAUUUUAUUUUGAUUGGUUGAUCAGCAUACAUGAAUAUUAAGUGCAUUUGAGAAAGUUUUUGCAUUCAAUUUGCUAGAAACAUUUACAUAGUGUAAAAGGGCUCAAGUUCAUGGAAAAUUUUGCAAUGAUUAAUCAAAUGGAAAAAGUUUGGUAUUUUUAAUUUUACUUUUGUGUGUAACUAAAAUAGUACAUGAGUUAUAUUAUGGGCGGUAUUGAUUGCAAAAUUACGUAAAAAAAAUGAAAUUUCUAUGGCAUAAUGCAAAGAAGAAUCCAUUUUAGUUUUUCCAAUUUUAGACAAAGACAUUCAAGAAGAUCGAGGAUGUAUUGUACGCAUGUAAAAGAUUUUCCGUUAUAGUGCAAUAUAAUUUGUUUGCUAGUUUAAAAUAUGAUAUUAAAUAAGUAAAUUAAUGGUACUUCUUCGUGGUUUAAUGUUUUGCCUCUUAACCUCUUGUGGUUUCAAAAUCGCAAUUUUACCUUAGUUGUGCUUUGGUAACGAGGAGGUUGGCUCAUGAACUAAAAUAUUAGGGAUAUAUAUGUAAAAUAUUAGGGAUAUAAUGUAAAAUAUUAGGGAUAUAUAUGUAAUUUUACUAUUAAAAUAAAAAAUAAUAUAUAUAUAUAUAUAUAUAAUUGAGUUGGCUCAUGAACUAUCGAGUUGAAUAGCUUUGAACUCGAGUUCGAAUUCGAAUUCGACUUGAUUAGGUUGAGCAUGCCUCAAGUUUGAUGUUGAUCGAGCUCGAGUUAUCAUGAGCAACACAUCGAGCUCAAGUCGAGCUUUGAAUUGAGUUGCUCGUAAGCGGUUCAAUUCGUUUACAACCCUACCAAUGACUCAACCAUCCGGCCGAAAGGAUUUCCAAUUUGAUUGAAGAAUGAGUUGGUCCGAUCAAACCUGUUUGACAUGGUGGUUCAAUCAGAGCCCGUUCGGUUUUCCAGUUGAUUGGGUUCUUUUUUUUAAUACAAUUGUGGAUCAUUGUUUUUGAAAUAAAGUGUAAUAUAAUUUUUACUAGUUUUGUAUGUUGGAUUUCCACUUAAAUGUGUAAAAACUUUUACUACUUGCUUAGUUUUUACUUGAUAAUUAAAUGUUUUAUUAAAUAAACUUGUUUACUUUUUUGUUAGAAAAUUAAUUCUUUUAACUUUCAAACUUACAAUAUUUGAGUUUUUAAAAAUUAUUUUAUUUUUUGAAAGAUAAAAUAAUAAAAAUGAUGCUAUACCUUUGAGUUGGCUCAAGAACUAUCGAGUUGAAUAGCUUUGAACUCGAGUUCGAAUUCGAAUUCGACUUGAUUAGGUUGAGCAUGCCUCAAGUUUGAUGUUGAUCGAGCUCGAGUUAUCAUGAGCAACACAUCGAGCUCAAGUCGAGCUUUGAAUUGAGUUGCUUGUAAGCGGUUCAAUUCGUUUACAACCCUACCAAUGACUCGACCAUCCGGCCGAAAGGAUUUCCAAUUUGAUUGAAGAAUGAGUUGGUCCGAUCAAACCUGUUUGACAUGGUGGUUCAAUCAGAGCCCGUUCGGUUUUCUAGUUGAUUGGGUUCUUUUUUUUAAUACAAUUGUGGAUCAUUGUUUUUGAAAUAAAGUGUAAUAUAAUUUUUACUAGAUUUGUAUGUUGGAUUUCCACUUAAAUGUGUAAAAACUUUUACUACUUGCUUAGUUUUUACUUGAUAAUUAAAUGUUUUAUUAAAUAAACUUGUUUACUUUUUUGUUAGAAAAUUAAUUCUUUUAACUUUCAAACUUACAAUAUUUGAGUUGUUAAAAAUUAUUUUAUUUUUUGAAAGAUAAAAUAAUAAAAAUGAUGCUAUACCUUUGAGUUGGCUCAAGAACUAUCGAGUUGAAUAGCUUUGAACUCGAGUUCGAAUUCGAAUUCGACUUGAUUAGGUUGAGCAUGCCUCAAGUUUGAUGUUGAUCGAGCUCGAGUUAUCAUGAGCAACACAUCGAGCUCAAGUCGAGCUUUGAAUUGAGUUGCUUGUAAGCGGUUCAAUUCGUUUACAACCCUACCAAUGACUCGACCAUCCGGCCGAAAGGAUUUCCAAUUUGAUUGAAGAAUGAGUUGGUCCGAUCAAACCUGUUUGACAUGGUGGUUCAAUCAGAGCCCGUUCGGUUUUCUAGUUGAUUGGGUUCUUUUUUUUAAUACAAUUGUGGAUCAUUGUUUUUGAAAUAAAGUGUAAUAUAAUUUUUACUAGAUUUGUAUGUUGGAUUUCCACUUAAAUGUGUAAAAACUUUUACUACUUGCUUAGUUUUUACUUGAUAAUUAAAUGUUUUAUUAAAUAAACUUGUUUACUUUUUUGUUAGAAAAUUAAUUCUUUUAACUUUCAAACUUACAAUAUUUGAGUUGUUAAAAAUUAUUUUAUUUUUUGAAAGAUAAAAUAAUAAAAAUGAUGCUAUGCCUUUGAAAAUAAGUGAUACAAUUUUGUUCUAUAUUUGAAUGUGUUAUUUAUUUAUGUACAAGUACAGUAAAAUGAAAUUAAAUCUUCUAUUAGUAUUUGUAUGUUCACUGUAUAUCUUUCAAAGUAUAAUAAUUAGUAUCUAAAAGUACUUUAUUGCUAUUUUAUAUUUGUAAAUAUUAAUUUGCAUAUCUAAAAGUACUUUACGUGAAGAAUAUUAGUCCCUCUGUUGGAUUUCUUGUCCAAUCGAGUUUAAUAACUAUGCAUAUUGCCAUGUAUUCUUCAUGUAGGGUCAUAAAAAAUCAAAAUGGAAUAACUAAAAACAAAUACAUGACAAAAGAACAAAAAACAUAGCAGAGGAAACACAUCGUUGGAUGAUUUCCCACCUCAGAUUCGUGGUCUUCUGAAAGCGAAGGAAACUUAUGCUAUCCAAUUUCACAGGCCACAGAUGCGUGGUGCGAAAUCAUCCAACGAAUAAGAAAUAAGGAUUUGCACUUCUACACAAGGCUACAAGUGCAUAGGCUAAAGAAUUUUUGGUGAUUUGUCUCUGUUCUUAAUUUGGUAAAUAAUUUUCUUCAACCUUUGUUCUUCUACAGCAAUUUGGUAAUAUUUGGCAUUGUUCUCAUUUCCUUAUAAUCACUGGGUCUGGAUAGCAUCGCUUACAAUGGGUAGUCGUAAUUUGGUCCAAACACAGUUAAGCUCCUAUAUGUUCAAACCUCAGGGGAGUUUCUUAAUAUUAAUCCAUAAUAUUGAAAAUUGAUGAUGAAAAUCUCUCUUCAUUUACCAUCAACAUGAAGCAUGUGAGACCAAAAGGUGGUGAAAAACUUUCAAAAAGAAUUGAAAAAAAUAUUCUUUCAAAUAAUGUGUUUUUGCAUAGCUUUUUGGGUUAGGCUCUUCUCCAUUAAUUGAAGAAAAUUUUUUUUCCAUUACACCUAAGUAAACAUGGUUAUAAUACUAUUUUUGAAAUAAAAGGUCAUCCAAAUUAUAUUUCUCGUGCUGUUUAAAGUAUAUUAAAAAAAUUCAAAUUAAAUUGAUUAAAUUUUAAUAUUGGAUCAAACUUUACAUUUUUUUUAUUAUAAUUUUGGCCCAUAUUGCACCGUCAAAGUGUUUUGUACAAAUUGAAUGACAAAAAAUUCAUAAAUGAGAAUGAAUUUUAAGUAUGUUGAUCUACUUGUGGAAGUAAAAUUAUUGACAUAAAUUUAGGCACAUAAAUGGUGAGAAAGUAAUAGAGAGGAUCUCAACUCUAGCUUUUUGUCUAUGUAAGGCUGGCUCAGAGUGACUCUACCUCGAAGUUUAAUAAAAUUGAUCUCCUAUGAUCAGCUGACUUUCGAAGCUAAAUUAAACUAACUUUCAUCCAGGCAAAGGGCGAAGCCCCCCGCGAGCAGCUUUUUCAAUUGCUGUCCCAUUAAUUGGGGUUGCUGUUGUGCUAUUUAUCAUGGCUUUAGUUUUCCUGAAAAGAAGAUUGCGGAAGAGUUAUGUUGCUAUGGCACUGGAAACAAGUGGUAAAGUUGAUUGAUUAAUAUUACAAACACUUCAGAUUUGUUUGAACAAAUAAAUUGAGUGUAUUUGCUUAUUUCUGGUGUAGAUGGUGUUGCUGAUAUCUUCACUGCCGAAUCUUUACAGUAUAGCUUAACUGAAAUUCAAAUUGCCACAAAUAACUUCUCUGUGGAUAACAAAAUUGGCGAAGGUGGAUUUGGUCGUGUAUACAAGGUCUUUGCAUGAAAUAUUUUGCUUUUGUGAAUUUGAAUAUCUACACAUUUAAUAUUUCAAUUAAAUUCUAGUAUGCAUGUUUACUCAGGGUGUACUUGGUAAUGGACAAGAAGUAGCUGUUAAAAGGCUGUCAAGGAGCUCAGUGCAAGGUGCAGAAGAAUUUAAAAAUGAAAUUGUAGUAGUUGCAAAGCUUCAACACAGAAAUCUAGUUCGGCUAUUGGGAUUUUGCCUGGAAGGAGAAGAAAAGAUACUCAUCUAUGAAUUUGUUCCUAACAAAAGCCUUGACUACUUUCUCUUCGGUGGGUUCAAUCUAGACAUACUUAUAGUAAUUUUUUGUUGUUCCAUGUGAUCUUGUUCUAUUUUACUUGACUUGCCAUUUUAUGGAAAUGACGGACAAAUUGCCUCUAGACAAAUGUUUAAUUGGUGUGAAUUCUAGUUUAGACCCUUAAAUCACAGACGCGCACUCAAACUUUAGUUCUUAAACUUUAAUUUUGGAUACUUCACCUCCUAAUGCAUCACAUGUUAUAACAGAUGCAGCGGAACAGAAGAACAAACAAGAAUAGACAAGAACAACUUGGGGGAAAUCAGAUUUUAUUAGCGAGACCCCCGUACAGCUCAGCGGGGGUUGAAGAUCUAAUUCAAGGCAUCUCAACAAUCUCCACCUUGACUUGAAUCUUCCCUGAAAAAUGUAACAGACGCACUAAUGAAGUGCCAGAAGUACUCAGAGAAUUAUCUCUAAGUACCAUCAGAAUGCCCAUAAGGGCCAUCAGAAACUUAGGACAUUUAGCAAAUCCAAACAAUGUUUGAAUUUGCUAUGAGGGACCGACUUGGUGAACAUAUCAGCAGGAUUGUCAGCAGUGCCAAUUUUCUUCACCUUGAUCCUUGUCUCAGAUCUCAAGAAAUGAUAUCGGACAUCAAUGUGUUUAGUCCUCUCAUGAUGAACUUGAUCCUUGGCUAAACAUAUUGCACUGAGACUAUCACAAUAUAUAUUAGCCUGAUCCUGAUGUAGGCCAAGAUCUCCAACCAGCCCCUUUAACCAAAUUCCCUCUUUAGCAGCCUCCGUCAGUGCCAUAUACUCUGCCUCAGUAGUGGACAGAGUCACUGUAGGUUGUAGAGUUGCUUUCCAACUAACUACAGAAUGCCCAAGAGUGAAAACAUAACCAGUCAUCGACCUCCUACUAUCAACAUCUCCAGCAUAAUCAGAAUCUGAAUAGCCUGUAACCAAACACUCUGUAUCACCUCCAUAGAUGAGACCAACAUCAGAUGUGCCCCUCAAAUACCGAAAAAUUCGCUUCACUGCCAGCCAGUGCUCCUUCCCAGGAUUAGCCAUAAAUCUGCUAACAACACUGACUGCAUGUGCCAGAUCAGGUCUAGUGCAGACCAUGGCAUACAUCAAACUACCCACUGCACUAGAAUAGGGAACCUUAGCCAUAUACUCCAUCUCAGCUUCUGACUGUGGUGCAAGUGUAACUGAUAGUUGAGCAUUCGUUGCACUCGGAGUAUUCAAGGGUUUUGCUGUAGACAUGUCAAAUCUGGAUAGUACCUUCUCAAUAUAGCUCUUCUGUGAUAAGAAAAGCUUUUUCUGACUUCUAUCCCUGAAAAUCUCCAUUCCCAAAAUUUUCUGUGCUGCACCCAAGUCUUUCAUCUCAAACUCUGCACUGAGAAGACUUUUCAACUUCUGUAUAUCAGCUUUAUUCCUCGCAGCUAUGAGCAUAUCAUCUACAUACAGAAUCAAAUAGAUCAUCGAACCAUCUUCAAGUUUGUUGUGAUAUACACAACAAUCAUACUGACUUCUGUUGUAACCUAGCUCAAUCAUGUAGCUGUCAAAUUUUUUGUACCACUGCCUUGGGGACUGCUUUAAUCCAUACAAAGAUUUCUUCAACUUGCAUACAUAAUCUUCUUUUCCCCGAACAUAAAAUCCAUCUGGCUGAGUCAUAUAAAUCUCUUCAUCUAACUCUCCAUGUAGGAAAGCUGUCUUCACGUCUAGCUGCUCAAGUUCUAAGUCCUGAUGUGCAACCAUUGCUAGUAGCACCCUGAUAGAAGUGUGUCUGACCACUGGUGAGAAAAUCUCAUUGUAGUCUACUCCUUCUCUUUGAGUGAACCCUCUUGCAACAACACGUGCUUUAUACUUGAUGCCCUCAGCUGGAGAAAUUCCUUCCUUCCUUUUAAAGACCCAUUUGCAAGUCACAACCUUUCUCUCUGCUGGCCGUUUGACCAAUUCCCAAGUGCCAUUCUUGUGUAACGACUCCAUUUCAUCACCCAUUGCAGCAAGCCAUUGAGCUGACUCACUGCCUGAAAUAGCUUCUCUAUAGGUAGAGGGCUCGGGAGAACUCCCAUUUCAUCACCCAUUGCAGCAAGCCAUUGAACUGACUCACUGCCUGAAAUAGCUUCUCUAUAGGUAGAGGGCUCGGGAGAAUCCACCUCCUCAGCAACCUGAAAUGCAUAACCUACAAAAUCUCGAUACCUGCUGGGAACUUGUACUCCCACUCUCCUUGCACGAUCAUAAGCAAUACCAUGCUGCUGAGUUUCUGACGUAGUAUGAGAUAUAGGUGCCAACCUUUCUGCUGAUGUAGAUUCUGGAGACUCUACUUCUGCAGGAGGUUCAGUUUCACAGGAUAGCUGUUGAUAAUCACUAAAUUGCUGCUGUGAUUCAAAACCAUUUUGAAUGAUUUUUAGCUCCACCUGUUUAUCAACACCUGCACUUUCUUCAACAACAGCCUUCACAGGGGGGUUAAGUAUAGAGUUUUCAUCAAAAAUUACACUUCUACUAAGUAUAACUUUCCUUUCUGAGGGUGACCAGAUUCUAUACCCUUUAACCCCAUCUCCAUAUCCCAGAAACACUCCCUUUUUAGCCCUUGGUUCUAGUUUACCCUCACUGACAUGAUAAUACGCAGUACAACCAAAAGCCUUCAAAUUUGAGUAAGUAGGGGACAUACCAGACCACACUUCAUAAGGUAUCUUGCAGUCUAUACCUGUAUGAGGUGCACGAUUGAUCAAGAAGCAGGCCGUGCUCACUGCUUCCGCCCAGAACCUCCUUGGCAAACCAGCAUUGAAGAGCAUACACCGUGCUCUCUCUAGAAGUGUCUGAUUCAUGCGUUCUGCUACACCAUUUUGUUGUGGUGUGUGUCGAACUGUGUGAUGCCGGGCAAUUCCUUCAUCUUUGCAGAACUCAUCGAACUCCUUUGAACAGAAUUCCAGACCAUUAUCAGUUCUCAGCCUUUUGAUCUUCUUUCCAGUUUGAUUCUCCACUAAGGCCUUCCACUGCUUGAAAUUCUUGAAAGCUUCACCUUUUUCCUUCAUAACGAUUACCUCAACUCGUGAAGGACCCCAACAGUCAGAAUGGAUGUAAUCCAGUGUGCCUUUUGUCCUGUGAAUUGCCUUCCCAAACUUUCUGCGAUGUAAUUUACCGAAAGUACAAUGUUCACAGAAUCCAAGAUCAGUGACCUUGUGGCCUUCUAGAAGAUCACGUUUAGACAGAAUCUGCAUCCCUCUUUCGCUCAUAUGACCAAGCCUAAUGUGCCACAGCUUGGUCAUAUCAGACCUGCGAUUUUCAGAAGAUGCAACAGCAGCAGCAGCAGAACCUGUUAGCGUAGAACCUUGUAGGAUGUACAGGGUGCCAUGCUUAACUCCUUUGAGAACCACUAAUGAACCUUUACUGAUGCACAACUCUCCACUUCCUCCGCUGAACCUGAAACCCUUACUGUCAAGAGUACUAAGUGAUAUCAGAUUCUUCGUCAUUUUGGGGACGUGCCUGACUUCGUUCAGUGUGGCAAUUUUUCCAGUAUGUGUCCUAAUCUUAAUCGAACCGAUUCCAACAGCCUUGCAGACAGCGCUAUUAGCCAUCACGACAUUUCCGCCAUCUAUCUGCUCAUAUGUUGUAAACCAUUCCCUAUUUGGACAUAUGUGAUAGGACGCCCCAGAAUCAAGAACCCACACAUCAGAUUGAUGUGUUGGUUCGUUUGCAAUUAGGGCCAGGUCUUCUUCUGAAUUUUCCGCUUCCUUUUCUGCAGCUGAAGCUGAAGCGUGUUGUUUUUCCUGCUGUUUCUUCUUCUUGGGACAAUCAGAUUUCCAAUGACCUUUUUCCUUGCAAUAGUUACAGACAUCAUCCGGCUUGGGACCUUUAGAGAACUGCUUCUUAUUUCCGGACUUCUUUUUUCCCAAUUUUCCUUUAUCACUACUGACAACUAAUCCAGCAGCCUGAUUAUCUGUAACAUUACCAGCCGCCUUAUGGCGCAACUCUGUACUGUGCAGUGCUGAUCUUACUUCUUCUAAAGUUACUGUAUCUUUACCGCCAAUAAAAGACUGAACAAAAUUCUCAUACGAUAACGGUAGAGACACUAACAGAAUCAACGUGGCAUCCUCAUCCUCAAUUUUAACAUCAAUAUUACGCAAUUCAAGAAGAAUUGUAUUUAAUUGAUCUAAAUGUUCUCGAAGAGGAGUACCUUCCUGCAUACGCAGACCGAACAGACGUUGCUUUAGGAGCAACUUGUUGGUUAAAGAUUUCGUCAUAUAGAGACUUUCAAGUUUAACCCACAAACCCGCAGCAGUUUCUUCACCGGCGACCUCAGUGAUGACAUCAUCUGCCAGACACAGCAUGAUUGUCGAGUGAGCCUUUUCCUCCAGACUCAUCGACUCUUCAUCAACGGAAUCCGAUUUCUUCUUCGUCAGCGGACUCCACAGGCCCUGCUGCUUUAACAGAGCCCGCAUCUUGAUCUGCCAUAAACUGAAACUAUUUCUCCCGGUGAACUUGUCGAUCUUGAUGUUCAAAGCAGACAUGUUGUUGCGUGAUCCGAGCCCUAGGACAAACCUAGAGCUCUGAUACCAGUUUGUUAUAACAGAUGCAGCGGAACAGAAGAACAAACAAGAAUAGACAAGAACAACUUGGGGGAAAUCAGAUUUUAUUAGGGUUGUCAACAGAAUAGUUUACAGACUAAAAUAAGGUGUAUAUAUAUACAACCAAACAGACUGGAUAAUGGCAUCUCAACAUCACAUUUGUCACACAUCAUCACAAUCACUCACUCAAUUGUCAAAACUAAUGGGAUAAUGGCAAGUAAUGAUCAAAGUGGGAUGAUUUCAUUAAUAAUUAUACUGAAGUGGGACAAUUUAAAACCUUUAGGGUGAAGUGUCCACAAUAAAAAUUUAAGAAGUAAACUGAGAGUGCAUUUAUAUUUAAUUUACCUAUUUGAUUAUGCUUUCUGGAGUUAUUGAUUUAAUAAUUCUCAAUGCUAGCACAAUAUAUUGUGUUUAAAUUUGUGUAGAUCCAGAAAAUAAACGAUCAUUGAACUGGGCAAGACGUUACAAUAUCAUUGGAGGUAUAGCAAAAGGACUUCUUUAUCUGCAUGAGGAUUCUCGUCUAAGAAUUGUUCAUCGCGAUCUCAAAGUAAGUAAUAUAUUAUUAGAUGGAAAUAUGAGUCCAAAGAUAGCAGAUUUUGGCAUGGCAAAGAUUUGUGGAGUUGAUCAAUAUGAAGGAAACACAAAUAGAAUUGCAGGGACAAUGUAAGUUUUGCUCCCAUACCAUCUUUUCUCACAUAAUAUCACUUUGAAUCUUUCAUGGAAAAUUAUGUACACCUCCAUUUGAUUGCAUCAUUCGGAUUAUCUUUGUACUGAUUAUAACAAUCGUUGUGGCUUGUAGUGGUUAUAUGGCUCCUGAAUACACAAGGUGGGGUCAGUUCUCACUAAAGUCAGACGUGUUUAGUUUUGGGGUUGUAAUUUUGGAAAUUGUCACGGGCAAGAAGAGCAGUGACUUCCAUCAAUCUAGAGAUUCCGAAGACCUUCUAAGCUAUGUAAGUACAAAUUGCAAAACCUUUGCUAUAGUUGUUACUUUUUUCUUGUUUUUUUUUGGCUUUUGCAGAACUGGGGAGGAGGAUUUGAUAUUGGCACUCCUAAUUUUCAACCUUUUAUCUUUUCUUUUUUUUCAUUAUUAAAUUCACCUAAACUUGCAAUACCAUUUUUUGUGUGAACCAGACCAAAAUGGCACCAUAAUUUAUGAACUACCUGCCCUAAAUAAAUACGUAUUUCUGUUUAUGUGCUUCUUAUGGAAAUUUUUAGAUGUCGGAUGCAAGACUUGUCAUAAUUGCUAUUCUUUCUCUCGUUUUGUACGUUGUCACACACUCAAAGUAGAGUACUUGUAAAUUUCAGUAAAGACCAUUGUACUUCUUUCUCAGGUUAUACUUAACUACAAUGAUGGGAAAAAGGGCUGCGAUUUGAAAUCUUUUAUGAAUAAAUCUCAUAUAUCAGACAGUGCAUAUACUAUUACCAUUAAAUUCAUAAUAUGUAUGCAAAAAUUGAAUUUAAAAUUCAAAUUUUACAUAAUUGUUGUUCAUCCAACGCUAAUAACAGUGUAUACACUGUUAAUGUAAGAAAGAUUAAUGAACAUUAAUCCCCAGCUGAUCGAACAAACAGUAUGUAUUGAACUUUUACCAUUUGUACAUAGCCCAGGUUUACAAUGUAUACGUUUGGUAACAAAACCAACAUAAAGGCUGUCUUGGUUCACAAUUCUUGGAGUGUGUUAUUAGUUAAAGGAGUUUAAAUAUAUCAGAUUCAUCCUGAUUUUGGACUUUUUCAGCAUUCAAUGAUUUAUUAUCACCUAAGCUUUCUUAAGUAUUCUAUUAUAAUAACAAUGUACUUGCAUUCGUACAAUCUUCAUAUUUGUUAUUCCUUCUUUUUUUUUUUUGUGUUUAAAGUAUUUUACCCAAUUUUGUCAUUUAAUUUUCCGUAUGUCUCGUACUAAUAAAAGAGAGAAAGUCCAACUCUGAUUCCCAUCCAAAACCAAAUUCAAGUGGCACCGAAAAUUGCACCAUGUCAACUACUUCCAUGAAUGGGGGAAUGUCUUUGGAAAUGUCUGAACCAAGCUCUACCAGUGAAUGAGCUAAUAUACUGCAGAACCAGAAUGGGGGAACCAAUUUGCCAAAUCUGUGGUGCGGGAGAGGAAACCAUAGAACACUUGCUUUUCUUUUGCAGCCCGGCGAAGGAAGUAUGGAGGCUCGCACCAGUGCGGUGGGAUGGCAUUGAUAACAGUAGAGGCAAUUUCAACAAAUGGUGGAGUGGUCUAAUGGAAGCAACAAGCAGAAAUGAAGGGCACAAGCACCAAGCUCUUACUGUGAAUAUUCUCUGGCAACUGUGGAAAGCUCGAAAUGACAAGGUCUUUAACAACAAGUGCAGGACUCCUUUUGACAUUGUACAGAAAGCCCAUCUAGAAUGGAUAGAGUACACUGAAGUGAAAAGUAGGGAGAAGCGGGUGAGCAGCCAGGAAACAUCAGCUAGUGAUGAAGAGGGACCGGGCGACUUUAUACACAGCAAUAAGAUGACAAUUGAAGUGGAGGUGAGCCAGCUGAAGGAAAGCAAAAUUGUUGGCAUUGGCAUAGUGGCAAUAAAAGACACCAAGGUGCAUGCUGCAUGGGCCAUGAAAGAGAGAAGUACAGGUGACUUUUUACUGGAUUAUUCUGCUGCACUCAAGUUAUCAUUGUGCAAAAUUAGACAAAAGCCUUGGCCAGAUGUUAAUCUACUAGUUUCAUCCGCUCACUUGUUACGAAUGCUGCGAACUCACAACACACAAGACAUCAGACUUUUUGCUCAAUUAGAAGAUAUUCACAUGCUCAAAGCUUUGUUUAUGAACUGCUCAUUCGGCUUGGCUGAAAACCAGGGUAAUAGAUUAGGGAGAACAAUUAGCAAGUAUGCUACUACAUUAGUACAAGAUGAGGAAUAUCUAAGUCCUCUGUGUCAAGCAACACAAUUGUAAAGCUCGUGAUGGGCCUUUGCUCAAGUUUGUAUAGCUUGUUUUUUUGAAAUCAAUAUAUUUCCUACCGUUUCCGUAAAAAAAAAAAAAACUACUUCCAUGAAUGCCCAAUACCAAUUUAGUUACCCAAUGCUAUAACAGAAAGCCCAAGUCAAAACAAUUGAAAAACCCACCAUCCCACCAUUACCUAUUGUCUUCUUUUUUAAUUAUUCUUUUUCCCUUAAAAAGACAACCAAGCAAAUUCCAUAUCCUAUCCUGUGUAACUUCUUGAUUUUCGUCUUGUAAAUUUCUAUACAAAAUUUUAUUUGCAAUGUUUCAUUAAUUCAUCUACCCAAGGCUCCAGCAUGCAUUAAUUCAGUUUAGCUAUUGGGCAAAUCUUUUGUUUUUCUAUGUUUCGUUUUGAUGGAAGACAAAAAUUCACUUUUAGAUUUUCUUGGCUACAACUUUUCUUUAUAUAUUCAUUCGAAGAUGAAACUUUUAUUUUGUGCGUUUAAUAUAUAUAAAUUAAAUGAAUUUGGAUCUUGGUUGUCAUUAGAUAGCGUUUAUAAUAAUAAUAAUAAUUUUAGAAUUAUCCUUUCCUCAUUAGUCCGAUAAAUUGUCAUUUUAGAUUAAAUAAAAUUGACAAUUACUUCUUCUAUUUUUCAAUUAGACAAACUUCAAUGUUUCUGUUUUGUGUUAAUGAAAUAGUGAAUUUAACUAGUUCUACUGCAAUGAUUAGGAGAACUAAAAGAAUGGAUUUAGACAAGGUUAUAGUUAUUGAUAAUAUAAAAAAAAAACUUGUCAAUAGAAUAAACUUAUGAAAAUCAAAAUAAAACAUUUGUGGUUGCUUUAGAUGAAAAAGCAAAAGCUUUAGAACUUCUAAAACAUAAAGCUUGCACUUAAUUAUACUAGUGAUUUUUCAGGUUGAUUAGUAACUUAUUGAGAUUUGAGUAUUUUGUGACUAUCGGGAGCAAGAAAAUUGAAUAAAAGGGCACUUGAAACAAGUGUUGAACCUGGAAACUUUGAAGCUUUUUAUUUUUUUUUUUAACUUUUUAUGGAUUUUUUUAGUGUAAGUUCCGCUAUACCACCUAAUUCAUCCCUUCCCCAGCUUUGAUGCUUCUACAUCUAAGAAUGUCCGCAUUUUUAUGGCUACUUCAAAUAGUCAACAUUUUCCAAAUAUUACGACUCUUCCGAAAUUCAACUAAGACAAAAUUCCUAGAGCUAAAAAUCAAUCAAGUAUAACCACUAAAAUUUACCUCAUCGUUUUGAAUUUUUUUUUGCUCAUUUAAUCUUGAUUUAUUCCUUGUUUGUAAUAAAGUUAUACUCAACCUUAUAAGUUUCCCCCGUCUCCCCCUAUAACAAAUUCCUAGCACCGCCACUGCUCCAUCCCAUCAUGAUUUCAAAUGCAAUAUGCUACUUCAUGAGUUUUUUAAAGAAUAUUUACAAUUAGUUAAGAGGGGCCAUUGAUGUACAUACAAAACAAAGUCCACUUAAUUUGUCAGGACAAAUAGGGCAAAGGGCUUGAAGCCGUUCCUUAAUGGUAUCUAUUGAUUGUUUAUUGUGACGCAUGUCAAGAAAGGAAUUUCAAAUAUUGAGAUUAGUGACGGGGGUUGGCGUGGGCCGAAGUGUAAUCAAAUCGGGCUGAGCCUUAUUUUUAACAUGCUCCAACUCGGGUUCGAAAUCAACAUCGAGCUGGAUAUGAGUUUCAAUUUUAAGCCUGAUUUUCCACUCGAUACAAUAUUUUGACUUUCGUUAUGCUUGAAAUUUUAAUUGACUUUUUCUUAAAAGUUAGGUCCUUCUAUUACGUGCACUUAGUAGAUUGGAUAAAAGGUACUAUCAAAUUCUUUAAUUAUCACUAAACCUCAAUUCGAAAUUUGAAAGAAAUAUUACUAAUCGGUUUCAAAAGGUCCACUCUUCUUGUGCUGACAUAUCUACCUACUAUAUAAGAAAGAAGUGAGAUUACUGUAGCAAUCUCUAUGGCUGCCAAGUGACGCCCAUCUACUUUGACACAUGGUUCAUUAAUCUUUUGAGUAAGCUAUCUUUAUUUUUUUCCCUUUUUUUUUGGCUUUCAUUUUCCCCUCAUUUCCUCUUUUCUUUUUGGCAAAAGACAAUCACAAGAACCCUCAUCCUCAUUUACAUUAUCACUUGCAUACUCAAUUUUCACUCUGUACUCUUUUCAUUUUUUUUCUCUUUUUUUCCUUCACCCUAAAUUGUUUACUCUGUUUUUUUCCUAUUAAAUUAGUUGAUGCAUUUUUUUUCAAUUUUUCCAUAAUUAAUUAAAUGAAUGGUUUUGUUGUUGGAGUGGACGAGGGAAGAUAGCAAUUUUUAUUGAGUGAAGAUAACAAUUUUUCCUCAACUUAUAUUCAUUCCAAUUUUAGUUUUCAUUUAUUAAAAUUGUUAUUUGAUAAUAGGCUAAUAGUGCUGGGAUGGAUGAGGAAGAAUUUGACAAGUGAAGAUCCAAGGUGAAUGAUGGCUGCCAAGUGACUCCAAUCUACUUUGACAUGCGGCUCAUUAAUCCUUUGAGGAAGCUAUUUUUAUUUUUUUUCCCCUUUUUCUUUUGACUUUCUUUUUUCCCCUCAUUUCCUCUUUCCUUUCUGGCAAAGACAACCACAAAAACCCUCAUCCUCAUCUACACUAUCAUUUGCAUGCUCAAUUUUCACUCUGUACUCUUUUCAUUUUUUUCUCUUUUUUUUUCCUUCGCCUUAAUCAUUUACUCUGUUUUUUUUUAUAUUGAAUUAGUUGAUGCAUUUUUUUUCAAUUUUUCUAUAAUUAACUAAAUGAAUGGGUUUUGUUGUUUGAGUGGAUGAGGGAAGAUAGCAAUUUUUGUUGAGGGAAGAUAAUAAUUUUCCUCAACUUAUUUUCAUUCCAAUUUUAGUUUUCAUUUAUUAAAAUGGUUAUUUGAUAAUAGGCUGAUAGUGCUGGGAUGGAGGAGGAAGAAUUUGACAAGUGAAGAUCCAAGGUGAAUGAUGACUGGGAAGGAAAUAGAGAGGUCUAUUGAAUUUAAAAUUAAUCAAAAUCUCUUAAUUUAGAGAUAGAUAAUUAUAUUUCCAUAUUUUGAUUUAUUUAAAGUUUCUUAAUAGUGAAAAAUGGUUAUUUAUUAGAUGAGAAGGAUGAUAUCUAAAGGAAUUGUCGGGGCUAGCAAUUUAGGAUAUGAAUAAAAUAUUUCGUAUAAUCUCUUCAUUUUAGGUUACUGACUUGUAUCCAUGACAAGUGGUUUAUUUUCAUUGCAUGAUAGUUUGAGAAGAAAAAAAAGUGUAAAACUAGAUUUUAAAAUCAUUUGCUUAAGUUGGUUCUAUGAAUUUGUAUUUUUAUAUAAGCUAGAUGUGGAACUCGAUAUAUCAUGACUAUUUGGCUAAAGGAGUUGAUAAAUUUUUGUAAACUCAAAUAGUUGAAUUGAUUACUAUUGUUAAGGAAUUGCAAUUGGUGGUGGAAGUCAAAAUUGUGACUUUUAGCCUAGAGUGUGAUUCGACAAAAAAAUUGUUAAAAAAUUCAAUCUUGAUUAAGAAGACAUUUUUGCGAUCAAACAAAUGGUUGGUUUCGAAUUUGUAUAUGUACAUUUGCAAACAUAGCAGUACAUAUUUUUAUCUAAUAUUGUUAUUUGUAUCCUCAAGCUUUUUGGCAGAUAAUGUUAUCACCUAUUGUAAUGCUAAUAAAAAGGAUUUAAAUGGAUGGAUUAACAACUCGCUUUUUCUCUGAAAAAGUCAAAAAAACCAAUGUGUAGGUUUGUAUGUUUUGAAAAGGAUAGAAAAAUGUGCAAGUUUGUAUCUUUUAUUGAUGUUAAAAAUCAUGACAAAUUUUGGUGACUUUCUAAACCUUUUCUAAUUAUUAAACUGCUAGAAGUAUUAUGACUACUUUUGGUUUAGUCACAAUUAAAAUAUGCUGCUAUUAAAUUGAUAAUGUAGUGUACUUUUUAUCUCUCCUUUUUUUGGUAUCAUGAUGCACACAUAGUAUUGGUUCAAAAAUCUUUGUUUUAUAAAUGAAAUUUCUCUUCAUAGCAAAUUUUAAUUGUUUUGAUGCUCAAAUUUUCUCCUAUAUUUACCAAAAAGAUAUAUUGCUUUAUGUUUAACUAAACUUCUGCCUCUAGUGAAAUAAGAAAAGAAAAAAGAGUCACUUUAGUGUAGCUACGUGGAUACAAGUAAUAUUGUACAAGUGGAUGCUCCACGAAUCGGGGAAUUUUUUUUUUUUUUUUUUUUUUUUUUUUUGGCUGGCAGGAGCUUACGAUGAUGAAGAAGCGGCUGCACGUGCAUAUGACUAGGCAGUAUUGAAGUACUGGGGACAAGACACAAUUCUUGAUUUUCCUGUAAUCUAUAAUUCAUCUUGCAAAUCUUUGCAUUUUUUUCCCUUUUUUGUUGAAGAAUUUUUUUUAAAAUUUUGGGCAAAUUCCACUUUACCCCUGUGAUUUAGCAUUUUUUGCAUAACCUUCCUAUGGUUUCAAAAGCUAUACAUAAUCCCCUUAUGGUUUGGAUUAAAGUGUCAAAGUGACGGAAAUAAUCAUUCAUAACGGCGUCACCUAAAAUGUCAAAAUUACCCUUAUGUAAAGUUGAAAUUUAUGUAUUAAUCAAAGGGGGUUAUGUGUAUAUUUUGAAAAUUAUAAUGGGGUUAUAUGGUAAAAUAUUAAACGAUAAGGGGGUUAUAUAGUAAAAUAUAAAAAUCAUACGGGGUUAAUGUGUCAUGUAUUUAUAAGGGUAAUUUCGACAUUUUUAGAAGUUCUAUUACGAGUAACUAUUUCCGUUACUUUGAAACUUUAAUCCAAACUACGAGGGGGUUAUGUAUAGCUUUUGAAACCAUAGGGGGGUUAUGUUAAAAAAAGGGUAAACCACAGGGGGGUAAAAUAUAAUUUACCCUUAAAUUUUUUUAGGUUAGAUAAUCAUAGCGGUUUUGCUUAAUGUAUGUAGCUCUCGACGUAUGAAAAUGAGGUCAACGAAAUGGAGGGUCAGUCUAAAGAAGAGUAUAUUGGAUCAUUGAGAAGAUAUGUGUACAAACGCAAUUGGCAAUAGGAUCACAAAUUUCCUUUAAAUGUUAGAGCUCUUUUUGAUUUUCUUCCUAUAUUAAAGAUUCUAAUGCAAAACAAUAACAAAGAUUUCCUUCUCUUUCUUUUCCACCUCCAAUCCUCUCUCUCUCUCAUCCACAGCAGGAAAGCAUAUAUUAUGGCCUACUACUUAGUAGUGUAGUGGGGAUUUUUAGGUUGGUCAUCGCUUAAGUUAGAAUAUGGAGCAAGAGAAUAUUAGUUCCUUUUCAUUCUCGAAAAACCCUGGUUCACAAAAACUGAUAACAUAAACGAGGAUUUACAGGAGUAGCUCUAUUGUGACCGGUUUCUUGCAAAAACAAAGAUCAGCAACCAUCAUAAUGGUCGCUUCUUACUGAUGCUCCAGGCACCCUUGUAAAUAUGUUUAAAAAGUGGCCCUUAAACUUGAUGAAUUUUUUAAAACAAAGCAACGCGGAAUUGGUCAUUAAUAAAUGGGUAGACGUUGCUUUCCUUGAGGGUUCCUUUGAAUUAAUCAAAAGAAGAUUAAGAAAUGUAAAUCAGUUUGACAAAAUGGUGAACACGUAUGUAUUGCAAACACAAGUAGUUGGACAGUUUAUUGGCAUUUUUUACAACAAAAAUUAUUGGAAAGUUUCAAUCCAAUUAAAAUGCGACAGACUUUACGGGAUUUUAUGGUAAAUUACAUGUAAUCACCUUGGAUUUUUAUAUUAAUAUAUGAUCUCCUUUACAUUUCAAAAUAUCCGCAUAAACCCCUAUUGUUUCAUGUAAUAUGAAAAAUAGACGGAAAACAUCAAUGGUUACAGUGAUUGAACUAGAUGUGCUCCAAAAAUGCAUGUGGUGAAUUAGUGAUAUCCGCUUAAUGCUCCUACAAUUCAUAAAUAUCCACUUUAACCCUCUAUAGAUUUUGUAUUUAUCCACAUAAUUCUUCUAUAACUUUAUACAAGGUGGUCUGAUUGUUGUUCGAUUUAAUAUUUAAGUAAGGGCAAUAAUAAUAGUUCAACUAAUUGUGUAACAUAAGAUUUUUUUUUGUAAAAUUUCUAUUUUAUAUGAAACCAUAGAGGUUUUAUAUGAAUAUUGAAAAUAUUAGGGUUGUCAUGUGACAAUCAAUGAAUCUAUAGGGGAUUAUGUGUAUAAUUUAUCCUUUUAACUAUAUAUAGAGAACUUUUUCUUAAAAGUAUUGAACUAAUAGAUAGAGAUUCAAUUUGGGUCCACUUUACUCAAUAGAGCAUUAGUCAAAUUACAAUUAUCCUCCACGAUGACGUUGUUUGAUAGUUGUUAGCAUCCUGAAAUUUGCAUUCCCGUCAAAAUCCAUUAUUUUUUUUUUGGUCAAACGGUAAAAAUCUAUUACUGACGUAUUGAAUUUUGGUUAGAGACCAUUCAGCUGAUGGUUCACGUCCAGGCGAGUUGGUUGUCUGCCAAGGUCAAGUUUUCCCAGGCCAUAAGUUUUCCUGGCUUAUACAACUUUCAUGGUCCCUCAAACAAUACUUAAUUUGGCUCCUAAUCUACCAAUCUAGUUUGUAGGCUGUUAGCCUUUUACUCUUUUGAUGCCUUCCUUUGAAAUGAUCUCCAGAAAUUUGUUGUUCCACUUCAAAUAUUACAUGCUUUGUUUGCUUAGCUUCCAUACCAAACUCACUAGCCCCGUUAAUUUUCUUGCGCCUUACUGUGAAAAUACAACAUACAACCCUAACAGUGCGACCGGCAGCAUUUACAGAACCAAUCUAAAUUUCGUGCUUGACACCCUAUCUUCAAAUGCAUCUCGGACAGACACCAAUGGCUUCUAUAAUUUCAGUACUGGCAAUGACCCUUCUAACACGGUCUAUGGCCUCUUUCUCUGUCGAGGCGAUCUCAGCGCUGAUGUUUGCAAAGAAUGUGUAGCAAAUGCCAGCACAAGAGUAUUUCAAGAGUGCCCGAAUCAGACGGCUGCUAUUGUUUGGUAUGACGAGUGCUUGUUGCGUUUUUCUGACCAGACAAUCUUCUCCAAGGUUGAUUCCAGAGUGGUAGUGGCUAUGUACAAUACACAGAAUGUCACUGAAUCGAACUGGUACAACUUCGUAUUGCUAUUGGGAAAUUUGUUGUAUAACGCUGCGGAUCAGGCUGCAAAUCAAACAUGGGGCAAAAAGUUUGCUGUUCAACAAGCCAACUUUUCCGCUUUUCAGACGUUGUAUGCCCUUACACAGUGCACACCAGAUAUAUCUGUUGAUGACUGCAAAGGGUGCCUUGAAAGUGCUAUCAGAACCAAUCUGACCCUUUGUUGUGCUAUCAGAGUGGGAGGUAGAGUAAUCUUUCCAAGCUGUAAUAUUAGGUAUGAGCUCUACGGCUUCUACAAUAGUGCAUUCCCUGCACCACCGCCUAUGACAAACUUACAUUCCUUCACCGGUGCUCCUCCUCCUAGUUCCACUAAAGGUAUGUCCUGGAGCGUUGCUCUGACCAGAUAUUUUUUUCCUAGUGUUAAAAACAGACUUAAAUCUUACAAUUUUUGUUUUUAUUGAAUUCUGGAUCGAAAAUGAAAAUGAAAGGGCUAUAUUCGCAUAACUUUAUUUUAAAUCCACACCUUUAAUACAUUUAUAAUUGGUAUGAAUGAUAGUAGAAUUUGUACAAGGAGUAAAUUUCACCAUUGGCAUAUAGUACAAAAUAGAUUUCAGCAUAAGCACAUCAUACUGAUCAUAGCACUCAUGAUUUGUCAUAUAUGGUAGAAUUUUAAGUGGACUUAUACUUCAGAAGACAGUGAUCAUCUACAUAUUUAGCAUUUUUGCAAGCAUUAGGAUAGUAAUUAACUAUAGAAUAUAUAUUGAAGUAAUAGCGUGGUCGCCAUCGUAGAAUCCCUUGUGUAUGAUAGCUUGGUUUGCGAAACUGGGUUGGGCUUCUCUCCAUUCCGUUUCUUUUUAGUUUUCCAUUCAUUUAUCCAAUUGACGAGGUCUUGCCUUGCACCAAAUUUAAUAAUCUAAUUAUCUCGAAUUCUGCUGGUAUAUAGUUUGUUUAAUGAGUAUAGGAGGUAUUACUAUUUUCGAUCCCACGAGGGGCAAAUUUACAAUUACUAAGACUUUUUCACUUGCUCUAUUAUCUAAAUAACCUCAAAUAUAAUAUAAAAAAUAUAAAUUGAAGGUAAGCAAAAUAAGUAAACUAAGGAAAAUCACAAGAAUGGAAGAAUCAACUAAACACAAGUUAUGGGGAAUAGAAUCCACUAUUUGUUCUAAACCACGGUGAAACAGGUAAAAUAUCACUUUUAACUCGUCUUCUGAGAAUGUAAUUUUCUAAUACACUUAAAACUCGCUCUCGCCAAUGAAUCUUCAUGAAGAUCUAUGAAAAAAAUUAAGAAAAUCCUCCUAAAUUUUAUUGUUGACCCUCCUCCUUGUCUUUCUAAAGGUAUGUUCUGGAACCUUUAGUCUUAAGUCUUACAAUUUUUUUGUUUGUAUUGAUUUCUGGAUCAAAAAUGAAAAUGAAAGAGCUGUAUUCACAUAACUUUAUUUUAGAUCCACACCUUUAAUGCAUUUAUAAUUGAGAUUAAUGAUAUUAGAAGUUGUACAAGGUGUAAAUUUAGAAUAAAUUGGUGUAAAUUUAGUGCCGAACGAAAAUAUAUACCUAAAGGAGACCAUCACGUAACUAAUAGUUUAGUUGAAUUGAAACGUCGGCAUGUAGUGCAAAAUAGUAAGAUUUCAGCAUAAGCACAUCAUACUGAUCAUGACACUCAUGAUUAUGUACAUAUAUAGCCUUUUCGCAAGCAUUCGGACGUUAAUUGACUAUAGAGUAUAUAUUGAUUUAAUAGUAUGGUGGCCAUCGUAGAAUUCUUUAGUUAUGAUGGCUUGAUUGGGCUUCUCUCCAUUUCGUUUCUGUUUAGUUAUUCAUCCAUUUAUCUAAUAUACGGUUUUUAAAACUCAUAUUAUGAUGUUAUUAUUUUAUUUUUAUUGGUUGAUCAGCAUAAAUAAAGAUAAAGUCUAUUUGACAAAGUUUUUGCAUUCAAUUUGGAAGAAACAAUUAAACCAGUAUAAAAGAGUUUAAGAUCAUGGAAAUUUUGUAACGAUUAAUUGAACAUAACAAAUUUGUCAAUUCAAAUUUAACUUUUUGUGUAUAACUGAAAUAGUUUAUGAGGUAUAUUAUGUAUGGUGUUGAUUUGCAAAAUUAACUUCAAAAUGAAAUUAUCAUGGCGUAACGCUAAGAAGAACUCACUUUUGUUUCUCCAAAUUUAGACAAGGACAUUGAAGAAGAUCAAGGAUUUGUGCUAUGCAUGUAAAAGAUUCUCCAUUAUAGUGGAAUACAUUUUUUCCACUAGUUUGAAAAUAUUAAAAUAGGUAAAUUAAUUUUACUCCUUUGUGGUUUAAUGUUUUGCCAUGCAACCCCUUAUCAUUCCGAAAUUGCAAUUUUACCUUGUGCUUUUGUGAGAGGAGCCAUUGAGUUUUUCUUUGUUUUGUGACAAAACUAGUUGUCAAGAUACAGAAUAAUUAUUAAGCACUAAAGUAGGAUAAAUAUCACACUUUAGGGAGUAAAGCAUUCAAAAUUAAAAUUUAAGGAUUAGAGUUGCAGAGAGUCCAUAAUUUAAGGCUCCAAAUUGAAAAUUAGCCAAGAAAAAAAAUGUAAAAAAUAUAUAUUAGCAAUUAAUCAACCAAAUACCAUAUUUACCCUCUUUAAAUUUGAUUUAACAAAAAAAAAAACAGUUAUCUACAAGGGCCCGGGUUAAGAUGAUAAUUUCAAAAGCAUAAGGAGAUUAUGAGGUGAAACAUUAAAUCAUUGAUGGUAAAAGGUAUUAUUACAAUUCACAUUAAUCAAACAAUUAAUUACAUUUGUCUCGCAAUGGAUCUGCUCUCUCCACUCCUUGUGCUACUUCUUGUCCUAACCUUAUGUAGUAGGUCAUGUAUUCUGCAUGAACAUCCUUUUUUUAACCCCGCUUUUGUCCUUGAGUUGCAACUAUGACUAAUAGGGUUAAAAAAAGAUCAAAAUACAACAACUAAAACCAAUAUAUGAUAAAGAAAUGAAAAAUAUAUAUACUAAAAAACUCGUAAAAAUUUGAUUUUUUAAAUCAAAAUUUGGCAUUUUAGUCUAUUUUCAUUUUUUUUACAUAGUUAGUGGUUCUUGGAAUUCUAAAGAAGAAAAAAAAAAGAGUUAAAAUAGGUUGUUUAUGAAGGAUACAUGACAAUAUAAUACAAGAUGGGACCGAGAGUAAGCUAGGAAGUGAUACGUAAAACCUAUUGUGUAUUCAUCUCCCUUGAGAUUGGCCAAAUUAUAAGUUAGACCUAUUGUGCAUGUAUUUCCAUGAAAUUUGACCAAAUUACCAAUCAAACUUUAAAGUUUGAUCAUAGUACUAAGUAAUCCUAAGUAUUGAUAAUGGGGUGAGAGACUGGUAGGAUUGCAAGUUAAUUGUGCUAAGCUUCUCAUUGCCAAGAUCAGGACAAGUAAACUUGGCCUCAUCUGAGCUACAAAACACCCUCUCUGGUGGCACUUGUAACUUAUGUUUUGAAACUCGGACUGGCAAGAAACUCGACUGAGUUCAAGGGUCAGGGGCCAUUAGAUUCGAUCAAGUCGGACUAGUAUUAAAAGCCGGAUGAUGUCAUUAUGAUGUCAUAAAUAUUAUUCAUUUUUUAAAAUAAAAAAUAUGGAAAAAAUACUAUUAAUAUAUUAAUUAGGUUCAUUUUUACCUCAUAGUCCUUGCAUCACAUCAAAUUCUUAAAACAAAUUGAACAAAAUGACAAAUCAAUAUCAAAUACUUAAUACGAAUUUUAAAUAAAAAUUCAACAAUCAAAUUUUAAAUUAAUUUGUUAACGUUUAUAAAGUUCAAAUGCACAUGCAUGAUAAGUCUUAAACAAAAUUGAGACUUAUUUGCACAAAGUGCAAAAGCUAAAGUUGCACACAAUAAUUAUAAAAGAAAGUUGCAAGCAUAAUUGUAAUUGUUCAAAACAUAAAGGGUCGAAACACAAAAUUAAAAAAAAAAUUAGACUUGGAAGGCAGUUGCCACCUGGCCUUAUCUUUGGUCUUCCUACUCUUCACUCGGUCCAAACACCCGUCCCUUAUACUUUGACGCCAUUAAUUCCUCCUCAUGCAUCAGGCGGAAACAUUUCCGCCUCUUUCUUCUCCUUCUUCUCCUCAACCUUCAACCAAAUCAAAAAGGAAUUCCUUUUUUUUUUUUUUUUUGCUUUUUCCAGUCAACUUCAACCAAUGUUAUUAGAAAACAGAAAUUCACCAAAUUAAAAAGGAAAAAGAAAAAACAUGACAUCAUCAAAUCACUAGCAUGCAUCAUCACCAAAUUAGCAGGGGGUUUCAUUCUCUGCAUUCUCUUUUUUUUCCUUUCACUUUGUGAUUUUCUUUCUUGUUUCUUUUCUUCAAAUAGGCAAGAUUCCUCUCUCUUCCUUUAUUUUCAUUCUUUUGUUAAUUUCUUUCUUUCUUCUUUUUUGUUUAGAUAUUGGUCUUUAGAAGUUGAUAAUGAGGAUAUAUUCAUAGAUCUAUCUUCUCUCUUCCUUUUUGUCAUUUUCUCUUAUAACUUUUUGCUUUCAAUUUCCAAUACAUAUUACCAAAUUGUUGGAGGGAUCAAAUUAUGGCUUUAAAGAUGAUGAAAAUUUUGGGAAAAAGAAAAAGAAUCAGCAAUUGGCAAAAAUAUAGCCAAAAAAAGUACAAAACCAGGUUUUACUGGUUUUUCGGUCAAACCCAAUAAAAACCGGAUUUGGUCGAGUUUUUGACAUGCUGUUUUUAAAGAUGAUUCAGACCGAAUAAUUGGUCGGUUCUCGGUUUGACCAGUUGGAUCGACUAGUCUGGUUCGAGUUUAAAAACAGUGCUUGUAACCAUAGAGGUCCUGGGUCCCUAAUAAUGCCAUGACCAAAAGGCAAUGUUUUAAAACUCGGACCGUUAAUUGAACCGGCGAGGUAUUCAAAUCGAGGUUCAAUCGAUCAAACCGGUUCAAUUCUGGUCAAUGAAUUUUUAAAAAAAUAAUUUAUAUAAAUAUAUAUGUACAAAAUAAGACAUGCAAUGGACUAAUUUAAGACUUUAUAUGAUGAAAAGUUUAAUAUUUUCAAAGAAUUUGGAUUUUCACAAAUAAAAUUUUAAAUUAUAAGUUGUAACAAAUAAAUUUCAUCUUAAUCUCAAUUGUAUCUACCAAAAAAUAAUCUUAAAUCCAACCCAAAAUACCACAAUAUUCUAAAAUUAUACAAAAUUCACGUCUAUGGGAAUUAGACAUUAUGAGUUUAAAUUUUUAAUUUACGUUUUUGGGAUUUAGAGAUUAUAACUUGAAAAAAAAAAGAAGUUUGGAAUUUGAAGGAAGUCAGUAGAAAACAGAGAUACAAACUUGAUAAAAGGCAAAAAAUGAGAAGACAGUGAGUGGAUGUGCCAUUUAAUAAUUAGUCUUUAGGGUUAAGGAAAAUCUAUUCUUUUUUUAUAUAUUUUUUUCAAUUUAAUAAACGAAAACAAAAAACCGGCGGUCAACAAUUCAAUCCGGUUCGCAAGGUUUAAACAGUUCUUAUAGAUUUUUAACUCCAAUCAACCCAAAAUAUGAAUCGGACCGGAGUUAUGACUGAUUUACGAUCCGAUCGGUUGAACCGGCCAACCAAUUUGAUUUUCAAAACAAUGCCAGAAGGGAUAUGAGCUCCUUUGCAUUAGUGAACAUCGAGUCUCGACCGACACCUUAUACUUUGACUGGGUCAACAAAAAAAGACGGUAAAUGUUCCAAAAUCCCCACUAACGUACAUUUUUUAGAACAAAAAUGAAUAUAAAUUGAAUCGAUUAUUUAAUUACAGAUGGGUCUCACUUUUUUGCCCAAAAAAAUGGCUAUGUGUGGAUCAUAUAAUGGAUUCAGGAUAAGAAAUUAUCAAAAAUUUAAGUUGGGACCAAAUUUUUACUAAUUUGAUUUUGUAAGAGAUGUAAAAUUAUAAUUUUAAAAGUGAAUAACAAAAAAAUUCAUGAAACAAAAUGUGAAAUAUGUUUUGAACAAUUUUCCCUUUCAAAAGCUGCAUUACCUUUCCUUCUCAGGAAACAAAAAAGGCCAAAUCUCCUCUACCAACAUUACCAUUACAUACGUUCAAAUUCCACAACUGUAACACCAUAUAUGUAUGUGUGUACGCGUGAUGCGUGUACGUAUGUAUGUCUGCGUGCUUAUGAAGCGAAGGAAAAAGUAGAAAGGAGAAAAUGACUUGGUGAUACCAGUCUCGAGGGAAUUGAAUGGGAGUAAGUACGUUAAAAUGAGGAGGUGGUUAUGGUGAUUGCGGUGGCAGUUGUAAUAGAUCUGAAAUGGAGUAAAUAAGGUUUGAGACGAAGAGGGUGCUUUCUUCUUUCAUUUUAUUUUACCUUUCCACACCGUCGGUUUGGCUAUCUUGUAUUCUUUCUUCUUAGUAUUGGUGCAUCUUCCUUUACUUUAUAUUUAAUGUUUCUUCUCCACUUCUUUGUCUUUUAUCUCGUUCUAUUCUGACACGUACUUUCUUGUUCUUCUGGGGGAAACACCUAUUUGCUAAUUUGCCACCCAGCUUUUCUAAAUUUAGUAAUUAAUUAUCUUCGGCUUUUUUUGCUAGCAAUUGUUGUGCCUAAAAAUGCUAUCCCAUUUGUUUUAAUUUUUAUUUUCCAAGUCUUUUUAAAGUAAGGCAUUGUUGUCAUUUGAUUAUAUCCAACGGUUGGGUCUGGACAGCCUCAUUUACAAGCGUAGUUGUACUUUGGAUCAAGCACAGAGCUAAGUUUGUAAAUUACUGAAGCCACAGGGGAGUUUAAUUCUAUUAAUCCAUAACUAGAACAAUUAGUAUGCUAGGAUUGAAAAUUGAUUGUCAAAAUUUUUUUAUUUACCGUCAACAUGGAGUAUGUGAGACGAAAAGGCAGCGAAAAACUUUUAAAGAUACUGAAAGAAUAUUUUUUCAAAUAAUGUGUUCUUGCAUAGCUAUCCGUCUGUGUAAUGGGCCGUCUCGGAGUUACACUAACCCAAAGUUCAGCAAACUUGAUCUCCUAUGAGCUGACUUUUGAAGUAAAUUAAACUUCCUUUAAUCCAGGCAAAGGACGAAGACCCCCACGAGCAGUUUUUCCAAUUGCUGUCCCAUUAAUUGGGGUUGCUGUUGUGCUAUUUAUCAUGGCUUUAGUUUUCCUGAAAAGAAGAUUGCGGAAGAGUCGUGUUGCAAUGGCACCGGAAACAAGUGGUAAAGUUUAUUGAUUGCAAUUACAGGAAACCUCAGAGGUUUUUGAACUAAUAAAUUGAGUGAAGUCGCUUAUCCCUGGUGUAGAUGGAGUUGCUGAAAUCUUAACAGCCGAAUCCUUACAGUAUAGCUUAACUGAAAUUCAAAUUGCCACAAAUAACUUCUCUGUGGAUAACAAAAUUGGCGAAGGUGGAUUUGGUCGUGUAUACAAGGUCUUUGCAUGAAAUAUUUUGCUUUUGUGAAUUUGAAUAUCUACACAUUUAAUAUUUCAAUUAAAUUCUAGUAUGCAUGUUUACUCAGGGUGUACUUGGUAAUGGACAAGAAGUAGCUGUCAAAAGGCUGUCAAGGAGCUCAGUGCAAGGUGCAGAAGAAUUUAAAAAUGAAAUUGUAGUAGUUGCAAAGCUUCAACACAGAAAUCUAGUUCGGCUAUUGGGAUUUUGCCUGGAAGGAGAAGAAAAGAUACUCAUCUAUGAAUUUGUUGCCAACAAAAGCCUUGACUACUUUCUCUUUGGUGGGUUCAAUCUAGACAUACUUAUAGUAAUUUUUUGUUGUUCCAUGUGAUCUUGUUCUAUUUUACCUAUUUGAUUAUGCUUUAUGGAGUUAUUGAUUUAAUAAUUCUCAAUGCUAGCACAAUAUAUUGUGUUUAAAUUUGUGUAGAUCCAGAAAAUAAACGAUCAUUGAACUGGUCAAGACGUUACAAUAUCAUUGGAGGUAUAGCAAAAGGACUUCUUUAUCUGCAUGAGGAUUCUCGUCUAAGAAUUGUUCAUCGCGAUCUCAAAGUAAGUAAUAUAUUAUUGCAUGGAAAUAUGAGUCCAAAGAUAGCAGAUUUUGGCAUGGCAAAGAUUUGUGGAGUUGAUCAAUAUGAAGGAAACACAAAUAGAAUUGCAGGGACAGUGUAAGUUUUGCUCCCAUACUAUCUUUUCUCACAUAAUAUCACUUUGAAUCUUUCAUGGAAAAUUAUGUACACCUCCAUUUGAUUGCAUCAUUCGGAUUAUCUUUGUACUGAUUAUAACAAUCGUUGUGGCUUGUAGUGGUGGCUUGUAGUGGUUAUAUGGCUCCUGAAUACACAAGGUGGGGUCAGUUCUCACUAAAGUCAGACGUGUUUAGUUUUGGGGUUGUAAUUUUGGAAAUUGUCACGGGCAAGAAGAGCAGUGACUUCCAUCAAUCUAGAGAUUCCGAAGACCUUCUAAGCUAUGUAAGUACAAAUUGCAAAACCUUUGCUAUAGUUGUUACCUUUUUUUUUUUUGGCUUUUGCAGAACUGGGGAGGAGGAUUUGAUAUUGGCACUCCUAAUUUUCAACCUUUUAUCUUUUCUUUUUUUUUUCAUUAUUAAAUUCACCUAAACUUGCAAUACCAUUUUUUGUGUGAACCAGACCAAACUGGCACGAUAAUUUAUGAACUACCUGCCCUAAAUAACUACGUAUUUCUGUUUAUGUGAUUCUUAUGGAAAUUUUUAGAUGUCGGAUGCAAGACUUGUCAUAAUUGCUAUUCUUUCUCUCGUUUUGUACGUUGUCACACACUCAGAAUAGAGUACUUGUGAAUUUCAGUAAAGACCAUUGUACUUCUUUCUCAGGUUAUACUUAACUACAAUGAUGGGAAAAAAGGUUGCGAUUCAAAAUCUUUUAUGAAUAAAUCUCAUAUACACUGACAGUGUAUACAUUAUCACCUUUAGAUUCAUGAUAUAUGUGUAAAUGUUAAAAUUUGAAAUUCAAAUUUUGCAUAGUUGUUGUUCAUCCAACGCUGACAACAGUGUGUACACUGUCAGUGUAGGAAAGAUCAAUCCAUCUUUUUAUAUGAUUAAGCUUGAAAUAGAGAGUAUUGACAAUUGCCUAUUGUGAAUAUUGACAUUUACCUGUAUAUCUAUUUAAGCUGAUUGAAGUUUUUAAGAAUGUACACCUUAUGAGUGGGAUUAUUUCGAAAAGGCUUGGAACCAUUGGAGACGCGGCCAAACUUUAGCUCUUUUGGAUUCAAGCAUUGGAGAUUCUUAUGCCAGAAAUGAAGUCAUUCAAUGCAUCCAAGUUGGCUUACUAUGUGUUGAAGAAGAUGCCAGUAAAAGACCCACAAUGGCUUCCGUGGUCUGCAUGCUCAAUCCUGGUUCUGUUUCCCUACCAACUCCACAUCGUCCGGCAGUUUUCCGGAGCAAUGGAUCGGAGAGCAGGGUAGACGAGCUGAAAGUUGAUCAAUCCAACUCUCAAAUAAUUUCAGCUCCAAGCUCUGUCAAUGAUGCAUCAAUUACUGAACUGAUAGAGCCGUUAUUUGGCACGUUUUGCAUUGUCAUCUUGUUCUAAUUUUGGCUAUUCAUGGUGCUAAGAAAGGGAAUUUCACUCAUAUUUGAUAUUUGUGUGAAUUGUAGGUGGUUAGCAUUAAAAUGAUAUCGCGGGGUAAAUUUCCAGAAGACUUUUCAUUUCAGAGCGUUGCCACACCUUAGAAGGAGGACGAAACCGAAAGCCGGACUGCGGUCCACGUGAACCCGAAGCGUGGGAUCAGAACUCUGGAGACAAAGCUUUGCUCCAGGCCUUUGUUCCAGACGUCUUUUUCUUUUCUACGUCUCUUGUGCGGCGGAUAUAAAAAGAGAAACAAGGAAGAUUCAAGGGGGCAUCUACUUUUUAGGCUUAGUUUUCUUUUCCUAGGUUUGUCAGCAGUCAGACGCUUUUGACUGGGGCUUUUGGCUUUCUUCAGCCGCAACUUAGACUAGCUUAGGAGUUCACCCUUUUCAAUCUUUUGCUGUAGACGCCUUUGACGUUCACUUUUGAUUUGCUACAAUUUUCCAUCGCUUUUAUUCCUUUUCUUGACUCUGCUCCAGGAGCGACCGAAUAUAAGAAAAUGAACCAAGGGAAUUUCCCAUUUGUUCCUUAGUUAAUUCGCAUCGCUCCGCUCCUUGGAAUUAAUUGUUUGGAUAUUCGCGUGGAUGAAAUCAAUUAAAUCGCGUGAGCUUGACAUGAUGAGGAGCGGCUAAUUUUCUCCUCUACCCAAAGGGUGACGCGAGGGCGCGGUCCACCACACCUGUGAGAUCUAAUCAAGCUUUCAUUAUUUCUUCCAAUUCGUUAUUAUUCGUGCGUUUUCUGAAUUAAUUGUUCAUGGGUAUUUGAUUAAUUGAAUAUCAACGGCCGGGUAUUUGAUUUAAUUUAAUAGCCUACUGCCACGUUAAUUAAAUAGAAUCCGUAAUUGUUCAUUUAAUUGACACCCCGUGGCAACCACCAUAAUUGGUUUUAUGAUGGGGAAACGCAGGAUCUAGCUUAAAUAAACCCUCUUAGCGUGUUUAUUGGUUAGGGUUGGGUUCUUCUAGCUUUAAUGCAAUUGGGUAAUUAAAUUCCUACGGUCGUACUUAGGGUUGUUAUCUGAUUAGGGAAGCAGUCAAUGGUCGUACCUUGACUGUCGAAAAGGUAAAGAAGAACUGGUUGUCAGAUCUUAUUGAUAACUAUAACCAAUCUAAUGAUGAAUGGGUGAAAUAUCUUUGCAUCGAUGAUCAUUUAAUUGGACCGUGCCUGAGCAGUUGAUCCUUUGGGUGGAAUCUUAUUAAUUGCUAUUUUUAGUGAAUUGUGCUUUGUGAGUUGGUUUUGAAUUUAGUUCGCUUUAUUUUUAUUCUUAUUUUUAUUUUAUUUGUUUGCCUCCUAUUGAAAAUCCCCCAAUUCCAUUCUACUAAUUUGGAAAGAAAUAAUUUCCUACCCGCUCCCUGUGGAAUCGACCCUACUUGCUAUUGUACACAAAAGUAAUAUUCUUAUAGACUAAUCUGGUAUAUCGGAUCAAGCAAACUCUUCGGGAACAGGGUGAAUCAAGUAACCCAUUGCACACCUAGGGUCCCUGCUCCAGUAUUUGGAUUUGUUCUAUAAUUAUUUGUGGUGGUAAUUAGGACUUUUUAGUAAUUAUUAUUGCACAGGUUCGGCACCUGUCAAUUUUUGGCGCCGUUGCCGGGGAGCUGGCGUUUGGAUUAUUUGUUUCUUUUCAAAUUCAGUUUUUAUUUUAUUUUUAUUUUAUUCUAUUCUUCUUGAUAUUUUUGCUAGUUUAUGCCCCAUUUUUCUCGCACAGGUGAAUUAGUAUACGAUCUUGAAGUUGAGAAGGCAGUGCGUAGGCGGAGGCAAGAGACCAAGAGGCGAAAAGAAGGGCCCUUAUUUAUUGCAAACGAGUCAGUAGAAGACGAAGUAAGCAUGGCCAACACCCAAACACUAAGGGAGCUGGCUGCCCCGGAGCUGACUCACCAGCCCUUAUGCAUCACAUUCCCCACUUUGGCUGAGAAUACUGCUUUCGAACUGAAGUCGGGGUUGAUUCACCUCUUACCUUCUUUCCAUGGUCUCUCGGGUGAAAAACCCCACAAGCACGUUAAGGAGUUCGAGGUGGUCUGCUCUAGUAUGAAACCUCCUGGGGUCACUGAAGAGCAAAUUAGACUGAGAGCCUUUCCAUUCUCUCUCAAGGAUGCAGCUAAAGAUUGGUUGUACUACCUACCAGCAGGUAGUAUCACCACAUGGGCACAGUUGAAAAAGAAGUUUUUGGAAAAAUUCUUCCCUGCAUCCCGGGCUGCGAGUUUGAGGAAGGAGAUCUGCAGUAUUAAACAAUAUCCCGGGGAGUCCUUGUAUGAAUAUUGGGAAAGGUUUAACAAGUUGUGCACUAGAUGCCCGCAGCAUCAAAUUAGUGAGCAGCUGUUAAUCCAAUAUUUCUAUGAAGGACUCCAACCAACUGAUAGGAGUAUCAUUGACGCUGCGAGUGGGGGAGCGCUGGCAAACAAGACUCCGCAGGAAGCGUGGGAGCUUAUUGAAGCUAUGGCAGAGAAUUCUCAACAGUUUGACUUUCGUGAGAGUAACCCUACCCGUAGGGUCAACGAGGUGGAGACGUCGUCCAUUCAACAACAGUUGUCAGAGCUCACAUCAGUUGUUCGACAGUUAGCAGUGGGAAAUGUGGCCCAAGUAAAGGUAUGUGGAAUCUGCACAAAUAUGGGCCACCCCACUGACUCAUGCCCCAUGUUACAAGAGUAUGGAGUUGAACAAGUGAACAUGGCUGGAGGCGUGCCCGCGCCUCGUAGACUGUACGUCCCAUACUCCAACACGUACAAUCCGGGUUGGAGAGAUCACCCAAAUUUCAGCUAUGGUGAUAGGCCGCAAAAUACAUUCUCCAAUCGUCCACCAGGAUUUCAGCAACCUUGGCAACACAAGUCUCAACCCUCGUCCUCAAGCUCAGGGAGUUCUUUGGAGGAAAUUGUCAAGAGUUUGGCCACGACUACCACUCAGCUCGUCACGACCAUCACUCAGCUCCAGCAGGAGACUAGAACCUUGGUCGCGAGCACUACUCAGUUCCAACAUGAUACCAAGGCGGGCAUGAAGGACAUGGAAACUCGCAUGAGUCAAAUGGCAACUGCCAUUAAUCGCCUGGAGUCCCACGUCUAUGAGAAAUUGCCAUCGCAACCUGAGGCAAACCCCAGAAAUGUAAGCGCCAUGACAUUAAGGAGUGGCAAGGAAGUGGAGGGGUCAAAGGUCACGAACUUGAAGACUACAAGUGAAGACGAGAUCGAGAAGGAGAUAGAGGAAGAAGGACACAUUCGCGAAGAGCCUAAGGUAACAUCUAUUCCUUCGAUCCCUAUUAAAUCUAAUAUAGCUCCUUUUCCUUGCAGGUUGGAAAAGACAAAGAGGGCAGAAAAGGAAAAAGAAAUCCUGGAUGUCUUCUGCAAAAUUCAAGUAAACAUCCCCCUAUUGGACGCGAUCAAACAGGUACCCAAGUACGCAAAGUUCUUGAAAGACUUGUGCGUUAACAAAAGAAAGUUAAGGGGUGAUGAAAGAGUGAUGGUAGGAGAGAAUGUAUCAGCUGUACUUCAAAGGAAACUCCCACCCAAAUGCGGAGAUCCAGGUAUGUUUGCUAUCCCCUGUAAGAUUGGUCAUUUUAGUAUCAAAAAUGCCAUGAUAGAUUUAGGGGCUUCUAUUAAUGUGAUGCCUAAGUCAAUCUAUGAUUCCCUAAAUUUAGGACCUUUAAAAGAAACGGGGAUAAUAAUUCAAUUGGCUGAUCGUACAUGUGCUUAUCCGGAUGGGAUACUUGAGGAUGUUUUAGUGCAAGUAGAUGGAUUAAUUUUUCCUACUGAUUUUUAUGUGCUUUACAUGGAUGAUAGAAGUGCCCUAAAUCCAUCACCCAUUAUAUUAGGAAGACCAUUUUUGAGUACCGCCCAAACUAAAAUUGAUGUUAGUAAGGGUACUCUCACGAUGGAAUUUGAUGGAGAAAUAGUCCAUUUUAAUAUUUUUGAUACAAUGAAACAUCCUGUUAACUCUCAUUCUAUGUUUGCUAUAUAUACCACUGAUCCCUCUGUGCAAGAAUUUUCUAAGUUUGCUUAUAGGGGUAAAUCUAAUGUUGCUGCGAACAAGUCCUAUAGGAUGAAAGCAAUUCAUGAGGUAAAAAUUGAGAGAAAAUUUAGGAAAAAAGUUGCACUCAAUGGCCAUGUGGAUCCUGGAGGAGGGCCACCAAUUACAAGGAAAAUUCAAUUACAUCCAGACUAAAGAGUGGUGCUAUAUCUAGCCAAAGACAUUAAAGAAAGGCGCUGCUUGGGAGGCAACCCAAGGCUUCUUUUGUUUUAGUUUUCUUAUAUUUUUGAAGUUUUUGUUAAGUGUUAGUGUCAUUUAGUGGGUUGUUAUUUUGUGACAGGAAGUUGGCAGCUAGGCAUGCCCACGCUAGGUCAUCACACCUAAGGAAUGGAGUUUUGGAAUUGACGAUCAGACGACUAUAACUUCUAAGGCGUGCCCACGCCUUCCAACCCUUCCGAAAAAGGAACUUCAGUCUUCUCCUUCCUGUUGGUGUUGCGUCCGCCGCCACCACACCACCUUGUGCACGCAGCCGUCUCAACUCCUCCGCCUUAGUGUCUCACUUUCUCUCCCCGGUGGUCAGGGAAGUUUCUUUUCUUUUCCCCUAAUACUUCAUUUGUCUUUUCUACAUUGAGGACAAUGUAGGUUUUAGGUGUGGGGGGAUUAGUGGCUUCCAUUAUUUCUUUUUUCUUUGUUAUUUUUUUUUUCAUUGUUACUCAAAAAAAAAAAACAAAAAACAAAAACAAAAAACAGAAACAAAAAACAAAAACAAAAAAAAACGAAAAAAAAUGAAAAAAAAUGAAAACAUUGUAGUUAGGCGGCUUUUUGGCUAUUUCUAUGCUUGUUAGUAUUAGGGCAUGUUGCUGUGAUGAAUGACACAAUCAAAGUGAGUGGAUAUGUGGUCGAAUAUACUAGCUGUGCAUUUUGUUUCCCUUGGCAGUGUCGUUGAAUGUUGAAUAUGCUGGAAUUGACCCAUUCUUGUAACUUUUGGGGGAGUUUUUGAGCCUUAUAUGAGCACAUUAUUCUUGUUUGCUCUAUUUUUGUUUGAUUGAGUAGGUAUCACACAUGGUAUUGGUAUUCUAGAACUUGCUAGUUUAUACAUGUCAAGGCCACAUUUUUGUUGAAUUGGAUGCAUUUGAAAUGAUAAGGGCAUUUAGGAUUUAACCCUCUUUAGCUAUCUAAAAAAAUCAAGCCCUCAUCUUAUCUCCCAAUAGUGAACCAAUUUGAGCUUUUGUCCUUCGUUUCUGGUUGUUAUCCGUGUUUGUUAACCCAAGCCCUCUUUAAACUUUCUUGUUUACCCCUGUGUUGUCAAGGGAUGCCUGAAUUCCAUCAUUUGUGCAAAGCAAACAAAAUUGGGGUUGCAAGUGCUGUUAGAUUAGGAGCUAUAUGAUGCUAUCCUUGUAUAAAGAAGGGAAAAUUGGAAAAAGGCCACUGACCAGAGGACUUUGGCUUACAGGGCGUGCCCACGCCUUACAGGACUUUCUCUUUAAAAAAAAAAAAAUCCUGAAGAGACCUCGUGACCAGAGGACUAUGGGCUAUAAGGCGUGCCCACGCCUUGCGAGCAGUAUUCAAUCAAAAAAAAAAAGAGAGAGAAAGAGAAAAAAUUGGGGGCACUUGUACAGGGUGUACAGCAAAUGGAAACUGCCUUGUUAGUGAAACUCCUCCGGUAAAGCACUGUGAUUAUUGGUAAGUUUCGGACAUUCUCUUGACACUUUACCCCUAUCUAUACCUUCUUAACCCGCCUUUCACCUGAGCCCCAUUACAACCCUAUUAAAGUCCCUUUGAUUUAUGUGUUUGGUUCACUUUUAAGUGGUGGAGAUGUGAUAAAUGUGCAAGCCUAUGGUAAUGGCAUUCCGUGAUGUUGAAUUGAGCGUUCCUAGUAUUCAUAUAUAUUUUUUGAAUUACAACAUGUCCGGUGUGUUCUACCUUUGGUGAUAUUGUCAGGGACCCUAGAUGCUUGUGUUAGUAUAGACUACUACAUGACCUCUGCUCUCUUGGUUGUACUUCUGAGCUCCGAAAUGCUUGAGGGCAAGCAUUGUUUAGGUGUGGGGGGAUUUGAUAGAGCCGUUAUUUGGCACGUUUUGCAUUGUCAUCUUGUUCUAAUUUUGGCUAUUCAUGGUGCUAAGAAAGGGAAUUUCACUCAUAUUUGAUAUUUGUGUGAAUUGUAGGUGGUUAGCAUUAAAAUGAUAUCGCGGGGUAAAUUUCCAGAAGACUUUUCAUUUCAGAGCGUGACCACGCCUUAGAAGGAGGACGAAACCGAAAGCCGGACUGCGGUCCACUUGAACCCGAAGCGUGGGAUCAGAACUCUGGAGACAAAGCUUUUUUCCAGGCCUUUGUUCCAGACGUCUUUUUAUUUUCUACGUCUCUUGUGCGGCGGAUAUAAAAAGAGAAACAAGGAAGAUUCAAGGGGGCAUCUACUUUUUAGGCUUAGUUUUCUUUUCCUAGGUUUGUCAGCAGUCAGACGCUUUUGAUUGGGGCUUUUGGCUUUCUUCAGCCGCAACUUAGACUAGCUUAGGAGUUCACCCUUUUCAAUCUUUUGCUGUAGACGCCUUUGACGUUCGCUUUUGAUUUGCUACAAUUUUUCAUCGCUUUUAUUCCUUUUCUUGACUCUGCUCCAGGAGCGACCGAAUAUAAGAAAAUGAACCAAGGGAAUUUCCCAUUUGUUCCUUAGUUAAUUCGCAUCGCUCCGCUCCUUGGAAUUAAUUGUUUGGAUAUUCGCGUGGAUGAAAUCAAUUAAAUCGCGUGAGUUUGACAUGAUGAGGAGCGGCUAAUUUUCUCCUCUACCCAAAGGGUGACGCGAGGGCGCGGUCCACCACACCUGUGAGAUCUAAUCAAGCUUUCAUUAUUUCUUCCAAUUCGUUAUUAUUCGUGCGUUUUCUGAAUUAAUUGUUCAUGGGUAUUUGAUUAAUUGAAUAUCAACGGCCGGGUAUUUGAUUUAAUUUAAUAGCCUACUGCCACGUUAAUUAAAUAGAAUCCGUAAUUGUUCAUUUAAUUGACACCCCGUGGCAACCACCAUAAUUGGUUUUAUGAUGGAGAAACGCAGGAUCUAACUUAAAUAAACCCUCUUAGCGUGUUUAUUGGUUAGGGUUGGGUUCUUCUAGCUUUAAUGCAAUUGGGUAAUUAAAUUCCUACGGUCGUACCUAGGGUUGUUAUCUGGUUAGGGAAGCAGUCAAUGGUCGCACCUUGACUGUCGAAAAGGUAAGGAAGAACUGGUUGUCAGAGCUUAUUGAUAACUAUAACCAAUCUAGUGAUGAAUGGGUGAAAUAUCUUUGCAUCGAUGAUCAUUUAAUUGGACCGUGCCUGAGCAGUUGAUCCUUUGGGUGGAAUCUUAUUAAUUGCUAUUUUUAGUGAAUUGUGCUGUGUGAGUUGGUUUUGAAUUUAGUUCGCUUUAUUUUUAUUCUUAUUUUUAUUUUAUUUGUUUGCCUCCUAUUGAAAAUCCCCCAAUUCCAUUCUACUAAUUUGGAAAGAAAUAAAUUCCUACCCGCUCCCUGUGGAAUCGACCCUACUUGCCAUUGUACACAAAAGUAAUAUUCUUAUAGAUUAAUCUGGUAUAUCGGAUCAAGCAAACUCUUCGGGAACAGGGUGAAUCAAGUAACCCAUUGCACACCUAGGGUCCCUGCUCCAGUACUUGGAUUUGUUCUAUAAUUAUUUGUGGUGGUAAUUAGAACUUUUUAGUAAUUAUUAUUGCACAGGUUCGGCACCUGUCAUAAACCAUAUCCCAGAUGAAGGAAGAAAUAGGCCAAUUCUGGAAGAAAAUAUCAAGUUCAUCAUCAGCAUUAUGUUGUAGAUUUUGAAGCAUGAUUCAUUAACCAGGAAGGUAUCUAAAUUUGCCCACUAUUGUUGGAAAUUAGGGGAUCGCUUCAAUGUUUGCUUCUUCACACUAAUUGACUUCUUCCACCUUAGGGGUAUAAGGAUGUGCUUGAAAGAAAAUGCAAGUUGUUGUCGCUCUUUAGAUAUUUUUUAAAAAUAGAAGAGCAAUUUUAUUUAUGAACAUUAAUCCCCAGCUGAUCGAACAAACAGUAUGUCUUGAACUUUUACCAUUUGUACAUAGCAAAGUUGGCUUCCAAACUGAGUCUAUCAAUUAUAUCAUUGUAUACGUUUGGUAACAAAACCAAUAUGAAGGCUGUCUUGGUUCACAAUUCUUGGAGUGUGUUAUUAGUUAAAAAGAGUUUAAAUUAUAUCAGAUUCAUCCUGAUUUGGAACUUUUUCAGCAUUCAAUGAUUUAUUAUCACCUAAGCUUUCUUAAGUAUUCUAUUGUAAUAACAUUGUACUUGCAUUCAUACAAUCUUCGUAUUUGUUAUUCCUUCUUUUUUUUUUUUUUGGUUCAAAGUAUUUACCCAAUUUUGUCAUUUAAUUUUCUCUUUUCUUUAUUCUUUUCCUUAUUCAUUUAAUGUAACUUAGCCAAUCUUUUUCCCUUUUCUUCAAGCAAAGAAAAAACCAUUCAUAUAAUUGUGUAAAUCUGAUGGCUAUCCCAACUAUCAAUGAUUACGCAAAAAAAGAAAAAGGAUAGUUGAUGCAUUUAUACAAUCUUCACAUUUAGCAUAUGAACUUUUUCAAGUGAAUAACUACAUCUGUGAAUUAUUCUGCUACAUAAAUAAUCACAAAUAACCUAGAAAUCUUGAGAAUUUAAAGGUAUAUAAAAUUCUAUGAAAUCCCCAAAUGCAUAGAUGAAAUUUAGAGUAUGGAAAUUGAUAUUAAAAAAUACAAAAUUAUUAACCCAAAAUUAUACAAGUGAAUAUCUUAGCAAGUGUAUGAGAGAUAAUGGCAGAUCAACAAAAUAUUUCUUAUUCUUCAUCUUGGAUUUUUCUUUCCUUCAUUUCAUUCUUUCUUUUUCUGGGUAAGGAAAAGCCAGGGAAUUGUGAUCUGUGAUGCUGUGAUUGACAGGAAAAACUAUUGGCACUUUAAGGAGGACUCUGUAUUUCAUCAUUUUUUUAAAACUUUUUAACUCAAAUUGGUGUCCAGAUAUCAAAGGUGAUGGUGUAUUAGUGUAACAGUAGAACACUUAAAAGGAAGUUUAGGUCGCAAGACAUAAUUGGGUGCCUAAAAAGUCUCAAAUCAUGAUGAUCCUGAUGUGCACCCUUAGUUAAGAUAUGUAAAUGUUUUAUCCGUAUCAAAUUAGACAUCAUCUAAUAAAAUUAGAUUAGAUUAGUUACUGAUUUAAAUGUUGUCUUAUCUUUUGGGUUUAUAUUUUGUGCCCUUAAAGCACCAUAAGGAGUGGGUCUCUUUUUUUUUUUUUUUCAAAAGGGUAAUUUGUUUGCUAAUGUGCUGUAUUUCAGGGUGGUAAUUUUAAAGGUUUAAUGGUGGGCCAAUUUCCUUUUUCUAUAUGCUUAUUUGGUGCUUUAAGCAUCAAAUAAAAAAAAUCUUGAUGUAAAGAUAAAUGAAACAAAAAUAAUAAAUAUUUCCCCUGUUUUUUGUCUUCCUUGUCAUAGAGCAAGUGUUCUAGGGUCUUUAUUUUGGGCAAAAAACCGCGGUGGUCCUUAAACUUUCAACUUUGUGCACUUUUAGUCCUCCAACUAAUAAGUGCGUAAAUGUAGUCAUUCAAUUAAUAAAAAUAUGUAGUUGUAAUCCUUCCGUCUAAUUUAGCCGUUAAGAUGGACAGGAUGAUACAAAAAUGAUACAAAAAAUAAAGGGAUAAUUUCAGAAACCUCCCUUGAGGUUUUUAACAAUUUCAUUUAGCUCCCUUGAGAUUUUAAAAAUUAUACAUACCUCCUUAUCAUUUAAAAUGACAAUACUACCCUUAAAUAUUUUAAUGAAAUUUCCUUGUUUGGUAUGUUUAUACUUUGAAUGAAUUUUAAAAUUAUUUUUCAUUCUUUUCCUUCUUCUUCCUUUUUUAAAAAAAUUUUUUGCCAAUAAAGUGGUAGAACUAUCACUAUUACCUCUAGUUUCUAUUGUAACCAAAUGUCGGACAAGUAAUUUUUUUUUGAUGAGUUAACUUUAUAUACAAUACAAUAUUUUUGCUAAUCUUUGUUUUCUAUUUUUUGGUAUUAAAAUUAACAAUAAAUCAAAAGAAAAUGGUCCAAAAUCACUAUUAAAUUAUGAUAAUCCAACUAUUCAAAAAAUUCAUAAAUUCUAAAUAAAUUAUUUCAACAUUUUCUUUUUUAUCUUAUAAAUCCAUAAUAAAAUACCAUCAAAAGUAUCCUAUCAUAGUCAUAAAAAUAUUAUUAUAGUUGUUUAUCAAAUAAUAGGUAUGGACAUGAAAAAUUUGGCACAUUUUUCUUAUAAUUAUACUAGAUAAUCUUAUAAUUGUAUAGGAAAGUAAAUUAAAACUCAUUACACAAGGGUAUUUUUGGUUAUUCAUUUAAAAAUUUGACCAAGUCAAUAUUAUUUUAAGGUUUUGUUACUAAAACUAUCAAAUCAAGGGAAGUAGGUGUAAUUUUCCAAAUCUCAAGGGAGCUCAAUGAAAUUGUUAGAAACCUCUAGGGAGGUUUUUGUAAUUAUUCCAAAAAUAAAUGUCAUGUGAGCAAUCCAUUAUAUGUUUUCCAUCCAUCUUAACAGCCAAAUUGGACGGAAGGACUAUAACUGCACAUUUUUAUUAAUUGGAGGAUUACAUUUAUGCACUUAUUAGUUGGAGGGCUAAAAAUGCGUAAAGUUAAAAAUUUAAGGACCACCGCAGUUUUUUGCCCUUAUUUAAAAUUAGUCUAUCUAACAAAUAAUGAUUUUAGUGUAUGUUUAUAUAUGAUAGAUUGGAUGAAAUAUAGGUUCAUUAAUAAGUGGCCUUUUGACAUCAGUUGAAAUAAUACUUUGAUCCAAAUUUAAAUUAGAAACCAUGGCACAAUCAUCUGAAAUAGAAUGGCGUAGUAGAGGUCUUGACUCCAACAAGCAAUGCUUCCUUCUCGGUACUAACACUGUGAAUUGAACCCUCCUCAGAACCACAAAGCAUAUGCCUUUUUUUUUCAAUUAUAAAUUAUUCUUUUUUAUUUAAUUUUACUCACAAAUUAUUCUUAAAGUUUUAAAAAAAAAGAAGAAGUCUCCACCCCUAACAUUCAUGCAUAUGUCUCGUACUAAUAAAUAAAUAAAAAAAAGUCCAACUCUGAUUCCCGUCCAAAACCAAAUUCCGCCAUGUCAACUACUUCCAUAAAAAAUAAGAAUGCCCAAAUACCAAUUUAGUUAUCCAAUCCUAUAACAGAAAGCCCAAGUCCAAACAAUUGAAAAACCCACCAUCCCACCGUUACCUAUUGACCUUUUGUUUUAAAUUAAUUAUGCUUUUUCCCUUAAAAGGAUAACCAAGCAAAUUCCAUAUCCUAUCCUGUGUAACCUCUUGAUUUUCGUCUUGUAAAUUUCUAUAUAAAAUUUUGUCCUAAGAUAAUUUUAUUUGCAAUGUUUCAUUAAUUCAUCUACCCAAGCCUCCAGCAUUCAGUUUAGCUAUUGGGCAAAUCUUUUGUUUUUCUAUGUUUCGUUUUGAUGGAAGACAAAAAUUGACUUUUAGAUUUUCUUGGUUACAACUUUCUUUAUAUAUUCAUUCAAAGAUGAAACUUUUAUUUUGUGCGUUUAAUUAAUGAAUUUGGAUCUUGGGUGUCAUUAGAUUACAUUUAUAAUAACAAUAAUUUUCUUGCCUCUGUUGGUUUAAAAUUUAGUUAUCCUUUCCUCAUUAGUCCGAUAAAUUGUCAUUUUAGAUUAAAUAAAAUUGAUAGUUACUUCUUCUAUUUUUCAAUUAGAUAAACUUCAAUGUUUCUGUUUUGUGUUAAUGAAUAUAGUGAAUUUAACUAGUUCUGCUGCAAUGAUUAGGAGAACUAAAAGAAUGGUUUUAGACAAGGUUAUAGUUAUUGAUAAUAUAAAAAAAAAACUUGUCAAUAGAAUAAACUUUUGAAAAUCAUUAUGAAACAUCUGCGGUUGCUUUAGAUGAAAAAGCAAAAGCUUUAGAACUUCUAAAACAUAAAGCUUGCACUUAAUUAUACUAGUGAUUUUUCAGGUUGAUUAGUAACUUAUUGAGAUUUGAGUAUUUUGUGACUAUCGGGAGCAAGAAAAUUGAAUAAAAGGACACUUGAAACAAGUGUUGAACCUGGAAGCUUUGAAGCUUUUUAUUUUUUUUUAAAACUUUUUAUGGAUUUUGUUAGUAGUUGCAAAGCUUCAACACAGAAAUCUAGUUCGGCUAUUGGGAUUUUGCCUGGAAGGAGAAGAAAAGAUACUCAUCUAUGAAUUUGUUCCUAACAAAAGCCUUGACUACUUUCUCUUUGGUGGGUUCAAUCUAGACAUACUUAUAGUAAUUUUUUGUUGUUCCAUGUGAUCUUGUUCUAUUUUACCUAUUUGAUUAUGCUUUCUGGAGUUAUUGAUUUAAUAAUUCUCAAUGCUAGCACAAUAUAUUGUGUUUAAAUUUGUGUAGAUCCAGAAAAUAAACGAUCAUUGAACUGAUCAAGACGUUACAAUAUCAUUGGAGGUAUAGCAAAAGGACUUCUUUACCUGCAUGAGGAUUCUCGUCUAAGAAUUGUUCAUCGCGAUCUCAAAGCAAGUAAUAUAUUAUUGGAUGGAAAUAUGAGCCCAAAGAUAGCAGAUUUUGGCAUGGCAAAGAUUUGUGGAGUUGAUCAAUAUGAAGGAAACACGUAUAGAAUUGCUGGGACAGUGUAAGUUUUGCUCCCAUACUAUCUUUUCUCACAUAAUAUCACUUUGAAUCUUUCAUGGAAAAUUAUGUACACCUCCAUUUGAUUGCAUCAUUCGGAUUAUCUUUGUACUGAUUAUAACAAUCGUUGUGGCUUGUAGUGGUUAUAUGGCUCCUGAAUACACAAGGUGGGGUCAGUUCUCACUAAAGUCAUCCGUAGUUUUCGCAACGGAUCUUCUGUCUCACAUCCUGUGCCACUCUCUGUGCCACUUUUUGUUAUAUUGCUAUUUCUCAUUCAUAAACAUCAUGUUUUAAUUCUUUUUUGCUUCCUUAAGAUCCAAUAACUAUUAAUUCAGAACUCGGGAGGAGGAUUUGAUAUUGGCACUCCUAAUUUUCAACCUUUUAUCUUUUCUUUUUUUUUUCAUUAUUAAAUUCACCUAAACUUGCAAUACCAUUUUUUGUGUGAACCAGACCAAAAUGCCACGAUAAUUUAUGAACUACCUGCCCUAAAUAAAUACGUAUUUCUGUUUAUGUGCUUCUUAUGGAAAUUUUUAGAUGUCGGAUGCAAGACUUGUCAUAAUUGCUAUUCCUUCUCUCGUUUUGUACGUUGUCACACACUCAAAGUAGAGUACUUGUAAAUUUCAGUAAAAACCAGUGUACUUCUUUCUCAGGUUAUACUUAACUACAAUGAUGGGAAAAAAGGUUGCGAUUUGAAAUCUUUUAUGAAUAAAUCUCAUAUAUUAGACAGUAUAUAUACUAUCACCGUUAGAUUCAUAACAUAUAUGUAAAAGUUAAAUUUGAAAUUCAAAUUUUGUAUAAUUGUUGUUCAUCCAACGUUGACAACAGUGUAUACACUAUCAAUGUAAGAAAGAUUAAUCAAUCUUUUUAUAUGAUUAAACUUGAAAUAGAGAGUAUUGACAAUUGCCUAUUGUGAAUAUUGACAUUACCUGUAUAUCUAUUUAAGCUAAUUGAAGUUUUUAAGUCUGAACUCCUUAUACGUGGGAUUAUUUCGAAAAGGCUUGGAACCAUUGGAGACGCGGCCAAACUUUAGCUCUUUUGGAUUCAAGCAUUGGAGAUUCUUACGCCAGAAAUGAAGUCAUUCAAUGCAUCCAAGUUGGCUUACUAUGUGUUGAAGAAGAUGCCAGUAAAAGACCAACAAUGGCUUCUGUGGUCUCCAUGCUCAAUCCUAGUUCUGUUCCCCUACCAACUCCACAUCGUCCGGCAGUUUUCCGGAGCAAUGGAUCGGAGAGCAGGGUAGACGAGCUGGAAGUUGAUCAAUCCAACACUCAAAGAAUUUCAGCUCCAAGCUCUGUCAAUGAUGCAUCAAUUACUGAACCAUAUCCCAGAUGAAGGAAGAAAUAGGCCAAUUCUGGAAGAAAAUAUCAAGUUCAUCAUCAGCAUUAUGUUGUAGAUUUUGAAGCAUGAUUCAUUAACCAGGAAGGUAUCUAAAUUUGCCCACUAUUGUUGGAAAUUAGGGGAUCGCUUCAAUGUUUGCUUCUUCACACUAAUUGACUUCUUCCACCUUAGGGGUAUAAGGAUGUGCUUGAAAGAAAAUGCAAGUUGUUGUCGCUCUUUAGAUAUUUUUUAAAAAUAGAAGAGCAAUUUUAUUUAUGAACAUUAAUCCCCAGCUGAUCGAACAAACAGUAUGUCUUGAACUUUUACCAUUUGUACAUAGCAAAGUUGGCUUCCAAACUGAGUCUAUCAAUUAUAUCAUUGUAUACGUUUGGUAACAAAACCAAUAUAAAGGCUGUCUUGGUUCACAAUUCUUGGAGUGUGUUAUUAGUUAAAAAGAGUUUAAAUUAUAUCAGAUUCAUCCUGAUUUGGAACUUUUUCAGCA